Molecule: long non-coding RNA, 338762 nt
Filed under: Populus trichocarpa (black cottonwood)
Lineage: Eukaryota; Viridiplantae; Streptophyta; Magnoliopsida; Malpighiales; Salicaceae
Description: long non-coding RNA (PTRI_LNC001789)
Rfam family: MIR2912 microRNA precursor family (bases 42487-42642)
Source: RNAcentral
CGACCGGUAUGAGAAGCUCUCGAUCUCUACUCGCCAUCACGAUCGCCGAUUUCUCAUCUCCCAUCACUUGUAAUCGAAAACGACACCGGUUUCCUUAUCGAUGGAUGGAUAGAGUAGUAUGUAUCUAGAUUCUACACUACUCUAAUAAGGUUCGGAUUUAUUUUGGAAAGAGUUUCUUUUGAAUUCAAAAUCAAUCAAUCUAUCUAUCUAUCUAUCAAAGGCAGGGGAGUGAAGCGUUUGCUUUUUUUCUUUGUUUUGUUCUUAAAAAAAUAAAUAAUUAAUUUUUCUACAAAAUCUAGAAAUAUAAAUAUUCUAACUAUUUAACCGUGUUCCAUCAAGAAACAGAGCAAAAAAGAUUUUAAAUACCAGAAACAAAUAUUUAAAUAUUACUAAUACAUUUUUUUUAAAAUAAAUUUUAACCAUGAAUUUGAAAUAAAUUGCAUAUUAAUUGAUAUUCCAUCUACUUGAAUUAACUCAGAUUAACUUGUGAAACAUGUAAAAAUCUUGAAAAAAAUAAAUUGAAAAGCUUAAUUCUCAAUUAAUUUAAUGUUGAAGAACAAAAUUGAUAAAAAAAAAACACCCCUCAAUUAAAAAAAAAUUAAGUGAAAUCAAGUCAACCAAGCAAACUUACAAUGCAAAUCAUCCGCAUAAUCGAAUUCAAUAAAUUUUUUAUACUAGAGAUUAUUUUUCAUUUAAUUAUAUAACAAUAAAGUGCAUGAGAGUUUUUUUUUAUAAAGUAAUUUUUUUAAAAAAAAAACAUAAUAAAUGUGUGGAACUAAUAUAGCAAAAGUAGAUCAUUGAUAGCAAAAAGUGAAAUUAUAUCCUUUUAGUUUCUAGUUAAAUAAAAAUAUAUAUAUUAUUGAUAAUAAUCAGUGAAAUUGUAUUUUUUUUUAAAAUUGAGGGGUAAAAAGUGCUUUAAACAAAUAAAAAUAAAUAAAUAAUAGCAUGGAUGUUGUGAAUUAACCCGUCAAACAUACGACUCAACUUAUAAACUCAACUAAGUUCAAUGAUUUUUUAUUAAUUUUUUUACCCAAAUAUAAAAUAACAAAAUAAAAAUAAUAAAAAUAAAUGACAAAAAAGCCUAAGCACGUGGGCCUUCCAGCCUAGCCCGCGUGCUUGGACCUGGCUUUAUUUUUUUUAUAUUUUUUAAAAGGGCGGAUGACCUAUCGUCCACUUUAUUUUUUUUUAAAAAAAACAACCUAGUGAUCAUUGGUUGUUUGAUGAAUUAAGCCACCACAGGUCGCCAAAAAAGCGAGGCUUCCAUUUUUUUGGUUAAAAAACUCGUUUCUACCCAUUUUCACCCAAAAUAUUUUAAACACCUUGAUAAAUUUAUUCAUGACCUGAAGCAACCCAAAAAAACAACUCGAAAAUCCAAAAUUAACCAGAACUCAAAAAUCUUCUCUCUCAGAUUUACCUCAUCUAGCAAGAGAAGGAAACAAAAACACCUAGGUGAAACUCCCCUCAAUAAAGAGAACUCGUUGACACCAAAAUCGAUUAUUUUUAUUAUCAGAAUGGACUUCAAUGGUGACUUUCUCUCUAUAUAUCAGAAUCCAGCGAGUCUCUCUCACCUCUCACAAAAAAAUAGACUAAAAAUAAGAUAAAUAAAUUUUGGUACCAAAAUUAAAUUUCUGACAACUAAAUAGACCAAUCACCUAUUAACUUAAAAAAGAUAGGAGACCAAAUUAAACUUUUCAAAUAAAAUGCGAAGUUGGCCAUCUAUUUUCUCUAUAUUUUUCACUUUGGUUCUUUGUCUUUAAAUUCAACUCUUUUUUAAAAAUAAAAUAAGUAAUUGGGUACUCAUUUGAGCUAAAAAUAAUUGGUUGAUGGAGGAUCAUGUAGGGAGUUCAAGAAAUUUUUUCCCUAUAUCAUUAAUUAAUUAAAUUAGAAUCAUGGUUCUAUAUCAUGUCCAUACCUUACUAAUGAACUUGUGAUUUGUCAAUCUAGCAUUGAAUUUGAAAUAUAUAUACUUUGGAUUGAAUAGUAAAUCAACCCAUCUAAUCCAUGAUAUAAGUCUUGGGCUAGGUUUACUAUCAUGUUGAGUCAUAUUACUAUGAUUCAAAUGACAAAUUAAUCAAUGUAUUUAUUUCUUAAUUAUUUUUUUUUGGGUUAAAGACUGAUUGUUUUCUCCUACUAUUAUUAUUUAGAAGUGCUUUGGUGAGCUGUAACCCUAUCAUUAUGUUACACCGUAUCCUCACUAGCAAUAAUUGUUGUUUUUUUUUUUUUGUCAAGAAUAUUUGUAAUUGUUAGAUAUUUUUUUAAGUAUUGGAGUUUUAGCUCAAAUGAUAUAGUUUGAUUUUUUUUUUCUGUAUUGUUUUCAUCUAGGAGGCUAAAAAUCCUUUUACACAUGUUUGUUUAGGAGAGUUGAAAGUUCAACUUGUUAGGGUAUUGACUUUGUACAUAUUAUGUUCUUUCUUUUAUGAAAGUAAGCAGUUGUUCUCAUAAGCUAAGGUAUGAGGAUACCUAAAACUAAUAUGUAGGUGCUUAUCAAAUGAUAUGUAUACUAAACUGAUUUGCAUAAGAAUUCCAUAUAGAGAGAUCACAUGUCUAUGAAAGACUCAUAUAAUAGUUGUGUAAGUGAUUCUUAGACUUGAUAUCUCUAAGUUAUCUUAUAUAGAAAGUGUUAUGUUUUGAUCCUGCUACAUGUUGUCCUGAUCAAGGGUAACAAAUAAGAAGAUGUUGGGUAUAACACAAACUAUAUUAAUGUAUUUAAGUAAUCAAGAGAUGAUUCAUCACCUUAGGUAAAUUAGAAAAAAAAUGUUUCAUCUAUUCUCAAAUAGUAUUGAUUAUAAAUCCUUGUGCAAGGUCACUUGACUUAUUUGGAGUUGUAUAACUCCAUAUAUGAGUAAAACACAAAGUAAGGGUCCAGAAUGACAUAGUAUUGAAUAAAUUUUUUAUGCUACUGUAAUGAGUGAGUUUAGAUAUAUAGAUGGCAAAACUAGGUGUUGUGUCGAUCAUGAAAGUUGUAGCCCUAUGUAUUCUCUUUCCAUAGAGUUAAACCACGUUAAGAAAAGAGUUUUGAAACUUUAGUUAUGAUUAAAACACCAAACAAUGUUUAGGGUUGGGUGGACUAAACCAGCUAGGACUAAUCAAUCUCUUCUCUACUUGGAGUUUGUUGUUGAUUGAGGGUUCUAACAUUUGGAUCGAUAAGAAUAAUUAUGAACAUGGAAAAUGUGUAUGUGUAAGGAAUUUUAAGGAUUUUCCUUGCUAAUUGUUUGAAUAAAAAUGAUGAUUGAAUGAGAAUUGAAAUAAAAUGUUAAUGUUGGUCGCAUUAUUGAUGAUAAAUGUAUCUUUGGUGGUACAAAAGAGGCUGAGGGGAUCGGAUAAUAGCAGGGAGAAGCAACACAUGAACAUGAUUGAGGUGGGUGCUUAACACCUUAUCAUUUUAGAAUUAAUACAAUUUUAAUUUAUGAAUUUCAGAAAUUCUAUGUUAUGACGUAAUUGUGAAUUGAUAUUGUAUUUGAUGAAAUUGUGUACCAAUGUUCUUGUGAAUGGAAUUGGAUAUGAUGAAAACUUUGUGUUAAUGUGAUUGUGAAUUUAAAUUAUAUACGAUGAGACAAUGAAUAUAGAUUGUAUGGGCAUGGUAAAUGUUUGGAAUGGGAUGAGAUUGUGCAUGAGAAAUUUGAUGAAAUACUUAAAUUAGGUAGGUAAUUUCCACCUUCAUCUAAUUCUAUUAAAUUCUCGAAGUACUCUUGUAUAAUAUUGUUAUCCAAAUUCAAUUGCUUAAUUUAUUCAUGAAUUCUAAAGAAUGUUAAGUUUAGCUUUGGCUAAUGGUAUCCAUGUUGGAUAGCUAGGAAUGAAUAAUGAGAUUAGCUUUGGCUAAUGGCAUCCAUGUUGGAUAGCUGAGAAUAAGCAUUAAAGAUUAGCUUUGGCUAAUAAUAUCCAUGUUGGAUAACUAGUAGUAAGGGAUGAGGUUAACUCCGGUUAAUGAGGUUCAUACUAGGAUCACCAGUAAUGAGUGUUGCAAACCAUCUCAUUUGAAAGCAUUUGCUGAUACGAUGAAAUAAAGAGUAUAAUGUAUUAUUCACAAUCAGAAUACAUGUCAUUAGUUGUGUGUUGAACAUAGCUCAAAUAAAAUAUUACGACAUAAGGUUGCAUGAAGAUGUGAAGUAAAAUAUUAAAGAUAGACUCGGUAGAAAGUUAUUAGUACCCAGAUUUGUUGGCAAUCAAAUGGGUUGUCAGAAUUAUUGAUAUCUGCGAGGGGGUGACCAGAUAAUGGUCAUAGUAUCAGCAACUAAGGAUGAGAAAAGAAUGGCACUUAGUGGCUGUAGUGUCGGUGACUAAGGAUAAGAUAUGAAAUGAUACUUAGUAACCAUAGUACUGAUGACUAAAGAUAAGAAAUGAAUAAUACUUAAUGACCGUAGUAUCAGUGACUAAGGAUAUGACAACUUUUGAUGUUUAGUUGCCCAAAAGAACGAUGACCAAGGAAGUGAAGUAUGAUUUAGUUAAUCAUAGAAUGAUGAUGUAGGUUCUCCUUUCCCUAUACUUCUAUUUAAGUUGAUAAGUCUUUUAAAUUAAAUCACAGGCAAUAAAAGUUACUUUCUAGUUGUUCCUAAUAAAAAAAAAAUUCAUAUGGUUGUCUUUAUUUUUGAAUGAAGAUCAUUGUGUUGUUAUUUCCAAUGAGUGGAAACCAUGGUGGUGUUGUUUUCAAAUAAUGAAAACCAUUGAAACUAUCCUUAAUUGUAUAAUGAAAACCAUUGUGUAAGACGAUUAAUCAAUGCUUAAAAGUGUAUAUGAUAGGGGGGUUGAUUGACAACUUAAGAUUUAAUAUCGUUUGAUGUACUACUAAGUCAAAACAAAUGCUAAUAGGGUGAUAAUGUAAUAAACAAUUAUGAUACCUAGAAAAUAGAAAAUAUGAUAAUGUUACAAACAAAUUAUGUUAAGUGGUGAUGGAAUGUGUAAACAUGAGAUUAAUACAUGUGGUUACUUCAAGGAUUAUAUCCAAGAUCAAUAACUAAGAAAAUGAAAUAUUAAUUAUUGAUUGGGGAAUAAAAAAUCAAGAAAAUAAGUUGCUACUUAGUGACGUGUAGUUGACAACCUUAUAUUUAAAUGCAUUAUGUAAUUCAUUGUAAAGUUAGCAUUAAAAGUGACAAGUAUGAAUUUAGACACCACGAGAACUAGUGCGUAAUUCAAUAUGUAUAUGUAAUCAAUGUUAAAAGAAUUUUGGAUAAACACCAUUUCCUUUAUGGAAACCACAUACAUAUUGUUAAUUUUGUAAUGUUAUUUUAGUUGCAAUGAUGUGCACGAAUAUUGUCAUAUGAGUUGAGGUAUUAUUGAAAUUGAGUUGAAUGUUUUGAGCAAGAGUGUUAUAAGUGCUAAUAAACAUAAUGAUUCAUUUUCCUCAUGAAAAAUCAUGAGCAUAAGUCUUCUUGACGACUAAUAACUCUUAUAAUGAUAUAUAUGUUGCUGGUCUGUGUCACGAAGUGGGUUAGCACUGAUCAUGUCGUUUCACUAUUUAUAAUUUUGUUAGGUACUUAUUUUAUGUACUAUGAAUACUUAAAAUUGUGUUAAUAACUUCAUAUUGAAAUGUACUAAAUGAUAUGAUUAUAUUUCUAGUAUUUGGUUAUUGAAUCUCUUUUGUUAUGUGUGUGUUUGUAUAUCCAUUUUACCUAUGUUUUAUGUCAACAUCUCAAUAUUUUUUUAUAAAAAAAAUAUCAUGUUAAAUUAUUUUUUAAAGUCAAGCCAUUAGUUGCUUGGAGUAGUGGUCAAAACUUGUGUUCAUUUUGGUCCCUCUCUCCUUGCUUGAUUAUCGUUUAUCUCACAAAUUUUUUGUUUUUCUUUUAAUUUAUUAAUAUAAAAAUGAUAGAGAAAUAGUUAAAAAUUACAAAAUUACUAGAACUUUGUCGAAUUGCAUUGAAUUUUUUUUGAUUUUUUAUAUUUUUUUUAAAUUAUGAUCGAAAUAAGGAGGUCAAAAUUGAGUUUUGCCAUUUUUAUUGAUUUUUUCUUUCGAUUUGACCAUUUAACAUUUGAUUGAUUUUUAAUUGAUCUUCAUGAUUUAUUUUGGUUUGCUUUUUAUAGGGUUAUUGUAGUCUUAAAUAAAAGUCAUGAUAUUUGAUUGGUGCCUAAUUUUGCAAGCGUCUACUUUUUAUAUCAUAUAAUUAACUCAAAAAUAUUUUUUUAAAAAAUUAAUAAGCCUAAUGGGAUCCAUAACCCUGGUCGUGGAUUUUACGGGUUAAACCACGAGACCAGGUCAAUCCAAUAUAUUAUCUUGAUUUUUUUUAAAAGUUAAAUCAUGAUUUUACCAAUCGUUUUGUUGCUUUUGAGCUCAGUAAAUCUAUUAAAUCACUUUAAGACAAUUUUCACACAAUUUAAUUUAAAUUACAGGCCACACAAGAACUUAUGUCAAAAGUUUUAGAUUUAACUUAUUAAAUCAAGUUUAACGAUAAUACUAAAAAGUUUCAUAGAGCUCAAACAGGUUUUUUUUAUGUUCAAUUUUUUCUACUAAUACCUGUAGCGUAACACAUGCAUUAACCUAGUUAUAGCAAUUCCGAGAACCUAACUAACAUAUUAGGCAUGUGCCUGUCUACCUAAGAUUGUCCACCCGGAAGAAUUUCAAUUUUGAAAAGAACUAUAUUAAGAAAAAAAAAACUGUUGCAAGCAAAUGCAUUGAUAGCUUUGAGAAUUUCAAAGGGUCAUUCAAGAAUUUAUUAAUUAAUCAAUAAACCAAUCAAUUAAUAUAAAUGGCUGCACUUUGAUUGGUAAAAUUUGAUGAAGUAACCCGCCGGAGAAGAGCUCUUUGCCGCAAUGUGGUAUGGCCAGCUACUUGCAGCUACAUGAUCCGUGCUUCAAAAUUAUUGAAGAAUAUUUGAAUUGUUGAAGAUCAACGAGAGAGCCAUUAACGUUAUAUCUGGAAGUCAAUAACAGUGUCUCCAAGUUCCUCUGCUGUCUCAAUUUCUGAUAGAACAGUGCGAUGAUCUGGGAACCCUGAUGCUGCAAGAAUAUUUUUGAGAUUCUUGUAGUCUUGAGGUGGCUUUCGUAUGUUGUCGGGGAUGUUAUGUUUUAAGCGAUCUGGCUUUAUCGCAACUCUAGUCUGCAUGGAGGACCUUGCUUGCUUCUUACCAUGUCCAACAGACUGUGAUCCUAUUCAAUACAGGGGAACUGAGGAUGUUAUUAAUCAAUAUGAUAAUUCAAUAUGCAUUGACUUGGCUUUGAAAAGUGAUGCAAAAUAAAAAUAAAUAAAAUAAUCAUAGAUAAUAAAACUUGUGAAAACUUUUUUAUUUGGAAAAGUUCAAGACUUCAGUAGCUUUAUAUUGUAUUAGCGAUCAGGCAGAUGAGCAGUGGAAACACAAGUUAAAUGAAUGCAAAUGUAACAAGAAUUUGGCCAGGUCAAAUGCUUAUAAUUGGAGGGAGAAUGAUGUAAGAAAUUUUCCUAAAUAUAGAACUUUUCUAGUUUUAUUUAAGACUUUUUUCCUUGUAUAAAUAGAAUCGUUUAGCUUGUAUUUUAAAAGAUCAAACGAAAAAAAAAUACAGAGUAAUAAAAUUAUGAAUUAUAGUUUCCAUGUGAUUUUCUUUUAAAAUCUUGUAUCUAUACGCCCGCUGUGCUGUUGUUCUUGUGUUGUUUCCAUCUACGUUAGAAAUGCUCAGCAUACAUCAUGUAUGAUUCUAAGCCUAGUUGUAAAAGCAGAGCCUUGAUGGCUGAUGUCCAUCACCAUCACCAAUACAGGCGUUCUUUCAUUAAAGCUAUGUGGAGGAGCAUUGCCAAAUACUUGACCAAAAGUUUCUUCUGCAUGCUUGGUGGUAUUUGGACAUUCCAUAGUGAGAAAAGGCACUGAAAUGUGCCUGGUUUUUCCCAUUAUCAUAAGUAUAUUUUCUAAUCAAAUGAACCUUAGGACAGCUAAGCACUUAAAUGGGUGUCUAAAACUCAAAGGCAAAAAAAAAAAACACUUCACCAACAUAAAUAUUUGGAUUUGAAACCAUUAAAUGAUUGGCUUGUAAAGUUGUCAUACCUCCAGGCGUGGUGGUGAUAGAAUGUCUUGUUGUUCGCGAGUUAGCCCGUGUAAUGCAUAACCAUUCUCUUUCUGCUUCGCCUUCGCCUUCGCCUUCUGUUUCAAUUGGAAUAUGCCAGUGACCUUUUUCUGAUUCCUGUUAGAUUUUAUACCAAGUGCACAUGACAGACUAUUUUGUUAGUGAAUACACCUCACCUCAGUUAGUUAUAUGUGCGUUACUCUACCUCAGUUUACUCAUAUAAAACAUAUUUAUUAUUAAUAAAAACUUUUAUUAUCUUUAAUAAUAAUUUAUAUUUAAUUAAUGAAUCCAAUAUUUAAUUAAAAAAUAUAGAGUAAAGAUAAAAUUCAUGUGACAAAAAAUAUUUUGCAAAUGAAAUUAUAAAAUUAUAAUUAUGAGAUUCUUAUUACAUCAAAGCAUUGUUCUUAAAUAUUUAUGGACAAUGUUCUAUUAAAAUUAAACAUUAAUUAGAGUUGUGCAUAUUAUGUUCUUUUCUAGUUAGAUGACAUGCCUCUACCGACAAUAAAAUUUCAUAUGUAGAGAUCAUGUAUGUCUAUGGAAAGGUUCUCAUGAUAGUUAUGUAAGUGAUUAUUAGGCUUCAAAUCAUUAUGUUAUCUUAUAUAGAAAGUGUUAUGAUUUGAUCCUGACCAUAUAUUUUCCAAAUCAAGUAACAAUAGAGCAAAUAUUGGGUAUAACAUAAACUAUAUGAAGGUAUUUAAGUAAUCAAGAAAAGAUUCAUCACCUUAGAUGAAUUAAAGAAAAUAUUCCAUUUGUUCUCAAAUAGUAUUGAUUGUAAAAUCCUUGAACAAUGAGGAAUGUGUUUUGAAAAGAAUUUCAAUAAUGUUGAGAACUAAAACGAUUUAACAAAACAUAUAUAUUUUAUGCUAUAAUGUUUAAAUUGAAGCAUUCAUGAUGAAGGGAUAAUAAAUACACAGAGAAACUAGUCACUGAAAGGUUAAGUCAAAUCACGUAUGACUUUUCUAAUUUUUGAGGGAUCAUGACAAGUUGCUAGAUAUUGUACUUGAUCUUCAAAUAUAAAUCAAUCAAUUAUUGAAUUCAUAAUAUAUUGUUAAUUUAUUUAAUCUUAUUUUAUUUAGAAUUAUAAAUUAUAUGCGAGCCAAUUUAUUGGGGAACCUAAUGGAUCAUAUACAUAAGAAUCAUUUGUCAAAGAUUAAAAAGAGAUUAUUAAUCAAGCGUGACUUGAUUGUAAAUAAAUUUUAGAAAUUAAGGACUAAAAUAUAAUUAAUACAGAGGAUUACAGUUCUAGACCUAGAAACAAUCAAGUAAGGACUUGAUUGAAUAAAUUUCUAAAACUAGCCUAAAAUAAUAUAUGUGAUAUUAUUUAAGAGACAAAUUGAUAUUUUGUCAUUUAUAGAGUUUUUAGAUUUUCCUAUAAAUCGAAUAUUAUACCUCUUAUUUUCUAAGCAUAAAGAAGAAAAGAAUAAAAAGAAUACAAUAUGUAAACACCUAAAACACAAAAGAAAAGAGCUAGCACUCUCAUGAACAACAAUCUCUCCCUCUUAAAAAGACUUAUGAGAUUUUUCACUAGUGGUUCGUGUGGAUUACGGUUAGAGGUUGGACACUUGUAUGACUUAUGGUUUAUGACAACCCAAUCUUGAAACAAAAUUCAAAACAAAAACAAAAUCCAAUCUUUAGAUAAUGUUCACAUAAAUCCUAAAUAACUCUAAAUUUAUCUAACAUGUUUCGAGAAACACAACACAUUUAACUCACCAACUUUCAGUGUAUGACACUUACAUUGCAGGAUAGCAUAAACAGACACUAGUUUUUGUUCUUUCACUCUUCAUAUUCAAAUAGAUUGGAAAAUAUUUGGCAAAGAGCUCAUUAGUUCUCUCACCUGAAUUACAACAGAGCAAGGCGGAGGCAUGUCAAAAUCUGGACCAGCAUCAGUAAAUCUGAAAUGCACCUUAGGAAGAAAAGUUGCAAUGUUAUGAUAUAAGAAAACGGAGCAUCACCGGUGGCAAAUCACAACAUGCGAUAUCGAGUCCUUAAUACUUGCAAAAACAACAUUUGAACCAGGAAGAUAGAUUGUGGAAGCAAUCACAUUUACAACAGAAGGAGGGGCUGGUUAACAGUGGUGAACUUCUGAGGAACUCUACUUACCUGAUGCCUUUCUUUCCAUCUAGGGAAGAAGUCGUUUCCUAGAAGAUGAAAUGUAUGGUCUCUCAUCUCGUCAUUGGUCACAAUUAAACACUUGAACUUUAUAGCUGCAUACAACCAGUACCUGAAUCACAGGUUAUUUACCUCCAGUACUUCAUAUGCUAGUUGCAUAUUUAAAGAAAUUUUCAGCAGAAGAUAACUUGUGUAUGGUAAAAUUAUUUGACUAUUCCUGUGCAUAAAGCCCUCACCAAUCAUCAUUUGAUCCAGUGGGUGUUGCAUAAAGUGCAUCAGCAUUUUUCCACUUUUCAAUGAAAGCUUUAUUUACCGGUCCAUCCAUCUUGCGUCCAGUGAUUCGCUUGUUAUGCAGAACAAUGAGUGGCCAUUUUUUUGAAGGAAGCUUCUGACGUAUACCAUUAACAACAGCAUUGAUCUGCAGCCAGCCACUAAACCAAUCAACAGAAAAAAUAGAUUGUUGAAUCCUUGUAGUCUGNNNNNNNNNNNNNNNNNNNNNNNNNNNNNNNNNNNNNNNNNNNNNNNNNNNNNNNNNNNNNNNNNNNNNNNNNNNNNNNNNNNNNNNNNNNNNNNNNNNNNNNNNNNNNNNNNNNNNNNNNNNNNNNNNNNNNNNNNNNNNNNNNNNNNNNNNNNNNNNNNNNNNNNNNNNNNNNNNNNNNNNNNNNNNNNNNNNNNNNNNNNNNNNNNNNNNNNNNNNNNNNNNNNNNNNNNNNNNNNNNNNNNNNNNNNNNNNNNNNNNNNNNNNNNNNNNNNNNNNNNNNNNNNNNNNNNNNNNNNNNNNNNNNNNNNNNNNNNNNNNNNNNNNNNNNNNNNNNNNNNNNNNNNNNNNNNNNNNNNNNNNNNNNNNNNNNNNNNNNNNNNNNNNNNNNNNNNNNNNNNNNNNNNNNNNNNNNNNNNNNNNNNNNNNNNNNNNNNNNNNNNNNNNNNNNNNNNNNNNNNNNNNNNNNNNNNNNNNNNNNNNNNNNNNNNNNNNNNNNNNNNNNNNNNNNNNNNNNNNNNNNNNNNNNNNNNNNNNNNNNNNNNNNNNNNNNNNNNNNNNNNNNNNNNNNNNNNNNNNNNNNNNNNNNNNNNNNNNNNNNNNNNNNNNNNNNNNNNNNNNNNNNNNNNNNNNNNNNNNNNNNNNNNNNNNNNNNNNNNNNNNNNNNNNNNNNNNNNNNNNNNNNNNNNNNNNNNNNNNNNNNNNNNNNNNNNNNNNNNNNNNNNNNNNNNNNNNNNNNNNNNNNNNNNNNNNNNNNNNNNNNNNNNNNNNNNNNNNNNNNNNNNNNNNNNNNNNNNNNNNNNNNNNNNNNNNNNNNNNNNNNNNNNNNNNNNNNNNNNNNNNNNNNNNNNNNNNNNNNNNNNNNNNNNNNNNNNNNNNNNNNNNNNNNNNNNNNNNNNNNNNNNNNNNNNNNNNNNNNNNNNNNNNNNNNNNNNNNNNNNNNNNNNNNNNNNNNNNNNNNNNNNNNNNNNNNNNNNNNNNNNNNNNNNNNNNNNNNNNNNNNNNNNNNNNNNNNNNNNNNNNNNNNNNNNNNNNNNNNNNNNNNNNNNNNNNNNNNNNNNNNNNNNNNNNNNNNNNNNNNNNNNNNNNNNNNNNNNNNNNNNNNNNNNNNNNNNNNNNNNNNNNNNNNNNNNNNNNNNNNNNNNNNNNNNNNNNNNNNNNNNNNNNNNNNNNNNNNNNNNNNNNNNNNNNNNNNNNNNNNNNNNNNNNNNNNNNNNNNNNNNNNNNNNNNNNNNNNNNNNNNNNNNNNNNNNNNNNNNNNNNNNNNNNNNNNNNNNNNNNNNNNNNNNNNNNNNNNNNNNNNNNNNNNNNNNNNNNNNNNNNNNNNNNNNNNNNNNNNNNNNNNNNNNNNNNNNNNNNNNNNNNNNNNNNNNNNNNNNNNNNNNNNNNNNNNNNNNNNNNNNNNNNNNNNNNNNNNNNNNNNNNNNNNNNNNNNNNNNNNNNNNNNNNNNNNNNNNNNNNNNNNNNNNNNNNNNNNNNNNNNNNNNNNNNNNNNNNNNNNNNNNNNNNNNNNNNNNNNNNNNNNNNNNNNNNNNNNNNNNNNNNNNNNNNNNNNNNNNNNNNNNNNNNNNNNNNNNNNNNNNNNNNNNNNNNNNNNNNNNNNNNNNNNNNNNNNNNNNNNNNNNNNNNNNNNNNNNNNNNNNNNNNNNNNNNNNNNNNNNNNNNNNNNNNNNNNNNNNNNNNNNNNNNNNNNNNNNNNNNNNNNNNNNNNNNNNNNNNNNNNNNNNNNNNNNNNNNNNNNNNNNNNNNNNNNNNNNNNNNNNNNNNNNNNNNNNNNNNNNNNNNNNNNNNNNNNNNNNNNNNNNNNNNNNNNNNNNNNNNNNNNNNNNNNNNNNNNNNNNNNNNNNNNNNNNNNNNNNNNNNNNNNNNNNNNNNNNNNNNNNNNNNNNNNNNNNNNNNNNNNNNNNNNNNNNNNNNNNNNNNNNNNNNNNNNNNNNNNNNNNNNNNNNNNNNNNNNNNNNNNNNNNNNNNNNNNNNNNNNNNNNNNNNNNNNNNNNNNNNNNNNNNNNNNNNNNNNNNNNNNNNNNNNNNNNNNNNNNNNNNNNNNNNNNNNNNNNNNNNNNNNNNNNNNNNNNNNNNNNNNNNNNNNNNNNNNNNNNNNNNNNNNNNNNNNNNNNNNNNNNNNNNNNNNNNNNNNNNNNNNNNNNNNNNNNNNNNNNNNNNNNNNNNNNNNNNNNNNNNNNNNNNNNNNNNNNNNNNNNNNNNNNNNNNNNNNNNNNNNNNNNNNNNNNNNNNNNNNNNNNNNNNNNNNNNNNNNNNNNNNNNNNNNNNNNNNNNNNNNNNNNNNNNNNNNNNNNNNNNNNNNNNNNNNNNNNNNNNNNNNNNNNNNNNNNNNNNNNNNNNNNNNNNNNNNNNNNNNNNNNNNNNNNNNNNNNNNNNNNNNNNNNNNNNNNNNNNNNNNNNNNNNNNNNNNNNNNNNNNNNNNNNNNNNNNNNNNNNNNNNNNNNNNNNNNNNNNNNNNNNNNNNNNNNNNNNNNNNNNNNNNNNNNNNNNNNNNNNNNNNNNNNNNNNNNNNNNNNNNNNNNNNNNNNNNNNNNNNNNNNNNNNNNNNNNNNNNNNNNNNNNNNNNNNNNNNNNNNNNNNNNNNNNNNNNNNNNNNNNNNNNNNNNNNNNNNNNNNNNNNNNNNNNNNNNNNNNNNNNNNNNNNNNNNNNNNNNNNNNNNNNNNNNNNNNNNNNNNNNNNNNNNNNNNNNNNNNNNNNNNNNNNNNNNNNNNNNNNNNNNNNNNNNNNNNNNNNNNNNNNNNNNNNNNNNNNNNNNNNNNNNNNNNNNNNNNNNNNNNNNNNNNNNNNNNNNNNNNNNNNNNNNNNNNNNNNNNNNNNNNNNNNNNNNNNNNNNNNNNNNNNNNNNNNNNNNNNNNNNNNNNNNNNNNNNNNNNNNNNNNNNNNNNNNNNNNNNNNNNNNNNNNNNNNNNNNNNNNNNNNNNNNNNNNNNNNNNNNNNNNNNNNNNNNNNNNNNNNNNNNNNNNNNNNNNNNNNNNNNNNNNNNNNNNNNNNNNNNNNNNNNNNNNNNNNNNNNNNNNNNNNNNNNNNNNNNNNNNNNNNNNNNNNNNNNNNNNNNNNNNNNNNNNNNNNNNNNNNNNNNNNNNNNNNNNNNNNNNNNNNNNNNNNNNNNNNNNNNNNNNNNNNNNNNNNNNNNNNNNNNNNNNNNNNNNNNNNNNNNNNNNNNNNNNNNNNNNNNNNNNNNNNNNNNNNNNNNNNNNNNNNNNNNNNNNNNNNNNNNNNNNNNNNNNNNNNNNNNNNNNNNNNNNNNNNNNNNNNNNNNNNNNNNNNNNNNNNNNNNNNNNNNNNNNNNNNNNNNNNNNNNNNNNNNNNNNNNNNNNNNNNNNNNNNNNNNNNNNNNNNNNNNNNNNNNNNNNNNNNNNNNNNNNNNNNNNNNNNNNNNNNNNNNNNNNNNNNNNNNNNNNNNNNNNNNNNNNNNNNNNNNNNNNNNNNNNNNNNNNNNNNNNNNNNNNNNNNNNNNNNNNNNNNNNNNNNNNNNNNNNNNNNNNNNNNNNNNNNNNNNNNNNNNNNNNNNNNNNNNNNNNNNNNNNNNNNNNNNNNNNNNNNNNNNNNNNNNNNNNNNNNNNNNNNNNNNNNNNNNNNNNNNNNNNNNNNNNNNNNNNNNNNNNNNNNNNNNNNNNNNNNNNNNNNNNNNNNNNNNNNNNNNNNNNNNNNNNNNNNNNNNNNNNNNNNNNNNNNNNNNNNNNNNNNNNNNNNNNNNNNNNNNNNNNNNNNNNNNNNNNNNNNNNNNNNNNNNNNNNNNNNNNNNNNNNNNNNNNNNNNNNNNNNNNNNNNNNNNNNNNNNNNNNNNNNNNNNNNNNNNNNNNNNNNNNNNNNNNNNNNNNNNNNNNNNNNNNNNNNNNNNNNNNNNNNNNNNNNNNNNNNNNNNNNNNNNNNNNNNNNNNNNNNNNNNNNNNNNNNNNNNNNNNNNNNNNNNNNNNNNNNNNNNNNNNNNNNNNNNNNNNNNNNNNNNNNNNNNNNNNNNNNNNNNNNNNNNNNNNNNNNNNNNNNNNNNNNNNNNNNNNNNNNNNNNNNNNNNNNNNNNNNNNNNNNNNNNNNNNNNNNNNNNNNNNNNNNNNNNNNNNNNNNNNNNNNNNNNNNNNNNNNNNNNNNNNNNNNNNNNNNNNNNNNNNNNNNNNNNNNNNNNNNNNNNNNNNNNNNNNNNNNNNNNNNNNNNNNNNNNNNNNNNNNNNNNNNNNNNNNNNNNNNNNNNNNNNNNNNNNNNNNNNNNNNNNNNNNNNNNNNNNNNNNNNNNNNNNNNNNNNNNNNNNNNNNNNNNNNNNNNNNNNNNNNNNNNNNNNNNNNNNNNNNNNNNNNNNNNNNNNNNNNNNNNNNNNNNNNNNNNNNNNNNNNNNNNNNNNNNNNNNNNNNNNNNNNNNNNNNNNNNNNNNNNNNNNNNNNNNNNNNNNNNNNNNNNNNNNNNNNNNNNNNNNNNNNNNNNNNNNNNNNNNNNNNNNNNNNNNNNNNNNNNNNNNNNNNNNNNNNNNNNNNNNNNNNNNNNNNNNNNNNNNNNNNNNNNNNNNNNNNNNNNNNNNNNNNNNNNNNNNNNNNNNNNNNNNNNNNNNNNNNNNNNNNNNNNNNNNNNNNNNNNNNNNNNNNNNNNNNNNNNNNNNNNNNNNNNNNNNNNNNNNNNNNNNNNNNNNNNNNNNNNNNNNNNNNNNNNNNNNNNNNNNNNNNNNNNNNNNNNNNNNNNNNNNNNNNNNNNNNNNNNNNNNNNNNNNNNNNNNNNNNNNNNNNNNNNNNNNNNNNNNNNNNNNNNNNNNNNNNNNNNNNNNNNNNNNNNNNNNNNNNNNNNNNNNNNNNNNNNNNNNNNNNNNNNNNNNNNNNNNNNNNNNNNNNNNNNNNNNNNNNNNNNNNNNNNNNNNNNNNNNNNNNNNNNNNNNNNNNNNNNNNNNNNNNNNNNNNNNNNNNNNNNNNNNNNNNNNNNNNNNNNNNNNNNNNNNNNNNNNNNNNNNNNNNNNNNNNNNNNNNNNNNNNNNNNNNNNNNNNNNNNNNNNNNNNNNNNNNNNNNNNNNNNNNNNNNNNNNNNNNNNNNNNNNNNNNNNNNNNNNNNNNNNNNNNNNNNNNNNNNNNNNNNNNNNNNNNNNNNNNNNNNNNNNNNNNNNNNNNNNNNNNNNNNNNNNNNNNNNNNNNNNNNNNNNNNNNNNNNNNNNNNNNNNNNNNNNNNNNNNNNNNNNNNNNNNNNNNNNNNNNNNNNNNNNNNNNNNNNNNNNNNNNNNNNNNNNNNNNNNNNNNNNNNNNNNNNNNNNNNNNNNNNNNNNNNNNNNNNNNNNNNNNNNNNNNNNNNNNNNNNNNNNNNNNNNNNNNNNNNNNNNNNNNNNNNNNNNNNNNNNNNNNNNNNNNNNNNNNNNNNNNNNNNNNNNNNNNNNNNNNNNNNNNNNNNNNNNNNNNNNNNNNNNNNNNNNNNNNNNNNNNNNNNNNNNNNNNNNNNNNNNNNNNNNNNNNNNNNNNNNNNNNNNNNNNNNNNNNNNNNNNNNNNNNNNNNNNNNNNNNNNNNNNNNNNNNNNNNNNNNNNNNNNNNNNNNNNNNNNNNNNNNNNNNNNNNNNNNNNNNNNNNNNNNNNNNNNNNNNNNNNNNNNNNNNNNNNNNNNNNNNNNNNNNNNNNNNNNNNNNNNNNNNNNNNNNNNNNNNNNNNNNNNNNNNNNNNNNNNNNNNNNNNNNNNNNNNNNNNNNNNNNNNNNNNNNNNNNNNNNNNNNNNNNNNNNNNNNNNNNNNNNNNNNNNNNNNNNNNNNNNNNNNNNNNNNNNNNNNNNNNNNNNNNNNNNNNNNNNNNNNNNNNNNNNNNNNNNNNNNNNNNNNNNNNNNNNNNNNNNNNNNNNNNNNNNNNNNNNNNNNNNNNNNNNNNNNNNNNNNNNNNNNNNNNNNNNNNNNNNNNNNNNNNNNNNNNNNNNNNNNNNNNNNNNNNNNNNNNNNNNNNNNNNNNNNNNNNNNNNNNNNNNNNNNNNNNNNNNNNNNNNNNNNNNNNNNNNNNNNNNNNNNNNNNNNNNNNNNNNNNNNNNNNNNNNNNNNNNNNNNNNNNNNNNNNNNNNNNNNNNNNNNNNNNNNNNNNNNNNNNNNNNNNNNNNNNNNNNNNNNNNNNNNNNNNNNNNNNNNNNNNNNNNNNNNNNNNNNNNNNNNNNNNNNNNNNNNNNNNNNNNNNNNNNNNNNNNNNNNNNNNNNNNNNNNNNNNNNNNNNNNNNNNNNNNNNNNNNNNNNNNNNNNNNNNNNNNNNNNNNNNNNNNNNNNNNNNNNNNNNNNNNNNNNNNNNNNNNNNNNNNNNNNNNNNNNNNNNNNNNNNNNNNNNNNNNNNNNNNNNNNNNNNNNNNNNNNNNNNNNNNNNNNNNNNNNNNNNNNNNNNNNNNNNNNNNNNNNNNNNNNNNNNNNNNNNNNNNNNNNNNNNNNNNNNNNNNNNNNNNNNNNNNNNNNNNNNNNNNNNNNNNNNNNNNNNNNNNNNNNNNNNNNNNNNNNNNNNNNNNNNNNNNNNNNNNNNNNNNNNNNNNNNNNNNNNNNNNNNNNNNNNNNNNNNNNNNNNNNNNNNNNNNNNNNNNNNNNNNNNNNNNNNNNNNNNNNNNNNNNNNNNNNNNNNNNNNNNNNNNNNNNNNNNNNNNNNNNNNNNNNNNNNNNNNNNNNNNNNNNNNNNNNNNNNNNNNNNNNNNNNNNNNNNNNNNNNNNNNNNNNNNNNNNNNNNNNNNNNNNNNNNNNNNNNNNNNNNNNNNNNNNNNNNNNNNNNNNNNNNNNNNNNNNNNNNNNNNNNNNNNNNNNNNNNNNNNNNNNNNNNNNNNNNNNNNNNNNNNNNNNNNNNNNNNNNNNNNNNNNNNNNNNNNNNNNNNNNNNNNNNNNNNNNNNNNNNNNNNNNNNNNNNNNNNNNNNNNNNNNNNNNNNNNNNNNNNNNNNNNNNNNNNNNNNNNNNNNNNNNNNNNNNNNNNNNNNNNNNNNNNNNNNNNNNNNNNNNNNNNNNNNNNNNNNNNNNNNNNNNNNNNNNNNNNNNNNNNNNNNNNNNNNNNNNNNNNNNNNNNNNNNNNNNNNNNNNNNNNNNNNNNNNNNNNNNNNNNNNNNNNNNNNNNNNNNNNNNNNNNNNNNNNNNNNNNNNNNNNNNNNNNNNNNNNNNNNNNNNNNNNNNNNNNNNNNNNNNNNNNNNNNNNNNNNNNNNNNNNNNNNNNNNNNNNNNNNNNNNNNNNNNNNNNNNNNNNNNNNNNNNNNNNNNNNNNNNNNNNNNNNNNNNNNNNNNNNNNNNNNNNNNNNNNNNNNNNNNNNNNNNNNNNNNNNNNNNNNNNNNNNNNNNNNNNNNNNNNNNNNNNNNNNNNNNNNNNNNNNNNNNNNNNNNNNNNNNNNNNNNNNNNNNNNNNNNNNNNNNNNNNNNNNNNNNNNNNNNNNNNNNNNNNNNNNNNNNNNNNNNNNNNNNNNNNNNNNNNNNNNNNNNNNNNNNNNNNNNNNNNNNNNNNNNNNNNNNNNNNNNNNNNNNNNNNNNNNNNNNNNNNNNNNNNNNNNNNNNNNNNNNNNNNNNNNNNNNNNNNNNNNNNNNNNNNNNNNNNNNNNNNNNNNNNNNNNNNNNNNNNNNNNNNNNNNNNNNNNNNNNNNNNNNNNNNNNNNNNNNNNNNNNNNNNNNNNNNNNNNNNNNNNNNNNNNNNNNNNNNNNNNNNNNNNNNNNNNNNNNNNNNNNNNNNNNNNNNNNNNNNNNNNNNNNNNNNNNNNNNNNNNNNNNNNNNNNNNNNNNNNNNNNNNNNNNNNNNNNNNNNNNNNNNNNNNNNNNNNNNNNNNNNNNNNNNNNNNNNNNNNNNNNNNNNNNNNNNNNNNNNNNNNNNNNNNNNNNNNNNNNNNNNNNNNNNNNNNNNNNNNNNNNNNNNNNNNNNNNNNNNNNNNNNNNNNNNNNNNNNNNNNNNNNNNNNNNNNNNNNNNNNNNNNNNNNNNNNNNNNNNNNNNNNNNNNNNNNNNNNNNNNNNNNNNNNNNNNNNNNNNNNNNNNNNNNNNNNNNNNNNNNNNNNNNNNNNNNNNNNNNNNNNNNNNNNNNNNNNNNNNNNNNNNNNNNNNNNNNNNNNNNNNNNNNNNNNNNNNNNNNNNNNNNNNNNNNNNNNNNNNNNNNNNNNNNNNNNNNNNNNNNNNNNNNNNNNNNNNNNNNNNNNNNNNNNNNNNNNNNNNNNNNNNNNNNNNNNNNNNNNNNNNNNNNNNNNNNNNNNNNNNNNNNNNNNNNNNNNNNNNNNNNNNNNNNNNNNNNNNNNNNNNNNNNNNNNNNNNNNNNNNNNNNNNNNNNNNNNNNNNNNNNNNNNNNNNNNNNNNNNNNNNNNNNNNNNNNNNNNNNNNNNNNNNNNNNNNNNNNNNNNNNNNNNNNNNNNNNNNNNNNNNNNNNNNNNNNNNNNNNNNNNNNNNNNNNNNNNNNNNNNNNNNNNNNNNNNNNNNNNNNNNNNNNNNNNNNNNNNNNNNNNNNNNNNNNNNNNNNNNNNNNNNNNNNNNNNNNNNNNNNNNNNNNNNNNNNNNNNNNNNNNNNNNNNNNNNNNNNNNNNNNNNNNNNNNNNNNNNNNNNNNNNNNNNNNNNNNNNNNNNNNNNNNNNNNNNNNNNNNNNNNNNNNNNNNNNNNNNNNNNNNNNNNNNNNNNNNNNNNNNNNNNNNNNNNNNNNNNNNNNNNNNNNNNNNNNNNNNNNNNNNNNNNNNNNNNNNNNNNNNNNNNNNNNNNNNNNNNNNNNNNNNNNNNNNNNNNNNNNNNNNNNNNNNNNNNNNNNNNNNNNNNNNNNNNNNNNNNNNNNNNNNNNNNNNNNNNNNNNNNNNNNNNNNNNNNNNNNNNNNNNNNNNNNNNNNNNNNNNNNNNNNNNNNNNNNNNNNNNNNNNNNNNNNNNNNNNNNNNNNNNNNNNNNNNNNNNNNNNNNNNNNNNNNNNNNNNNNNNNNNNNNNNNNNNNNNNNNNNNNNNNNNNNNNNNNNNNNNNNNNNNNNNNNNNNNNNNNNNNNNNNNNNNNNNNNNNNNNNNNNNNNNNNNNNNNNNNNNNNNNNNNNNNNNNNNNNNNNNNNNNNNNNNNNNNNNNNNNNNNNNNNNNNNNNNNNNNNNNNNNNNNNNNNNNNNNNNNNNNNNNNNNNNNNNNNNNNNNNNNNNNNNNNNNNNNNNNNNNNNNNNNNNNNNNNNNNNNNNNNNNNNNNNNNNNNNNNNNNNNNNNNNNNNNNNNNNNNNNNNNNNNNNNNNNNNNNNNNNNNNNNNNNNNNNNNNNNNNNNNNNNNNNNNNNNNNNNNNNNNNNNNNNNNNNNNNNNNNNNNNNNNNNNNNNNNNNNNNNNNNNNNNNNNNNNNNNNNNNNNNNNNNNNNNNNNNNNNNNNNNNNNNNNNNNNNNNNNNNNNNNNNNNNNNNNNNNNNNNNNNNNNNNNNNNNNNNNNNNNNNNNNNNNNNNNNNNNNNNNNNNNNNNNNNNNNNNNNNNNNNNNNNNNNNNNNNNNNNNNNNNNNNNNNNNNNNNNNNNNNNNNNNNNNNNNNNNNNNNNNNNNNNNNNNNNNNNNNNNNNNNNNNNNNNNNNNNNNNNNNNNNNNNNNNNNNNNNNNNNNNNNNNNNNNNNNNNNNNNNNNNNNNNNNNNNNNNNNNNNNNNNNNNNNNNNNNNNNNNNNNNNNNNNNNNNNNNNNNNNNNNNNNNNNNNNNNNNNNNNNNNNNNNNNNNNNNNNNNNNNNNNNNNNNNNNNNNNNNNNNNNNNNNNNNNNNNNNNNNNNNNNNNNNNNNNNNNNNNNNNNNNNNNNNNNNNNNNNNNNNNNNNNNNNNNNNNNNNNNNNNNNNNNNNNNNNNNNNNNNNNNNNNNNNNNNNNNNNNNNNNNNNNNNNNNNNNNNNNNNNNNNNNNNNNNNNNNNNNNNNNNNNNNNNNNNNNNNNNNNNNNNNNNNNNNNNNNNNNNNNNNNNNNNNNNNNNNNNNNNNNNNNNNNNNNNNNNNNNNNNNNNNNNNNNNNNNNNNNNNNNNNNNNNNNNNNNNNNNNNNNNNNNNNNNNNNNNNNNNNNNNNNNNNNNNNNNNNNNNNNNNNNNNNNNNNNNNNNNNNNNNNNNNNNNNNNNNNNNNNNNNNNNNNNNNNNNNNNNNNNNNNGGCUGGUUGAUCAAACGAGUGUCUUGAAUAUUGAAAGUGUAAAUGAUGUUCCUGGGCCACAUACACCAGGCAUGCGACCCCUAGUUCCUCGUCUGAAGAGAAUUCUAGAGGACGUUCCUAAGUUUGAGGAUAAGAAUGGUUGUUCCUUCCUAAACUCUAGCAAAAGAGUGAAACCACUACAGGACCCAGCUUCCUUGAUAAAAAAUCAUGAGGAAAUAUCUAAUUCAACAAGCAAGUUUGAAUGGCUUGACCCUGCCCAAAUCAGGGAUGCCAAUAGGAGAAGGCCCAAUGAUCCUCUCUAUGACAAAAAGACGCUGUACUUACCACCUGAUGCAUUGAAGAAAAUGUCAGCUUCUCAAAAGCAAUACUGGACUGUCAAAUCUCAGUACAUGGAUGUUCUACUUUUCUUUAAAGUGGUUAGUAGUAUUGCUGCAGUUUCUGAUACUUUUGAAGUUGCUGAAACUUUUUGACAUCAUAAGGUUACAUUAAAGCAUGACCCAGCUAUUCAUUCUAUUUUUUCUGAAAAGUUUCUGUUUUCUUUGCUAAACGGUUGGACAUGCAAUAAGCAUCAUCAGCAAGCAGUUCAUUCUUAUUUUUCUGAAAAAUUUCUGUUUCCUUGCUAAAUGGUUGGACUUGCAAUAAACAUCAUCAGCAACCAAUUCAAUUCAAAAGAAUGAUGUAAUGCUAAUCAUGCAUCGUUUUCUUCUUAAAUUUCUGCUUUCUCAUUAAUAGUGGAGCAUAUACCACGUGUAUCUUGGCUGUAUGAUCCAAUAGGGAAAAAGAGGUAUUGCCACUGCAAAACUAACAUCAUGCAGCCAAUGUUGGCAUGCGGUGCUUGAACUGUAACUUGUAUUUUAACUCUCUCUCUCUCUCUCUCACACACACACACACACACAUUUCUGUUAACUGAGAUUUAUAUUUACAAAUUUAUUAAUGUGUGUCAUGGUGGAAAGUUAGAACUUUCUUCUAGUGACUUCUGAAGUUUUGGGUAAUGAUUUAAUGCUAAUCAUGCAUCAUUUUCUUCUGAAAUUUCUGCUUUCUCAUUAAUAGUGGAUGUGCAUCUUGGCUGUAUGAUCCAAUAGGAAAAAAGAGGCAUUGCCACCGCAAUCAUGCAGCCAAUGUUGGCAUGCGGUGCUUGAACUGUAACUUGUAUUUUAACUCUCUCUCUCUCUCUCUCACUCACUCACUCAUUCACACACACACAUUUCUGUUGACUGAGAUUUAUAUUUACAAAUUUAUUAAUGUGUGUCAUGGUUGAAAAUUAGAACUUUCUUUUAGUGUCUUCUGAAGUUUUGGGUUCUUAAAUCAGACCAAUAUGUUUAUGUGACUGAUGAAACACAGGGAAAAUUCUAUGAGCUCUAUGAACUGGAUGCUGAAAUUGGUCACAAAGAGCUUGAUUGGAAAAUGACAUUAAGCGGUGUGGGGAAAUGUCGGCAGGUGACUUCAAAGAUAAAUUUGUCUAAUUUAAAAGCCAAUUUUAAUUGCUACAAUUACAGUUCUAUGCAUAUGUGUUUUAUUUAACAGCAUCUGCCUUGUGAUCAGGUUGGUAUAUCUGAAAGUGGGAUUGACGAUGCUGUUGAAAAGCUGGUAGCUCGUGGGUAGGGGAGCAGCAGACCUUGUCUCUGAACCAUAAUUUCCUUUUUUCUCAUUGUUAUGUCAUGCCUUCAAGAUGAAUGAAAGAUUUCAUUGUUACUAGUUUUAUAUCUCUAUUUAUGUAGUUAAUAUUAUUCUUAAAUUGUAAGAAGCCAGCAUGUAGACCAGACUGGCCAUCUGUCAUGGAAAUUUUUUUAUUUCCUUCAUUUCUUCCUGUAUCUAAGAAGCACAAUGAAAAGAAAAGCAUUUUUCAACUUGCAUUAUGCAUCGUUUAUGCUAAUCAUAUAUUGGCUGAAGAUAUGAAACAAGAUCUUUCACUCAAAUCGUAGUAGUUAGCUGAGAUUUAGCCAAUCCCAUGUUCUCUUUCCACAUUUGUCCGGAACAUUUGCAGUUCACUUAUUGCUUUUGUGCUCUUUGUCAAGAUAUAAAGUUGGAAGAGUGGAGCAAUUGGAAACAUCUGAUCAAGCAAAAUCUAGGGGUGCAAAUUCUGUGAGUUUUCCGUGCAGCUUUAAAGGAGACAUGUUUCUGAUAGAUUUUUGUUUUUCAAUUAUUCUUGUUGAUUCAACCAUUCAGACAGAUAUGACAUCUCUUAUAGAUUAUGUUCUCAACACCAUGCAUCAUUUGUGGUUUUCAUUAAUUCAAUGAAACUGAAAUAGUAAAUCAAUGCCAUGAUGUGGGUAACUAUCUGAGUUCCUUGUUUUAUCAUUGAUGUUGAAUUUCAGGUAAUCCAAAGAAAAUUGGUACAAGUUGUCACCCCAUCAACCACAACUGGACAUAAUAUGGGGCCUGAUGCUGUUCACCUUCUUGCCAUAAAAGAGGUUUGUAAUGAUUACCUUCUUACAGUUUUCUGCUGCAGCAACAUUUUUCGUGUUGAACUCUCUCAAAUUGUUGCAAUUUGCCCAUCUUCAAUUUCAAAAUAUUGCUAAAAUAAUCUUGUGCGAGCUUAUUCUGUGAUCGCAUCAUUUAACUGGAGGACAAUUUUUUUGUUAAAAACUCACAUUUUCCUGAUAUCAGGCUAUUAUUGAUAAAUCAUGAGUUAGAAGAGCGAAUUGCUGAAUUGUUAUGAUGCAAUUUUUCUUCUUUAUCACUACUUAAAAUGAACAGUCUGUUUAAAAUGUUUUGAUUACUUUGUGUCCACGUAGUAUGUUAGAUAUGCAGUUGACUUUAUUAUUUUCUACCAUUUCUUGUUCUUAUAAACUUGCCCAGCUUGGAGAAUUAGAAAUUUGGUUUCAUUUGUUAUUCUAUUCAUUUAAAUGGUCCUUGUUAUUUAUGCAUUUCUUGAAAGUUUAUUGUGCUAUCCUAUCUGGUUAUUCCUUUGGGUGAUAACUUUAGGGAAACUAUGGGGUGGAUAAUGGUGCAACUGCUUAUGGGUUUGCUUUUGUUGAUUGUGCUGCUCUACGAGUUUGGGUUGGAUCAAUCAAUGAUGAUGCGUCACAUGCUGCUUUGGGGGCAUUAUUGAUGCAAGUAUGCUCCUUUAUCUUUCUUGUUUGUUUCAUUAUUCUGUGUGCUCUCAAGUACUUAACCUUUGAAUAUCUUACUGUGAUUUGAUUAUAGAUUUCACCUAAGGAAGUCAUAUAUGAAAAUAGAGGUACAUGCCUUUUCUUGUUUUUGUUCUCUUGCUCUUGGAUUGUUUUUUUGUUUUUUUGCCUAGCUUAAAGCUUGAGGAUUUCUAUGUUGCAGAGCUUUCCAGAGGCGCUCAGAAAGAACUUAGGAAGUACUCAUUAAUAGGUAAGUUUAUACCGACCUUUUUCAUAUGACAAGAUAUAUCAUAUACAUUUAAGAUUAAGGAUUGCACUUGCAAAUAUAUUAACUGGUAUUUCUUGAUAAGAAGGGAAGACUUUGUACACCUGCCUUGGAUGAGCACAUGCCUUCUGAACUUUCCAUUUGCCAGAAUGUAUUUUGUUAUUUUGCACAUAUUUUUUUCCUAGAUUAGCUUGAUCUUCCUUCUUAUCUUUCCUUAUUUCCUGUGUCAUUAUUGUCUUUUCACUAUAAUUUGUUUGUAAAAAUCUUCUAGAAAAUGAAAGACAGUUGUCUGGACCAACUUGAAACUUGCUGGAUAUUUGUUGGAUGUAUAAAAUAUGCUCGAUGAUUAGUAUGUGAUUUGUUUAGUCUUUGUAGCCUUGUGUAAAGAUAGUAACUCAUGUCCUAUUUUUUAGUAAUUUCAGAUUUAGCUAUUUUAUACUCUGUGCACUUUCUCUAUGCAUGAAGGCCUUUAGGCAGUCUUACUAGAUAACAAGUUGCAUUUAUGUAUUUUGAUGGGAUGCUGUUCCUGCAUGCAUAUUAUUAUCUUGGGUGUUUUGCUCAAAUCAAUGUGAAUUCCUUUGCUGCAACUUCUCCAGCAAGGUUAUGAAUAAAUCUUUGACAGUCUCCUUUGUUUGCUUUGAUGCACAAGUUAGUUGAUCAAUGUGAGGUCCAACUGUGGUAGCCAGCUAACAUACUCCUGGUUGGUGAACGUAGUCUAACCAUACUCCAAUUAUACAUCUCAUGACUUAUUUUAAAUUUACAUGUCUCCUUUCUAAAGUGAUUCCUGUUUAAUAAUUUGCCACCUUCAUUAUUGAUCUCUUAAAUAAGUCUUUCUACAUUUGGUNNNNNNNNNNNNNNNNNNNNNNNNNNNNNNNNNNNNNNNNNNNNNNNNNNNNNNNNNNNNNNNNNNNNNNNNNNNNNNNNNNNNNNNNNNNNNNNNNNNNCUGCCAUCCACUGAAACAUGUUGAGGCAUUAAUAAUAGGCUUGAUGUAAUUGAAAAUCUAAUGGCUCGUUCAGAAAUUAUGUUAGUUAUUGCUCAAUAUCUUCGCAAGCUUCCAGAUUUAGAAAGAAUGCUUGGACGAGUUAAGGUUAGCUUUCAGGCAUCAGGUUCUCUUGCACUGCCCUUGAUUAGCAAAAAAAUGUUGAAACAACGAGUAAGUUGUCUUAUUUGAUUUCAAAUCUUUACUUGUAAAAAUCUCUUUGAGUGCACAUGUACGAUGAUUUUCAUAGGGUGUCACAAUUCAGCAAGUCUCUAGUUAGUCCUGAACCUUCUACUGAAGUGGCAGUAAGUGUUGUGUAGGUGAAAGUGUUCGGGUCUCUGGUGAAAGGGCUUCGGAAUGGAAUGGAUUUGUUAUUGCUAUUACUGAAGGAAGAGCAACUAAUUUCAUCAUUAUCAAAAAAUUUUAAACUUCCAGAGCUUCUUGGUAGUAAUGGGCUUGAAAAAUUCCUUGUGCAAUUUGAAGCAGCUGUAGAUAGUGAAUUCCCAAACUACCAGGUCUGCUUCUUUCUGGUUUAUGUUUUGGAUAUAUCAACCAAUGUUUUUCCCUUUCUCCCCAUUUGGAUCCUUGUGUUUCUAAUUGAGAUGAUGCAGAUGUAUUCUUUUGUAUGAAAUUAUAUUAAUUAUUAUAUACUAAUUUAUUUAUUCGAGGCUACUAUUAAAAUUAUAGUUAUGCAUGUGUACAUGUAAUGUGGUGUGUAGCUGCUGCUGCUUUCUUUUUCACAGUUCAACAUUCGGUCUUGAUUUCUUCCCCCCUCAGAUUAUUACGUUCUGCAGUAAUAAAGGACUUUUGGCAUCCUUGAUAACUGAGCAUGCAUCUCUGUGGAAUUCUGUAUUUCUCUGUUAGAAAAUGUCUCUCUCUUUGUCUCUCUCUCACACCACACACACCACACAUUGGCUUAUAUUGACUGUUUAACAAUAUGGCCAUUCCUUUUUGGAACAUCUGUACUUUCUUGUUAGUGUUUAUUUUCUUUAUGUGGGUGAUGAUAUUGCAUUCUGUUUUUAUGCCUACUUUUGCACAUUACUAAUACUGUAUUUGGUAUCAGAAUCGUGAUGUGACAGAUUCAGAGGCUGGAAUGCUUUCUGUGCUGAUUGAGUUAUUUAUUGAGAAAGCUGCACAGUGGGGUGAAGUCAUUCAUGCAAUCAAUUGUAUUGAUGUGCUUAGAUCUUUCGCAGUCACAGCAAGCAUGUCAUGUGGAGCUAUGUGUAGACCUGUUAUUUUGCCUGAUUCAAAAUCCAUUUCUUUCUGUGAGGGGGAAGGGGGGCCUGUACUUAAGAUUAAAGGGUUAUGGCACCCAUUUGCCCUUGGAGAGAAUGGAUUGCCUGUCCCAAAUGAUGUGUUCCUUGGUGAGGAUUCAGAUAGCCAACAUCCCCGCACUGUGUUGCUGACUGGACCAAAUAUGGGUGGAAAAUCAACACUUCUGCGUGCCACAUGUCUAGCUGUUAUACUAGCACAGGUUUGACUUUAGACCUAGCUUGAAAAAAUUACUUCUGUGCCUCCUACAUCCCUAGAAAAUUCAUUUCUUUGGCAUAUUUUAACAUAUAGUUUUUAAUUCUAUGGCAAUUUCGCAGCUUGGUUGUUUCGUUCCCGGUGAGAAGUGUGUUCUCUCACUUGCUGACAUAAUUUUUACACGGCUUGGUGCCACUGAUCGAAUAAUGACAGGCGAGAGUAAGUUGUAGCAAGAUAACAGUUUACUGGUUUCACUUGGAAGUUUGCUUCUCUUUAUGUGAUCUAAAUUCACUUUCUUGAUGUAAAUUUAUAUUUUUUAGUUUAUGCACUUUUGUGGUCCAAAUCAUGAUUAUCAUGUUGCAAGAAUAAAUUCUGGUAAGUGUUGACUGUUUUAUUUGAAAUCCUGCUUUUCAUCUGAAGGUCAUAAAUGGCUUCUUGAUGGUAAAAUACAGUGUUAUGGAUUUGUUUAGUGUUUUUUUUUAAAAAAAUUAAAAUUGUUUAAAUCUAUGUCAUAGUUGGCUUGCUCUAAAUUUCUCCUCGAUUUAAGUUAUUAGAAAGGAUUCAUAAUGCCUAUAAAUACAGCAGUGGUGAAUCUAAGGUUGAUAGAGUUUUGUGCAGUGGUUGUUUUACUCUGGUUGUAAUUCUACUAUAGAUUUGAUGUAAAUGGUUGUGUUCUAAUGGAUCUUGUCCAUCUAAAUCUUCAAAAUCUCUUCAAGGCAAUUUAAAAUAGGAUAUAUCAUAUGAUUUCAAAAAUGCUUAAAGUAAAAGAAAGGAAACCGUUGUGGAAUGUAAAGGUACCCACAUACUAACUUGGCCUAUAAUCCCGGAUGUCUCACUCUCACUUCUGGACCCCAGAGUCCUUUAAAUGUUGAAAGUGAGGAUUAUGCAAAUAGAUGUGACCCAACCACAUGCAUUAAUGAGUGUUCGCUUAUGUGCUUCUUAAUUCCGGAGUUUGAUAAUAGAAACGAGCUUGUCAUUUUCUAGGUACAUUCUUCAUUGAGUGCACAGAAACAGCUUCGGUGCUUCAAAAUGCCACUCAAGAUUCCCUUGUCCUUCUUGAUGAACUGGGUCGAGGAACAAGCACUUAUGAUGGAUACGCCAUUGCAUAUGCUGUGAGAUUUCUUUUUAUUGAUCUAUUAUUCCUUGAUUUACCUGCCCUUUUUAUUCCAUUACUAAGAACUCGUAUUCUAUAUCUAACUCCUUAAGGAUAUAAAUUAUUAUUUCUCAUCUCUAUGGAUGUUCGCAUCCUUGGUUCUAGUCAAGUUAUACUUUUCUAGGUUAUCCACUUGAGAUAGGUAGGUAACUGGUACAUAAUAAUGCAAAUAUAUUUCUUGCAUAUUGGAGCCUUUUUUGGUCAUUAUGGUCAUAGAUUUGUGUGUUUUGGCCUUAGACAAACUUGUGUUGCAUGUACAACUCUAGUUUCUAUACACAUCGACAUGUGCUGAUACAAAUAAUUUGUAACGUUAGAAAUGUUGUGGCUAGGAAAUGCUGUCUUCUGCAUCCACCCACUUGGACACCUACCUCACUUUUUGGGUGACCGAAAAAGUCUUCCUCUAUUCUAUGAACUGAGAGAUCUAUUUGAAGACAUCAGUUUAUUGAUUUAAUUCACAAGGUUUCUAUUUAAAAGAGAAUACAAGACAUUAGAACCAAAUCAAAUCAUAUAUCCUAAUUAGAAGUGAUCUUUAAUUUAAGGAGUUGAUUAAUACCAAAUUUAUUUUUUAAUUUAUAAACAACCAAAUAUAGAAUUUUCUAUUUUACAACAUUCCUCCUGAAGCUAGCCUGAAGAUAUUUUCCAUUAUUAGCUUGCUGAUUAAUUAGUUAAAUUUUUGUGAAGUUCCUUUGUAAGUAUAUUAGCAACUNNNNNNNNNNNNNNNNNNNNNNNNNNNNNNNNNNNNNNNNNNNNNNNNNNNNNNNNNNNNNNNNNNNNNNNNNNNNNNNNNNNNNNNNNNNNNNNNNNNNUGGAUUAUGAGCAUUGAGAUAGUUGUCUUAUUGUUAUAAUAUACCUUUGUGGGUGAGGAGUUAAGAAUCUUCUAGUCUUGUAAAAGCCUUUUAAUCCACACAACUUCACAAAUCCUAUGUGCAAUUGCUCUCGAUUCACCACCUUAGUUUUAGCAGGUUGGAACUUCAAAUCUUUGAUCUUAAAAUCUUCAACAAGUUUAGUCUUUCCAUCUCGAAAUUGUUAUCACUUAUCAAGAUUAUGUCAUCUACAUAAAUAAUCAAGAUAGCAAUUUUACCUUCUUUGAAUGUUUAUAGAACAUGGUACGUCUGCUUGACUUAGACAUUAACUAUGACGUCUUACAACCUUUCCAAAGUGUUCAAACCAUCAGUAGGAGUUUGUUUAAGGCCAUAUAAAGAUUUUUUUAGUCUGUAGGCUUUAUGUUAGUCAAUUCUCUCUUCAUACCCAAGUGGUAUGUCUAUAAAGACUUUCUCUUCCAAGUCUUUAUUUAGAAAAAUAUUUUUAACAUUCAAUUGAUGUAAGGGACAACUAAAGUUCAUCGGUGAAGAUAACACCUGAAUUGAGUUUAUUUUGGCUUAGGUUGAACAAAUGUAUCAUGAUAGUCAAUGUAUGUUUGUGUGAAGUGUUUUGCCACUAGCCUUACCUUGUGCCUUUCUAUGCUCCCAUCAGCUUUGCAUUUAAUUGUAAACACUAAAUUGCACCCUACUUUCUUCAUUUGCCUUGGCAAGUCAACUACUCAAAGUGCUAUUUUUGUUUAGAGCAUUCAUUUCUUCCAUAACCACUAACUUUCAAUUCGGAUUGUCUAGAGCAUUCAUUGGCAAGUCAACUACCUCUAAGAAGUUUUUAGAAUAAACAAUUGAGAUAUCAUAAAGGUAAAACUUUAUGAUUAUUAGAAAGUUUUUGGUAAGAAAAAUAUUUAGUAAUAGGAUAACUGGUACAGGAUUAGACACCUUUUCUAGUAGCUAUAGGAAUGUCUAGGUCUAUAAGCUCAUUAUUAAAAGGAACAAUAGAAGUAAGAAUACAUGGAAUAUUCUCAGGACCAUCUCUCAGAGAAUUUGGUUGAUCUUGUGUUGGGAUGAUAUGCAAGUCUUUACCUUUCGUAUGAGUUCUUAUAGUAUAAACUUGAAGCUCAGUAUAUGGAUAAGUUUGAUCCUUUUGUAAUACUUCCCCUGUUUGCAAUACACUUGCACAUAACAAUGAUUGACUAGUUUUUCCAUUUAUUUCAAUAUCAUGAACAUCCUUUCCUGAGAUUGUGAUGCUGAGAAAAUCGUAUUGUUCAUAAUUGUAAUAGGCAAUUGAACAUAUAUGUUUAAAAAACCAUCAUCUUUUCUUUUUUUCUCCCCUGAAGAUGAUUUUUGGUAAAAUAAGGUUGAUUUUCUAUAAAAGAAACAUCCAUACGUACAUGAAUUUUCAUAGUUUAAGGAUUAUAAGAUUUGCAGUCAUUUUUGUUUGAGGCAUAUCAGAUGAAAACAUAUUUGUCAGCUUUAGGAUCAAGUUUAGAUUGGAAUUUACUUAGUAUGUGACAAAGAUUGCAACUAAAAACUUUUAUUAAUCAAAUAAGAUGUCGUCAAACCAGCUUUAUCACAUAAGUAUUUUGGAAUAUUCACGAGCUACUUCAAGUAAAUGUUUGUUUUUUCUCUCAACAAUUUCAUUUUGCUUAAGAGUGUCACGACAUGUAGACCGAUGUUGAAUCCUUUUUGCUUUCAAAAAAUUUCCCAAAUAAAUAAAGUAUGAUAAUUCUUGUCUGAUAUUGGUUUUCUAUCAUUUGAUUUAUAUCUUUAAACAAUGUUACUACCUCAAAUUUUUCACUCAUCAAAUAAACCUAAUAUAAUCUUGUGUGAUAAUCUAUGAAUGUAACAAAUCAUUUUUUUUCUAGAUACAAUAGUGAAUUUUGAAGGAUCUCACACAUCACUAUGAAUUAAAUAAAAAGAUUAUGAAGCAUGUAGGGUUUUGAAAUAUACGGAACACGGUGAUUUUUUGAUAAAUGACAACUUUCACAUUGAAAAGAUAAACAAUCCAAAUGUUUAAACAACUCAGGAACUAAAUGUUUAAGAUUAGAGAAAACUACGAUGUCCUAGUUCUCUUUCAGCAAUAAAUAAUGUCAAAGCAUUAUUUGUUCACAAACAAACAUUGAAUUUAUACUAUUAAAGCCUUGAGAUUUUUUUUUUUAUUAUUAUUGAAGUUGUUAUCAAGGUAGUAAAAACCGUCUAUCAUCCUAGCACUACCAAUCACAUUCCUUGAGUUCUGGUCUUGAAAUAUACAGAUAGAAUAAUAAAAAAUAACAUGAAAAUUACAAUCCUUGGUUAGUUUAGGAACAUGGAGGACAAAUUUAAGAAUUAUGCUCUAAAAAAUUAUUAUUAACCUUUUUCUUGUAAUAGAUGAGAAAUUAUCAUCUGUAAUUUUGAUUUUCUCAUUAUCAGGAUAUGAUGAAUAGUUUGUAAAUGGAUGAGAAUGACUAGUCAUAUGAUCGGCUGAAUCAAUAAUCCAAGAAGCAGAAUCUGAACAACAAGAUAUAAGGCACAAGAUGGCUAUUUAUUUUAGCCAAGGAAACACUAGGAAUACUAGAUGAUGAUUGGAAUGUAACAAUUGUAGAAUUUGGUAUAUCUACUCUACUAAAAAGGCUUUUCUCAACUUUAUUUAUGGAGGAACCACACGUUGGGUUCAUCACCAGGUCUGCUACUUUUCCAAAUAGAUGGCUUUCCAUGGAGCUUCCAACAAGUUUUGUUGUGUAUGAUGUGGCUUGUAACAAUAGUCACACAUGUGAGAUUUUUAAUCCACCUAACAGUGAUUUGCAAUAAUCCUACUCACAUUUGCAUUAGCAUAGCCAAUGUAGAGUUCUCAAUAGGACUUCCAGUUGCUUGUUUUCCAAGCAUGACUCCUCAUGACUCUCCUAUUUUUUUAGCUUUUGAAAAUACCUUGCUAAUUGGAGUUAUGAGUUUGUUACCUAUUAUUCUCCCUUUUAACUUCAUCAAACUCAACAUCGAGUCCAGCGAGGAAUUCGUAAAUUUGAAAGUCCUUCGUUUUCUUGCAGUGGUUGUAGUCAUAUGUAGAUUUCCAUUUAUAAUCAUUGAAAAAGUUAAGGUCUUUCCACAAUUGUCUUAGUGUGUUGAAGUAUUUGGUGACAUUGUUUUCUCCUUGCCGGAUAUCACCAAGUUUCAAAGUCAAGUCAUAUACCUGGGAUUGAUUACCCAGAUCAGAAUACAUCUGGUAAACAUUAUCCCAAAGUUUCUCUGUUGUUGAAUAACACAUAGUUGGAGUUGAUAUCUUCAUCCAUGGAGUUCACAAGCCACGUCAUAACAUGGAGUUUUUAGCAUCCUAGGUAGCAUAUGUUGGAUCCUUCCUUGUUGGUUGUUUUUACUGGUCAAAUAACCUAUUCCCUCUUGCCUCUAAAUAUACAUGCGCACAAAUUGAGACCAAUGCAAGUUAUCACCAUUAAGACAGAUGGUGGUGAUUUGGACUAAGUGUGGCUUGUUAUUGGAGGCUUGGGUAGCAACGGGUUUUGUUUCAGACAUGAUGAACAAAAACAAAGCAAUAUUAAAAUGAAUAAUACUUUGUAAAGUGGUGAAAAUUAAAAGCAACACAUCUUUUAGUGUUUUGUUAAUAAUCCAAAUACUUGUAGUUAUGUGACUAGUUGCACGCUGUGAUAAUUAAAGUAUGUUGUGAUUGUAGUGUUGUGUGGUAUAUUUGAAAUAGUUUCAACUUUUUUAUGGAAGUGUAAUGUUAACAGCCUAAUAUACAAUCUUCUAUUUUACGACACUAUUACCUGUAAUAAUAUCAAGCUUCAUAUAUCUGUUGUGUUUCAAAACUUUAUUCGCCUAUUAUAAUUGAAGUUGUUUCGUUAGCAAAUUAUACUGCUUCUGAUCAUUCAUGCAGGUAUUCCGCCAUCUUGUUGAGAAGAUAAACUGUCGAUUGCUUUUUGCAACACACUAUCACCCGCUCACAAAAGAAUUUGCUUCUCAUCCACAUGUUUCAUUACAAUACAUGGCUUGUGCAUUCAAGUCAAAACCUGAAAGCUAUUCUAAAAGCGACCGGGACCUUGUCUUCUUGUACCGGCUUGCAUCUGGAGCAUGCCCAGGGAGCUACGGAUUGCAAGUGGCAACUAUGGCUGGCAUUCCUGAGCAUGUUGUUGAAGCUGCUUCACAUGCUGGUCAACUGAUGAAAAAUUCAACUGGAGAAAGUUUCAAGUCAAGUGAGCGCAGGUCUGAGUUCUCAACUCUCCAUGAAGAGUGGUUGAAGACCCUAGUAAAUGUCUCACGAAUCAGAGAUUGUAAUUUUGAUGAUGAUGAUGUUUAUGACACAUUGUUUUGCUUGUGGCAUGAGUUGAAGAGCUCGUAUGAAUCUUGUAGCUCGAAGAGUAGAUAGAAUCUGCAUAAUGUAUUGUAGGAAUCCUAAUCUGAAGAUGAUUUUUUUCCCCAUAAUAGUUAUCAUGUUCUGAAAUGACAGGGAAGAGCAGUAUACCUUGUAUUUGGUGUUCAUCGGUUGCUUUUGUUUCCAGUUUCCCUCCUGUUAUACAAAGCACGAACUGGUAUAUUUUCUCCCCAUUGAUUUUGUCUUGAAUUUGACCUUCAAAAGUCGGUCUAUCGGAAGUCUGGUGAGCUUAUCAAGCUAUUAACCGUUACCUUGAUGCUUGAAUAGGCUCUCAGUUCUCUUCAACACAUUGAUUGAUGUUGCACGCAUGCAGGCUUCCUCGAUGAAAGGUUGGGAUAAUUCCUGUUAUCGUGGCGAAUGUUCGGAAAUCUAUUUAAAAUCCUUUCUACAUAUAUUUCUUAUAAUUUUUUGUCAAAAUUGUCCUUAGCUAAAACUCAUUUUCCUUGUUUGUGCAUUUCUUUUUCUUUUUCUUCACAAGGACAUAUCUUCUUCAUUCAUAACAUGUUUUUUUUUAAUAAAAACUUAUGAAAAGCAAGUUUUAAUAAUUAAAACAAUUACAUCCGAAUAAUUUUUAUGCGAUUGUAUGAAAAAACAAAGGAAUAAAUUAAUUAAAUUAAAUUCUAUAAAAAAAUUCACAAUUAAAAAAUAAAUAUUUUAUUUUCAUUGAGAUUUUCUUUGUUAAAGAAAUAUCAUUAUUAAGUUUCUAUAUAAUUAUUCAUAAAGUAAUUGCUAACAUUAUUGUAAAAUGCCAUAAUUGUAUAUGAAAAGUAUUAUAUAAUCAUUUGAUUUUUAAAAUAUCAUUUUAAUUAUUUUAUUUGGAAAAUGAAAUAUUUUAGAAUAUAAAAAAUAUAACCAUUAAAUAAAAAAUAAAAUUGAGAAAGAGACAAGAGAGCCAAUUACGAAUGCUUUUUGACUAGCAUUGUAAAUAGAUAAUGUGAACCAAAAACCUAUUAGUGGGAAAGAGCACUUUCCAACCAAUUCUCAAAAGAUAUCAAUUUAUAUUAAAUUCAAACCUUAUACUCUUAAAAACAAUAGAGUAGCGGUCACAUUCCUAUUAACAUAACAUAGGGAAUUACAAGUGUAACAAAAGAUAUAAGUCGAAACUAGUUGGGAUUGAAAACCAAGCAAACAUGCCUUAUCUGUUUUCUAUAUAUAUUUUUUUUUUGGUUAAAUCAAGACAUGCCUGGUCUUGAAAAGCUAGGAUCACAUGCAUAGAUUUGUUUUUAAAAAUGUGGAUAACAUGAUAUUCACUUGCGUAGACAACGUGGCAAAGUUUAAGAUUUUUAUUUUAAAAACUUAAUUUUCAAUUUAUUUUCCCUUAAAAAUAUUAAAAACACAUCAAAGAAAACUCUAUAAAUAUUUUCAAUCCAAAAACAUACUCUAAUUAGUCUAAAAGUUCAAAUCAAAUCAAAUUAAAACAUAUUGUAUGUAUGAACUAUAUAUAUAUAUAUAUAUAUAUAUAUAUAUAUAUAUAUAUAUAUAUAUAUAUAUAUAUAUAUAUUCCUGUGGUAUGAUAUAAGGAUCAAACUAUCUUCAUUGUACAUAAUUUUUCAAGAUGAUUUCAAUGACAUCAAGAUUGAUGUUUUUAUUUUAUGGCAGAUUGAAUUUUCUUCUCUCAUUCCCUCUAAAUUUGAUACAAAUGAAGUUGCAUGCAUGACCGAAACCUGAAAUCUGAGAACUACAAAAUAUCAAAGUGUAAAAAAGCACUCCCAAUAAACAACGCAAUGAAUAAUGAACAAUAUAAACGCUCCAGAUCUUUUAAUUAAUUAUUAUUUUUUGUUAAUUAUUAAUCAUUAAUACGCUAUAGAGAUCUUCAACACCCCGGUAGAAGGGGUAGAGACAGCGGGGUUCUGUUGGGGUUUGGUAAUUGCCAUUGAUUCGGCCACCAUUCACAAAUUCCUGACAUUUUGGCCUUCCUUCCACGAUUAUUUGCUAGUAGUUGCUCCUCUUUUUUCUCCUAUCCCAUUUUGGCUGGAUAUCAUCAGCACUUCAUUUGUUAUCUGUUUCUGGCGGACACUCCGAAGCUUACGAGCAAGGUGUUGAGACAUUGAUCACCAUGAUGUCUGACCCUAAACAUGUUUAACGUAUAAAUUAUGUCUACUGUAUUGAUUGUGAAUUUGAAUUUGUUGCACUCUAGAACAGUCCGCUGGAGAAGAACCUGAAGAUUCUAGACCUUCUACAGAUUCUGUGAUUUUACUUAUCCAUGGGUACAUGGAUUACUCUGAUCCAGGAACUAAUCAUAGCGCAUGGUAAGCAAUGAGAGCAAUUCCUCUUUAGAGAACAACAUGAAGGGUUCUGGUAACUAUACCAUGAAUCUAUUUGUCAAACUUGGUGAAGCAUUUAGGAAAACAAGAGAUGAGAAACCUCACAAUUUUCUCUCUUCAGAAAAGUUUUACUUUGUCUGAGGAGCUUGAUUUCUCACCAAUCAACUGUAUCAUUUGUUUUAACUUGGUGAUAUUUGCAAUGGUAGAUGACUUGCAUGAAAAGAUUGGGGAAUUAUUCAGGAGUCCUAGAAUCUCGCUAGACAAAUUUAAAGUUGAUUAAUGAUUUAUUAUCUAAAAACUGGGUUGUCGCAAAUCACAAGCCGUCUAAUUGUCUGGUCACCAACGAUAAUCCAUAAGAAUCAUUAACGAGAAAUCUUUUAAAUCCCUAUUUAGAAGAUAAAGAUAGCUAUGCUUAGAGUACUAGCUCUUUAUUCCGUGACUUAAGUAGUUUUUCAGUUUGACAGACAACCACUAAAAUAAAAAGUGUAGCUUACUAUUUAUAAGAAAAUCUGAAAACCCUAUAAAUUGACAAAAUAUCAAUUUGUCCCUUGAAUAAUAUCCAUAUAUUUAUUCAGGAUAAUUUUAAAAAUUAACUUAAUCAAGUCCUUACUUGAUUUUUCUAAGUCAAGAAAUAUAAUCCUUGAAUUAAUUAUAUUAUAGUCCUUUAUUUUUAAAAUAUAUUUUUAAUCAAGUCAUACUUAAUUAAAUUAUCCUAGUUUAAUUUCUGAUUAAUAGUUCUUAAUGUGUGUGACCCAUUAGGUUCAUAAUAUAGUGACUCAAAUACAAAUUAUAAUUAUAAUUAAAUAGAAUUAAAUAAAAUAAACAAUUUAAUUCAUUCACAAUUCAACAAUUGAUUAAUCUAUAUUUGAAGUUCAGGUGCAUCGUCUAAUAACGUGUCAUGAUCCCCAAAAUAUUAGAAAAGUCAUUAGUGGUUUGACUUAACUUUUUAAUGACAGGUUUCCUAGUGUAAUUAAUAUUCUUUCAUCAAUAAUGUUUCGAUUUAACAUUAAAGCAUGUAGUAUGUCUGUUAUGCUAAAUCUUUUUUGUUCUUUACAUAAUAGUCAUUGAUGGUUUGAAUAGGAUUCAAAACUCUUUUUAAAUCUCAUUCCAUAUUAGCAAAGGAUUUCUCAAUCAAUACUAUUUGAGAAAAAAAUGGAAUAUUUUUUUCUAAUUCACCUAAGGUGAUGAAUCCUCUCUUGAUCACUCAAGUACCUUCAUAUAGUUCAUGCUAUACCCAAUACCUGCUCUUUUUGUUACUUUGAUUAAGUAAUUAAGAGUGAUUCAUCAUCUUAAAUGAAUUAAAAUUAUUAUUUUUUUAUUUAUUCUUAAAUAGUGUUGAUUGUGAAAUCUUUGGCUAAGAUGGAAUGAGUUUUGAGAAGAUUUUCUAAAGUUUAUUUAAAUAAUCAAUGACUAUAAUGUUAAGAAUUAACAUGAUUUAACAAAACAGAUAUAUUUUAUGUUAUUAUACUUUAUACUAAAAGAGAUAGAUUUGAACACUGAAUGUUUGAUUUGACCCAAAGUGGGUAAUCUUAGGUUUAGGGGUAGGAAGGUCUUUUAAUGGGAUCUAUUAGUAAUUACAUUAAAGAAGAGAGUUAAUUAGUAUUUUCACAUUUUUUCCAUAGUGUAAUUACUAAAUGACCCUUAGAAAAAAAAAUUCCUUGGUUUCAGGGGCUUUUCAGGUUUUUCAUCUUUUUUUGUACAACUCAAUCACUUAAAUGCCCUUAAAAAAUAAUUUUCCUCAAAAAUAUUAUUUUUAUAAUUUUCAUGUGGGUUUAGGGGUAAUUGGAUCUUUUAAUAUAUAUAACUUAUUACUUUAAUUCAUGGUUGGUGCCUGCUAGACACUCGUUAGCAAGUGGGUGUCAUUUAUGCCAUUCAAAUGGCGCAUGCAGCGUCGAAACAACACUAAACAAAGCCUUUCAGGGUAGUGUUCAAUGCGCCUUACCGCCCCUACCACAUUGGUGAGGAGCGUGUUCGCAUCUGGCAUGCAGCAGAGGUCCGACCAUAAGUUUUUCCUUCCCUCUCUCUUUCCUCUCUUCCCUCCUAGAAAAACAUGUUGACUAUUGCAAAAAAAACAAAAAAAACAAAAAAAAGUUAGGCUUUUUGUUUGUUAUGUUAAAUUAGGUCUUUAUUUUUUUUUAUUGUAAUAUAUUUGAUCUCGAAUCAUUUAUUGAGUUAAUUUUGUUUUUCAAUUUCAUCAUUUGACACUUGAUUUUUAUAUCAGAUUUGAUCCUCAUUUUUUUAAUUACAAUGUAUUUGGUCUUUAAUUAAUCAUUUAUUGAGUUAAUUUUCUCUUCAAUUUCAUCCCUUUAUAUUUGAUUUUUAUAUUAGAUUUUGUCCUCAUUCUUUUAAUUGUGAUGUUUUUGGUCUUGAAUCCUUUAUUGAAUUAGAUUUGGUCAUCCCUUUUAAUUACAUCAUUUGACAUUUGAUUUUUAUAUUAGAUAUGAUCCUUAUUUGUUUUAUUGUUAUUUUUAGUUGUUUUUAUCAUUUUCUUAAUUGAAAUUGUUUUUCAAUUUCAUCCCUUAUAAUUUGGUUUUAUUUUCGUUUUGUGUCAAAUUUGGUUAUCUUUAGGGAACCUAAUGAGUCACACAUAUAAAAAUCAUUGGUCAGAAAUUAAAAUGGAAUGAUUAAUCAAUUGUGACUUGAUUACAAAUAAAUUUUAGAAAUUAAGAACUAGAAUAUAAUUAAUACAUGAGAUUACAACUGUAGACCUAGAAAAAAUCAAGCUGGGACUUGAUUAAAUAAAUUUUUAAAAUAAUCCUAAAAUAAUAUAUGUGAUAUUAUUUAUGGGGUAAAUUGAUAUUUUGUUAUUUAUAAAAUUUUUCAGGUUUCCUUAUAAAUAAAAUGUUAUGCCUCUUAUUUCUUAAGGUGAGAAGAGUAUAAUAUAUAAACAACUAAAACAUAAAAGAAAAAAGCUAGCACUCUAAGUUAUAACAAUCUUUCUCUUUUAAAAGGGUUUAGAAGAUUUUUCACUGGUGAUUUGUGUAGAUUAUUAUUAAAGGUUGAACAUUUGAACGACUUGUGGUUUGCGACAACUCGUCCUUGAAGUAAAUAUUUAAAGUUGAAAAGAACAUUUAAUCUUCAGACAAUCUUUGCAUAAACCCUAAAAAAUUUAUAUCUAUUUAAUACGAUUCUUGUAACUCCUAAGAAAUUUUAAAUCUAUUAUUUUUGUUGUGUAUAGGCAUUUCAAUAAACCCAACACCAUCAUAUAUCCAUAGCAUAAAUGUAAAAAAACUCUUAGUUGCACAAUCGUAUUUGAUGACUUGAGGAACCUGCCAUUUCUACACACUUCUAUGUCUGUUGAAUGUAUGGAUUGAGUAAAAAUGAAGGGAAGAAAGAGAAGAUUUUAUAGAUGAGAAAUUAAAAAUGCAAUCAUACCACCUAUAUGUAGGCCAGCUGGAGUCUCACUCUCUCUCUCUCUCUCUCUCUAUUCAUUUAUUUAUUUAACAUGUGUAUGUACAAGUAGUUGUGAUUGUGGCUCACAUCUUCCUUUAGUUUUACAUCCAAGAACGGCUAAAAUGCCUUCUAUGGGUCGAUGAUAAGCUUCCCAUCCAGUUUUCUUAAAAACUAGCAAACAAGGUCUUUUUUAGUCAGAUUCCCAAGACUAUGUUGAGCAUGUUCCUUAUGAAAAUGAGGCCAUAAAUCAUGAAUUGCACGAUGCACAUAUUGAUUAAGGUACGUCCCAAGAGUAAAUAAAAGAUUAUCUAAGGACUCUUUAUGUUUUGAAAUAAAUCCUAACUUUUAACAAUUUUCUUAGGUUUUGCAGAAUACAUGUGUGUCUUUGAACAUGGUGGGCCAAUAGAAUCCAUAUUGUAAGAUUUUUGCAGUUGUUUUUUUGACGAGAAAUGACUCCCACAUGCCUCAGAAUGACAAAGUCUUAAUGACACUACUUACCUCAUUGUCCGAAAUGCAUCUUUGAAAUAUUUGAUCAGGACAAUAUUUGAAUAAGUAAAGGUCAUCCCAAUAAAAGUUCUUCACUUCGUUCAAAAACUUUCCUUUGUCUUUGGUACUCUAGUGAGCUGGCAAAAAUCCUAAAGCAAGAAAAUUGAUAUUUUUAGUAAACCAAGGCAUUGAACUAAGAGAAAGUAAAGAUUCAUCAGGAAAGUAAUCAUCGAUUGGUGUGGUGUCAGAUCUCGAAUCUAUUGUCAAUCUUGACAAAAGAUCCAUAUCAACAUUUUCGGUGCCUUUCUUGUCCUUGAUUUCUUCCUGAGAAUAAAUCAUUUACAAUUCUUCAGAUUCAUUAAAUUCAGUUUUACUCAAGGUAGAUUUAAAUUGAUCAUAAACUAAUUCUUCAAUAAGAUCUACUUCCUGUAAAUCAUUAUCAUCUACAGGUUGCUUGCAAAUGUUGAAAAUAUUCAUCUUUAAUGUCAUGUUUCCAAAUGAUAGCUUUAUCAAUCCAUUCCUACAAUUAAUCAAUGCAUUAGAAGUUGUAAGAAACAGACGUCCUAAAAUAAUUAGAAUUGAAUUACAUGCUUCAACAUGUCGUGUAUCCAAGACAAUAAAAUCCACAAGAUAAAUGAAUUUAUCAACUUGUACUAACACAUCUUCAACUAUUCCUCUAGGCACUUUUACAGAUCUAUCAGUAAGUAAAAGAGUUAAAGAAGUUGGUUUUAACUCACCUAGAUUAAGACUUUAAAAAACCGAAUAUGGAAGUAGAUUCACACUAGCUCCAAGAUCAAGUAAAGCUCUUUCAAUUUUAUAUUCUCCAAUAAAGUAAGAAAUCGUAGGACAACCAGGGUCUUUAUAUUUCAAAGCAUUAUUGUUAUGAAGAAUGACACUUACUUGUUCCGCUAAAAAGGCUUUUUUUUUUUACAUUCAGUUUUCUCUUCACGGUGGACAAGUCUUUCAAAAAUUUAGGAUAAGAAGGUACAUGUUUAAUAGCAUCCAUCAAAGGUAUAUUGAUCCUUACCUGUUUGAAAGUUUCAAAGAUUUCAGAAUUGUGAUUGACUUUCCUUUGUUUGGUCAUGGCAUGAGGAAAUGGAAGUGCUGGUGGGGAAUUAGUCUUUUCUUUAUAAUGUUUAGGUUCAAUCCCUUCCUUACCCUCAGAGACUAACUCAUCUUCUUUCUCACAAGGUUCAAGAAUGGGUUUUUCAAUAAUCUUACCACUGCGGAAAGUAAUGACUGAUUUGACUUGAUUCAUGUGUUGGCUUCCAGAACUACUUGUAUUUGCAUUGUAUUACCCCUUUGGAUUUUGUUGUGGUUGAGAUGGAAACUUACCUUUCUCUUAAAAACUAAGAGCAGAUGUGAACUUUGCAAGAGUAUCUUUAAAAUCUGUCAUGCUUUGAGCAAGUUGAGUGUUGAUUCUUUCUUGCUUUUCAAUGAAUGCAUGCAAUGUUUCCUCAAUAUUUCUUCUAGGAGGUGGAGCAUAAGGAGGUGCAUAUCCAUGAGAAUUUUAGAAAUUAUGGUGUGCUUGAAAUGGUGGUUGUGAAGUUUGUGCAUUAUUGUUAUCACACAAUGUCUUGAACAGAUUUUAAUUGACCACUCCUUUUCAAUUCUAGUACCUCGACUUUUCUAGCUAAAGAUGCAAAUUUGGCUUGGAGGUCAUGAUCUUCUCUAAGGUUGUACAUACCUCCACUAGAUGUAUGAAGUUGAGUUUUACCUAGUGCCUUAUAAGUAGCUGUAGUGUUCCAAUUUUGAGCAUUUUCAGCUACUAAGUCUAGAUACUCCAUUGCUUCAUCAGGGUAUUUAUCAACAAAAGUUCCAUUGCACAUCAAUUCCACCAUUUGUCUAUUUUUAGGUGUUAAUCCUUCAUAAAAAUAUGAAACAAAUCUCUAUGUUUCAAAACCAUGAUGAGGGCAAGUAUUAAGCAAGUCUCAAUACCUAUCCCAACAUUGAUAAAAUGUUUCUCCUGGUUUUUAAGUGAAAGUGGUGAUUUGUCUUUUGAAAGAGUUUGUGCAAGCACGAAUGGAUUCUGGUCUCAAAUUUUGUAGCCAUGUUUUAGCUUGAUCUUUUAAAGAAAAAUAAAAAAGCUUUAAUCUGAUGGUGUUCAUGCUACAAUUUAAGUCAUUAUAGGUGUUACAGACUUCUUUAAAUUCUCUUAAAUGCAAGUAUGGAUUUGCUAGAUCUAAACCAUGAAAAGUAGAUAAAAGUUGAAUAAUGUCUGGCUUAAAAUUAAAGUGAGAUGCAUCAGGAGGUAAAACUAUACAUGAGGGUGCACUUGUUCUUGUAGGAUUCAUGUGGUCUCUAAGUGUUCUAACUCGAUUAUUCUCAUUAUAAAGCGACUGGUUAUCUUCUUCGGUCAUAUUUUCUGAAAAUGAUGAGGAUACCCUACAAAGUCUACCACUUAAUGUACGUGACCAAACUCUCAUGCACGUGUAGGAAGAGAAUAAAAUGGAAGAAAAGAAAAGAAAAACAAAAGAAACAAAACAAAACAAAACAAAACAAACAAAAGUUAGAUAAAAGGAAAGAAAAGAAAAGACAAUAAAAUAAAAUAUAUAAUUUAUACAGUAAUUUACCUUCCCCUGCAAGGGCGCCAAAAACUUGACACGACCAAAAGAUUGAUGUCUUCUCCCAAGUGUAGGAGUGUCGAAGUAAUAAAUAACCCGGCAAAACCGGGGUCGAACCACAGGGAGGUUAACUAUAUAAAUUAUAAAUAAUAAUAAUGAUGAUGAUGAUGAUGAUGAUGAUGAGGACUUUGAGAUGUAAGAUUAAUGUGAAGAUUAAACAAUGAUAAAAACAACUGUCAAGAUUAGAGGAUCCACUAAUGGUAUUUCAAAUAAGUAUAAUAUAAACUCUUUUUAUUACUCAACUGGAAACCACACACAAAGGAGGUUCCAAUAGGAUGAUUUAUCAUUAAUAGCUCAUUAUAAAUUAUUAACAUGAUCAUAUUAAUUAUCUUAUUUAAGUAACACCAAACUUUUAAAUAUUGUCAGGAAUUCAUGAUGCUAACUUAUGUUAACAACAAAUCAAGUUCCUUUCAUAGCACAGGUGUAGGUUAUAUCAUAUGGUUGGCUAUGAAAGUGCCAAACAUUUGUUGUACCAAGUGUUAACAACUCAAAUUUAGAUUAACCAUUUAACAAGCAAGGUAUUAAGAAUUAAUAAGAUAAAAAUGAUAAGACAUGUUAAUAACAAGUUGUUUAGGAUAUAAUCAUUGAAGUCCAUAUUGAGUUUAUAUUAUACUUAUACUAACACCAUUAGUGAAACCUUUUCACAUUGACAUAAUAAACUUAGCUAAACAUAAUGACGAAGAGAAACAUAAAUAAACAAUAGGAGAACAUGAUUACAUAAGUAUAGUAAAGGAAAUGAAAUGUAUAAACAAGAGAUUAAUGAAAGCAAAACUUAAGCAUUACAAAAAUAUAAAGAAAGAGAGCAAGAACAUGAUCUUGAUCUGAAAACCAAGAUGCCUAAAUGCAUGGAAAAUACCUCCUUUUAUAGGCCAAAAUUCAGAACUAUUAAUUUGAUGACUAAUUGUUGAGUGGGUGGCCACAUCUUGACUUGGUGACAAUCCUUAUCUUCUUGUCUGAACAAAGCGUCAUUGCUAACAUCAGAAUUUGAACAGAUAUUCCUCAUGAAAGUUCUGGGAUAUUUUCUCAGCUUUCCAACAAAACAAGAAUCGGCGCAUUUGGACUUCUAAAACUCGAGAUAUGGGCUGAACACUGAACAGUGUCUGGGUUGCAGGACAGAUUCCGACUUCUCCAUUGUUGCUACCAUUUGAACUUGAAAAUGACAUUUUUAAAUCUUGGCCUCCUCAUGAAAGUUUUAGGCCUAUGUCUUAGCUUUCCAUACAUAUAAACCAGAACUAAAUCCAAGUUCUACAGCUCCAAUUAUGAUCCAAUAACCGAAUGGUGUUCCAGUUUGGACUGAACCAGCAUCUCUUUUCUAAGCUUAGCUCUCUCUUUGUCUUCUCAAUUUCAGUAGUUAAACUCAUCAAUCAAUCAUUUGAUUUAUGUGAUAUGCCUGUAUUUAAUAUGAACAUUUACCAUAAAUUAAAGGUAUCUUAUAUUAUUAGACGUGUUAUUAUAAAACAUGCUCUCGUUAAGAAGUUAUUGAUACUUCAAGUGCAAAAUGAUGAUAUAAAACCUUGAUAAAAAUGUACUUUUAAGUACUAAUCAAUCCUCUCUAAAAAGUUAGUAUCAACAUGACUCUAAAUUAGGUUAUAUACCUUUUACCUUUCAAGUUUUUUUUGCAUAUUUUAUUGUUGUCAUAUUCUUUAUCCUCNNNNNNNNNNNNNNNNNNNNNNNNNNNNNNNNNNNNNNNNNNNNNNNNNNNNNNNNNNNNNNNNNNNNNNNNNNNNNNNNNNNNNNNNNNNNNNNNNNNNCAUUGUUUUUUUAUUUAGUUUUAGCCACUAUAUGUAAAAAUAAUUAAAGGUGCUAUUAUUAUUUUGAGUCAUUUAAAUUUUUGUUUUUAUUAGUUUCUUAGUCUUCAUAGUUUUUACUUCGUAUCUGUGUAUUAAUCAUAUGUCACAAGAAUUAUUAUUGAUAUUUAUGAUUUUGUAUUCGUAGUUUUUGUGUUGAUAGUUUUCAGUCUCUAUUACUUCUUGAGUCUUUAUGUUAUUUGAUUGUGCUAUUAAGAUAUUAUUCUUUGAUUUGUUAUGAACUAUUUCUUUAAUGAAAUGAGAUGUUGAAAAUUGAGUAGUAAAAUGCGAAGGUGAUCAUAAUAGAUUAAAAAGCAAAAAAUUUAUGUGAAACACGAGAAAAGUGAUAUCUAUUAAGUGCAAACACAUGAGGAAUUAUGUGUGUCUAUGUGUAUUGCUACUAACUUAAUUUUUAGCUCUUGGCGAUGUCAACUAAGAAUUGAUCACCACCUCCAAAGAUAGGAAUAAUCCUAAAUAGGGUUGGUUAUAUGGCUAUACAACAACAAUUAAAGUUGAUAAAUUCAAGGCUUGGUGAAGUAAUAGUGAGAUGGUUGGUUUGAGAACCGAAGAGGCUAAUCUUUGAGAUGGGCUAGACUGUAGUGGUUUGAAAGGAAGAAAGUUUGGGAGAUAUUAAAAAUUCAUCUCUAGAAGAUUCUAAGCCAAAAAUAAAAAUAAGAAGGCCAAAAACUUUAAUGAUAACUAUAGUGAUAUAUUUCAGCCACAUAAAAACCAAAGGCCUAUGGGAGUUCAGGCACUUGAAAAAUUUAGCCAUAGAAGGGUAGAUAGAGAGAAUGGAUUUCGAGAUAGUUUGGAUAGAGAUUUAGGCGGUACUAAGAUGAAGAUUUUGGUUUUUCAAAACAAAAAUAAUUUGAAAGCUUAUUUGGAGUGGGAAAAGAAAGUGAAAUUGAUUUUUUACCAUCACCAUUACUAUGAGGUAAAGAAAAUAAAACUUAUUAGUAUUGAGUUUAUUGAGUAUGUUAUUAUUUGGUGGGAUCAACUUGUCUUAGGAAGGAGGGGGAAUGAAGAGAGACUUAUAGAUACUUGAGAUGAGAUGAAAGCAGUCAUGAGAAAACGGUUUGAUCCUAGUCAUUAUUAUAAGAAACUAUAUCCAAGAUUGCAGAGUUUGUCUCAGGGUUCUAGAAGUGUGGAGGAUUGACACAAAGAAUUGAAGAUUGUCAAUGACAAAGUUCUUGAAUUGAUUGAAUAGAGAUAUAACUAAUAUGGUUGAGUUGCAACACUAUAUUAAGUUUGAUGAUAUUGUUCAUAUGGCUAUCAAAAUAGAGAUACGGUUGAAUAGAAAGGACAAUACAUGUUAAGGAGGUAAUUUGGGUAUCUUUUCAGCUUGUAAGACAAAUUAAAGGAGAGAGGGGGCUGCCACAUCAAAGCUGAAUAUUAUGGGUAACAAAAUUGAAUCAUCUAAGGCUUGGAGGAAAGAUUUUGCCACUAAAAUAAAAGAUAAAGUCGAGUUCCCAUCUAAUCAUAAUUAUGAUAUUAAGUGUUUCAUGUGUUUAGGGAGUGGAUAUAUAACUUUAUAAAAUGCAAACAAAAAGAUUAUGGUUAUGAGGGAGUAUGAGGUUAUUAAAUCUAAAAGUGAUAAAUUCAAAGAGGAUGAGAUGCCACCACUUGAGGAUUAUAGUGACGAUGAGCAUCCAGUUGAUGGAGAGGCUUUAGUGAAUAGAGAACACUUAAUGUUGAGAUUAAGAAGAAUGAUGUAAAGUAAACAAAGGGAGAACAUAUUCCAUACUAGAUAUCAUAUAAAUAAUAAGCUAUGUAGUAUGAUUAUUGAUAAUGAAAGUUGUGCUAAUGUUGCUAGUACUAUACCUGUUAGAAAAUUGAAAUCUGAACACUAUUCAACAUGAAAAGCCUUAUAUACUUCAAUGGUUGAAUGAUUGUGGAGAAGUGAGAGUUAUUAAGCAAGUUUUGGUUUAGGAUGAGGUGUUAGUGUGAUGUUAAGCCUAUGCAUGCUACUCAUUAUUGGUUAAGAGGCAUUGAUAAUUUGAUAGGAAAGUCAAACAUGAUGGGUAUAAGAACAUGUAUUCUCUUAAGAAGGAUGAAAAAACAUUCACACUUAUAACAUUAUCCUUGAGAGAAGCAUAUGAAGACCAAUUGAAAUUGAAAGGAGAAAGCAAAGCUAAAAAAAAAGAUCAACCAUACGAGAUAUGAGGAAGAGUGAAAAUAAAGUGAAUCAAGAAAGAAGAAGGUUAAAAUUAGCCAAAAUGGGAAUUAAUGGGAUUCGAUCAAGAGAGGAGACAAUAAAGGAAGGUGGAGAAAAAAAAUGUAUGGGAAAAUAUAGAAACAUAAUUUUUAUGCAAAAAGGAGUCAGAUUAAGAAUGAUUAUUUUUCUGACAUGUUUAUGAUUUUAUAGGUAUGUUUAUUGUGGUUUAUUUUUAUUUAUAGAAAGAAUUUAGAGGAGAAUUUUGAACAUUUAAGGAAUGUAUUGGUUGUUUUGUGAAAGGAAUGUUUACAUGCUAAUCUAAAAAAAGUUUGACUUUUACAUGAAAAAGAUAGUAUUUCUUGGAUAUUAAAUAAAAUAAAAAAGAUUGUAUAUACCUAAUUGUUUUAUGCAUGAAUUGAUAGUUCGUGAAGCUCAUGGGAGCGGAUUAAUAUGACACUUUGAGAUUGCUAAGACUUUAGAUGUUUUGCAUGAGUAUUUUUAUUAGCCUAAGAUGAAAAGAGAUAUGUAAAGAAUUUAUGAUAGAUGCAUAACAAGUAGACAAGCUAAGUCUAAAGUUUUACCUCAUGAUUUAUAUAAUUAUUUGUUAGUGCCUAAGAAACUAUAGGUUAAUAUAUUUAUGGAUUUUGUGCUAGGUUUGCCUAGGUCAAAAAGGGAUAGGAAUUCUAUUUUUGUAGUUAUGGAUAUGUUUUCUAAGAUGACACAUUUCAUAUUUUGUUAUAAAACUGAUGAUGCAACUAAUCUAGUGGAUUUAUUUUUUAGGGAGAUUGUUCGACUCCAUGGGGUACCUAAGAGAAUUGUGUUUGACCAUGAUGUUAAAAAUUUUAGCUACUUUUGGAAAGGUUUGUAGGGGAAAUUAGGAAUAAAGUUGUUAUUUUCUACUAUUUAUCAUUCAUAAACAAAUGGUCAACUGAAAUAGUUAAUAGAAUUUUAACUAUAUUAUUAAGAACUACCAUUCAAAAGAAAUUGAAAAAUUGAGAGGAUUGUAUGUCAUUUAUUGAAUUUGCUUAUGAUAGGAGUGUGUAUUCUACUACUGAUUAUUCUUCUUUUGAAAUUGUAUAUGACUUUAAUCCUUUGACUCUUUGGAUUUGUUUCCUUUACCUAUUGAUGAAAGGGUUAAUCUUGAUGGAAAUAGAAAAAACAUAGGCAAUAAAGGCUCUUAAUGGGAAUGUGAGGCAGAAAAUACAAAAAAAAAAGUUUCGCAUCACAAAAACUAAAAGUGCUAAGAAACUUAUUAAAUUCAUGGAAGAGUAUUCCUAAAUUACUAAUAAGUCACUUAAUGAGACAUUAAUGGAUACUUUGACCACUAUAAAGCUUGAUGGUUCUUGUACCAUGCAUGAACCUAUAAUUGAAAUGAAAAUUGUUACAACAAGACUUAAACACAUGGGAUACAUGUGGAUGAGAAUUUUCUUGUACAAUUUAUCCUUAGUUCAUUACCUCUAGAUUAUUGUCGUUUCUAAAUGAAAUAUGAAGGAUAAAUGGAAGGUGUUUGAACUACACAAUGUACCUAUUAACGAGGAAACAAGACUUAAGAAUCAAAGAACUCAUUUGAUGUGAACUCGAAAGGUAAGAAUCCUGGAACCAACUUAUAAGAUAAAACAAACCCAAGAAGGAUAAAAUUAGAUUUGGUUGAUAAAAUCUUGACUCAAUGAUUACAUAAAUCAAGGCACCAAAACUAUCAGAAUGAAAUCCCUACCCAACGAUUAUAAAGAAUCGCGAACAAGAAGUAUAUGAAAGACAUCGUCAAAAUUGUUUCGCCUUUUACCUUUUGUUCCCAUAUUUUUAGCUCUUUAAGGAAUUGAUUUUAGAGUCUUACUUUGAUACCGAUUGAUGCACACCCGAAGGGUAAGAACCCUGGAACUCAUAUGUAAAAAAGAACAAACUUAUGAAAGAUAUAAUUAGAUUUGGUUGAUAAAAGUUUGACACGAUGAUUACCUAAACCGAGGCAUCUGAAGGUUAGUAGGAGCAAGUUUAUAUAAUUGAUUUUGUAUAUUAACAAUAUAUUGCUUGCAACUAAUGGUCUUGGUUUACUACAUGAGACUAAUAAAUUUCUUUUUAAUAACUUUGAAAUGAAACAUAUAGGAGAGAGACAUUAUGAGUUUGGGAUAGAAAUAUUUCGGGAUAGAUUACAAUAAUUGUUAUAAUUUCUCAGAAGGAAUAUAUCAAUAAAGUUUUAGAGAUAUUGAGAAUGGAUAAAUGCUUAGUAAAUGUCAUUCCAAUUCAAAAGAGAGAUAAACAUAGUCUUAUGUAAUGCCCAAAGAAUGAAUUGGAACGUAAAUAGAUGGAAGAAAUUCCUUUGCAUUAAUUAUUGUUUGUGUAAUGUAUGCUUAGAUUUGUACAAGCUAGACAUCAAUUUUACUGAAGGAAUGCCAGGCAAAUAUCAAAGUAAUCCAUGUUUUGAUCAUUGGAAGGUUGUAAAAAAAGUAUUAAGAUACUUGUAAGGAAUAAAAGAUUACAAGCUCAUUUAUAGAAAAUAUAAUCAUCUUGAGAUGGUUGGAUAUUCAUAUUCGAAUUUUACUGGAUGUGUGGAUACAAUAAAAUCUAUAGUAUGAUAUUUGUUCCUUUUAGUUGGAGAAGAAAUCUCAUGUAAGCUUAAUUUAUGGCAUAUUUUGAUAUCAUAGAUCAAACAAAUAGGUUGCAAAAAAAUAUUGUUGUAAUUCUAUGUUUCCUAUUUUAAAAACAACAAGCAUUGAAAGGGUGCAAAACAUAAUUAAAAUACUAUAUUGUUAAAGAAGAAAACAGAGUGUGGAGUGUCAGUUGAACACAUUAGCACUAAUCUUAUUAUUAUUGAUCCAUUAAUGAAAAGAUGGCCACCAAAAAUAUUUAGAGAUCAUGUUGAAAUAAUAAGUAUUAUUGGAUAACAUUAUUGAUAUUAUGUCAUGAUUUUAUGAUGAUUAUAUCCUUGAUAAUCUAAGGUCAUUUAUAUAUUUUUUUAAUUUUUUUUCUAUUUGGUAUAUAUGAUUAAAUUAGUAUAAUGGUGACAUGAAUUUUCUCUUAUAAAUAUAUUAUUGUCGAACCAAUUACAUGCUUCUCAUUUAUAUAUUACGAUAAGUGGAGACUAAUAUUGUGUUACAUGAAAAGAAAUGUAUUGUCUAAGCGAUGAUGUCCACCUGCCAUCACUCUUAUUUGUUCUGUUCUGAUGAACCCUCCAAUUAUAUAUAGGUUUUUUUUAGAUCCGGAUUGUGUCAUGACUUAUAUUUAUCCCAUAAGGCUCUGCUGUUAAGAUUAAAGUAUUUUUAUAAAAAGAAAGAAAGAAAACGAAAGAAGAAAAAUUGAAGUAAAAAAAAAACGUAUUUAUAGUUUUGGAAUUAAUCAAAUAAAUCGCUAGCUAUUCCAGCGUAAUUAAUUAUUCCUAUCAACAUCCUCAUCCCUUGAUUGAUCUACGGAACUCAAGAAAUCUUUAAAUUUAUCGGUGGCUGACUCAGGCAAGCAUAUGCACACCACCAUCCUGUCACUGGGAUCCGCCUCCCCUUCCGGCAGGAACACACAUACCUGUGGUGUUGGGGUCAAGUCUAUUGGACCAGCAUAAAUAGGCCUUCCCCAUCCAAAAUCUGCACAUUCAUAUAUUGAGAACCUUGUCCAUUGUGUUAUUGUCAAUUUCCCACCAAAUUCAAGCCUUGUCGGCCUGUCCACUUCCACAUAAUCGAUUGUUGAUCUCAAGUAUUCCUCUGACACCCCAAUCCUAGCAUCGUGAACCAAAUGAGCAGUUUCUGUGAGAUGUCUAGUAAUAAGUUCAUACACAGAGCUUACUGCACAUGCUAGGCAUACCACAUUGCCAUAAAAACCAUCUUUCAAUGGCGGGUUCUUAAGCUUGUUGCGAGCAUUGACUGAAAAAGUAAGCCUAAGCUUAUAGUUCACUGGUUUUACAUCUAGCGCUUUCACCCAUGACCUCCAAACAUGAGCUGCCAAAGCAUCAAAUGUUGUGUAGGAAAACUUCUGAUCAUUUGUUUGAGCUGCUACAGAUUUCAAUUGUGCUUGAAACUCUCGGCUAAUGCGGUAACACUUUUGCACAGGCUUUUCUUGCCAUAGACUCCUUGUUAGGCUUGAGCCUUCUUCUAUUUUCAUAAAUUCCAUAUGCGGGUAUUUAACCACAGGUGGAUUACGAGGCUGGAAGAAUUUCCUGUUCCAACAGGGGUCAGGGUUUGUAACCAAAGUGCCUGACUUCGCCGUCGCAGCCCAUGCACGAAGGAAUUGCAUUGCACCAAGACCAUCACAUAUGCAGUGGCAGAGUCUUAAGCCCAGGCUAAAACCACCACAGCUAAAGAGAGUUACCUGAGCUAUAAGCAAUGGCAUGUCAAGAAUUUUGUAGGGUUCCUCGUUUGGGAACCUGAAAAUCAAUGGGGACCAUGCUGGAUUCGGCACUGUAAGUUCUCCUAGUUUAUCCAAGGCCAUCUCUGAGUAUGCCUCUACCAUGAGUGCGCCUUGUCCUUGUUCAAAAAAUACCUCCAACUUACCAUUCUUGGUUUCUCUAAGCCUGCCUGAUAAAGGGUAGUAAGGAACUAAAACAUGUGACAAAGCAUCGAAUAGAGUUUUCAUGACAGAUUUUCGGGUGGAAUUAUUCAAGAAAUCGAAUCGAUAGAAAUAAAUAGUUGGGGUGAAAACACGAGCUCCAAUGAUGUCGUCAAGGUUAGAGAGGUAGAGGCUAUCACCUGGGGCAGCUGAUAUGGGCCCUGCAGGCGAUACCGGAAGCAGGUGGGCGAUUGUUAUAGGGAUGUUUACAUGAGGAAAAUGGAGCUCUUCAACCCAUGAAGCCAUGAAAAGCUAGGAGCUAGAGAGAGCAAGUAAUCAUGUCUGCUGGCUAGCUAAAUUUGUAGAGGAAAUAAUUUCCUUGGACAUGCAAAGAUGCUUGGCACUUAUGAUCACUGGGAACUUGUUGUUUUGUUGGUCUAGAACAGUUGGCAAGUCAUGUUUUGCACAACUGAUCAAUUUUUACCAUUCAAUCAUGAUGAGAUUUCUCCAUGCCAUAUGCAUGCCUUAAGUUUUGUAGCCUUAUAUAAUUUUAAUCUUUAUUCAUAUAAUAAUAAUAAUAAUAAUAAAACAUUAUAUACUAUGUCUUAAUUUAAGAAAUAAUUUAUGUAACUGCAAACGAAAAGCAGAUCGUGCACCAGGAAUGCGUGAAGGUAAGGUUGUUGAAGUUUAGAAGCCUGUGUACCAAAUCCAACAACCUAAGAAGACGAAAUAAAUUUGAAGGAAAAAGGCUAAUUUGUUGAUCCAGACAAGUUAAUUAUUUGUUGUAUGAUGCUAUCAACAUUUAACCAAUCAUGAUAAGUGAUCUUUUAACAGGUGUUCUAAGGAAAUCUUAGACAAAUCCUAUAAAUAUAUUACACCCUUUAACAAGUUUAUUUAUAAUUCAAUUAUUGUUGUAUGAUGCUAAAAUGAAAAAUCAAGGGUUAUGGAUUGAUUCUUCUAUUGGUUCCCAAGUAUCAUACAUACAUGCAAUGAAAAUAAUAAAACAAAAUUAUUUGGGAAUUCCUAGGAUUUCGUUAAAUAAAUAUAGAAUUGCUUAGAAAUUUAUUACUUGAAGAUCUGAUCUUUUUCGACUUUGAAUAAUUCUUUAAAGGUUGGGUUGUCGCAAACCACAAGUUGUCCAAUUAUCCGGCCUCCAAUAGUAAUUUACACGAACCACUAGUGAAAAAUCUUUCAAAGUGAUAGCUUUCUAUUAUGUGAUUUAUGUAGUUGUCUAUCUAACAGAAAACCACUUAAAAAUAACUUACUAUUUAUUGAGAAAUAUGAAAAACCUUGCAAAAUGGCAAAAUAUCAAUUUGUCAUUUGAAUAAUAUCUAUUUAUUAAUUCAGGAUAAUUUUAGAAAUUCACUCAAUCAAGUCCUUACUUGAUUUUCUAGGUCUAAAAAUAUAAUUCCCGUAUUAAUUAUAUUCUAGUCUUUAAUUUCUAAAAUAUAUUUUAAUCAAGUCAUACUUAAUUAAAUUAUCACAAUUUAAUUUCUGACUAAUAAUUCUUAAUGUGUGUGACCCAUUAGGUUCCUAAUAUGUUGCCUCAAAUAAAAAUUAUAAUUAUAAUUAAAUAAAUUAAACAAUUUCAUUUAUUAUCAUUUAAACAAUUUAUAUUUGAAUAUUAGGUGCAUCGUCUAGUAACGUAUCAUGAUCCUUCAAAUAUUAGAAAAGUCAUUGGUGAUUUGACUUAACAUUUCAGUGACCGGUUUCUCAGUGUAAUUAAUAUCAUUUCAUCAAUAAUAUUUUGAUUUAACAUUAAAGCAUAUAGUACGUCUGACAUGUUAAAUCAUAUUAGUUCUCUACAUAAUAGUCAUCGAUUAUUUAAAUAAGAUUUGGAAUUUUUUUCAAAUCUCAUUUCACAUUGGUCAAGGACUUCUUAGUCAAAACUAUUUGAAAAUAGAUGGAACAUUUUCCUUAAUUCACCAAUGGUGAUGAAUCCUCUUUUGAUCACUCAAAUACCUUCAUAUAGUUCAUGUUAUAUCCAAUGUCUACCCCUUCGUCACCUUGAUUAAGAUAACAUGUAAUAAGAUCAAAGCAUGAAUUUUUUUUAUAUAAGAUAACUUAGUAAUCUCAAGUCUAAAGAUAACUUACACAACCGUCACGUGAGCCUUUUCAUAGACAUAUGUGAUCUCUUCAUAUGAAAUUCUCAUGCGGGUCAGUUCAAUAAACAUGUCUUAUGACAAACACUUAUAUAUUAGUUCUAGGUAUCUUUUAUACCUCAAAUUAUGAAAACAAUUGUUUCCUUUCAUAAAGGAAAGAAUAUAAUAUGUAUCAGUCUCUAUGACUCUAAUAAAUGUCCAAUAUUUAAGAGAGCAUCGAUUAUGAAUAUUUUAGGAACAAUGGUUUGAUGCAAUAGGAGUCUCAUAAUUUUAACAACUUUAUAAUUUUCUUUGCAAAACAUUUUUAUCUCAUGAAUUUUAUCUUUACUCUAAAUUCAUAAAUUAAAUAUUAGAUUAAUUAAUUUAAUAUUAUAUGAAUAUUAAAGAUAAAUUAAAUUUUUAUUAAUAAUAAAUAUAUAUUUACAUGAAUAUAAUAAUAUCUUAUAUAACCAAUCAAUUGGCUACAGGGUAUAUUAAACUAAAAUCUUUCUUAACAAUAAGACUCUUUUUCUUCGAUAAUUGCCACAAAUGAGAACAAAAUAUAGUGGCGUCAAAUUUGUUGCACCGUUAAGUGAAAUGGUAGCUCAUUUCGGAAAGUUCAGAAUAAUCACAAAACAAAACAAGAGGCAUAGAUGUAGUCUUCUCAAUGGAAAUUUAGUGAUCGAACACCAUGGUUUAACAAGGAUAGAAACUAAUCCUACACGUAGAAAAUAUAUAUUUUUCCCAGACCAUGGAAAACAUAUUCAUCCAAGGUUGUAAUGAAAUGUGACAUCCGAGCCCUUUUGGAAAGUAUUUACUAAUCCUAUUCCAAGCAAAACAAUUCGUCUAAGAUAAAGAAGGAAAAACAAAAAAGAUAAAAGUGGAGAAAAUGCUGCAGAGAGGGAGCAAACAUAAAGGAGAUUUUAAAAUGUAACUUCAAUUUCAAGAAGGUAAUACAAAUAAUACCUGCCCCCGUCAGUAUUCAUGAAAAUGAUACAAAGCAAGUUGUUAUAUGAAGGUACGAUAUUUCUAAUGUUAGGUUUCCUUGAAGACAUAUUCGGGGAAAAUAAUAAAUUUUAAUUUUUUUUAGAAUUUCAAGAAUAUUGUUAAAUGAAUUUAGAGUUGUUUAAAAUUUAUAUGAAGAUUACAUGAAGAUAAGAUGUCCCUUUUGACUUUGAGAAAUUAUUUCAAGGCUAGGUUGUUGUUCGGUCAUCAGAACCUUCAAAAUAUAAUCCUAAUUUUAUUAUCACAAACAAAAUAAAUUUGUAGUAUGAUCAUGAAAACUAGGUCGAACCCAAGAAAAAAUUUGUUUAAUCUUCCUACAAGAAACUUAAAUAAAUAAAAUAAAGGGAUUUGAAUAAUUAAAGAAAUGAAAUUCUGAAAAUAAAGUUGAUAUAUUGUUAACUCAGUUCAAAGGGUCCAUACAUUCANNNNNNNNNNNNNNNNNNNNNNNNNNNNNNNNNNNNNNNNNNNNNNNNNNNNNNNNNNNNNNNNNNNNNNNNNNNNNNNNNNNNNNNNNNNNNNNNNNNNNNNNNNNNNNNNNNNNNNNNNNNNNNNNNNNNNNNNNNNNNNNNNNNNNNNNNNNNNNNNNNNNNNNNNNNNNNNNNNNNNNNNNNNNNNNNNNNNNNNNNNNNNNNNNNNNNNNNNNNNNNNNNNNNNNNNNNNNNNNNNNNNNNNNNNNNNNNNNNNNNNNNNNNNNNNNNNNNNNNNNNNNNNNNNNNNNNNNNNNNNNNNNNNNNNNNNNNNNNNNNNNNNNNNNNNNNNNNNNNNNNNNNNNNNNNNNNNNNNNNNNNNNNNNNNNNNNNNNNNNNNNNNNNNNNNNNNNNNNNNNNNNNNNNNNNNNNNNNNNNNNNNNNNNNNNNNNNNNNNNNNNNNNNNNNNNNNNNNNNNNNNNNNNNNNNNNNNNNNNNNNNNNNNNNNNNNNNNNNNNNNNNNNNNNNNNNNNNNNNNNNNNNNNNNNNNNNNNNNNNNNNNNNNNNNNNNNNNNNNNNNNNNNNNNNNNNNNNNNNNNNNNNNNNNNNNNNNNNNNNNNNNNNNNNNNNNNNNNNNNNNNNNNNNNNNNNNNNNNNNNNNNNNNNNNNNNNNNNNNNNNNNNNNNNNNNNNNNNNNNNNNNNNNNNNNNNNNNNNNNNNNNNNNNNNNNNNNNNNNNNNNNNNNNNNNNNNNNNNNNNNNNNNNNNNNNNNNNNNNNNNNNNNNNNNNNNNNNNNNNNNNNNNNNNNNNNNNNNNNNNNNNNNNNNNNNNNNNNNNNNNNNNNNNNNNNNNNNNNNNNNNNNNNNNNNNNNNNNNNNNNNNNNNNNNNNNNNNNNNNNNNNNNNNNNNNNNNNNNNNNNNNNNNNNNNNNNNNNNNNNNNNNNNNNNNNNNNNNNNNNNNNNNNNNNNNNNNNNNNNNNNNNNNNNNNNNNNNNNNNNNNNNNNNNNNNNNNNNNNNNNNNNNNNNNNNNNNNNNNNNNNNNNNNNNNNNNNNNNNNNNNNNNNNNNNNNNNNNNNNNNNNNNNNNNNNNNNNNNNNNNNNNNNNNNNNNNNNNNNNNNNNNNNNNNNNNNNNNNNNNNNNNNNNNNNNNNNNNNNNNNNNNNNNNNNNNNNNNNNNNNNNNNNNNNNNNNNNNNNNNNNNNNNNNNNNNNNNNNNNNNNNNNNNNNNNNNNNNNNNNNNNNNNNNNNNNNNNNNNNNNNNNNNNNNNNNNNNNNNNNNNNNNNNNNNNNNNNNNNNNNNNNNNNNNNNNNNNNNNNNNNNNNNNNNNNNNNNNNNNNNNNNNNNNNNNNNNNNNNNNNNNNNNNNNNNNNNNNNNNNNNNNNNNNNNNNNNNNNNNNNNNNNNNNNNNNNNNNNNNNNNNNNNNNNNNNNNNNNNNNNNNNNNNNNNNNNNNNNNNNNNNNNNNNNNNNNNNNNNNNNNNNNNNNNNNNNNNNNNNNNNNNNNNNNNNNNNNNNNNNNNNNNNNNNNNNNNNNNNNNNNNNNNNNNNNNNNNNNNNNNNNNNNNNNNNNNNNNNNNNNNNNNNNNNNNNNNNNNNNNNNNNNNNNNNNNNNNNNNNNNNNNNNNNNNNNNNNNNNNNNNNNNNNNNNNNNNNNNNNNNNNNNNNNNNNNNNNNNNNNNNNNNNNNNNNNNNNNNNNNNNNNNNNNNNNNNNNNNNNNNNNNNNNNNNNNNNNNNNNNNNNNNNNNNNNNNNNNNNNNNNNNNNNNNNNNNNNNNNNNNNNNNNNNNNNNNNNNNNNNNNNNNNNNNNNNNNNNNNNNNNNNNNNNNNNNNNNNNNNNNNNNNNNNNNNNNNNNNNNNNNNNNNNNNNNNNNNNNNNNNNNNNNNNNNNNNNNNNNNNNNNNNNNNNNNNNNNNNNNNNNNNNNNNNNNNNNNNNNNNNNNNNNNNNNNNNNNNNNNNNNNNNNNNNNNNNNNNNNNNNNNNNNNNNNNNNNNNNNNNNNNNNNNNNNNNNNNNNNNNNNNNNNNNNNNNNNNNNNNNNNNNNNNNNNNNNNNNNNNNNNNNNNNNNNNNNNNNNNNNNNNNNNNNNNNNNNNNNNNNNNNNNNNNNNNNNNNNNNNNNNNNNNNNNNNNNNNNNNNNNNNNNNNNNNNNNNNNNNNNNNNNNNNNNNNNNNNNNNNNNNNNNNNNNNNNNNNNNNNNNNNNNNNNNNNNNNNNNNNNNNNNNNNNNNNNNNNNNNNNNNNNNNNNNNNNNNNNNNNNNNNNNNNNNNNNNNNNNNNNNNNNNNNNNNNNNNNNNNNNNNNNNNNNNNNNNNNNNNNNNNNNNNNNNNNNNNNNNNNNNNNNNNNNNNNNNNNNNNNNNNNNNNNNNNNNNNNNNNNNNNNNNNNNNNNNNNNNNNNNNNNNNNNNNNNNNNNNNNNNNNNNNNNNNNNNNNNNNNNNNNNNNNNNNNNNNNNNNNNNNNNNNNNNNNNNNNNNNNNNNNNNNNNNNNNNNNNNNNNNNNNNNNNNNNNNNNNNNNNNNNNNNNNNNNNNNNNNNNNNNNNNNNNNNNNNNNNNNNNNNNNNNNNNNNNNNNNNNNNNNNNNNNNNNNNNNNNNNNNNNNNNNNNNNNNNNNNNNNNNNNNNNNNNNNNNNNNNNNNNNNNNNNNNNNNNNNNNNNNNNNNNNNNNNNNNNNNNNNNNNNNNNNNNNNNNNNNNNNNNNNNNNNNNNNNNNNNNNNNNNNNNNNNNNNNNNNNNNNNNNNNNNNNNNNNNNNNNNNNNNNNNNNNNNNNNNNNNNNNNNNNNNNNNNNNNNNNNNNNNNNNNNNNNNNNNNNNNNNNNNNNNNNNNNNNNNNNNNNNNNNNNNNNNNNNNNNNNNNNNNNNNNNNNNNNNNNNNNNNNNNNNNNNNNNNNNNNNNNNNNNNNNNNNNNNNNNNNNNNNNNNNNNNNNNNNNNNNNNNNNNNNNNNNNNNNNNNNNNNNNNNNNNNNNNNNNNNNNNNNNNNNNNNNNNNNNNNNNNNNNNNNNNNNNNNNNNNNNNNNNNNNNNNNNNNNNNNNNNNNNNNNNNNNNNNNNNNNNNNNNNNNNNNNNNNNNNNNNNNNNNNNNNNNNNNNNNNNNNNNNNNNNNNNNNNNNNNNNNNNNNNNNNNNNNNNNNNNNNNNNNNNNNNNNNNNNNNNNNNNNNNNNNNNNNNNNNNNNNNNNNNNNNNNNNNNNNNNNNNNNNNNNNNNNNNNNNNNNNNNNNNNNNNNNNNNNNNNNNNNNNNNNNNNNNNNNNNNNNNNNNNNNNNNNNNNNNNNNNNNNNNNNNNNNNNNNNNNNNNNNNNNNNNNNNNNNNNNNNNNNNNNNNNNNNNNNNNNNNNNNNNNNNNNNNNNNNNNNNNNNNNNNNNNNNNNNNNNNNNNNNNNNNNNNNNNNNNNNNNNNNNNNNNCUUUCCUCAUAUGCACCUAACCCAAUCUCAUGGUCAAAGUACCAUAUUUUUAUUCCUUUAUUGGCUUUAAAUACAUAUUGCUCAUUCAUCUUUUCAAUAUGUUGUUGUGCCUUGGUAUGCAAAUUUUUGACAACUUGUGCUUUUCAAUUCCCAUCAAAACUUACUCUUUCAUCAACAGGUAAAUGCAAUAAAUCCAAUGGAGUUAAAGGAUUAAAACCAUACACAGUUUUAAAAGGAGAAAACUUUGAUAUAAAAUGCACAAUUUAUUAUAUGCAAACUGAAUGAAUGACAAACAAUCUUCUCAAUUUUUAAGAUUCUUUUGGAUAAUAGUUCUCAACAAUUAAGUUAAAGUUCUAUUUAGCUUCUCUGUUUGGCUAUUUGUUUGUGGAUGACAAGUAUUAAAAAAUAACAAUUUAGUUCCUAAUUUACCCAUAAAACUUUCCAAAAAUAUCUUAGAAAUUUAACAUCUUUAUCAGACAUAAUGCUCUUUGAAACACCAUAUAACCGAACUAUUUCUCAAAUAAAAAGAUUCGUUAUAUUUGUUGCAUCAUCGAUUUUAUUACUUGAUAUAAAAGGCGUCAUCAUAGAAAACCUAUCUACAACAAUAGAUAUUGAAUCUUUACCCUUCUUAGACCUAGGUAACCCUAAACAAAAUCCAUGGAUUUAUCAACCCAAGGUUCUUUAGGUACUGGUAAAGGUGUAUAUAAAUCAUAAGGCAUGACUUUAGACUUGGUUUGUUUACAUUCUAUGCAUCUAUCAUAUAUUCUUUAAACAUCCUAUUUCAUAUUAAGCUAGUAAAAAUGCUUAUGUAACAUAUCCAAAGUCUUAGCUACCCUAAAAUGUCCCAUUAAACCAUCCUCCUGAACUUCUCUCACAAGCAAUUCACGCAAUAAAUAUUUUGGCACGCAUAAUCUCGUAUCUUUAAAUAAAGAUUCAUCAUGCCUAAAAUACUUAUCAAAGGUCAAAUGCUCAUAUUGUCCACACGUUUGACCAAGGUCAUCACCAUUUACAUAUAAUUCUUUCACAUGUUCAAAUCCUAAAAGUCUAGUGUUCAAGGCGUUAAGAAAAACAUACUUUCAAAACAAUACAUCUGCAAUGAUUUUUUUCCUUACCUUUAUUGUACUUAAUGACAUAUAAGAACAUCUUAAUGAAUUCAAUUCACUCGGCAUGUUGCCUAUUCAACUUACCUCAAUGUUUUAAAGAUUUAUGGUCCGUAUGUAUCACAAACUCUUUAGGCCAAAGAUAAUGUUGCAAAGUCUCUAAGGUCCUCACCAAUCCAUAAAACAUUUUUUCAUAUGUUGGAUAAUUAAAAGUUGCUCCAUUAACCUUCUCACUAAAAUAGGCUAUGAGCCAUUUUUCUGCACCAAAAUUGUUCAAUUCUUAUACUUGAGGCAUCAUACUCAAUCUCAAAAGUUUUUGUAUAGUCUGGUAAAGCAAACAAUGGAGCCAAAAUCAACCUUUCUUUUAGCAAGUUAAAAGCCUUUUCUUAAUUGUCAUCCCAUUUAAAUCCUACUAUUUUCUUUACAAUUUCAGUCAAUGGUGCAACUAUAGUACUAAAAGCUUUGACAAAUCUUUUAUAAAAACUAAUUAAACAAUGAAAACCUCUUACCUCACUCACCAUCUUGGGUGUAGACCAUUCUUGAAAAGCCUUAAUCUUUGCCUUAUCCAUUUCAAUCCCCUUUGCAUUAAUAACAUAACCUAAAAAUACAAUUCUUUUCAUGCAAAAAUCACACUUAUUUAGAUUAGCAUAUAAUCUUUCAUUUUUAACUAUUUCAAGAACUUGUCUUAAACGAUUAAUAUGCUCAUUUAAUUCUUUUAUAUAAAUCAAGAUAUCAUCAAAAUAGACAACAAAUUUUUUUCAAUGAAAGAUCUCAACCCACGAUUCAUUAACCUCAUGAAUGUACUAAGAGAAUUAGUCAAACUAAAAGGCGUUACUAACCAUUCAUACAAUCCAUAUUUAGUUUUAAAUGUUGUUUUCCAUUCAUCUCUUUCUUUCAUUCUAAUUUAAUGAUAACCAUUUUUCAAAUCAGUUUUAGAAAACAUAGAAGAACCAUGCAACUUAUCAAGCAUAUCAUCUAAUCCAGAGAUAUGAUGUUUAUACAAUUAUUCAAAAACUUGAGAACAAACUUACGAGUAGCAAUUAAAUUUGUGCAAAUUUAAUAACAAAAACGAAGACACAAAAUAAAAGUAAGAAUUAUUAUUAAAAAACAAUGAAAACUAUAAAAAUUAAGAAAACGAUACAAGAAAUCAAGAAACUAAAGAAAUGGAUACAAGAUAAUUUUAUUCUACCUAAAUUUGCAAGAAAUCAAUCAAGAUCACCAAUAAUUUCCAAGACAAGUUUCAGUUAAACCUUAGUUCAUGCAAGAUCCAAAAUUUAUGAAUUUCUUCUUCAAGAACCCUUUCAAGAUUGUGAUUUUGAUUUUUCUUUCUUUCUUUUGUUUUUUUAAUAUAUAUGUGCUUAAUUUCUCAAGUCACAAAGAUGAACACAAUUUGUUGUUUUGUAUGCAAUUUUUCAACAACUAUAAGACUUUUUCCUAUCAAAACCAAUUUUUUUCUUCCUUUUUUUGUAUUAGCUGAAUAAAUCACAAUAAAGUUCAUCAGUCUUUUGAAGAGCUUGCAAGUCCAAUCAAGAACUUAUAUGAGAAUCACUCAACCAUACAAAGAGAAACAAAGCACAUAAUAUGCGGAAACUUUAGAGAAAAUUUAAUAAACUCCAAAAUAAUAUUAACAAUUGGUAUAUAUAGUAGAAAGCUAACCCUAAUUUGAUUUAAUGGACCCAAACUUGAUAAAUAGACCUUAACACAUUAAAAGCUCAAAAUAACAAAAUAAAGAAAUAAAAUGUAGCCCAAAUAAAUCCUUAAAUGUCGCAGGCCCUAAAAUAAACUAAAAGAUAAAUAAAUAAUAGUUCAACUAAUUAAAACAAGAUCAAGGUCGAAUUUUGUAAUUUGCCGAUAGAAUCGAAGCCCAACUUCAAAUGAAUGGUUCUCCCACAUCUUGAAAAGUUAUAAGACCUACGACAUGAACAUUUAUUUUGUGGCUCCAGUUAUGGUAAAAACAAUAGCUAAAGGUCAAAACUAGCAGAUUUGAAUAUUUUUUAUUCUAAUCUUUAUGUAAUGUUUGGAUGCUAACCUAUAAGCCCUUAUUGAAUAUGAAUCAAAUUAAUCAAGACUUGUUUUUCAUUCUUUGAUAUCCUCUCGAAGUCCACAUUUACUCAUGGAUCUUGAAGAACAUUAAUUGCCUCUUUAAACCUCUUUGCUCUAAGUCUUAUGAUUGGACUCAAUGAAAUCUCUAAUGGAUCUCUUGGUGUUGAAGCUAGGAUCGUAUCAAGUCAAGCAUUGUAAUAUGUUGAAUCAUCCACAUUAAAAAUAAUAUGUGUGUGUAUGUAUUAAUUCAUUUCUCAUUCCAUACAGAGUACAUAAUAAAUUAUUGAAAUAUGGAAAUGAAUGACUUGUAAUACAGUAAAAGAGAAAAAUAUUGGAGUUAUCAUUUAAAAUGAAUAGUCCACUUGCAUGAAACAUGUUAAUACAUGUUGAUAUAAAUGGGAUUAUAAAAAAAAUAAUAUUAUAUAAAUGAAUUGGAUUUNNNNNNNNNNNNNNNNNNNNNNNNNNNNNNNNNNNNNNNNNNNNNNNNNNNNNNNNNNNNNNNNNNNNNNNNNNNNNNNNNNNNNNNNNNNNNNNNNNNNAAAAAGGUUUGGUGCCCCUUUCAAAUUUAUGGCCAAUUUCCAAGAGUUUAGUAGAGGGCUGCUCAAGGCUUUGAGGACAGUGUUGAGUAAGGAGAAGCCCAAGUAUUAUCGGAAAAGACUGGAUAGAGUUGUGGAAGAGGAAAAAGUCUGUAUCUUUUAAAGGCAAACCAUUUUCCAAAUAGAAAAGGUGGACAACAAUAGACUCAAUCUUUUAAAAGAGGAGGGGGAUUUCCCCAUAAAAGGAUCAUUUCAUAGAUUUUACCAGCGUAGUAGGGGAAUGCCCCUUGUUCAAAACCCAAUAAUAGGAUAUAAUGAUAACAAGCUAGCCUAGUGAUGGUCUUUUAGAUAGACUUCUUGGAAGAGCUGUUGGAGGUACAUCAUUCUGAUUGUUUAGUAGAGAAACAAUAUCUAGAUCAGUAAUUAAGUCAGCUUCAACCCAUAAAAAAAAAGGACUUUGAUUGCUCAGUUGUUGUAGUAUCAUGAUCAGAAUAGUGACUAGCAUCAAAUGAUUCAACAAUUGCACUAUAUCUUACAACAUCAUCAUAAAUUGUGAAAAAUCGAUCUAUUAUAAGGUAGAGGAUUCCCAGCCUUGGAUGAGGAAGAGAGUUCUGAAAAUAUUCUACAAUUGACCAAAAGGACUGGAUUAUGAUUAGAUCCAUAUGGUUAUAGAAUGAAAUUCUAAUGGCGACACACAACAUUCAUGUGACUUAUUAAUGCAAAAUAUAUCACUUGUGUUCAAUAUGUUCAUAAUGUUCUCAGGAACUUGGAACAAAAAAAUGAGUUUUCAUGCACUUAUAUAUGUUCAUCUCUUUGUUCACGUGGAAGUGUGCCAGUAUUGAGCCGUGUACGAAGGAAUGCUCGCUAAUGGAAUUACAACCUCGAAAUCACAUGAUCACGCAACUCACAAUCAAGAAUGAGAUUUGAUCCUGGAAAGCCAAAAGAGGUUUAAUAGGAGCGUGACACAAUAGACACCAACACUAUUGGAAUGAAGUCGAAUGACGCCAUGAAAUUAGUUAAUCUUUGAUAAGUCAGAUUCAGUUCGUUCAAGAAUCAAAGAAUGCAAGAAUCUCUUCCAUAUGUCAAACUGAAAAAUUUAGAAAUAUUAUUUAUCUAAGGUAUUUUUUAAAACAUUUAGGCUUUACAUGUGUUCCAAUAUUUAUGAGAAAUUAACCCUAAUCGAUCUACUUUUGUACACUGAAUUGACCCACUUACAAAAACUGACUCAAAACCUUUACUAAAAGUCAAAACUCUAAUCCAAACAAACCUUAAAUCUUAGUUGAAAACCAAAGUAUUAAUAAAGCUCAAACAUAUAAAUAAUAAUGAAAACAACAAUUCUAGACAGUAGCUUAUUAAUGCUAUAUAUAAUAGAAAGAAAAACAAGAUAAAAUAUAUUAAUUCCCUAGCUUAAAUAACUCUUGGCUGAGAUCCAACUUCUUAAAUACUCUAGGAUUGCUUAGCCAACUUUUAAAGUCAUUUAGAUGCUAGGAAAUCUAAUUUGAAUAGGAAUUUAAUUGGUGAAGUCUUCUUACCUUGUAAGACUAGGAUUUCCCUUCAGAGUAUGAAAAACAUUUUAAAAAAUUAAUUCUUCUUGUAGCCACUCAUCAUUCUUUAUUGACUAGGAGAAUCAAAUCUUUAGCAUUAAAUAAUCAUUCUAAGUCUAGGAUUCAGAUUUGAUAGUGUCCUUUGGUUUCCUUGCAUGACUAAGAAACUUUCUUCUUUGUUGCUAAAUAUUAUUCUAAAUAACAAUAAUGAACAAAUUUCCCUUUUUAAUUUUAGGAGAAUAUUUUGCUGAUCUCUGUAAGAAAAGUAUCCCAACAUCUUAAUUAACCCAAGCCAACUUUGGAACCCAUAUGACCCAAACUCAUAUUCAUUAAUAUAACUUAAAUCAAACCUGAUACAAGCUCCCAACAAGCUUACUUUGUUGCCUAAAUCAGACUGAUACAUGAGCUGACCUAAUUUGGCCUAAUGAACCUUCAAAAAAAUUAGAUCGAAUCCAUUAUCAUGCACAAACCAAAACUAACUAAAACUAUCUUAUGUCAAAAACUCAUCAUGGCCGAAUGGAACAUAAACUAAAUUUAAAGAAAAAAUAUAAUCUUAGCCGAAUGGCCUCCCCAUCAAACCAAAGCACAAAAUCAAAGGCCCUUCACAAAAAUCUAUCAAAAUAAUAUAUUUUUUUAUUCAAAAGAAUCUUUCUAUUGUUUUUUUUUUGUUUGAUGCAAAGUGUUUUUCAAUUAAAAGUACUUCAAAACAAUGUUUCUUAUUUUUUUAUAUUAACACAUUAAAAAUACUUAAAAAAAUAUCAAUUUAAUCUCAAAUUAAUUUAAAAAAAUAUUUUAAAAGGCCUAGAAAACAAGUGCUCUCUUUGUCUCCUCGAAAAUAAGCGUUGCUUUAAAAUGGGUUAAUCAGGAGACGAGUUAAUUUAAAAAUAGAAAUAAGUUUAUUAGUUGAGAGUGGAUCAGAUCAUGUUGGUUGAGAUCUUCUUGAGCCACCAAUGGCAUCGCCAUUAGGUCAACAAAAACAUAAAAAAUGGUCUUACUGGAACAUUCCAAAAUCUGUUGCUGUUAUCAUUAAUUAAGUGGCUAUAUAUAUAUAUAUAUAGAUGCAGCCUUGCGCAAUCGUGAUGUUUCAAAUUGUUGCUUUAUCUAAUGAUUUGAUAUUUCAUGAACAAAAUCAAUAACGUGUUUGUUUUUGAAUUUAAAAAACGUUGUUGGAAUUGCUUCCUCCAAUGCUCCUCUGCAUAGCCUCUUGCAUUAAGUCGUCAUGUGAAAAAUCUUUCCUUUUUCAAUAUUUACGCGCUCUUGCUUUCUUUACUCAAUCAGUCUCACAAGGUUGUCUUGCUAAUAGAGUUGAUUAUUUUUUUAUUUUUACAAAUAAAAAUAAUCAAAACUGAAAUUUAGAAAGAAAAAAAAAAUAAAAAUCAAACUGAAAUCAAUUUUAACCAACCAGUUUUGAUUCGGUUUUUUAUAUCAAAAAACCAAAAAAACCUAUAUUGAUUUUCUUUGCCUUUUUAAAUGUCUAUUAUCCUUUCUCUACGCAAUCCAGGGAUUUCACCCACCCAAAUGGAGUCGAACCUUCACUGUGUUUUCUCAGCUCACUUCAGUUGCUUGACACGCCUUCAUCUCUACCCACUUAUUUGAAUUCUAAUCGUGACCAGCCAUGACAAGGCUGAAUGGAUUAAAACGGGGGUGGCUUGCUCUGACCAAGACUCCACUUUUUGCUCCAUCCAUGGAUCGUAUGAAUUUCCUAGAUUAUAGAUGGACCAAAAGAGCGGGCUGCUGCUAAUGGGUGUUGCAGGGAAGCCUAGGAUGCUAGAUCUAGAGUGGAAAUUGAAGAAUGAAGAUUGGAAGAUGGGGCGUCUGAUUGUCUGUGUGAUUGUGUCUCAAAGAGGAAGGGGAAGGUGCGGCCGUGCGGGUGUGUGGCUCUAGGUUACUGCUCUGCAAAAGUCUUUUUUUUAUUUAUAGUAUCUUUUUUUAUUUGAACCGAACAUAUUCGGUUUGGUUGGGGUUUAAUUGGUUUUAACAUUAUAAAAUUGAAAUCGAACAAAACUGAAAGUGUUUUUAAAUAUUUUGAUCAGUUUUUUUUUUAGGUUUUUUAAUUAAUUUUUUUUAUUUUAUCAGUUUAAUCAAUUUAUUGGUUUUUUUUCACACCCGGGUGCUAGUAAUACAUUGCUGCUAAUGCCAAGAUGAACGAAAUUUCUACUUCAGUAAUGGAAGAAACAAGCAACCCGUCCUAAAUGCCAUUCUUACCUUUCCAAAACUUGCAAGGUCUGAAGAGACUGCAUCUAAUGGAAUGCUACCAUCAGUCCAUUUCUUCUCAUGCACACCGAAUCCAAGAGUUGCACAGGUUGGCGUCCCCUUUUCUAGAAACCCUUCCGGUGAACUAGGUUUUGUUUUCUCAUUACUUGAAGUCUCAUCUUGAAUGGAUUGUCGACUGUUUGCAUCACUUAGACGUCUAGAUAGGGCAGCCUGGGAAACGGCCAACGCAAGUACUUAUCGUGGCAAUCUUUGUGACAUGGGUUCUGUCCGAGAAGAAAGAUCUCAGAGAUAAAUGGAGGCGAAUUCGUUUCUCGAUGGUCCCUGUACCCUUACAGUUUUCUUUCUUGUUUAUUUUACACUUCGAGUUACUUUCAGUGGAAUCAGAUUAGGAGGUUCACUCCGAACUUGUAAUGUUAAUUUUGUAGCAUGUCCCUCUAAUGGCACUUGGUACUUGCCAUUAAGGAAAGUUGAUGGACCAAAAGUAGUUUGGAAAAAAUUAUUCCAUGUAGCAAACACGAAUUCAUAACUGUAUUAUAGACACCGAACCAGGCCCGAGCAAGCGAAAACUCGUAUAUCAAAACAUAGACCAUCAAAAUGAUGUUUCCGUAGGUUUUAAUCCUAAAUUUAACGAAAUGUUGUAUUGCAGGACAUUCUGCCAUAGAAGGCACAGUUUUUCAGGACUCCAAAUAACAAUUUCAAGAAAUUUCAUCUUGUGAAGUCAGAAUUCCAUUAUCUCAUCAUUAAAAGAAUUGGAUGGACUGAGCGAAGCCUCUGUUUUGCCUACUUGAAUCAACUAAAAAUAAUCAAAUUCAGAAGUGAAAGCUCAGUAGAACUAGCAAGAUUUUGAAGGCAUUUAAUCAAACUAACAAAAAUGUUCAGUAGUCUAACAAAUACUGCAACAUUGAUAGAUAAAAAAAAUAUAAUAUCUUCAACAUAAGCUUAAUCAUAGUGUCAUUUCUUCAAACAGAAAAACCUAAGAUAGGACAUUACUGAGUCCACAAAAUCGCUUGCGCAUCCGGUUUCUUCAUGGCCUCGCCCUUCUCUUUGGGCUCCCCUUGACCCACCACAGCUGGCAUCUCAUCCCAGCUCUUCCCACUACUCUUUUCAGACCCCGCCUCCGAAACUUUUAAAAUCCCAGCGACAACAUUUGAAAUCUUCAUUCCAACAGAAUCCAACACAGCAGGCGACAGCUUCACUCCAGAAAGCCUCCUCCCAGGAGAAAGCGAAGCCCUUCGAGAAUUGGGAAAAGGAUGCUUCCUCCCAUUCGGAGACGACUUCCUGUACCUGGACGGAACAAUAAUGGCUGGCUCCCUUGCAAAUUUCCUGCUUUCCUCCUUGGAAGCCACCGAGCUCGGAACCACACAUUUGGAAUGCACUGGAGAUACUGAUCUCUUCCCUUUGACCACAGGAGAAGGAUCCCUCUCAAUCAAAGCAGCAUUUUUCUUCCCAACAGAAACAGAUCUCUCAGCAGCAGCAGGAGAAAAAUCUCUGCGGAACCUUAUCCGAACCAGUCUUAGCACCAAUCUCAUCCAACAUCAUCACAUUAUCUCGCGGCGCAAGCGCUUGUCUGGUAACUUUAGCAGUCACUUCACCUUUCUGAUCUUUUCUUGGAAACUCCCCGCAUUUUUUGUUAUUAGGUAAGUACACAGGUUGAAUCACAGAUUCUUUUUUCGAAGCUGAAAUUCUGGCAGCGAGAGGUUCUGGAGUACCGACAAAGGGGUGGUGGCCAGCAAUUAAUUCGGCGGAUUCUUGCAUGUUAGAAAUAUUGAAUGGAAGCAUAUUGAAAGACAAUCUUAUUUAGAUAAAUAUUACUCCUUUAAAAAAGAGUAAAUUUUAAUAUACUUGGAUUUAGAUUAUAGUACUUAACUAUUUAUAUAAUGUAAAGAUAACUCAAAAGACUCAAGGAAUAAAUAUAUAAUUAAUACAUUGCAUAAAAACAAUUUAAAGGACUGUUUGAAUGGAAUUCAAAAUUAAUUUGAACACUCUUUAAUUUUAAAAGUCUAAAAUCUUUUGAAAUUUGGAUUUUGAUGGUGGAUCAUCUUGUCAUGAUUAUUGCACCAUUCUCAUCUCUUGAUAAUGUCCAUGACAAAAAAAAUCAAUGUCUUCUCCCUUGCCUUCUCAGCCUUUGGUUUGUGGAUGCUUUCCAUUAAAACUUUAUUAGAUUAUUGAGUUGUUGUUGUAGAGCUCACACAAGAAGAAUUUGUUACUCCAAAACUUAUCUUCUUACUUUAGCAAUUGUAUUUGCUUAAACAUGACUUAUCUAUGUCAUUUUUCUUGUUUAGUGGCUACUGCCGCAUUCUUCAUCAUGGCUCUUUGGCCAUUUUCCAUCUUCUCCUUAUGAAGAUCUCUCUUUCUUUUUUAAUAUGUGUGAUCUCCUUAGUGCCACACUUAUCUCUUGUGCAAUAAGCUGUCAACAUGCACUAAGCCUCUUUCUUAGGUUUUUUCUAUCUCUUUUUUAUGCAAUGUCUCAAUUCACUUGUUGGGCUCCAUUAUAUUGAAUCUUCAUUUUUUUCUUUUUUGGAUGUUAGUUGUUCAUAUAUACUUUCAUCUUUCUCAAAUGCCCUUACUAGAUCGAACUAGCUCUGAUACCAUGCUAGAAAUAUUUGAAAGAGAAAAGGGAAGCAUGUUAGCGGGGACAAAAUCGAUUACUUGGAGAAGAGAGGAGUGGUGGUCACCGACAAUGAUGCAGGCAGUGGAGCAUAUUGGUUGGAGGAGUUUUAAGAGAAUGUUUGAAGUUAGAGCAUCAUUGUAAGACAAGACGGAGAGAGUGUGUGGCUGUGUGGAAAGAAGGAAAGAGUUAAAGAAAAUAAUUGAGGAGGAAGAGGAGGCAGUGAUUUCUGGUUGUUUGUUAUGUAAAUUCAAAUUCAAAUGUCUGCUCUAAUAUUUUAUUUUAGUUUUUAAAUUGUGGAUAACAACAAGCAUGAUGGUUUGGUGAGAUAGAGGAACAUUAAUUAUGACAUAAUUUCAUUACAAUAAUCCUUAUAAGUUGUCAUUAACCAAAUCUUUACAACUACUUCUCUAUUAUAAUUGAAUUUGAUUAUAUGUUUAAUUUAAAUUUAAUUAAUAAAUAAGUUGAAUUUAUAUGUUUUAAAAGAGAUAUUCUAAAAUUAAAUUUAAUUGAUUUUGUUUUCUAUAUUAUCCUUUUGACAAGUGGAAGAAGUGUCAUAAAAAAGUGGGUAAAUUGGUAUUUUAAAAAAGCUAGUUUUAACAUUAAUUUCUUUUUUAUAUAUAGUGUAGUAAAUUAGAAGAGUUGGCCACUGAUUUACUUUUAUACAAAUUUUAGAGAUUGAGUUCUUUAUGAAAUUUAAUUCUUGAAACUCAAAAUUAUUUCAAACAUGAGAUUUUAUUAAAACUUCUAAAUUGAAUUCAAUUCAGAUAGUUCUAAACAUGUUGUAAGCAAGACAAUAAGGGAGCACAUUACUAAAUUCAUUAAUUAGUGUGGUGAUGGUGUAGUAAAUCUUUUCAUGAAACUAAGAUUGUUUGGUUCAUCACUAACCAAAAUAAUCUUUUACUAGUUCUUUAUAUUGUUUCCCUACUUAAUUAAUAGUUUGGAUGAAAUUGAGACUCGUUUUCAUGAGCACUUCUAUAAAACAGAACCAAAGAUAACAUUGGAUGGCUUAGCCAAGAUAGUUCUAGAUUCAGGAGAUUUUAUAGAAAGUUAUGCUUCGAUUCAGAACUCUAAAAAUCAAGUGCAAUGCAGUUAUACUAGAGUAAAAGCACAUUAAACUUAUUUGGAAGGAAUAUAGUGGAAUAUCAAGAAGAGGUUUAUGGGAACCAAGUACCUGGAUAUCUACACCUUUACAAAUGAUACAUCUCGAUUUGAAAAAUUGUUAGCAAAAUGAAAAAAAAAGUCACUAAGGGGAACAUGCCUCGUUAACUAUUUGAAUGAUGUUACAAUUGCUCAUUCAAACCUGGUAGUAAAGAUGCAAAAGCUACCAAAGUAGUUCAUGAAAAUUGUCAUAACACAAUUUAAGGUUUUUCUAAAAUACAAAUGAACAAGAAACUUGAUUGGCAAAAACAAGCUGAAGAAAGAUCUACAUACAUUAAUAAAAGUUGGAAUGACCAAACUAAAUAUAUGGCGACUUUAGAAAUUCAAAUGCACCUUUGAAAGAUCCAAAUGCUAAAUACAAUGCAAGUUCAAGAUGAAUUUUAGACGAAGUUGCAUAAAAAUUAAGUUAAAGAACUUAAUUGGAUUUUUAAUGGGCUAAUUUGAUUUAAUCAUAGGCUUAAUUAAGAAUUUAGUUACGUCUAUAAAUUAUUUUAGGUAAAAAUUAAAAUAAUUAAUUAAUUAUAAGGACUUAAUUAGACUUUAAAUUGGUCAAAUUAAUUUUAUUUUGGAAUUAAUUGUUGAAAAAUUAAAUUUGAAAGCCUAAUUUGAGCUUAAUUGAUAAGAUUGGAAUUUUGGAGAACCAUAUUUUAGUUUUACGAGCUUAUUUGGAUGAAAUCAAAUGUUAAAUUGCAAAAAAAUCAAAUAUCAGGGUUUAAUUAAAGGUCAAAUUGAAGAAUCUCAAAACCAAGGACCAAAGUGAAAAGGACGUGUAAGUUUAAGGACUAAUAUGAAUCAAAAUCAGGGGUCAAUUUGAAAGAACUUAAAAGUUUAAUGGUUGAUAGGGGUCAAAUUGAACAAAUUAGAAACCAAUGAUCAAUUUGAAAAAUGUGCUCAAAUCAAAGGAUUCAAAUCACAAUUUUCGGGGGUGUGAUUGUAAAAAUUAAAAAGUUUUAGGGUAAAUUGAGGAUGUUUAUGCCAGAAUUGAAACAAUAAGGAUCAAAAAUGAAAUUUGCAAAAUCUCAAUUAGAAAACCCUAAUUUCUAGAGUUUAAUCAGAAUGACAUGUCAUUCAUCUUUAAUGAAGAGAACGAGUGACAUGUCAUCCAAUCCUUGUCAUCUUUUUUAGCAAAAAAGAUUGAUCGGGUUGUUAUUUUCAGGCGAAUGAACGUGGCAUAUUCGAUCACCUUAGAGACUUAAACCACCACUGAUGGACUGAGAAACAUCUCCUCUUUAAGGAUCAACUAUCCUCAUCGCACGUUUAUACCUACUUUGGCUCAAUGAACUCAAUAACAUCUUGUCACUGAACAACUUCCCCUGCAUUUGACAGUUUUAAGCUGAUCGAGAGCUCACUUUCUAAUAAAUAAAUGUGGAGUUAUGGACCUCCAAAUUAAAUAAGAUUUGAUGCCCAUGGUAGAUAUAUAUUCUCUCUACAAAGAUCAGCUACUUUUAUCCCAUAUUUACAUCUAGUUUGUCAUGAUGAUCUCUCUAAAGUAGCUCACUCGGUCAACUAUGACUCAAGAAGAAAACCAUCAUGAUUGUUUAAACUUCGUGGCUACCUUCUCUUGACAGGUUUAAGCUCAUAAAAUGACAAAAAGAACCAAAAUGCAUCUUUCUAGAGAGGUUAGAGUAGAGAAUGAGCAAAAGUCUUCUCUAACAAACUUUUGGCAUAACCACUAUGGUUUUGCCAUUUCUUAAGAACACCAAAAGGAAGGGGGUCCGAAAAAUAAGAGAAAAUCAUAAAAAAAGAAAAAGAGAAAGAAAAUAUAAAAAAAAGUCAAUAGAAUACUUAGAAUGGAAGGGAAAAAAAAGUAACAAAAUGGUGUUUUCAAAAGGAAGUAGAGUAUCAAUCUGAGAUUAAAAAGAAUCUAGAAAUCAAGAGGAAAGAAGCAAGGAAUUCAGAGAAAGAAUCAAUUUUUUCAUUGCUAGGUAAGCCUUCAAACUUUAAUAAAGGGGUAAUGAGCACACCCUCUCCAUCCUUUGAAAUCAUUUAUUAAUUUGGAGGCCAUGAUUAUUGUUUUGGAAUGUUUAAACAUGCUUUGAAUAUAGUUUGUAUAUAUAAACCCCUAGAAAAAAUAUUUGAAGUAAAUUUUAUAUGAAGGCAGUAAAUUGAAUAUUUGAAUGAAAAUGAUGACUUUGGAUUUUGAUAACUUGAAAUAAAAUGUUCAAGUGUUGUGAUGCGAACCCUAGCGGAAUUUAAUGGUAUUCGCGACCCCAAGAUCAAUCUAACACAAGUUUGUUGAGAUUUGAAUGAGCUUAUCACAAUGUAAGACUUGCUCCAAGGCAACAAGACUAUAAAUCAACUCGAUCACAACGCCUACACCUAGAGACGAGCAAAAGAAGUAUAAAUUCACAACAAAGAAUGGUCAAUUCUUUGAAGAGUUGAAAGUUCAAUCAAGAACCAAGAUUGAGCAACCAAAAGUCGGCUACAAUGCUGAAAAUAUUAUCAAAAGUCUGCCAUAAAAUUAUUCCUAAAGAGUAUUUAUACUCCAAGCCAAAACCCUAGUUUCCCUAAUAAGUCUCACAUAAACCCAAUUUAAAUAAUAAUCAACUCAAGCUAAAACUAGCCCAAACUAAUUAAAAUAAACAAAUAAACAAGUCUAAAACCCAAAAAAAUUGUCUCCUCUCAAAAUAAUUAAAGUUUGAUAGCCCAACUAAUUAAAUAAGACAAGUUCGUUGUUUCCGCAUUCUGUCUGGCAGCAGCAAGGCCCAACUUAAAAUGAAUGGUUCUCUCUCGUCUUAAUGAAUUAGAAGGCGUUCCACAUACCGUUGGAAAGGUAUGGAAGUGUAGUUUCCAACCCAACUAGAAUCACAUUAAAAUUUGAUCUGCAACUCCAGUUAUGACUAAAAGAGUAACAAAAGGUCAAACUGUCCGAAUCUAGUCUUCUUCUCACAAUCCUUGUGUAAUGGUCUUGGUUCCACCAACAAGCCCCUCUUGAACAUGAAUCAGAUUAAUCAAGGCUUGCUCUUUAUUAUUACAAAUCCUCUUGAAGUCCACCUUAGCCCAUGUAUCUUGAAGAAGUCCAUUGAAAGCUUCUUUGAACUUCUUAGCCCUAAGCCUAGUAACUGGACCAACUGGAACCUCCAAUGGAUCCUUUGAUGGUUAGACCGCAUCAUCCCCUCGCUCCUCAAAAGGAUUCGACCUCAAAUCAUCACCUACAUUAAACGAAGAAAGAUUAGAAACAUUGAAUGUAGCACUAACACCAUACUCACCUGGUAGAUCCACUUUGUAGGCAUUAUCAUUAAUCCUUUCUAUGAUCUGAUAAGUACCAUCUCCUCGAGGCAUCAACUUUGAUCUUAUUUGUUCAGGAAACCUUUCCUUCCUCAUAUGCACCCAAACCCAAUCACCUGGUUCAAAUCUCACUAAUUUUCAUCCCCUAUUGGCUUUGUUUGCAUAUUGUUCAUUCUUCUUUUCUAUUUGUUGCAUCACCACCUGUGCUUUUUUAUUACCAUCAAGACUAACCCUUUCAUCAACAGGCAAAGGAAUCAAAUCUAAUGGUGUCAAAGGGUUAAAACCAUAAACAAUCUCAAAUGGGGAAUAAUCAGUAGUAGAAUGCACACUAUGAUUAUAUGCAAAUUCAAUGAAUGACAAACAAUCUUCCCAAUUUUUAAGAUUCUUUUGAAUGAUAGCCCUUAACAAUUGAAUCAAAGUCUGGUUAACAACUUCAGUUUGGUCAUCUGUUUGUGGAUGACAAGUAGUAGAAUAUAAAAGUUUAGUUCCUAACUUACCCCACAAAACCUUCUAAAAGUAACUCAAAAACUUAACGUCUCGAUCGAAUACAAUGCUUCUAGGAAGACCAUGUAGCCGAAUGACCUCUCUAAAGAACAGGUCAGCUAUAUUUAUUGCAUCAUCAGUUUUAUGGUAAGCAAUGAGAUGUGUCAUCUUAGAAAAUCUAUCAACAACAACAAAUAUAGAAUCUCUCCCUUUCCUAGACCUAGGUAGACCCAAAAUGAAAUCCAUAGAAAUAACAACCCAAGGUUCCUUAGGAACAGGCAAAGGUGUGUAUAGUCCAUGAGGCAUUACCCUAGACUUAGCUUGUCUACAUGUUAUGCAUCUAUCACACAUUCUUUGAACAUCUCUUUUCAUAUUAGGCCAAUAAAAGUGCUCAUGCAGAACCUCCAAAGUUUUAGUAAUUCCAAAAUGCCCCAUUAAACCUCCCCCAUGUGCUUCCCUCAUAAGUAAUUUACGUAAAGAACAAUUAGGCACACAUAACUUAUUUUCCUUAAACAAAAAUCCAUCAUGCCUAAAAUAUUUAUCCAUGGUCAAAACCUUGCAUGUGUCAUGUAUAGCACCGAAAUCAUGAUCAUCAAGAUACAAUUCCAUAAUAUACUCAAAUCCUAGCAAUUUAGUAUUAAGAGUAUUAAGAAGAACAUACCUUCGCGACAAGGCAUCGACGACCACAUUUUCCUGACCUUGCUUGUAUUUAAUCACAUAUGGAAAAGUUUCAAUAAAUUUAUCCCACUUAGCAUGUCUCCUACUUAACUUACCUUGACCCUUCAAAUGUUUCAACGAUUGGUGAUCAGUAUGUAUGACAAACUCUCGGGGCCACAGAUAAUGUUGCCAAGUCUUCAAAGCCCGCACGACUGCAUACAACUCUUUAUCAUAAAUGGGAUAGUUAAUAGUUCCACCAUUGAGUUUCUCACUAAAAUAAGCGAUGGGUCGUUUUUCUUGCAUUAAAACGGCUCUAAUACCUAUUCCUGAAGCAUCACAUUCAAUCUUAGAAGCUUUAUUAAAAUCAGGUAAAGAUAGUAAAGGUGCCGAAAUCAACUUUGAUUUUAACAAGCUAAAAGCAUUUUCUUGUUCUUCUCCCCACUUGAAACCCACGGCUUUCUUAACAAUUUCAGUCAAUAGAGAGGCUAUCGUACUAAAGUCUUUAACAAAUCUCCUAUAAAAACUAGUCAAACCAUGAAAACUCCUAACUUCUGUUAUGGAUUUUGGUGUAGGCUAUUCUUGAAUAGCCUUAACCUUAGCCUCAUCCAUUUCUAUACCUUUUGCACUAACCACAUAUCCAAGAAAAUAAAUCAUAUCUAUGCAAAAGUCACACUUUUUCAAAUUAGCAUAUAAGGACUCUUUUCUAAGCACAUCAAGAACUUGUCUCAAAUGACUUAUAUGUUCAUCAAUCUCCUUACUAUAAAUCAAGAUAUCAUCAAAGUAAACGACUACAAACUUACCAAUAAAAACACGCAACACAUGAUUCAUCAAUCUCAUAAAAGUACUAGGUGCAUUAGUAAGUCCAAAAGGCAUAACCAACCACUCAUACAAACCAUAUUUAGUUUUAAAAGCAGUUUUCAUUCAUUCCCUUCUUUCAUCCUAAUUUGAUGAUAACCACUUUUCAAAUCAAUUUUUGAAAACAAUUUAGAACCAUGUAAUUCAUCCAACAUAUCAUCUAAUCUAGGAAUGGGAUGUCGAUACUUUACAGUGAUGUUAUUGAUAUCUUGACAAUCCACACAUAAGCAGACCAACUGGAACCUCCAAUGGAUCCUUUGAUGGUUGGAUCGCAUCAUGUUGAUUUAAAAAUGAAAAUAUAAAAAAUGGUUGAAACAAAAUAUAAAAACAUGAAUAAAAAUUAAAUGGAAGUGAUGUAUGAGGAAAUAAAGGUAGUGGAAUAUAAUUCAAUGAAAUUUGAAAUAACCCAACUUAAAUUUGAUAUAAAUAGGUGAUGGAAUCUAGAAAUAUUACUUGGUGAACAUAAAACGUAUAAUGUAAACCUCUAAUUAAGAAAUUGAUAAACUAGUUCUAAAUAUGUAAAAUGUAUGGUUUUAUGCGUGAAUGACCUUGACUAUUGGUAUAAGCCCUGCGUACAAUCGCGUAAUUUUUAACUCGAAAGGGGAAAAAGUUGAGGAGAAUUUGUAGUAUAGAUAGGAAUGAAAGUUUUUGAUGAAUUAUUUGGAACUAUUGCUGAUUUAAGUAGAUAAAACAAUACAAAAAUUUUGUAUUUUUGGCGUAAAAAUAACAUACUGACCAGUUUUACAUUACCAAGCAUAACUCUUAAUCUAACCAUUGGAUUGAGCUGAAAUUUACAAGGAGUAUCCUGACACAUAGUCCUACCUAGGGUUAAAAUUUCAGGACAAUCGGAAUUUGGGAAGGCCUCGCGAGAAUAACAACAUAUUGGACAAAUUCAUGGGUUCAUUAAGGGCAAAAUGGUCAUUUGGCCUCAAAACCUAGCUCUCCUUUCCUUUUAACUGAUAAGAAGCUAUUGGGAAAAAACUAAAGAAAAGAAGAGAGCAAGGCUUAGUGAACACCAAAAUCCAAGGAGAAAUCAUAGGAAUUGAGAGAUUAAAGUGAGAGUAGGCAAAUCCAAUAAGAGGAGCAUUAUUUGGAGGGUUUGGGAGAGGAAGAUAAGAGAGAGAAAGUGAUGGCAAGAGAGAGAAAGAAGAAGAAGAAGAGUGAAGAAAAGUCAAUAAGCUAACGUUUGAAGUUCAUUUUAUCAUUUGGUAAGGCGUUUCAAACCUAUUUAUACAAGUUUUAAUGAAAAUAAAUGAUGUUAAUGCAUGAUUCUUUGAUUUUUGGUUAGGGUUAUUAGAAGUAAAAUUGAAGAAAAUAAGAUUUUAUUGUUAAUUAAUGAAGUUAGGAUGUAUUAGGUUAUUGGUAAUAUAUAAUAAUGGUUAGAUUGGAUCAAUUGUUGGAAGAAUUGAAAAACCCACCAUUCUUUAACCUUAGGGUUCUUGGGAUAAUUAAAGAAAAUGCCUCGAGAUAUAAUUUUUUUUGUGUUUAAUGAUUAUAAGGAAGAUUUAAAGUUAGUUAUAAAUAUUGUGAUGCAAAUUACCCAAAUUAUACUAUUGAUGUUACUUGUGGGAAUGUGGAAAUUAUUAAAAAAAAAUGGAUGAAAUUAUAUUAGUUUUGUUACAAAUGUGAUGAUGGAAUUGUGUUCAAUCAUGGUUGUGAUUUUGAUUAUUGAAUAUUGAAUUAUGUUUGUUAAUUAUAUGUGAAAGAUAAGUAUAGAAAGAGUGGCACUGUAUAAACUUUAAUGUUUUUAUUUGAUAUUGCAUGCUUGGAAAGCGAUCUAGGAGCUUGUAAUUUGAUGUUUAUGUAUAUUAAGUGUUGGGUUGACAAGUUAGUAUAAUGAGAGAAAAAAAAAUGUUGGAUGUAUAUAUGGAAAGUAAGGAACGUGAAAUGGUAUAUUAAAUGCAAGUUAGAACUUGGAGCAAAUUCUAAACCUUAGAGACUUUUUUUAAUAUGGAUAUUUUGGUUAUGAUGUUAGUGAUUGAUAAAUUAAGUUGAUUGUGAUAGUUUUAAAUGAGUUGUUGUGUGUUUGAGUUACUAUUGAUAUGGAUUGAUAAGGAUAGGUAUGUUCAAAUUUCAAGUAUUAGAGGGUUGGAAUCCAAUGCCUACCAUAUGUUUCAUAUAAUAAUAGGACUUUUUGAAAUUGAGAAAUCAAUGAUGAAAAGUGAUGUCUCUAAACAUUGAAAAUUCAAUGACAAAAAGUAUGUCAUGGGGUAUUGAAAUUCAUCGAUGAAAAAUACAUACACUUAGACAUUAAGUAUUAGUUGACGGAAUUUGUGGAUAUUAAAAAUCAGACUAAGUAAGGGAUUGAUGAAAGUAUUAAAUGUCAAAAUACAUGAAGUUUCAAUACUGGAUGAAUAGUGAUUUUUACUAUUGGAUGAAUAUAAAUUUUUUUUGCUAUAUAAAUAGUGCUUACUUUAUGUUUUUUAUUAUCUUGAAUUUUAUGACCAUUUUUGGUUUGUGCAGACCUAUAUGCAAUUGCAUUGUGUUUAUAUCAUGGUAAUUAAGCAAAGUAGUAAACAUAAAAGGAUAUUACAAAAAUGGAUAACAAUAUGUUUGGACAAUGAAUGCAUUAUGAAAAUGGGUGCUCAUGUAAAUGUGUUGAUGUUAAUAAAAUGACUAAAGGAAAAUACCAAUCAUGAGAUAGGAUCCUACGUUUAAUGGAUGGUUUGAUAAUUAUCUGUCUUCUAUUGUGUAGCAGAAGCACGGGGAGUUAAAACGCUAACUGGAGGUGCAGGAUCCUCAACAGGAACGGGUAGGCGCUGGACACCCUAACAUAGCUAAUUAUGUGUUUAAAUUAAGUAGUCAAUUGCAACUUUUUUAUUUAGGUUGUGUUAAUAAUAAUAAGUGUGAGCUAAUUUCCCUGGAUUAGAGACUAGUGCCCGAUUUAGGCAAUGUGAGCUAAUUGCCCUAGUUUAGGGACUAGCACCAAGUUUGGGUAAUGUGAGCUAGUUGCCCUAGUUUAGGCACUAGGGCUCGAUUUGGGCAAUGUGACCUAGUUUUCCUAGUUAAGGGACUAGCGCUCGGUAUAGACAACAUAAUUUGUGUACCACGGUUGAGGGUUUGGGCCUAUUUUUGGGCAAAGAGAGAAAUUUUACUAUAGAUAUGAGAUGGAUGUCCGAGGAAGGAUUCAAGUUAACUUUGUCAAGUUAAAUCAAAGAAAUGUAUUUAAUAAAUUUAUAAAUAUUGUGAUUGAAGUGUAUGGUUAAUUUUUAUGUUGAAUUUAAUUUUCAAGUACUUCGCAGUAGUGUGUUGACCCAUAGAGAAUUAAAUAACUAAUUUAGUUUUGUUGAUAAGGAUAUUAAGCGAGUUGUCGAGUAUGGAUUCCAUGGAAAGUGGUGUGUUGAAGAUGUUUGUUAAUUAUAGAUAUGUAAAUUGGAAUGGAGCAUUAAGAAGUUUAUGAUAAAAAUAAAAUUAUCUUUCACUCGAUGAGAAAUGAAAUAACUAGCAUCAGAUUAUUGUUGUAACGAAUUCAGGAAAACAAAUUUAUGAUAGUUGUUGAUCAAGAGAGAAAUUGCAUAAAGUGUAUGACUAAUUAAAGAAGGAUAAAAUAACUCAUUCAAUAAUAUAAUGCACUAAAGGUUAAGGUAUUAGAUCUUAGAUAUUUAAGGAUAUCAUCUAUUUGAAAUUUGUUAUGAAUAAAUGACAUUAAGAUAGGUACUAUUAAGGAGGGGGAGAUAAUGGAUGAGAGACUAUAAAUAUAUUUUUUACGGCUAAUUGAAUAAACAACAAUAAGAAGAAUUAGCAAUAGAAUUCUCAUUAGUGACUUGUAAGAGAUCCUAAUAAUGGUUGAACUCACGGGAUUACAAAUAAAUGAGAUUAUAAUCAUCUUUGAUUAUUAAUAAGAUUUUGUGUAGUAGAUAAUCUAAAGGAACUAUAGAAAAAUAUUAGCAUCAAGGUUAAGGGGAAAAUGCUCAAAUGGUUAUGUGAUAAACCAAGGAGUUUGAUCUGCAAAAGUAAAAGUACAUAGUGUAUUGCUUAUCAAUUUAAAAUAAGCACAUGAAUCAUGAUUAAACUAUGUACUUAUAUAUAUAUAUAUAUAUAUAUAUAUGUUAUGUAAUUAAUUGAAUUGUUGAAUUCUUAUAUGAUGAAUUGAUUUAACUUUUAGGUUCUUUUUAUAUCAGAGCAUACCAAUAGACUUCUAUAGAGGUAUCUUUUGAUAUAGAUAUAAAUAUUAUAAUUUGUAGAUGUUAAUUUGAUAAGUAUUAUAAUUUUGGUUUUUAAUUUUGGGCUUGUAUUUAUGUUUAUAGAAUUAUGGAUAUCAUUAUUAUGUAUUUUUUGUUAAUUAGGUGAAUCAAUACAAUAAUAUAUAUUACUUUAGGAUUAAACCCUAAAGGAUGUUCAUAUUCUAAGUUCUAAUAUUUCUUAGAAUUGUUUAAUUAUGCAAGUUAUGCAAAUCUUAAAUUAUUUAUUUAUUUUGUUUUUAUUGAUUGCUUUAUUAUUAUUGUCAAUACAUGCAUAUCAUUUUGAGAUGUCUUCAUGAGGGAAAAACAUCCAAGAUGAUUAGAUCAUGAUUAGAUAUUGAAUUGUGAUAGAAAUGAAGAUGUCGAUAACUUGGUAUGGUCUCGUUAUAGGGGAAAUUCUACCAAAUUUUUGGUAGAAUUGAAAAAAACAAUUUACCCAAAUUUUUAUGUACUAUAUCGUUGGAAAUUAACUAUAAAUGCAUAUGAAAGUGUAAGGCAUUACAAUAGAUGCUCAAGUUUUGUUUAUAGCUUUGUUUUGAUGUGUUAAAAUAUGAUUAUGGAAUAACAUAUGUUAAUAUAGAAUAUUGUUUUUUCAUGCUUUGAUUUUAAGCUAAUCUUGUUUAAAGUUAUACAAUAUGUUUUAGGUUUAGAUUUUUGUCAUGGUUUAGUUUUGUCUACUGGUGUUGCUGAAUUUAUAAUCAUGUUGUUUAAGAUUCAAGACAUUGUUUAUGAUCAAUGGAACAAUGUUUAUACAUAGGGAGGGGUUUCUUUUGCUUACUGUCAUUAUAGUUUUUUCUUGUUGUUUUUUCCUUUAAUCUUUUGUUUCUUAUUGUUUUGAUGAUUCCAACAAUUUGUAAAAAACAUGUUUAAGCUUGGGUUACUAGAUUUAACUUUCUUUUCUGAGUUUUAUUGCUUUUUUAUAGGUUUAGACCUUUCAUUGGGUUUCUAGGUUUGCUGACUUUUCUGUGUUGACAUUCACAUGUUAAACUUGCCUUAAGUUGUUAUUUUUUGAGUCAUUUUGAUCGAUUGAUAGUUUUAAUGUGUGCAUGCAUGUCUAUUGAUCUUUAAUCUAAUAUUUUUAUAGCUUCAAAACACCAACUAAGAGUUUUUUAUCUUCUUUUCUUUUGUUUUAUUUUUUAUAUAAAAUCAAAUAGUUAUGACAUUACUCGAUUAUCAUGAUGAUUCAGCCUUAAAUUCUUAUUUGAAUAAUGUGUUUACAUGUCUUUGGGUCUUCAUUUUGAUUUGAUUUGGUCUAUUUUUGAAUCUUUGUUUAUGGUUUUCUUUUUAUAUUCUUGGUGUUAUUAAGCAAAUUCAAAUGUUUUUUCCCCUUUGAUCUUUUUUUUUUUUUCCUCUUUGGUUUUGGGUCGUGUUUUGGCAAACACGCCCUACUGAUUUUUCAAUAUUGUUUAUAUUCUCAUUUUUUAUGCUUUUGUCAAACAAACCCACAAAUAAUUUCCAAAAAUUCUAAAACAAUUCAGAGACUAUUUUAAAAUUAUUUGUAAGUCCCUUACAUAUUUUUCCAAUCUUUUCACCUAAAAUUGAGGUUGUGGGCUUAUAUUAUAAAAUACUAACCCGGUAUUAAAAAUACUUACUUUUCUCUAAAACUUCAAAAAAAAAUCUAAAAAGUUCUCAUUUCAAAAAUACAAAAAUAUAUUUUGUGCAUAUGGCCAAAAUUAUUUAUAAAAAAUUCAUGUAUAUUUUCUAAUAAAAAAACAAAAAAAAAUUAUCAUGUUUUAAAAAUAUAAAAUAAAUAUCAUAAUCGGUUUAUAAUUAUCCAUUGGAAUUUAAUCAAAAUUUCAAAAAUAUCACAAAAAUUAAUUUGUUUAAUUAAUAUUCGGGGUAUGAAUUUUACAACGUAAUGCAUACUUCUGGUAUUAAAUUAAAUGAAUUAAUAGCAAAAACAUUAGGAUUUAGCUGUAGACUUUAAUAUUUGGGGGUUUAAAUUACAUUGUAAAGUAUACCCUCAGGUAUUAAAGAUACAUAAUAGAAAAUAAAUGUGAUGUUAAAAUUAGGGCUUUAGAAUGGUUAGGAUUUAACCUAAUAAGAUAGAGAUUUCCUCACGAAAAGAGAUAUGUCUUGAACUUUAGAUGAGACCAAUGGAUAUAAAUAUGACUUAGAUUAACAAUCAAUCAACAAUGCAACUUAUCAUAGAUAGGGUGCACUGGGAGUGAUAAGUAUUUUUCUUGCACAACCAGACCCCUUACCCAGCAGACUAUAGGUUUUUUAGUAACCAUGAUACUAGGUGGCGACUCUUUCAAAUCAUAAAUUUAUGAUUAAACUCAAAACCCCCUUUAUUCCAAGAGGCAGACCCAUCAUUUGACGUAGUGCAUGUCAUGACAAAAAUAAAGAGUACUCUUUUGACAUCAAAAAAGUUGAUUUUUUUUAACUAAUUAAUAUAUGAGAGGAAAAUCAAACUCCUUGACAACCAUAUAAUCUCUGUUGUAGAUCAAAACAAGGGAAAAAUUACUACAAGUGGUAUGACUCAUAAAGACAUGAUACUAACAUUAUUUUUCAAGAACCAUAUUCAAAAGGCAUUAGAGUCUGGUCACAUUCAUUUUCUAGAAAAUAAUAUGAAAAUGGAUAGCAACUCAUUCCUCAAAGUGGAACAAUAAUGACUAAACAUAAGUUAAAAGGACUCGUAAUAAAAGGAAAUUAUAAAAAGUAAGGCUUGGUCAACCAUGAUAAAUGCUUGAAUUUUUCACGAACACUACUACUAUAAAAAGGUACACUGAUCAUGGUAAGGCUAAAGAGUUGGCACUAGAACUUUAGGAAAUACAAAUGUUUUACAUAUCAUACCAUUCUUCAUAAGAAUGAAAACUUAAGGGGAAAACUAAACAAGUCACAACUUAGCGAUAGGUUAAGACUCUUAGACCUUAAAAAACAGCUAACACUAAGUGACAUAAACAACAUUCACAAUAGAAAUCACCUAAACCUAGUCAUGAAGAUGACAAUUUGAUUAAAAACCACCAAUAUCUCCUGGACCUAUAAAGUGUUGGGAUUGGAAUGAUUAAGUAAAAAACAAUAAAAAAAAUAGAAAUUAAGUGCAUGCAACACCUAAUUUACAUGGUUCAACGAAUAUGCCUAUAUUUAUAGGGUUGUGGAGAUUUCGCUAUUAUAAAGAAUAUUUAUAACAACUUUUAUGGCAACACAUUAACUCUUUUUUGUUUGACACACACACACAAACUAAAUAACGUUCAUGUCAUAAGGAUAUAAAUAUAUCAAUCUUUGGGUCAAACAGUAUGCCUUGAUUAAUAAAAGAGUCCAAGCUUAACAAUUCUCCCACUUGAAGAUUGGUUUAACCACUAGCAAAAACCCAUAUGUCUCCAACACAAUACCUAUCUUUAAAACUCAUGAUGUAAAAGUCUUCAAGUUAGUUCAACUAAUAUGUUUGCUAGAUUCUUAAUUCCAUAAAUCUUUUCUAGCAUCAAUUACUCAUCAUUAAAUAUAUAUUAGAUAAAGUGAUAUAUGAUUUGAAUAUGUUUAGUUUUGGAAUGAAAUGUUAGAUUUUUAGCAAGAAUGCACUCUAACUAUCAAGCUAUAAAGUACCCUUAUUGUUAGCAAUGAUGUUUUGUAAAAUUGAACUCUAGGAGAUAAUAGUACCACCUAAAGUGAUACAAGCCCUAUAAUACUCUCUUUGCUUAUAACUCAUUUUAUUGUCUCUCAUUGUUGCAUUUUUGGGUUGGAUACUUAUAUGAUCAUAACUCCAACUUUCUUAACAUGAAAGAUUUGCCACUCUUUUUGAAGUUGAGUUUUUUUAGAUUUUCUAAAAAUACAACUCUCACACAUGUUAGAUAAAUUGAGUUAAGCUCUGAUAGCUCUCUUUUUUACAAAAGUAGCUUCAUACUUUUUUGACAUAUAUGAUCGAGUCUGCAGUGGUAUAGUUCUGCAUAAUUUUUAGCUUUGGUAAAAACAAUGGUAUCUUUUGGUCCUAAGGUCAUAUACAAAAUACUAAUUUUCUUACCAUGAUUAAAGAUAUUUUUUCUUUUUGUGACAAUCAUGUGCCUCUAAAAAAUUUUAUUGAAUGGCCACAAUUAACAAGUUGUCUUGAAAAAAUCAGAUUCUUCUACGAUUCAGUAUCAUGUAUCACACAUUACAAAUUCCAUAUAAAACUAGUUGGCAACUUAAUUUGCUAAUCUUCUACACCUACGACAUUCAAUGGUUCUCCAUAAACCAAGCACAUCAUUUUGUAUCACUGGUAACAUAAUUUUGUAUGAUUUCUUAAUGUUUAGUAUGAAAUAAAGCACCUAACUUGAGAACUCAAUCAUCAAUUGGAAUAUAAAUAACAAGAAUCAUAAUGUCAUGUACCACUUUAGUAGAAACAUUUGCAGAAUCAAUCUUAGCUUUUUCUUGGAGGGUAAAAACCCUUGAAUUCACACAUAAAAAAAACUUAUACUGAGGCACCAAAGUUAUUAGAUAAAAAAGACCAAAACCCUAUGAUUAUAAUGAAUCACAAAUUGGAAGUAUAGGAUGAACACCACAGAGAUAGUUGAUCUUUGAUAAGCCCAAGAAAAGUUCAGCGAAAAACCUAAAGUUUGAGCAACCUUUUACACAUAAAAUAUUAUUUUAAAAUCAAAGUCUAUAAAAAAAUCCAAAUAUGAGCUCAAUAACCCUAUUUAUACUAUGUAAAAACAUCCUAAAGAUGGCACAAAAAAUAACCAGAGAGUUCUAAAAAAAUAGAGAAAAACAAAUCCUACAUCAAAUAGGAAACUAAACAUAGUAACUUCUUGAUUUUAUCACAAGGCCUUAUCGAUGUUUGAUUGUUAUAAAAUUUUAAUCAUAUAUAAAAAAAGGCAUCUAGCAUCUUCUGCAAAUAUUUUAGCCCAAUCCAGUGGUCGAAUUAAAAUUUAUGUUUGUUAGCAUAAAAUUGUCAAUAGAAAAAAUAAAUCCAAAACCAUCUCUAAUGUCAUUGAAUAAUAAGGAAAACCUUGUCAAGAGAGAAUCCACAAAAAAAAAAAAAAAAAACACAAGUUGUUGCCUAAUUGAUCUUCUUAGAAAGUAAGGAAUCCUUUCAAAAUAAGGAUUCCACGUAUAAUUAAAUCCUUGCCUUGUAGGAAUCCACAAAUCAUAUGGAAAAUAGUCUUUGACCGAUUUUCUUUGUUUAUUGGCAUAUUUCAAGUCUGACUUGAAACACAUCAUUCUCUCUCGCUUGAAUGAGUUAUCUGACUUGAAACACAUCAUUCUCUCUCACCUGAAUGAGUUAUUUGUCCUACCAUAUAUGAAUAGAAAGUUUAUCUUUUCAAAAAAGUGGUUAUCAUCAAAUUAGGAUGAAAGAAGGGGAUGAAUGUAAAACUACUUUUAAAACUAAAUAUGGUUUGUAUGAGUGGUUGGUUAUGUCUUUUGAACUUACUAAUGCACCUGGUACUUUUAUGAGAUUGAUGAAUCAUGUUUUGCGUGCUUUCAUUAGUAAGUUAGUAGUUGUCUACUUUGAUGAUAUUUUGAUUUAUAGUAAGGAGUUUGAUGAGCAUAUGGGUCAUUUGAGACAAGUUCUUGAUGUGCUUAGAAAAGAUUUCGUAUAUGCUAAUUUGAAAAAGUGUGACUUUUGCAUGGAUAUAAUUUUUUUUUUUUUUUUUGAAUAUGUUGUUAGUGCAAAAGGUAUAUAGAUAGAUGAGACUAAGGUUAAGGCUAUUUAAGAAUGGCCUAAACCAAAAUCAAUAACAGAAGUUAGAAGUUUUCAUGGUUUGACUAGUUUCUAUAGGAGGUUUGUUAAAGACUUUAGUAUGAUAACCUCUCUAUUGACUGAAAUCAUUAAGAAAUUCAUAGGGUUCAAGUGGGGUGAAGAACAAGAAAAUGCAUUUAGCUUGUUAAAAUCAAAGUUAAUUUCGGCACCAUUACUAUCUUCACCUGAUUUUAAUAAAGAUUUUGAGAUUGAAUAUGAUGCUUCAGGAAUAGGUAUUGGAGCUGUUCUAAUGCAAGAGAAACGACCCAUUGCUUAUUUUAGUGAGAAACUCAAUGGUGGAUCUCUUAACUAUCCCAUUUAUCACAAAGAGUUGCAUGCAUUAGUGAGAGCAUUUAAAAUUUGGCAACAUUAUCUAUGACCCCGAGAGUUUGUUAUACAUACCGAUCACCGGUCAUUAAAACAUUUGAAGGGUCAAGGUAAGAUAAGUAAACGACAUGCCAAGUGGAUUGAGUUUAUUAAAACUUUCCCAUAUGUGAUUAAGUACAAGCAAGGUCAGGAAAAUCUGGUUGCAUAUGCUUUGUCACGAAAGUAUGUUCUUCUUAAUACUCUGAAUUCUAAAUUAUUAGGAUUUGAGUAUAUUAAAGAAUUGUAUCUUGACGAUAAUGAUUUUGGUUCUAUAUAUGAUGAGUGCAAAGUUUCGGCCAAGGAUAAGUUUUUUAGGCAUGAUGGAUUUUUGUUUAAGGAAAAUAAAUUACGUAUGCCUAAUUAUUUUUACGUGAAUUGCUUGUAAGGGAAGUUCAUGGGGGUGGUUUAAUGGGGCAUUUUGGAAUUGCUAAGACUUUGGAUGUUUUACAUGAACACUUUUAUUGGUCUAACAUAAAAAGAGAUGUGCAAAUAAUUUGUGAUAGGUGUAUAACAUGUAGACAAGCUAAGUCUAGAGUAAUGCCUCAUGGGUUAUACACACCUUUACCUGUUCCUAAGGAACCUUGGGUUGAUGUUUCUAUAAAUUUUAUUUUGGGUCUAAAAAAGCACAGGUGGUGAAGGAUUUACAUGCAAAGAUUUAGCAACAAAUAGAGAAAACAAGUGAACAAUAUGCACACAAUGCUAAUAGAGGAUAGAAAUUGGUGAGGUUUGAACUAGGUGAUUGGGUUUGGGUACAUAUAAGGAAGGAAAGGUUCCCUGAACAAAGGAGAUCGAAGUUGAUGCCUCAAGGAGAUGGUCCUUUUCAAAUCAUAGAAAGGAUUAAUGAUAAAGCCUACAAAGUGGAUCUACCAGGUGAGUAUGGUGUUAGUGCUCAAUUCAAUGUUGCUGAUCUUUCUUUGUUUGAUGUAGGUGAAGAUUUGAGUCGAAUUCUUUUAAGGAGAGAAGAGAGGGGAUGAUGCGAUCCAAGCACCAAAGGAUCCAUUGGAGGUUCCGGUUGGUCUAGUUAUAAGGCUUAGAGCUAAGAGUGGACUUCUUCAAGAUACGUGGGCUAAGGUGGAUUUUAAAAGGAUAUUAAAUAAUGGGAGCAAGCCGUGAUUAAUCUUAUUCAUGUUCAAGAGGGGCUUGUUGGUGGAGCCAAAACCAUUACACAAGGAUUGGGAGAAGAAGACUAGAUUCGGACAGUUUGCCCUUUGGCUAUGUUUGUUUAUCAUAACUGGAGCUACAGUUCGAAUUUUGAGGUGAUUCUAGUUGUACUGGAAACUAGACUUCCAUACCUUUCCAACAAUAUAUGGCACACCUUCUAAUUCUUUAAGACGAGAGAGAACCAUCCGUUUGAAGUUGGGCUUCGCUGCUGUCAGACAAAAUACGAAAAUAACUGAAUUUGUCUUAUUAAAUUAGUUGGGCUAUUAAACUUUUUUUAUUUUAUAAGAAAACACUUGUUUGGGUUUUAGACUUAUUUAUUUUAAUUAUUUUGGGCUAGUUUUAGCUUAGGUUGAUUAUUAUUUAAAUUGAGUUUAUAUGUGACCCAUUAGGGAAACUAGGGUUUAUGGCUUGGGGUAUAAAUACUCUUGAGAAUAAUUUUCAGCAUACUUUUUUUUUGCUAAUAAUAUUCUGAUUUUGCUGACAUUUGGUUGUCAAUCUUGAUUCUUGAUUGAACUUUCAAUUCUUCAAAGAAUUGACCAAUCUUUGUUGUGAAUUUAUACUCCUUUAACUCGUCUCCAAGUGUAAGUGUUGUGAUUGGGUUGGUUUAUAGUCUUGCUGCCUUGAAGCAAGUCUUCCAUUGUAAUAAGCUCAUCCUAUUUUCAGCAAACUUGGAUUAGAUAGAUCUUGGGCUCGUGAAUUCUAUUCAACUCCACUAAGGUUCACAUCAAAAUCCAUCUUCACCUCUAAUGAAACCAACCACCAACAUUGACCUAAAAUUUCCUAAUUAGUUGUGCCUACCCUUCUCCCCUUUACCACAUUUAUUUCCAUCUUUUCCAAACCAAGAAACCAUAUCUCUUCACAUUCAUCACUAUCACCAUAACACCCACUAGCAAUAAAGGAAUUUCCAUCCUUUUUUUCUCAUUUACCGUCAUCAAACCAUCAACUCUCUAUCCCCAUGGUGGUUAAGACACAAUAGUAGCUUCUUCCUCCUCUCGGUUUCCACCAUCCACAACAACAUCAUUGCCAACAACCCCUAUCUUGGCUGUGAGCCCUCACUAGCCAUAAAAUUUAGCUUGUGUAACCCAAAACCAAUAACCACCAUCAACUCACCCUUUAACAGUGACAACCCAUCUCUUCCCUUUAAUAAGAAGGAUAUCAACCUCUCAUCCACCCUUUUCAUGGCCAAGUCCAGUCCCAACAGACCCAUGAUUUUUUGGUUUUCCACCAUGCCAUCUUCUCCUGCUUUGAUUGUUAGGAACAAUGGUGACACCACAAUAGCCAUUAAUCCACAAUAGAAAGGAAGAAACAUUAGGAAAAAAUAUAGGGAGAAGAGGAGAUACACAAAUUGAUUGUGUUUGUGUGAUUUUGUUUUCUUUUAUGGGUAGCAGUGACACUCAUCGCUGGUACAUUGAGAAAAAAAAGGGAUAGACGCUUCAAAUCCACUAAGUGUUGGCUUCCCAUUAGUGAUAAUGCAUGAGUUCACACAACAACAAUAACAAUGUUGUAUAGGACCCAACAACUCCUCUGACUAUUCUGACCUUGUCUAGAAGGUGUUUUGCGAAUUUAAUAUAUCUUAAUUCCAUGUGAUAAUUGUAAAUGUAAUUGUUUGGUAUGUGUAAAUUAGUGAAAGAGAUGGGUGUGUCUGUGAUGCAUGAUUUUAAUUCCUAGCACAUGUUAGAACAAAUAACAUAAACAACAAAAAAUGUAUUUUUAUUAAACAUUUGUUAUCUUAAAAAAAUGCAUCAUGGACAAGUUUUAAAUAAUUUAUAAAAAAAAUGUGUUUGCAUCAACUUGUGAUUUCUUAGCUUAAAAAGAAAAAAAGAAAAAGAAACUCAAAAAACAUUUUUUUUGCAUGUUUAGCAUUUUACAUUUUUAGUAAAACAAAUAAUUUGCAUGCUUGUGGGCUUUAUAACAAGUUUAUAAAGUCCAUUAGAACUUAACCCAAAUAAAAUGACUCAUUGAGCCUAUAUACAAAAAAAUAAAUAAAUCAAAACCCAUUAAUUUUUUAUUUAUUUAUGAAAAUAAACAAUAACAAGAGUUUUAAAUAAAAGGUUCAAACCUAUUUUUAACAUUCAUAUGGAUCCAAAGUCCAUUUUUACUCUUUUUUGUUUUUUGGGUCAAAGAUUAUUUUCAUCAUCCAUAUAGGUCAAAUGUUUGUCUUGACCUAUUAGGUAAACAUAUUUUUGGUUUUUCAAAAUUUUCAAUAAGCCUAUUGUUAGCAUGAUGAUUCAACUCACUAAUAUGACUUGAUUGAUAAUAACUUAAAGGUUGUGAUCAAGAGUGAUCAAAUAGUUCAACUUAUUGACAUGAUUUGAUAAAAAAUUGUCACAAGUUGUGAUCAGAAGCGACCAAAUCGUUUAGUUUACUAAUAUGAUUGGAUCCACAAAUAAUCAUAAGUUGUGAUCAGGAGUGAGCAAAGAAUUUUCAAUUCACCAGUAUCAUCUAAAGAUAGUAACUAUGAAUAAUAAAAAUAAAUCAAACCAUAGAAUGGUUAGGUUCAACCUUCAACCUAGGGUUUAACAUUCAGAGAUAACUCAUUGUUACUUUGUAAAUAAACAAUUAGUACACCAAAAUUUUAGAAAUAAAAGACAUCCAGCAAUGCAGUUUACCUCAGGUAGAAUGCUUUAAGGUAAUAUUAUGUUUCCUAUAGCAUAACUAAUCUCUUACGCAAAAUAUCUAAAAGACCACUUAGGGUUUCUAGUUACGAUAAAACUAAGUGGCGACUUCUUUUUCAUAUUUUUACCCUUUUCACAUGAUCUUAAGCUUGCCAUGACGUCCAUCAAGGUACAACAACUACUUCAAAUGGAAUCAUAUUAAAGUUAUUAAAGUCAAUCUUCUUGAUUAGAAUCAUUAGCAUAAUGUUGAGUUUUGCAGUGUUAUCGACCAAAACUCGCUAUACUUGUACACUAUUGAAUUUUGUUGUGAUGUCUAGAAGUUUAAGGUGACAACUCGUAGUCGUUGUUGGCUUAGAAAAAUCAAGACUUUAUUGUUGGUAAUCUAAAUGUUGUAAUUGAUUGAUUUUCAUAAUUUUUGUCUUUUUUCUAUCCUAUUUCUAGCUAUUUCUAGAAUCACAAUUGAGAUUAUGAAAUUAGCCAGGUUUGGCCUCAAAAGAAUAUGGGAAAGCAAAAAUGGUCACUCAUCUUAGUGUCAAAAAGAACUUGUAAUCUAUCAUCAUAUUUGAAUAUGUUUUGUUCAUCUAGUUGUUGAAUCAAGAUUCAAGAUUCAUUAACUUUUUUCUCCUUAGUACAUAAAUUUCAUCCCUUCUUCUAAUAUACCCUCAUCUAGAAAAUCAUUAGCCUUGACAAUCAUAUAAUCUAUUUCUUUAAGUUGAUCUUCUUUGCUUGUGAAGAUAUUUAUGGUAGCCAAUUUAGACUUUAUGAAAACAAUUUGUAUUAGUUUUGGAUAAUAAUGUUGUCCUCAAGUUCUUUAAUUGUCAUUUAAUGAGCAAUAUGUUGUGGUUGUUUGUUUAUUAGGAUUUUUUCGUAGUUUCAUUGAAAGCAAUGUCUUUUUUAUUCUUUAAAAAUAAUUGAAGCUAUCUUUUUUUUUUUCUUUUUUUUUUUAGUUAUCACUUCUUUGAGCCAAUACUAAAAUACUCAUUUCAUUUAUUUAUGUUCCUGAGCUAUUGGCUUAACACAUUGAACUGUUUUAUCUUAUUGGUGUUAUUGGUCAAUUUCUAACCCAUUCUUGACUUUAGAUUUAACUUUCACUUUUUUAACUUGUGGUUAGAGGCCUUUUCCAAAUUUCUAUACUAUCUUAAUGAUAGACAUGUCCACUUUCCUAGAGAUUUCUUUGAAGAUAUGUCUUUUAAGUUGCUUAGUGUCUAAAUCUAUCUCUUGAGUGGAUAACGAUAAUGUUUGGUUCCUUCGUUAUUAUUUCAACCAAGGUCUUUGAUUAUAAUAUUAUCCUAUUUUAGUAAAAAUCAAUCGCCAUAUAUCAUUACUAGAUUCUAUAGGAUUUAGGUCAAUCUUAUCUAGCACUGAUAAAGGAUGAUCUUAGGUGCCUUAUAAUAGUAGUUUGAAAGGUGCAUAAGGUUGUUUAUUAUUGACCAUAUGACUGGUCUAGUUUAUGUCUAAAACGUGUUUCUUUGGUAAGGUUUAUGGUUUUUUUUAAGCUUUCCUUACCAAAAUGUUUAGGCACUAUAUUCUUUCAAAUUCUAUUUUGGAUAAAUGUCUUCGUUUCCAUUAUUUUAUGUUGGACUUGGUUUAUAGAACCUACGUUCUUUUGUUUAUGUUUUUUUUUUUUUGUUAAUGAAGGCCUACUAUCCAUCCCAAGGGUUGAUAUAUUUAUAUCAUCAUAACACUAAGGUUAGUUGGGGUGUAUAUGUUAGAAAAAAAGGAGUUUGUGUGCUAUCAUAAAAAGUUCUUGUAAAAUAUUCUAUAGAAUAGUGAAAUAUUUUCAACCUUGUGGAUAUAGGAAGAUUUGUCAAACCAUGUAAUUUUGUGUUUGGUAUGCUUGAUUUUUAUUUUCUUAUUAUCUCAUGCUUAAUCAUUCCAAUCUUAAUAAGUGGUAUUAAAGCUAGGUUUGGGUUUUAAUGGGAGUAAUAGUUGGAAAAGAAGUAAGGGUGUCGGAAAUUGAUAAAUUUGAUCAUAGAUUUUGAGUAUUGAAGGAUGCAGAUAAAAAAUUACCUUUAUAAAAAGAGACUUCAUUUUCCUUUAUUACAGAAGUCAAAUAAGAUGGAGGAGAUGAAAUGAAACCUUCUUACCGGACAAGUUUUCAAUGUUAUCCACUUAACCUUAUCAAUAUCAGUUGCACGUAAUAUUAUAAAGGAAAGGACCAUAAUAGAGAUGAUGGUAGCCUUGUCCAUCAUAUAUGAAAAGUCAUAAAAAAAACAAAGUGCAUCUGAUAAAGAAGUUGUUCAACCUAAAGAUGAAAUGAGGUAUGUUUGUUGCACACACCUAAAUAAAUUCAAUACCAUUACAAAUCAAUUAUCAUAUGUUGAAAAUGAGUUUGAUGAUAAGAUUCAUGAAUUGAUUGUUUCCUUUACUUCUAAAUAGUAGGAAGGUUAUGAGAAUGGUUGUAAGAAACUCUACUAUAAAGUUUAAAUUGAAAUAUGAUGAUAUAUGUGGCUUGAUUAUGGCUUAAAAGUGCAUAAAAAAAGAUUGAUAUAAAGGUUCGGUUUUAAUUCAACCUUUAAUAUUGAUAUUUAAGAAAUAUGAUGAUAUAAAAACUUAAAUAAGGACAUAUUGGAACCCAAAUUUUGGAGUAAAAGCAAGUCAAAGUCUUGGAAGCAAUAUUUAUGUUAUAAUUAUGGUAAAUCUAGUCACUUCAUAAGGAAUUGCUUAUACAAAUCAAUGAGUAUCACCAAAGGAUCCAUUAGAGAUAUUAAUUGGGUUUAUUACAAGGUUUAAAACUAAAAUGAUCCAAGAAAAAAUCAUUGGGUUGAUUCUGGAUGUUAAGGUUAACAAGUUGCAAAUAUGUUAGACUAGAUCUUUAUGUACUUUCUAUUCAUAUAUGCUCCUAUAUGCCAGCCUAUUUGGUAUAGAUGCUCCUGGAACAAUGUCGAUUUGAUGUUCAAUUUCCCUAAUUGGUGGCAAGCCACUAGGAAUCUCUUCUUGAAAGACAUCUUUAAAUUCCUGUAAAAGAACUUUAACAAUACUAGGAACACAGGAAUCCAAAUUAUCAAAGCUAAAGUUUGUCUCCUUAUACACAAGUAAAAUCAUAGGCAAUUCAGAAAGAUAAGCAUGUUUAAAAUCACUAGAUUUUGCAAACAAAUUAAGGUUUUUCCCCACUUUUUCUACACUCUUCUUUUCUCACCCUUUCUUUCUUCUCUCCACUCUCAGCCUUCCUUCUAUCUUUCUUUCUUUUUUCGUGACCCUUCCCUAAUUUCCUAAGGGCCAAAACUUUGUCCCCUUUUAUUUUUAACUCAUGGCUCACUUUAUUUUCACUAUUCCUUACAUUCUCACCAUGUUGUUUGACUUGUUCUUCCACUUUGGCCGAAUCUGAAUGCUCCUCCUCAUAGCUUUUCUUCAACUGAAUUUGAUCUCCAUACACUUGUUUUGGUGUUCAUGGGGCAAAUGUAUAAAUUCAACCAUCUUUCUCCAAUGAAUACUUGUUCUUAAACCCAUCAUGCUUGGCUUUUCUAUCAAAUUGCCAAGGCCUCCCUAGUAACAGAUAAGUAGCAUGCAUAGGCACAACAUCAUAUAACACUUCAUCCUUAUACUUGCCUACUAAAAAAGAAAUCAUCACCUGUCAAUUCACCCUAACAACACCACAUCCAUUCAACAAUUGAAGUUGAUAAGGCCUCUCAUGCUUUAUGAUAUUCAACCCCAACUUUCUAACCAAAGUUACACUAGCAACAUUAGUACAACUACUACUAUCAAUUAUCAUACUACAUACCUUAUCAUUGAUUAGGCAUCUAGUAUGGAAGAUGUUCUUCUUUUGUUGCUCCACAUCAUCCUUCUUAGUCUGAACACUGAGCAACCUUCUAAUCACCAAAACUUUAUCACCAACAGUAUACUCUAAAUCACUAGCAUCCUCAAGUGGUGGCAUCUCAUCACAAUCAAACUCCUCAUUAUUGGACACAAUCUCUCCAUCAUCCCUUGGAAUCAUAACUCGGCGAUUUGCACACUCUGAUGCAUAGUGUCCCAAUCUCUGACACUUGAAACCCUUUAUAUCACGAUUACGCUUCAGUUGGACUUCUCCCUUAAGUUUUUAAUCACUGGCCAAAACCUGUUUUUUCAUGGAGGUAGGUUCGGCAACUUUAGAAGACACCAAGGGCUUCGAUGGCACACUACCCUCUCUUCUAUAAUUCAUCUUCCAACCCGAAGAAGACCCCGAAUAAGCUCCAGAUCGUGUAUUACACUUCCUUUUCAGUUGUCCUUCAACCUUAAUGGCUAAAUGCACUAACUCUUCCAAUUCAACAUAAGAUUGCAACUCCACAACAUUAGUUAUGUCUCUAUUCAAGCCAUUCAAAAACCUAGACAUAGUAACUUCCUUAUCUUCAUUAACAUUAGCUCUAAUCAUACCCACCUUUAAUUCUUUCUGAUACUCCUCCACACUCUUAAUACCAUGUGUAAUCAUUUGUAAACGAUUAAACAACUCCCUAUAAUAGUGUUUAGGAACAUACCUCUUCUUCAUUAUUGUCUUCAACUCCUCUCACGUGCUAAUUGGUCUUUCUCUAUUCCUUCUUCUUUCUACCACCAAUCUCUCUCACCAAACAAUGCAUAAUCAGUAAACUCCAUUACAGCUAACUUAACCUUCUUUUCUUCAUAGUACCUAUGGAUGUCAAAAAUCAUCUCUACCUUCUUCUUUUUUUUCAAUCUAAGUAAGCUUUUGGAUCAGUUUUUCCUUUAAAGGCUAGGAUUUUUAACUUGAUACUACCUAAAUUUCGGUCUAUAUCACCCAAAACAUCAAAAUCCCUUUUAUACUCAAAAUCCCUAAGUGGUCAAAUAUGUCCCCUCCUUGGUCGAUUCUCAUACCUCUCUCCCCUAUGUGUACGAAACCCACUACCAUGGUUAAAAUCAUCCUUGGCUUUAUCUAUAGAGUUUCCAGUAACACUCUCCUCCUUCCUAGCUUCUUUACCCUUUUUACUACGUCCCCCAUCAGACAUAGUCUCCAAUUUUUCAAUCCUAGUCAUCAGCUCACCAAACAUAAAUUUCAUCUGUUGUUGUAUUCUUAAAAGCCUAUCUUUUGGGAUUUCACCCUUCUUCUGUGGCACACUAUUAGAAGAUAUUUUUUUUAAACCUGCACGAAAAUCGUUAGCAAUAAAAAUAACACCUCACACACUUGUGUUUCACACAAAUUUAUAGGGUUUUCACUCUAAUAUGCUCCCUACGCCUUUUUCCACUCAAAUUGUCUUUCUUUAGUUCUUGAAAUCACUUAACAACAAUUCAAAAAAGCAAACAACUACGCAGUGAAUUUAUAAAUUUCAUAUAGACUCAAGAAGCAGGAAAUUUACGAAAUUAACAAAAACAAAACUAAGAUGACAAAUUCACGAGUAGCAAUGCAAAUUUGUACGAGUAAUAUGACGAUUCGAAGAUGCGAAAUAAACUAAAUGGAAGCAAUAAUACUAAAGAGAUUUACUAUCCAAACUGAAAAUUAAAUCAAACAAUGAUAAAACCUAAAAAAAAGAUAAAGAGCAACACAAAUUCUCAAUGACCAAUUUUCUUUCCCUAACUCUCGGCCAAACUCUAAAAUGUUGAUUUUCUUCUUCUUCUUCUUUUUGGUGGCAACAAUCAAAAUUUUGAAGAUCAAGCCCCUCUUUUUUCUUUUCUUUUUUGUAUACCAAUUCAGCAAUUAAGAAAAAAAAUCAACACUUUUUUAAUGUAAAUAUUGUGGCAAGAUCAAGAUUCAACAAGAACACUACCUUAUGAUUUUGGUGUUCAACAAUUCAAGAGAAUGCAAGAACCCUAAUUUUAUUUUAUUUUUAGUAUAUGUGGCCGAAACUAAUCAAGAAAAAUCAAGUAACAAAAGACACAAAUUGAAGGAUAUAACCUGUGAUUAGAUCUGCUCCGAUACCAACUGAUGUGUACCUUAGCAAAAUUGAAUGGAAUUCGCAAACCCAAGAUCUAUCUAAAGUUUGCUAAAAAUAGGAUGAGUUUAUCACAAUGAAAGACCUGCUCCAAGGCAACAAGACUAUAAACCAACCAAAUCACAACGCCUACACCUGGAGACGAGCAAAAGGAAUAUAAAUUCAUAAUAAAGAUUGGUCAAUUCUUUGAAGAGUUGAAAGUUCAAUCAAGAACCAAGAUUGACAACCAAAUAUCAGCAAAAUCAGAAUAUUAUUAGCCAAAACAAAGUAUAUUGAAAAUUAUUCUCAAGAGUAUUUAUACCCCAAGCCAAAAACCAUAAUUUUCCUAAUGGGUCACAUAUAAACCCAAUUUAAAUAAUAAUCAACCCAAGCUAAAACUAGCCCAAACUAAUUAAAAUAAAUAAAAUAAACAAGUGUUUCCUCAUAAAAUAAAGAAAGCAUAAUAGCCCAACUAAUUUAAUAAGACAAGUUCGGUUAUUUCAGCAUUUUAUCUGGCAGCAACAAAGCGCAACUUCAAACGGAUGGUUCUCUCUCGUCUUAAAGAAUUAGAAGGUGUGCUAUUUACUGUUGGAAAGGUUUGGAAGUCUAGUUUCCAUCACAACUAGAAUCACCUCAAAAUUCGACUUGUAGCUCCAGUUAUGAUAAAAAAAAAAGUUUUGAAAGGUCAAACUAUCCGAAUCUAGUGUUCUUCUCUCAAUCCUUGUGUAAUGGUUUUGGUUCCACCAACAAGCCCCUCUUGAACAUGAAUAAGAUUAAUCAUGGCUUACUCCUCAUUAUUUAAUAUCCUCUUGAAGUCCACCUUAGCCCACGUAUCUUGAAGAAGUUCAUUGAAAGCCUCUUUGAACCUCUUAGCUCUAAUCCUUGUAACUAGACCAACCGGAACCUCCAAUGGAUCCUGUAGUGCUUGGAUCGCAUCAAAUUUUUUAUGGGUUUUUCCUCUAGUUCUUGAAUGAUUCCCUCCACUUAGAGAUGAGCUGAAUUUGGGUUUUUACAAGGAAAAAAAUGAUUGUGGCAGACCAUGCAUGAUGAGAGAGGCUAAAUGUUUUAUUUUUAUUUUUAUUUUGGUCUUUAUGUGGUGUGUGUUUGUGAGUGGACGAGAGAAUUAGGGAGUGAGUGCAUGUGAGAGGUAUGGAGAAUGAGUGACUGUGCUAGUGAGUGGAAAAAUAUAGGGUCCAAUUUUUACUUUUCAAUUCCUUCCUCUUCUCCACACACCACUCACUCUUCUUUUCUUCUUUUUUUUAAUUCUUAGCACCUUAUACAAACAUUCUCCCACUUCCUUUUUUUUUAUUCCUUUUUAUCCAUCUACUCUAGUCUUUUUCUUUAAUCUUCACUGUAGUCCUUCUCCAUCUCCAAUUGCACUAUGCUCUCCGAACUUUUUUCAAAUACAAUUUUUUAUAUUUUUAUUUUUUUGAUUUUUCACAAUGAUUUGUAAACACAAAAAUAAUAGGUAAAAGGGUUGAAAUUAUGAAAUAGCCAAAAUUGGUUAAAUAGUGUUGAAAAUACAUUGUUUGGGAUUUUUGUAUUUUAAAAAAAAAUUAAAAAUAAAGGGUCAAAAUUAGAGUAUGAUAGUAAACAUGUCAAAUUUUAUAAAGGACAUAGAGACAUUAUAGGAGUGUUAUAGAUGGAUUAAUGGUUGGGUCUAAGACCUCCAACACGUCUUUCUUUAUGGUUGAAACAAAAACAAGCUAUAACAUCUUACUUGCACGAGAUUGGAUACAUGCUAACAUGUGUGUGCAAUUAUCCUUACAUCAAACUUUGAUGUUUGGUUAUUACAUUACAUGGUCAAUUGAGAAAGUUAAAGCAUAUGACAAGUCAUUUGUAAUUAACUCAAGAAUGGUAAAUGCAUGGCUAUAUAGCAAUGAUGUUGGCCUAGUCCAAUUUAUGAGCAUAAAUAAUAUGGGUUGCCUAAUCAACUUUUUAGUAAAUAAGAAAUUAGUAUGAAUUGGGUGAAUAACAACAAUUUAUUUCUAGGCCAAGUGACUUGUAUCUAGAAAGUAAUGGUUAGGAAUUCUAAACACAUGAAUAAAUGAGUCACUGUGACUUAUUUGCAUGUUUUAAGGCUUUUAAUGAAGCCUAUGAAUGUAUUAAGUACAAGAUGCGGUGCAUUUUUCCAAUAUUAGACUCAUAGAAACCAUCAUUAUUUGACCAAGGAUGAGUAUUCACUAGGAAAAAUGUAAGGCAAUUCACUCAAGAGUAUAGACUUAAAAUAAUUUAUUCUACUUUUUAUUAUGCCAACACAAUGGACAAGCAGAAUCAACCAAAAAAACUUUAAUAUUCAACAUUCAAAAAUUAGUUAAAAACAAUCAUAAAGCUCGACAUGAUUCAGUGAUAUGAGCAUACAAUAUUUCAUAGAAGAUUGCUUUAAGAACCUUACCAUUCAUUGUAACUUACUUAGAAAGAUUGCACAAUGUGUUAUGAAUAAUAGAUAUUAUCAAUCUAUUAUGCUAGUUAAGUUAGAAAAUUUGUAUAAACAAUUAUCAAGAAUAGAAAAACAAUUUAUAUAAAGGUUACUAAGUUAAAGAGUUGCUUUAUCUUCCUUUUAAAAUAAAUCAUUUUUUUAAGUUUAAAUACUAUAAAUGAAGGAUUUGAAUUCAAAUUCUUUUUACAAAUGUAAAACACUUAGUGUCACCUAACUCAGAGUUAGUGUCAAAUUCUCUUUUCAAAUUCAAGUUAGUGUUGUGUUGACCUUCCCAACCUGUGACAUAAACCUUACCUUGAUCAACCUUCAUUUUAAAUUUUAAAACUACGAUAAUAACAAUUUUUAUCCUUACAUUGACCAGGAUUAACUAAGGUUGAUCAUCCUAAUCUAUAACCUAGACCUUGACCUGGAUUGACCUCCGAAUUAAGUUUGAAAACUAUUAUAAUAAAUACUUUUAUUUUAUAUUAACCCAGGUAAACCCAAGUUGACCCUCCAAACAUAUAAUUUGAGCUUUACUUAGCAUCAACCCCCGAGUCAGAUUUUAAAACUAGGAUAUUAAUCACUUUUAUCCUUACGUUGACCUAGGUCAACAGUCAACCUCACUCGUGACCCAAGUCUUGCCCCAUGUCAACUCUCAAAUCAAGUUUUAAAACUAUAAUAGUAAUCACUUUUAUUCUUUAACUCGGGUUAACCCAUGUCAACACGACUCGCGACCCAAGCCUUGAUUGGUGAAAUAGACUUUUUCCCAAAUAAACCUUUGAAUUGAGUUUUAAAACUAUCAUAAUAAUUAUUUUUAUUCUUUCAUGUCUUAGACAAUUUUAAAACUAUAAGUUUUUACAAUAAUAUUUUAAAAAUAACAAAUAAUAAAUAUUAUUUCUGAAGACAUGUUCCCUAUGUACCUCUUAUUUUAAAAAUACAAAAAUUCACUCUAAAAUUAUUUGUUUCUCUUCAACAAAAAAAUAUUUACAUCUUCAAUGUCUCCAUCUAUUCUCCCCCAAAACAGUAACUAAACGCUGCAUUACUGUUUGUGAUGACCAACGUCUGUCAACGUAAACAGACUUCAUGGCAGUGAGGUCCCUAAUAAGUCGCUUAAAAAAAUAAUCAGGAUCGCUAUCUGAAUAUUACAUGGACGCCACUUGAGCCAUGAACCGCACAGCAUAACAUUUACCAAAAUCCACAAUCAGCACAAGACCACCCCAGUAUCAAUGCCAUGAGUGACGUGAUCAUAUAGGAACAAUUACACCAAGCCCUAUUUUAUCAUUAUUAUGCACUUGUCCUCGUUCUUGCAUACAAGGAUACAAGAAGGAUUUCCGGAACAAAUUAAGCAGGGUUUAAAGUCAAAACUGUGUAGAGAAUAGAGACAAAAAAAAAAACAAAAAAACAUUGGGAGCAGGAAAUAUACGCUUCCGGUGCAUUUUCUUGUAUACUCUCAUGCCACAAAAAAAACGAAAAACAUGAGGAAUACAAUAAGUACAAGAAAUAUUUUCAUCAUCAGCCAUCGGUUGGAUGAAAUACUGUUAAGAUACCUGACCAGUUGGCCCUGCGCGCCCUCUACAUUUGACAGUGACUCAUCCAUGUUCUCGUCAAUCCUGUGUCAGCAAUGCCCUUAGGUGAGUUGUAAAUGAUUGCUAAAUAAACAGUAAUAGAUUAAAGCAAUUUCUUUUGCUUUUGCUUUCAGUAAGGAUUUUUAGUAUGUUUUACAUUUGUUCCUUUAUACUGGUGAAUUUUUACUCCUCUCAAACUGCCAAUCCCCAAUCAUAAGAUGCAUUGGCAGAUAGCAGCAGCCAACAUACCAGUCAUCUUUAAGAAAGACGCAGCCGUGUCUAGGACUUGGAGACACAGAAACUGUUUCCAGUACGAGGAGCUGAAGAGUUCAACUGUCCAGAUGAUCCUCAUGCAUCUAUUUAUGCACAAAUACUGAAAUACUUGUGCUUAAUCAAAGCAUCAUUUGUAGCAAUGGAAACCAUAACAAAGAACAAACCUGAUUGCCAGCUCUCCUUGCUGAGAAACCAUUGUUGCUAGUUGAGUAAAGAUGUUGCUCAGCUCAUGGAUUGUUGACUCCACGUUAUGAAGGGCUUCAGCUCUGCUAUGCAUGUAACUGUCUUGUAGUGGAACCAUUUGCUGUUGCUGCUGUUGCAAAAGCGGCUGGGACUCAACAUCUGUCGAUUUGCUGCAAAGGAGAAGGGACAAUUUUCAGUGGGAAAAUAAAGACUCUCUUGUCUAUAGACAUCAAUCAACCCAUCCUCACCCAAAAAAAAUUCCACAUCAAGAAUAGAGGAAAUUUCAUGAAUUGGUACAUAAGAAAGAAGAAAAGAAAAAAAAGUAAAGAAAAUACGAGGCCAUUCCUACUACAACUUCCUAAUAGCACAACAAAUGCUGUAACUUGUACCUGGGAACUAGCUGGGAUGAGGAUACAGAAGCAUUGGCCCAUGGAGGGGGAGGAGCCUGUGUUGCACUAGCAGCUGUCCUGGAAGUGAGUGGACGCUGACGAACAAAGGGAUUUGAAGAGUCUUUUGAAGCAGUGGAAGAAAACAACUGCCUUCGGUUCUCAUGAACCUUUAGAUUCUGUACAUUUACAUAAAAUUCAAGACAUCAACAAUACAUUACAAUACCAAAAAUCCUGAUUAUGGAAUCUUGAGCUGCUUCAUGUGUUAGAUGCAACUUUCAAUUUACCUCUGUCCGCGUUGUGAGGACUUCUUUAAACUCCUUUGUAGCAGUCAUCAAGCGAUUCUUUAGGUUAUCUACAACUGUGGUUGAAUGAGUUGUAGUAUCACUUGAGAUGUUUCCGCUUUCAUUCUGGGAGUUGCAAAGGAGUUGGAGGUCUACUACAGCUGCAUUAAGUGCAGUAAUAUCUUGUUUUAUAACUGCUGUCAACUCUUGGAUCUCCAGAGUUGGAUCAUCAAACACCGAUGUUCUUUUCGCCACUGAUCAAAAUGCAAGAAAUAUUAAUGCUAAACAUUUUUUUGGCUUCAUUAGAUUAUUACAAGUCAAUUCCAACCUCAAAAUAGCUAUACUGUUUUCAAACUCAGUCUGUAAACAUUGAAUGUAAAGUAAUUCAUUGUUUUAGAUCCAAGCAAUGGAAUGACCGAUUGCUAAAAUAGACUGUGAAAAACACAGAAAAGGCAAGAGAGAUCUAGCACAACAAAAACUCAUCAUAUAAUCACAAAUUUCCAUAAAACUUACAUAAUAAAGGGCUGCAUUUGUAGAAUUCCUGGUGUAAGAAGAUAUCAAUCAAUGAACGGAAAAAUGAAAAGACUUACAAAUCAACAUCCAUUUCAAUGGUUUCAAUUCCUAAAAUUUUGUUGCAGCUACCAUCAAGGUGAUGAGGUCUGAUUAUCAUAUUCAAUCGGUAGUUUUAGAUACCUUCUGACAAUUUUCCACAUGCAACACUCUAUAUUUCCAGGAGGUGUACUGCUCUCCCAGGAGAGCUGAGACCCCAUGGCUCUCCCAGUCAGAAUAAUGAUUUGUUUAAUUCAAAACUUAAGAACAACUUAACUUCUCUUAUUUAUGGAAAUUUACAAAGUUAUAUGAGAAACAGAGGAACUACCAAUAAGAUGUGAAACUCUAAUAGUUGCAACCAUACCCGUGCACUAAUUAUUUCCAGGUUCUGUUUUUGCUGAGAAGAGAAUUCAUCGAUAAGGAUUGAGGAAAUAAGUAAAACAAAAUUACAAAGUAAAUACAACAGAGAAAUUCAAUAUCAUUGACAAUCCACCAGACACUUCUGGAAAAGCCCUCAAGAAAGAGCACCAUAAGGAUGGCAAGAAAACUGUCUUCUCACAAUAAAUGCUUCCAGAGAGUAGUUCUUGAAGAUUCUCAAAUUCAAUUCUAUCCACAUACUCCCAAAAUCUCCAAAAAUACUCAAUUUCCAAGCACUAGUAAUCAUUGAUACAAAGUCACCUCCAUAAAUUUCAUUGGAACAAAAACAAAAGAAGAGACUAAUAAAAGAUGGGGAUCAAGAUGACAAUACUUACAUAAUGAGCCUAAAUUAGAUAAGAUUGAAACUCAUGUAAGUAAAAUAUGAGGAAUAUGAUAAUUCUCACUAAGAAUCAGUAUAACAAAGUUGCCUUCUCAUUAUAUUCACCUUCGUCAACUUCUUCCCACUCCUAUGAACUGAAAACCUUCAAAAUAUGCCAGGUUAAGUAAUUUGAACCUUAAAAUUAUGUAAAUGUUCUCCUAGGAAGCAUAAACCAUGCAUCAAACUAACACCUGAAGAAAGUGGAAAGAGCAACUGAUCAGCUGAUGCACUUUGGUUUGGUCUGAGUUGCCACAAUAUCCUUGUACCACUCCUAUAUUUUUAUUCGGAAGAUUCUUUCCAGAAUGCGGAACAUUUUCAAUAAAGAACAUUAAAUUUAUUGAUUACACUUUCCAAAUUAACAAACAAUAAUCUUAGUCUAAGACUAUGAAUAAUAAAGGAAAAAUAUUUGUAAAGGACCAACUAUGAUUACACUUUCCAAAAAUAUUUUAAUUAUGUAUUUUCUAAAUCACAUUUGGCAAAACACAUUUCUUUUCUUGUCAUACAAACAUUUUUUCUUUUGUAAAGGACCAAGAAUUGAAAAAUAACAAAGACGAUAGCAUUCAAAGAUAGAUAGAAAGAAUGAAAAAACAACCACCAUGCGAGAAACAGUUACCAAUUUUUCUGAACAUGUGCUAACUCCCUUCCAAAAAGAAAUAAUAAUAAUAAUAAUAAUAAUAAUAAUAGCAGCGACAAAAACUUAUCCUUAAGAAAUCUCUAUGGAUAAACACAAGAUAUUCGGAUCCUCACACUUCGAAGAACAUAGCUCCAGCCCUCGUACUUGCUCUAGGAAUGAAUAGAAUUAUUGUUUUACACCAACGAUGAAGUGAAUUUUACUAAUCUUGUGUUUUAAGAAUGUACCAAAUUCUUUCUUCAAUCAUUACCAUUACAUCACCAUUACCAUUGCCACAACACGAUAUUACUCGCAUCAAUUAUCAAUCAUCAAAAUCAUUUAAAUUGAGGACAAAAAGAGAAGGAAGUAGCUCACGUUUUGCCAGCUUCGCCAGCUUCUGAGAUGUCUGGUGGAUCCCAUACCCGAUCAUGGAUGCUCUUUUACUAAAUUCGGAUUGAAUCGCCACAGCAGAUCGCUUAGCAUCCGGCUUCGUGCUGCUACCGGUACUGGAUGAUGCCGCAUUGCUCGCCGAUGAGAACGAUUUCUUUAGCCUCUCUGCUACACUCAGAAACUCUUGUGUCCGGUCCCGAUAGGAUGUUUUUACCGGCGGCAUCAUCUAAUUUUUACAAAAGAAAAAUAAUAAUUCUAGUUUAUUAUAAUCUCGAAACCCUAAAUUGAGGAUUGAUUGGGUUGUCUGUGAAACGGCAAGAGAUGCUGCGUUGGGGAAGAUAAAGCAGGACAAAUUGUAAAUAGGGGUAGAAUUGAGGAAGAUUAUAAAACGUAAAAGGAAAGAGUGACUGACCGCUUCCUCAAAGCGAGAGGAGAUCUAGAUCUACCUCAUCAAAUUCUUUUCUUUCUUUCUUUCUUUCUUUUGUCCAGUUUGGGUGCAGCUGCAAAAUUAAAACGCACAGUUUUAAGCUCCGACUGGUUUUACGACAUCGUUCAGAAGUAUAGCGUUAGCUAAAAUCUUAAAAAGUGGGGCAUGCUGCGUCCAAUUUUGAAUACUUGUUUUGAUAACCAUUAAUCAUUAUUCUAGUUUUUUUUUUCUCAAAAAAAUAAUAAUUAAAAUUAUAUAUAUUGAGAAUCAAUAAUUUUAAUAACCAGUCCAUCACUGGACUUGAUUACUGCGCUUUGAUGCAGGCAAUUGAUCGUGUUGUUGUUACCAGCGAUUGUUGCCGAAAAAAGCACAAAUUAUUUUUGGAAAGUUACUAUUAUCAAAAUAUAAAUCAAAAGAAGGAGAGUAUGCUGGAAAAUUUUGCAGCAGCAGUUGAUACUAGGAUCGCCAUCAGUUUUCAACCUUUGUACAUGUGUAUGCAAUUCUAUUUACAGGAGAAGUCUUACCCUAUAAAUUUUAACCUAAUAGGCUUUGGAUCCUAAGCUAGUGUUACAUUAGGUGACCCGCGUUACUUAAAUUUUAUUUUGGUAUAAAAUAUAUCAAAAAAAUAUAAAUAUUUUUUAAAAUAUAUAUAUAUAAUAUUCAUGUAAUUGGUUCGAGUAAAUUUAAUAAAUUUUAUUAAUUUAAUAAUAUCAUUAGAAAAUAAGAUAUCAACAAUGAUACGUCAUGGUUUCCUUAAGACUCCCCUGUUUAAAGGUCAUCGCACAAAAAUCAUAACCCAAAAUGCAGCUAUGUCUUUUUUAGUGCCCAACCCUAAGUUGGGCCGUGGCAUUCUCGCGCCCAACUCCAAGUUGGGUAAGGGUACGUCCGCGCCCAACCCCACAUUAGGCAACGGACGCACCCGCACCCAACUCCACGUUGGGCUAUGGGGGUCAACACCCAAUCCCCUAUUGGGUCAGGGACACGAUCGCGCCCAACUCCACGUUGGGCUAUGGCAUGUUUGUCCCUAACCAUUCUUGGGUGCAGUCACAAGCUGAACUCAACUCCUUUUGGGCUCAGUGUGUGAGUAGAACCCAACACCCUCAGGUUGAUUGCAUAGCAGAAAGGUAACUCCACACUAAGUCUCUCAUACUCUGGGUCUGGGUUAGUAAUUAUGAUACUCAUCGCAUUCUAUUAAAUACGAACAAGCAGUUAAUUAGACUUGAUGGUACGAGCAGUAAAAUAAUAUUAUCUUACUAGUAUAAGAUUACAUUUCUACCCCUCCUACGUUACAUGAAACAGGUCAAGUCAGAUAAUAUAAAAGAGAGCAGUAAUAUACGAAAAGGGAUUCGAAACCUUAUACUUUGAUACAUAAACACACUUCUUCUUCUUCUACCUGAAUUCUAUAUCUUCUUCCCUUUCCUCUUCUUUAUCUUCAUAAAAGCUGAUUAAUAUCUUCAUUAAUGUCAUUUUAACACAUGAAAAUACCUCGUACUAACUUAAUCUUUGGAGGGUCCCCCAUCAACACCCCCAGGGGUCUCUAAGGAAUUUUAUGCAUGUAUUUAUUCCAGAAGAAUUUCACACCCUCUGAGGAGAUCCAUUAAAGAAGAAGCCGAAAGUAAAGGUCGUAAAACACGUUGUGAAUGACAUACAAGGAUCUCUAAGAGCAAUUCAUUCCAGAAUAUCCCUUGUGAUUUUUGUAUCCUCAUCAUUUGGCGCCGUCUGUGGGAACCUUUACAAAAAGCUAAUUACUUCUCCAGCAAAAAACUAAGCUUUGACGUACGGUUCCAUCUAUUACACCAACACGACAGAUCCAGGGUAUAUCACAGAUACCAACAUUGUUGUUGGUACGUCCGCCCAACCUCAGAUUGAGAUGAUGGUUGAGCAGAUAUGUUUGCUCUCUAAAGAGGUCGUCAGAUUGAGAGAACAGCUUACGGUUCAUCCUCAACUAGCUCACGGUUCAUCCUCAACUAGCUCACGAUGUCCCAGCACACAUCUUACCACCUCAGCCACAAAGAACCCUUGUAGCCCGAAGACGCCUCAAUUAUGUAGAGGGAUAUGGGUAGAAUGAAGAGGAACCACUUAGAGAUCGUUCUCGUAGUCCAACUCGAGAACGUUCACAUCGUCUCACGUUACUAGUGAGAAGUGAACAUUCUCGUAGAGUUCAAACUAGCCACCGUGGGAAAGAAAGAGUUCAUCACUCCCACCAUUCCAUGCUAGAUUCCUUCAGUUCAUCUGGUUCACACCGAGAACGACCUAGAAGAAGGGCUGAGGAGAACUUACGGCAUCACCAACCUGCCCACUAGUACCAAGUGGAAGGCUCUCCAUUAUCCAAGAGAGUUUUGGAAGUCAAGGUACCCAAAGAGUAUUUAUCCGCGAAGAUGAACCUAGACAAAUAUGAUGGACUUACAGACCCUCGGGAACAUAUCCAGAAUGUGAGGGGGAGCCUUGAGCUGGUCAUCCAUGAUAAUGACGUCAUGUGUAAGAUAUUGCUUACCACCUUCAGAGGGGACGUGAGGACAUGGUAUAACAACUUGAAGUCAAGAUCGAUCCUGAGCUUCCAGGAUCUAUGUGCUAAGCUGGUAGCACGUUUUAGCACCAGCAUCCUCAUGAAAAAAAGCUCCACAGAGCUAUUUGGAAUUAUCCAAAGCGAGAAGGAGUUUACUCGGGCAUAUCUGAGGAGAUUUAAUGAAGAAAUGCUUUGAUCAAGGGGGUUAGGAGUGAAGAUUUGUGGAAACAGCUCUACCCGCUACAAGACAGAACUCUCCUAAGGGUCAAAUAGAUGAUCGAGAGCCAUAUCAGAGUGGAGAAAGCCUUGCCUGCUCGUAGAAACUCCUCCUAAAUUCAUAGAAAGGGGGUUAGAGUUGAACCUCCCAACCGGAACCGUUCCCCUAUCAAACGGCAAGAUGUUAAGAAGAAAUGGUCUUCUAGGGAACAUCCUACUAGGUUUGAAAGGGUCUACACCUCUGUGAACACCAGUUAUACAUAAAUCUACACGGCUUUGAGGGGUCAGAACUUGCUUUAAUAUCCUCCUCCUUUAAAGCCUAAUCCCAAUCUCAAGUUCUCUAAGAAGUACUACCAGUUUCAUAUGGAGAAAGGACAUGAUACCAAGGAUUGUUAUGCUCUAAAAAAAGAGGUGGAGAGACUUCUAGCACAAGGAUACCUCAUCCAGUUCUUAAAAAAGGAUUCAUCUCUAGACGGGAGAGAGGUGAAGUGAGACAACAAAGACCAGCACUCCUAGAGGUUCUUAUCAUACUAGGGGGCUCAUCAACCAAUGUAGGCGUCACCAGUAAUAAAAGAACAAGGCUGGGAGAUCAAGUUCUAGUUACAAUGGGUUAAGAAAGUUCUUGGCAUAAACCCAUCACCUUCACUCUUGCUGAUGGACAAGGGAUUAAACACCCACAUGAAGAUGCCUUGGUGAUUUCCACGGUCAUGGAGGGUCACAGGGUCCACAAGAUCCUAGUGGAUAGUGGUAGCUUAGUGAACAUCCUAUUAGCAGAGGUCAUGACAAAGAUGGGCAUAGACGCCUCCAGAAUGACUCUUGUGCUAACACCUCUCAUCGGGAUAGAAGGGUCAGCAGUGCUUGUGAAAGGGGCAAUAGGGUUUACCGUCACUAUGGGAACUGCACCUCAUUGUGUAACUCUCCAGCGGACAUUUAUGGUCAUUGACACCCAUCUCUCAUAUAAUGCCAUCAUCUGGAGGUCACUGCUUCACCAAAUCAGUGCAGUAGUCCGUACUAAAUAUUUGACCCUGAAGUUCCCAACUGUUAAAGGGGUAGUUGUGGUGAAGGGGAACCAAGAAGCCUCAAGAGAGUACGCAAACACAUGUCUGAAGGGCAAGAAUGCCCUAUUGAUUAAUCGUCUUCAAGCCUACGAAGAGAAGCCCGAAGUCAUAAUAGAGGCAGCUGAAGAACUAGUUGAAGUUCGUUUGGGCUCCACCAAUAAAGAGGUCACGAGAGUGGGUUGCACCCUGAACAGUCAAUAGAAACACGACCUCACGGAGUUGCUGGUAUCGCAAAAAAGCAACUUUGCUUUCCAUCCAGAGGACUUGCCAGGGAUCAACCCUGAAAUAGCUUCACAUCGGCUGAAUAUAGACCCUAGCUUUCCUCCUAUACGAUAGAAAAAGAGAAGUGUAAGGAGGGACAGACAGAAGGCCAUCUCUAAGGAGGUAGAUAAGCUCAUGUCAGCAGGAUUCAUGUAGGAGGUAACAUACCUUGAGUGGCUCGCCAACGUUGUGAUGGUAAAGAAGGCUAAUAACAAAUGGCAAAUGUGUGUGGACUUCAUCGACUUGAACAAGGCAUGCUCGAAGGAUAACUAUCCCCUUCCCAAAAUAGAUAAAUUAGUGGAUUCAACAGCGGGGUAUGAGUUCCUCAACUCAUUGGAUGCAUACUCUAGGUAUCAUCAAAUUCUCAUGCAUCUAGCUGAUGAAGAGAAAACAUCCUUCAUAACCAAAAGAGGGACCUACUGCUACAGGGUUAUGCCUUUCGGUUUGAAGAAUGUAGGGGCAACAUACCAGAAGAUGGUGGACAAGGUGUUCAAACAUCAGUUAGGCAGGAUCAUGGAAGGAUAUGUGGAUACAUGUUGGUAAAAAUUAUGACUUUUGAAUAGCAUCUACAAGACCUUAAAGAAGUCUUCCAAGUACUGGAGAGCCAUAGUAUGAAGCUGAACCCCUUCAAGUGCGUGUUCGCCAUCCGGGGGGGUUCUUGGGUUUUCUGGUCAACCAUAGAGGGAUUGAGCCCAAUCCAAAAAAAAUUCAAGUACUGUUGGGCAUGAACCCCCCCUAGACAGUGAGGGAGGUGCAACACCUUAUAUGAAGGUUAACAGCUUUGAGCAGAUUCAUAACUAGAAUAGUGGAACGAGGUUUGCUAUUUUUCAAAGCUCUAAAGAAUACCCCCAACUUCCAGUGGACACCUGAGUGUCACAAAUCCUUUGAAGAGCUGAAGGUUUACCUUUCCUCCCUAAAUGUUCUCUUUCAGCCCAAAGAGGGGAGACUCUGUUCUUGUAUUUGGGGGUGGCAGACCGGGUUGUCAAUGCAGUGUUGGUCAGGGAGGAAGAAUGAGUACAACGUCUGGUCUAUUAUGCGGCCAAGACACUUUUAGAUGCCGAAACCCGCUAUUUGAGGAUAGAAAAAUAGCCUUAGCAUUGGUGACAGCUUCUAGGAAGCUGAGGGCCUACUUCCAAGCACACCAAAUGGUGGUAUUGAUGAACUAGGCUUUGAGAUAGAUCCUUCACAAACUAGACAUGUCAGGACAACUAGUGAAAUACGCAAUAGAAUUGGAAGAGUAUGGGUUGUAGUAUAAACCAAGGCCCGUAAUCAAGAGGCAAGCUAUGGCCGACUUCAUAGUUGAAUGUAGAUGUAAGAGUAUUUAAUUAUAAAUACCAACUAUAUGAAAAACGAGUGAAUGUUUUUGGGUCAGACGAGUUGGCCGUGGUACACACCUUACUCAUCAAAAUUUGAACUCGAGUUGGAGCCUGUCCUAUGCCUUUGGAUAGGUACUAGACCCAUCAACAUCUAAUUUUAUCAUAUUAAUGUUUAAGAGUCUGUUUGAUAUUAUGGUAAUGUAAAAUAUUUUUUAUUUAAAAAUAUAUUAAAAUAAUAUAUAUUUUUUAUUUUUUUUUAUAUUAGUUCAUCAAAAAAAUUUAAAAAUAUUAAAAAAUCAUUUUGAGAAAAAAAACCAUUUUUUUUUAAAUAUUUUUCAACCGUGAAACAAAUUGGGCAUUCGUACAUUUAUGUCCACGUGAUUUACAGACCCACACGUGAGAUAAUUUAGUUUUUCCAAAAGUGAUACCGAUGAAAAAGAAAAAUUGGACGGAAGUGUUAGAUUUGUGCACUAAAGUCGGACUUGCUAUAUUACAGAUUGACCGCCAAGGACGCUCCAAGAGAAAAUUCCAAAAAAUCCAAAUUCUUUCGCUCUCUUUUUGUUUGGUGGGAAAUAGAAGCGAAGCCACCAAUAAAGGAAAGGAAAAGAAAGUCAUAAAAUGAACACAGAAACAAUGCAGCGGAAUCGUCAGGGUCAAGGGUCGAGAAUUUCCAAGCCUGCCACCAUUCAUAGCUGUGCUCAAUCGGGAGAUCUUCUUGGGUUCCAAAGGUUACUCAGUGGAAACCCUUAUCUCCUCAAUGAAAGAAACCCUGUUGUAAGAUCCCAUUAGUUUCCUUUCUUUAAUUCUCAUCAUGUUCAUGAUUCUGUUUUGUUACCGGGUGGGUUUUUCUAGGUUCUGUGAAAAUGGUGUUCUUUAACGGGUAUAUUGUGAAAAUGAAAGAUCUUGCUUCAUUUUAUCUGCUGGGUUGGUUCGUGUAUUUUUGCUCGUUUUGUUCUUGUGAUUGGUUGGUGGAUCUGUUAUGGACACAAUUGAAUGGAAACUGGUGAAUUUGUUGUCACUUGUAUUGUUGACUAUGGUAUCUGUGACUGAGUUAAAGAAAGAAGAAAAGUUCAUGCAUCUUUUUAUCUGACUGUAUUUUUUUUUCUUUAAAUUUUAACUUGAUUUGCUUAAUUGCAGAUGGCGCAGACUCCACUUCAUGUUUCUGCUGGUUACAACAGGGCUGAGAUAAUUAAAUUUCUUCUUGAUUGGCAAGGAGCUGAGAAGGUUGAACUGGAGCCUAGGAAUAUGGUAAGCGGAGAGUACAUGCUUAUGUGUCAGUUUCCUGGUCAAAUUUUAUACCAAUUGCUUAGAUCUUUCUAUAAAUUUAUGCAAGCUUCUCUUGAUUAACACAUCUGAUUUCGUUGUGGUUGUUAUCAUCCUGAAAUUUGCAGUAUGGAGAAACUCCUUUACACAUGGCAGCAAAGAAUGGUUGCAGCGAAGCUGCACGGUUGCUUCUUGCUCAUGGUGCUAUUAUUGAAGCCAAAGCGAAUGUCUGCUUUCUUGGCGCCAUGUUAUCCAUUUUUUGUUUUGUUUCAAAUUAAAACUGGGAACUUUUUAAGACAAUUUCUAAUAUGAACUGCUUUUUUCCUACUUGUCUUAUUCUUGCAGAAUGGAAUGACACCGUUACACCUUGCAGUUUGGUACUCAAUCAGAGUGGAAGAUCACUCAACUGUUAAGACAUUGCUGGAGUAUAAUGCUGACUGCAGUGCAGAGGACAAUGUAUUGUAGAUGCCAGUGCCCAAUUUUUUCCAUUUUAAAUUAAUUUUCUUUAUUAUAAAACACUGGUAAUUUGUGUAACCUUAAAUUUGCAGGAAGGCAUGACUCCUUUGAAUCAUCUCUCACCAGGUCCAAGGAGUGAGGAGUUGUGUAAACUAUUGCAGUGGCAUCUUGAAGAGCAGAGAAAGAGAAAAGCACUUGAAGCAUGCUCUAAAACAAAAGCUAAGAUGGAUGAACUUGAAGAUGCUUUAUCAAAUGUUGUGGGGUUGCAUGACCUCAAGAUACAACUGAGAAAAUGGGCAAAGGGUAUGCUUUUGGAUGAGAGGCGCAGGGCCCUUGGUAUGAAAGUUGGUCUGAGAAGACCGCCUCAUAUGGCUUUCUUGGGAAGCCCUGGAACAGGUAUUGGGCUGUUUGAUUGUUUCUGUAUCAUUAUGCUAUUUCAUCAUAUUCCAUAAAUCAUUCUUCAGUCCUGAAAUCCAAAAAAAGAAAAUCUUGAUCUAAUAUUUUAGUUUUACUAUGCUAUUUUGCCUUCUCUUCUGGUGAAUAACUUAUGAUCUUCCUUUUUGCAAGUGUUUCAGAAUUCUCAAAUCCCAUUGCUAUUUAACAAUAAUUUAAUGAUUGCAUUCUCAUGUGUAUUGUCAAACUUGUGUCAUUAGCUUGGAUUAACUCUUAACACUCUUGUGUUGUGGAGACAGACAAUGGAGUUCUGAGCUAAAUUUAAUAAGGCCUUGUUGCCAAAAAAUUGGCUCGAUGCCCCCUUUUGUAUUCCACUAUUUACUGAACCACAGUUUUCAUUAAAUUAUAGACCAAAAUCUCUUUUUCCAGAUAAGUCAAUCCAUCCCAUUUUGUUUCUGAGAUUGUUCUUCUCAAACAUUUGCAAGUUUUCCCAGUUAAUGCUACCUGUACCUUAUAGUUUAUGUUGCCAGUUGGCUUCCCCUAUUAGAUGUGAGAAGGAAAGACUAAGCUGCUCAUGAUGUUCUUGGGGUGACAAAAAAGAUUAUCAUUCAUUUCUUCAGUUUAUCAAUAUGUAUGCCUGUUGCUCUCUUGUUUAAACCCUUAUUUCUCUUUAGGAGUCUGGAUCUCAUUUUUUGCUGAAAAGUGGUAGAGAAGUACAAGAAUAGUCAACUGAUUGAUUUUAAAUUAUCUUGUGAUUGAACUCAAAUUUUUCUGUAUAUCUUUGAUUAAGUCAUAAAGUGAGAUGAUAAUUAUCAUAUUCUAUAGGUAAGACCAUGGUAGCUCGAAUACUUGGAAGAUUACUGCAUAUGGUAGGAGUUCUACCUACUGACAAGGUAACAGAAGUACAACGUACAGAUUUGGUUGGUGAAUUUGUUGGUCACACUGGACCCAAGACUAGAAGAAAGGUUUGUUGCUGGGGUUUCUGAAAUCAAAUGUCAGCUUUCUUGGCAGAUAAUGUAAUGCUUUCUUCUGCCAAACUAAUUUACAACACCUGUUGCAGAUUGCAGAAGCAGAGGGAGGAAUUCUUUUUGUGGAUGAAGCAUAUCGGCUUAUACCAUCGCAGAAAGAGGAUGAGAAGGACUAUGGGAUUGAAGCCUUAGAAGAAAUUAUGUCUGUUAUGGACAGUGGAAAAGUCGUAGUCAUAUUUGCUGGCUAUAGUGAACCUAUGAAGCGUGUGAUAUCUUCAAAUGAGGGUUUCUGUAGAAGGGUUACCAAGUUUUUCCAUUUUAAUGACUUCUCUUCUGAAGAUUUAGCAAAUAUUUGCCACAUCAAGAUGAAUAAUCAGGAUGAAGGUAGUUCGCUGUAUGGUUUUAAAUUACAUUCUUCAUGCAGUGGAGAUGCCAUUGCCGCCCUGAUUGAGAGAGAAACAACAGAAAAGCAGCGUAGGGAAAUGAAUGGAGGUUUAGUAAAUGUCAUGUUAGCUAAUGCUAGAGAGAUUUUGGAUCUCAGGCUUGAUUUCAACUGUAUCGAUACCGAUGAACUGCAGACCAUCACCUUAGAGGAUUUGGAAGCUGGCUGUCAACUGUUAUAGUCAUGAUAAGGAAAGAAUGUUGAGUAAUAUAUUUUUGGUAGUCUGGUAGGAUUCCAUUGUUUUCUAAUGUUUAUAUCCUCGUUCCUCCAACUGUCUUGGGGUCUAAGUUUGUCAAAGAUUUUGCAUAUCCUGUCCAUGAUCAGGAAAGAAUGUCCUGUUUGUUGUUGUUUUAGUUUAUGAAACGAGGGAAAUGUCCUCAUGAUAGGUAUUCCCUCAAUCUCUUAUUAAUUCAUUCAUAUGGCCAUUCAUUAUGCCUGUGCCUUCUUGUAGUUAAUCUUUUUCAACUUAUGCUUACAAAUUUCUUUGUAUUCUGUAAUUGUAAAACCUUUGGCAUUAGUAAUUCUAUUAUGAAUCCCUUCUUCAUCUUUCCUAUUCUCUCUCUCUCCCUCUCUCUCCAUCGUGGGGUGUGGAGAGAAGCAAUUAUGGUCUCAAGUUCCCUAUCGAUUAUACUCACUGCCCACCUCUUCAAUUCCUUCAAUUUGAACCUCUCAUUUAUCUUCUACAUCCACUUCUCUGAGGCCUAUACUAAUGUUUAAAAACAACUCAAAGCCAGUCAAAAUUUCACCUUUUCUUUGCUUUUCUUUUCAACGAUCUUCAAAAGUGUUUGCUUUUUCUUCCAAUAAUCAAGAUGGGUCAGCAGAACAGUUCUUAGAAAACAAUUCUAUUGUGGAUCUCAUGAAGUUCAAGAGAGGCUCUGAUAGAAGCAGUGGUGAGUUGCAGACUGCUGCUGUUGUUUAUAGAAAGAGACUCCCUUGGUCCAUUCUCUACCCUUUUUUUCAGGUACUUCUUUCUCAAUCUUGGCUUGUUUCAAUUGGGUUUGAUGUUUUAGUGAGCUUACUAAAUUAUUUAUUGUUUGCUUUUGUUCAUAUACAAUUUUGCCCGUGCUGGUUGAUUUGGUUCUACAAUUCACAUUGCGGAUAAAGAGCAUGUCCUACUUUGUUUGAAUAUGGUUUUUUCAUUUCUCUGGUGUUGUUUAAGAUUGAUUACAGACGGUGUGUAUAUCUUAUCUUAUACGAAGGCUACAUUUAUUUUUUAAUUAUUUGAUACUUCUAGUUAUACUGAUGCAAUAAAGUUUCUAGUAAUUAUGAGAUUUGUGAAACUCGAAAUAGAUCUUUAAAAAAUAAAUUUAAAAUUUGACUAGUUGAAUUACACCCCUCAGGAUUAAGAUAUGAUUUAAUAUUGCAAGUGGAAUAUGGGUGGAGCAAAUUUUGGCUCCAACCCAAUCCAUUAAAUUUUUACUUUUGAAGAACAUAAAAAAGAAAAGAAAAAAGUUUAACACCAUUUGGUAUGUGGAUGUGUUGCAUGCUUACUUCCCUUGUGAUGAAAAAGUUUAUCUUAUAUGAAUGAAACUUUAGUAAUGAAAAUUUUAUUCGAAUCUUAUUGAGACCAAUUUAAACUGAUUUAAAUGAAUAGAAUUUUUUGUAUUCGGGUUUUAGUCAAAUUUAGGUAUUCCUUAAAAUAAAAAAGUUAGAUCUAAAUAAAAUAUGGAUAUUGCCCGACUCCGCUUGAACCUUAUUUGAACUAUAAAAAUAACUUUAUUUGUUGCAUCCAUAUCAUUGAAAUGAGAUAUAUGUUGUUAAUAUAUCAUUGAAAUGUGUUGCAUCCAUAUCCCUGUUGAGAAUAUAAUGCUUUCUUUGGAUAGCAGGUUGUUUCUCUCUCUAAAGAGGUAUCUUGAAGGCUGUAGCAUGGCUCUUGCUUGUAGUUCCCAUGUCAUCUCAUGUCUCAGUUUUGUUUUGUUUUUUUUUCUGCUUUUAAUUAUUAUGAACUACUAGUUUGCAGGUCUAUUUUUAAUUAUAAAAUAGGGUCAGGUACACAAGCAAGGCAUAAGGCCUCCAAAUUUGCUCGUGUCUGAUUACUACUAGUGGGCUAGGCUCUGGACCUAGCCCUUACAUUGUAAGAGAUGAUUUGUCGUCUGUCAUAUUUAAAAUAAUAAUAAAAGGUGAACAACAUAUCAUUCGUUUGUUUAAUAAAAAAAAUAAAACAUAGUGGCUAGGCACUAGGCCUCUACCUUCGAUGUCUUUUUCCUUUUUCUUUUUUGUUUGGUUUUUUAGAAACUCAGAAAAUUUUUAGCACACUCACUUAGUCUUGAGUUUUAACAUUGUUUUUAAAUGUUAUUAUGAAUUUUUAUUUCAAUUUUAAUAAUUUGUUUUCAAUUAUUAUGUAUAUGAUCUAAAAAUAAUAAUACUAAUAAUAUAUUGUUCAUGAGAAUUGAUUGAAAUUAGUUUUUUUAUUAUUAUAAAUUUUAGAUAUUAUAAAGAAACAAGUACUCGGGUUUGAUUUUUUUUUUUUGAUACCUCAAUCUAUGAGGUCAAAGCAAUUAACUGACUUUUUUAGGCUUUCCGCUCAAAAUAAAAUGAAAUAAUUAUUCCUUCUUUUUUUUAUCAAUAAAGUGAGGAAUUUAGUUGGAACUUACUAAUAGACGUUUUUCAGAUUAGGCUUUGUAUCAUUGAACAGACACCAGGAUUCUCUCAAUGCUAAGAAAAGCGCGAGAAAGGUAUAAAUGGAGAGUGCUGUGGUAGAUUGGCGCUUUCCUAUUUGAAGAAGUUGCAGGUAAUGGAGGAUUCUACUGCACAACAACGACCACCCAAAAACACACAUACACAGACAUGUUUGAUCACUAGCAGUUUCUUACGAGUAUAUAUCAUGUUUCCAUUCCCUCCCUUGGGAUCUAAGAAUUAUCAGUGUUCUUCUGGAUGCUGCUCUCAUGUGUAAGAGAUGCUAAUCAGUAAAGAAUAAUUGAAUAGCCACUUUGAGGAGGCUAAGUCCUCCUAGUACUGAUAAAAUUCUGCAUACCUUUUUAUUCAAUCUCACCACUUAAAUAACAAAACAAUUACUGAAAUUAAGUAACAAUUAACAACCCAUAAUUAAUACUACUCCAUAACAUACUCUAACGUAACUCUCAAAUAAUUAACUACAUAAUAGUUCUAUUUUCCUAAGACCCACGUUCAGGUCACCUUAACAACCCAAAAUUAAUAACGACUGCGCAAAACCUUCUAAUGUAACAGCCAAAUAAUUAACUGCAUAACAACCCCAUGUUUCCAAGACCCACGUCCAGAUCAUCUAAAGCCACAUCCUAACAGACCCAUGACAAUCCUUCCCCCAUCAGAAAACCUUGCCCUCAAGGUCAGGGAAGUCUUUUUGCAGCUUAUGAAAUUCAACCCAGGAGGCAUCAUCAAUCUCCAACCCUUUCCAUUUAACCAACAACUCACUAACAGUGCGUCCAUUCUUCUUCAUGAGGCGUCGCUGCAAAAUUUCUUGAGGCUCGGCUUGUGGACUACCUCUAACAGUUAAUGGAGGAAUAGUAGUCACCAGCAUAUUUCAAGCACCCAGCUUCUUCUUCAAAAUCAAAACAUGAAACACUGGAUGAAGGAGGGAGGUGGAGGGAAGGUCCAAACGAUAAGCAACACCACCAAUUCGCUCUACAAUCUGAUAGGGUCUAUAAAAUCUGGGAGAAAGCUUGAGAUUUUUGCGCUGCACAACCGAAUGUUGUUUAUAUGGUUGGAGACGAAGGUAGACCCAGUCUCCUAUUUCAAAAUGUCGUUCAAUACGUUUUAAAUCUACAAAACGCUUCAUCCUCUCUUGGGCCACCUGUAGGUUCCCACGUAAUAGGCGCAAGAUCUGAUCCCGGCUCCUCAGGGUGUCUUUCACAAAUUGAACUGUAGCUGUCCCUGACGAAUGAGCCAACAAAGAUGGGGCUGGGUAUCCGUAAAUUGCCUCAAAUGGUCAAAGUUUAGUAGAAGCAUGAAUGUUGGUAUUAUACCACCAUUCUGCAAGAGGCAACCAACAUGACCACUCCCCAGAAAAACACCAUAAAUACUGCUCCACACAUUUAUUCACAAUCUCUGUUUGACCAUCCGUUUGGGGAUGAUAAGGCGACGAAAAUUUGAGCUUAGUCCCAUGCAAUUUAAACAGCUCUUUCCAAAAUAGGCUAGUGAACAAAGGGUCUCUGUCACUAACAAUAAAGCUAGGCAUUCCAUGUAGUUUAAAAAUAUUGGCAAUAAAAAUCUGUGCGAUUUUAGUGGCUGUAUAAGGAUGCACAACUAAGAUGAAAUGUGCAUACUUACUCAAUUUAUCAACCACGACCAAAAUCACAUUGAACCCAUUAGAAAGAGGCAACCCUUCAAUAAAGUCUAAGGAGAUAUCCGCCCAUACCUUUGUAGGAAUAGGCAAAGGUUGGAGAAGACCUGCGAGGUGGAUGGUCUCAUUUUUAUUGCGUUGGCAAAUAUCACAUUCUUUAAUAAAAUUCUUAAUGUCAGCCUUCAUGCCCAUCCAAUAAAAAUUAUCUCUAGCCCAAGAGAGAGUUUUAUGGAAUCCUGAGUGGCCUGCCUGAGGGCUUCCAUAAGAUAAGUGGAGUAACUGAUUCUUGAGAGCAGUAGAAUCACUAAUAUACAGUCUGCCCCUGUAAAAUAACAACCCAUCCUUCAUGUCAUAUUUGGUCUCAUCCAGACUGUGUCCUACAAAAUUAGAAAUCAGUUUUUGUCAUUUGGGAUCCUCUGAAUAGGAGUCCUGUAAUUUUGAAAUCCAGUUAUCAGAAGGGAAUGACAAGGCAGUCAGCAUUACUGGUGCAUUGUCAAAUUUCCUGGACAAGGCAUCAACGACCAGAUUUUCUUUGCCUUGUAUUCCACCAAAAAAUCAAAGCUUAACAAUUUAGUUAGCCAUUUCUGCUGCAUGGGUGUCCCUACUUUCUGCUCAAGUAGGUACUUAAGACUUUGAUGGUCUGUCUGCACUCGAAAAGUUUGCCCCAAAACAUAAGAACUCCACUUCUUGAUUGCCAAAACCAAGGCCAUAAGCUCCCUUUCAUAUAUAGAGAGGUGCAAGGCCUUCCCAUGAAUGGCCUGACUCAUAAAGGCAAUGGGUCUUUCUUGUUGCAUCAAAACAGCACCUACACCACAACCAGAAGCAUCACAUUGAAUAAUAAAGGGGUUUAGUAAAGUCAGGAAGAAUUAAGAUAGGGGGGUUGGUCACAAUAUUCUUAAAGGUAGUGAAAGCUUCUUUGGCUGUAAGGGUCCACUCAAAGGAAUUUUUUCGGAGUAAAGAAGUUAAAGGAGUGGCAAUAGAACCAUAACCUUUGAUGAAUUUGCAAUAAUACCCAGUUAGACCAAGAAAUCCCCUUAAGGAUUUAAGGAUGGAAGGAAAAGGUCAAUUUAACAUAGAUUCAAUUUUUUUAGGAUCAGCCCAGACUCCAUUUUUAGAGAUUAAAUGAUCAAGAUAUUCAAUCUCUUGACAACCAAAGGAACACUUAGGUUUUUUUGCAAAAAGCUAAUGAUGUUUUAAAAUAUUCAAUACCAAUGUUAAAUGGUGUUGAUGCUCUUCCAAAUUUAUGCUAUAAAUAAGAAUGUCAUCAAAGAAAACUAACAUGAAUUUUCGCAAGGGCUUAAAAAUAUGAUUCAUGAGAGAUUGAAAAGUGGCUGGAGCAUUUGUAAGGCCGAAAGGCAUUACGAGAAAUUCGUAAUGGCCUUCAUGAGUGCGGAAAGCAGUUUUUGGGAUAUCCUCAGAGUUAACUCGAAUUUGAUGAUAACCGGAACGUAAGUCUAAUUUACUGAAGAUAGUUGCCCCAUGCAACUCAUCUAGAAGUUCAUCCACAAUAGGAAUAAGAAAUUUGGCCUUAAUGGUGUUUUUAUUUAAGGCUCUAUAAUCAACACAAAGACGUCAACUACCAUCCUGUUUACAAACUAAAAGAACUGGAGAAGAAAAAGGACUAUGACUAGGUCGAAUGAUACCCGAACUAAACAUGUCAUUAACAAUUUUUUCAAUUUCAGUUUUUUUAAAAUAGGGGUAGCGAUAUGGUCCAACACAUACUGGUUUAGCCCCUGGUUGGAGAAUAAUAUUGUGAUUAUGGUCACGAUUUGGUGGAAGUCCGGUGGGUUCACCAAAAACUUCUUGGAAUUGGUCAAGUAAAUUAGCAAAGAAGGGGUCAGUUUCAAGAGUAGAAAUGCAAAAUGCAUCAGGUAAAAGUAGUUGUAAUACUAAACCUUGCUUGUCUUGAUUCAUAGCCCUUCCAAACUGCUCCCCAUUCAUCAAGGAAACUUCUAUGGGUGUAAUGCCCUGUAAAACAUGCCUAGAAUCCAAGAGAUUAAAUUCCAUGCGUAAUUUAACAAAAUCCCAUAAAAUAGGCCCUAAGGUACUGAGCAAUUGAACUCCUAACACAAUAUCACAACUACCCAAAGUCAAAACAUAAAAAUCUCUGUGAUAAGUCCCUGCACGUGGAACGAAAUAUCCACACAUUUCCCUGUACUGCACAAACUGUCCCCAUUGGCUACUCUCACCAAGAGUCUUGUUGUUGAUUGUAAGUAAAGAUGCGCUCGUUGCUGAAUUGAGGGGUCCAUGAAAUUAUGGGUGCUCCUGGUAUCGAUGAGGAUCACCACAACACAACCAUUAACAUAUCCAAGAAUGCACAUGGUUUUGGGGCUCGGAGAACCUGCCAAAGCAUGAAUGGAAAUCUCAAGUGCUGUUUCUGGAUUCACCUCACUUCCUCCUGAAAGACUAUCGGCUUCUUCUAAAAGUUGAGGCUGUUGAAUGGGUUGCAGCUCUUCCCCCUCCGAAUCCUCACAUUCCAUUAUAAACAAACGAGUUGAUUUGUAUUUGUGGCCCGACCCCCACUUUUCAUCACAAUUGUAACAUAAUCUCGUUGCUCUCCUCUCUUUCAUUUAUAUUGGGGACAAACGUUGGAUUGGAACAAGUGCCUUCUUAUCUGAUGUAGGGGAGUUAGGAAAUGGGCGUGGGGAAGUAGAUCCCAACCGUGAACUCCGCCUGAAAGCAACUAUAUUUUCCUCCUGCAUUUUUACCAUACCAAAAGCCACUGUGAGGUUAAAGGGAUUUAACAUGCGAACCAUGAAACAAAUAUCCUCUCGUAAGCCACUUAAAAAACAACUGAGCUUGUAUGAUUCUGCCAACCCUUUAAGUUGAUUAGAUAAGAUCUCAAAUUGGGACUUGUAAACCUCCACAGUUGUGGUUUGAUGUAGCCUUGUAAGAGUCUCCAUUAGAUCAUCCAAAAUGGAAGGGCCAAACCUGGUAAGUAAGGAUUGUGUGAAACCAUCCCAACUAGUGAUGCUACUCGAGGCCUCUAAAUCCUGAAACCAAGUGAGGGUUUUACCCUCCAUGUGAAAAGAAGCCAAAAAGACUUAAUGAUGAGGGUUGGUUUGAUGAUAAGUAAAAAAUUGAUUAGCGUGAUAAAUCCAACCAUUGGGUUCUUCACCAUUAAACUUAGAAAAGUCGAGACGAAUAUCCCGUGUUUGAAUGCCACCCUGUUCUUCAAAUAACGGAUUUUGUAUGUGGGACCUUGACCUAGAUGGAGUAUCCUCUGUCUGAUUCUUGUGGGUAUAGACCAAGGUGUCCACAUUAGCAACGACCAGUUGUAAUUGGUUUGUCAAGCCUUUAAUUGCCUGUUACAAGGCUUCCUGAUUUUAGCGCUGCAUUUCUUGAGUUUGCCUAACGGAAGAUAAAGAUUCCGCCAAUUGUGAAUAACAUGUAUUGUGCCCAUCAGCCAUGGAUUGAACGGCUCUGAUACCCUUGUAAGAUGCUAAUCAUUAAAGAAUAAUUGAAUAGCCACUUCGAGGGGGCUAAGUCCUCCUAGUACUCUGUAUGGAUAAAAUUCUGCAUACUUUUUUAUUCAAUCUCACAACUUAAAUAACAAAACAAUUACUGAAAUUAAGCAACAAUUAACAACCCAUAAUUAAUACUACUCCGUAACAGACUCUAACAUAACUUCCAAAUAAUUAACUACAUAACAAUCCUAUUUUUCUAAAACUCAUGUUCAGGUCACCUUAACAACCUAAAAUUAAUAACGAAUGCGUAAAACCUUCUAACGUAAUAGUCAAAUAAUUAACUGCAUAACAACCCCAUGUUUCCAAGAACCACGUCCAGAUCACCUAAGGCCACGUCCUAACAGACCCAUGACAUCAUGGCUGCCUAAGAAGUUUAUCAGAUAUUCUUUUUAAUGCUGCUAUAUGAAAGCUAAUGACUAUUAAUUAAGGAAAGCAAUCUUACAGGAACAAAGAUGGAAAUGAUUUUGAUAAGUUGACAUAUAAAUACCCAACUUUCUUUCUUUGGAUUCAUCUUUCUUUUUCGUUUCUUGAGGCUAAAUAUGGGUGCAUCCUUAGGAUGUCGAAACAUCUUUAGGACAUUUUAACCUAAGCCUAUCCAGAUAUGAAUUAUUCUCCAACGUUUUUGAGAGGCAUUAAGUAAAUAUUUUAAUAAAUAAAUAAUAGAUUCUCAGUUAAAUUAAUUCAUCCAAAACUGUAACGUAUUAAUUAAACAGAUAUCUUCAAAUAUAUUAUUAAAAUAAAAACAUAAAUUGAACCAAACUAUACUAUCCAACGCGCCUUAACAUCUAAGCUUUUAUGAAUCUCAUGAGUGUUUAGCUGCAAUAAUAAUGAUGUGCGACAUUUAUGUGUAACUGUUGUCAUUAUACAUAUUUUGGCCACUGGUCUAACAAUGAUGCACAGAAAACAAAAAGGAUAUAUCUGUGAGAGGAAGCGAUUAAAAAAAUCGCUCGCUAUCAACAAGAGGGACCGCUUUAUACAGGUAUGAAAGGCGGCCCCUGUUGUUGCUGGGCUCAAGAGGAAUGGCCAUUUCAUUACUUGGGUUGGGUCUGCUCUCAAAGUAUCUUGAGCAGUCAAACAGUAAGGCUUUAUGGGCCAUUGCAUUGUGUGUAGCAGCCGUAUGUGCUGCUGCAUCCUCCUUCUUUUCAAUGUGGCUGAUGCCAAUUACAUGGGUCUACUCAUCAUAGAUAUUUCCGACAAGGUUAAGGGCGCAAGGUUCAAGCUUGGCAAUAUCCUUGAACAGGUUGGUAGGUGGGAUCACGACCAUGACGUUUCAAAAACAGGUAAACAUUUGGAGGCAUGUUUUUUGCACUUGCUGGAAUUAUAGCAGCGGGCGGUGUUUUCUUUUAUUUCUGUUUGCUUGAAAUGAAAGGAAAGACCUUGGAAGAGAUUAGGGUUCUCUUUGAAGAUAAAGUCUAUGGAAAUGACAAAAUUAUUAAUUCAUAACAACCUAGAUUACAGUUUGGAUUAUGGGUAGUAUUGCUUGCGAAUUGAGAAUGAAAAUCACCUUCCAGUCUAAUUCUAACAGGAAAUAAAAACCCUAUGCAGUUUAGGCUAUGAGGAGAAUGACGUUUGUAAUUUAUUGAUUUAAUUUUGGCUGUUAAAACAAUAUGUUUAAUAUGUAUGCAUUGAAGCUAUUGUCUUUAUACUAUUUUUCAUUCCACUAAAAUAAAAAAGUUCUUAUGUAUUCAUGCAAACAUAUGCAUGCCAAAGAUCAAUAUGCAUUGAAGGUAUUACAAGAAAUAAAUAUUACAUAACUUUAGUCUUUAACUUGCAUAAAUGAAGAGGUUUAGUUUAAAAUAUAAGUUAAGAUUUAAAGCAUAAUAAUAAAAUUAAGUUUGAUUAAUAUCCCCUACUUCCUUAACCAUCCGAUUUACUUCCCUUUAAGGACAUUAAUUACAAAAUAUAAUAUAUGUUUGAUUUACUAACAUCUUAGUAUAAAAUGAAUUACAUAUCCAAAAUAUUUCUACAACUAAAUUACAUAAAUUUUUUGUUUAACUUGGUCCUGCGGCAUGAGAUGGACUUGCAUAAUAUUAAUAUUUGUUAUUUUUUUGAAUUAGUUAUAAAAAUUCUCCUAUGUUUAAUGUAAUUUAUGAUAUCACAAAAUAAACAUUCAUCUUACAACCAACACAACCGAUUUCUUAUAUGACCUUAGAAUAUACAAAACAUAACACCUCAUUUAAAUUUUUCUUUAAACACAUACCAUUGUAACAUAUAUGAUAUUUAAAACGUGAUUCAAUUCUUCUCGAACUCUCAUCAACUUAUCUAUUCAUUUAUUUGUUAAUAAUUUUUAACUCUAAGUUUGUACUGCAAACAAAUCUUCAUUCAUAUUAGAGAGGUGACUCCAAGGAUUUUUGUUUUCUUUGGAAGUUCCCACUUUACAUUAGUUUUCAUCUCAUGAUGAAGACACAUACAAUAAUUUCCUUUUUUUUUUGGUUAGAAACAACACUUAAUGACCUCCAUAUAUACAAAAAUAUAGGCAACCCCAAUGGUUAUCAUUCAAUUGGAAACAACAAAACAAUGGUUUUUUUUCAUUUAGAAACAAUAACACAAUGGUUUCGAUUUUCAUUCAAUUGAAAACAACAAAACAAUGGUUUCUUUUCAUUUGGAAACAAUAACACAAUGGUUUCCAUGCAAUUAAAAACAUCAGCACAAUGAUUUCUUUCUAUUUGGGAACAACAACAAAACGAUUUCCAUGCAAUUAGAAACAAUAACACAAUGGUUUCCUUCCAUUUGAAAACAACAACACAACAAUUUCCAUGCAAUUGGAAAUAACAACACAACAAAUCUUCAUUUAAUAAUGAAGAUCACCCAAGGAUUUCCUUUCAUUGAGAAAUAAUAAUCAUAAAAUAAUCUUCAACACUAAUAACUUAAUUAAAAUAAGUUUAUCAACUCAAAUAAGAGAGUAAGGAAAAGGACCUAUUUACUCUUCCAGCAACGUGAUCUUCUCCAAUGAUCCAGUCCUCGGUGUCCCUCCUAGUUCACAAGGAGAACUUAUGUCAACACAUCAUUUAGAACCAUUUUCACAUAUUCAUGUUCGUACCAAAACAUAUAAUAAUACAUUUACAUCACCCAUUUCUUUAUACCAAUUUGUACUUAUUGAAUUAUUUUCCCUCUAUAUUCUCCCAUUUGAUCAAAUUCAACACGGACACAUCCUUCUAGGUAUUUUCUUGAAAAUAUUUCAUGUAUUCAUGUUGGUAUGACAUCUACCAUAAUACUUUAUUUAUUGUGUUAUUUUCAACCCUCUUUAUAUUUACCAUUCUCUAGAUGAACUUUACUCACCUAUUUAUGUUCACUUUUCCCUAGCUACAUGCAAGUGUAACAUUUAAUACAUCAUAAAAGGUAUUUUUUCCCCACCAUCUGCAUGAUUGGCUGGAUUAUGGGCCAUGUUUUUUAGGUAUCUAUUUCAACAUUUUUCAAACACGUAUACAUAAAUCCACAUCUUUAUAUUAUUUCAAGACUUCUCUAUAUAUUAUUUAACUUGAUUAUGUACAAGUAAAAUUUAUGCUUUCCAAGUGAUAAUUUCUAAGAUUAAAACUCAUAUUCAUUUAUGAUAGUCUAGAUUAUACACAAUUGUUCUAGUUCUACUAUUGUGAAGAGUAUCUUCCUCACUCUUCCUUAACAUAACCAAAAUCAAGACUUCAUUUCCAAGAAGUCUUCUUCUUCUCCCCUACUCUUUCCUUUUUGUAUAACAUGCUACUAUAUCAUACACUCCCUAUAAUUUAUCCAUAACAUUAACCAAUUCCAUUCAAUUUAUAACAUUUAAAUAUACAAAACUUAACUCUAAUCAUUAUCUUUUAAAAUAAGGUAUUCAAUAUAAUUUGAUGUAAAAUUACACAUUUAAAGUUCCUUCUAAAUUUUCUUCAUUUUGGCCAAAACAUCACCUUUAAAUUGCCACAUAUCUUUCCUAGUUUUUCUUUCUCAAUUUAACAUGUGUUCCUAAGCUCACAUAUUAGUGUAACUUAUUCAUACUAAUUAUAGUCAUUUAUUCAAACACUUCAAUAUUAAGGAAAUUCAAAUCAAAACAUCUUUUGAUUGUUCAUUUCAUUAAGAAAUCAUCAUAAUUAUGUUUAAUGGUGUUAAUCUUCAACAUGCAUGUUCAAAAAAUCACAUUUGAAAACUCUCCUAUUUGGCCAAAACAUUAGGCCUCUUCAACACCCAUUUGUCUUCAUCAUUUCUUCACAAUUUUCACUUGUUUCUAAGUUAUUUCUCCUCUACUUUAGUUGUUCAACAUUAGGGUUCUCCCCUAGGUUAAACAUUUAGGGUUUUACAUUAAUAUUUACCAAGAAUGUCUUCAAAUUGACUUGAGUAAACCUAGGACCCUUUUUCUUAUUUGUUUUUUAGCUCCAAUUUUCCUCAUGACUUCUUCCACUCUUCCUCUUUAUAAUGGUGUCCUUUCCUCUCUAGUUUAUACCUAUAAAGUUAACUCUCAUGCUUGCAUACAAGGGGUCUUUGGUAAGAAAGUGUUGAAGAGAAGAUAAAAGAGGAGAAAAAUUAUUUAUUGUUGUGUAUAAAGUUACUAUUUUAUACUGAUAAAACUACUGAUAGAAUAUAAAAUACCAAUAGAAUUAUCAAUGGACUAAGUCCCUCAGAGAGUUCUAAAGAGUUAGAAAAACAUUACAGGACUUUGCCACUGAAAAUUAUAAAUGAAAAUAUUGACGAACUAUGUCCCUUCUGAGUAGGAUGUAUACAAUAGAAAAUAUAUUGCUCAGUGGAAGCCUGAGCACAACAUGUGAGUUUGUUUUCCUUUCCUGUAUGGUAAAAAAAAUCAACAACAAUGGAUAAUUUAUGAAUAAUUAAUUUCAAUGAAUGAAUGAAAUUUCAAGUUUACAGAUGUGGAGGAUGCUCACACGAUAACAUCGACAAUGAAAUUAUCAAUGGAUGUGCCUUUGUUUCAAUAUAGUGGGGUUUCCAAAAAUUCUAAAUGUAAGCCUAUGAUUGAUACUUGGUUUGAAAAGUUCAAGGUUAGUAUAUUCAUAAAUAUGUUUUUAAAAAUAUUUAAUUUGGUUAGUUUUUUCAAUUUAAUAAACUAAUUAUUUUAUGAAAUUUAUGUGUAAAGAAAUUUUUUAUUGGGAGUAGGCUGACAAUGACAUUUCCAGAAGAGUAUGGGAGAAUCACAUUGUUAUUAGAUAAGAUUGAAUUCAAAUUGUGAUAUAUAUUUUUUAAAAAAGGUUAAAAUUUCAUUUUCAUAAUCUUAACGAUAAUUAUUUUCUAUGAACCAAGUUGCAUGAUUUCUAGUACAAGGCCCAUAAAGAAUCAAAGAAAUAUGGAAAAAAAUAAAGGUCUUCUAGGCUGGGAAGACAUGGGAGUGUGGAGGGAUUCCAGACCUCCAUACAUCUCGGAGGGUAUCUUAGAUGCUUAUAUCCAACACGUAAUUUAUAAGUGUUUCUUGUGGUGAUCACAGUCUGGUGCGAAGAACCGAAUCAAGAAGAUUCAUGGUUCAUUACCAUACAUACUGAUGGAUCCUUUCCGUUCAUAUUUUUUUAAAAAAACAAUUGUUUUAUAUGAAAAUAUUUAAUUAACAAUAGUUUUAUUUUAUAGGCUAUGAUGCUUGGGCACGAUCUAAGAAUGAUAUAGCCUUAUGUUGAAACAUAUGAGUGGAAUGAGGAGUUUAGUUUACACUAACCAAUAAUUAAGGGUAUAAAGAUCAACUAAUCAAAACUAGUCAAGUUCCUGAGCUCCAAUACCGGGCAAAUCAAUUUUCUUUCAAUGCAAAAAGAAAUAAUAUAUAUAGAUGUUGUCAACCUGUUUUACACCACCCUGAAAAGUUUUAAUUGCAAAUCAAAAGUUGAUGUAUGUGAUUAAUAAGAUAAAUCAAGAAUUAUAUGUGUUAAUAAAUAUUAAGAAAUUGUUAACGUUAACCAAAGAUUAAGUCAGUGAGUUAAGACAAAAACACAUAUUAAGAUAUCUGAUCAUGUCACGCGGUGAAUACAUCCAAUUUGUUUUCUUAAUUAUAGUGCAAUAAAAUUGUUUUUGUAAAAAUAAAUAAUUAUUCCAACUCAUUUAAAAAAUAAAAUAAUUGUUUUAGUAUAAUUCCUCCUUUUCUUAUUAAUAUAUUUUUUUUCAAUAAAUUUUUUUUUUCUCUUGGGUUCUUAAUACAAUAGAAAUCGAAAGCAAUUAGAAUAAAUGUAAAACAAAUCUAGAUGAUUUGAAAUAAGAAUAAAAAAAUAUAUAUAUUCAAUUAAAACCUCAUUAUCUUAUUAAUGUGCUACUUUUUUUUGGAAUUUUAUCAGGAUAAUAGUUUUAGACAACAAUUUAUCAUAAUCAUAAAAGCAAGCUUUAAUAAGCAAAAACUACGUAUUGAUAAUCUUGACUUAAAUGUAUUGAAAAUAUAAAAACAAUACAUUGUAUGUGCAUUGACAAGAAGAAAUUUUUGGAAUUCAUUGUUUUUAAUCAUACGAUAAUAAAAAUAGACAUGCGUAAGAAAAACAACAAAUAAAUUCAAGAAAUAUUAAAAAAAAUCAUGAAGAGCUAUACAAAAACAACAAUUGUUGAUAUUAUAUAAAAAAGAAUGAUAUAAUCUUAUCUAAAAAAAAGUAAAAACCAAACAAUAUUUUAUAAAUACUAUCCUACAAAUAUUUUUAAUAAUUUAAUUUUAAUGAAUUCAAAUUAAAAAUAAGGAGAACAAUAAAGGCCUACAUAAACAGAGCCUAUAACCAUAAGCCAAGUUGGGCUGACACAUAAGAAAGAAGGCUAGGCAUGUGUGGGACUUGGAAGGCCAGCCCGCAUGGCCAUGUUAUAGUUUUUUCUUUUUGUUAAAAUGAGCGAAUAAUGCAUUGUUUGUGUAUUUUUUUAAAUAAAGUAGAUGGUGUGUUGUCUAUGUUUGUAAGUAAUGCGUCCGUUGCUUGUCUAUAUUUCAGCCAUUAGAGAGGUGGAUGCAAAUUCGAACUGAGGUUUUGGUAUCCAAAAAUCAUUUUUUAAAAACUUUUUCACCUAAAAGCACCUAUUAAACAUGAUUAGAGUAUAAAGUAACUAAUUUCUCAACUUAAAACACCCCUAAAUCAGGCCAAAAACACAAAAUUAAACCAGGCAAAAAAUUCAUUUCUCAACCCCGAUCUACUUUUUCUAGCAAGAUGAAGGUAAAAAAUCACUUCAAUGAAACUUUUUUUUGUAAAAUGAAACUCAUUGAAACAAAGAUCAAUAUUUUUUGUUAUCGAAAUGAGACUAACCGAUAAUUUUCUUUUUCAUUCAUUGUUUUUUUUUUAUGAAUUUCUUUCUCUCCUUUCUCAAACUCAAUGACUGAAAUAUGAACAAAAUAAAGUUUUGAACCAAAACGUAUAACUACCAAAUAGAGAAAAAGGAAAUUGAAAAACAUAGAAGGAAAACUUUUCAAAAAAGUAUUGAGUCAAUAGUUAAAAAAAAACUUAAUUUUUGUCUUAUUGUUAAUUUUAGUCCUUUUAUUUUUAAUUUUUCACAAACAAUAAAAAUGAUUUUUUUUUUGUAAUAUUGAGCAUUUACUCAAAAUUAAGAUAUUUUUUCGACACUACAAUAGUUCUAUAAAACAUAAAUUAAAAUAAAUUAUUAAAUCCAUGAUUAAAAAUGAAAUUAAAAAAUAAAGGAUAAUAAAAAGGAAAAACACGCUUGAAUUCCGCAGUAUUUUGUGAAGAAUGAACUCGUCACCUUUUUAUAGUAACAGGAACACAGUCCCUGCGACUUUAUUUGUCCAGUGCUUAACUCUCAACUAAACAAAUUCAUGUGCAAUUAUUGUGCCUAUCCAGAGGAAGCACCACCGCGUAGAGUAAAGAGACGAAAGUUUUGCCUUCUAUCAUUCAACAUCUGUAAGAGUAAAUUCGUCUUUAAUCGUUGAUUUAUGAACACUUUUAUUUUUGAAAAUAUAUAAUUUAGUUGCUUGACUGACAUUUACUUCUUAAUUUUUCUUUAGUCCUCAAUAUUUUGAUUUUUCUCUAAAAGAAAAAAAAAAACAUGCAGUUGAGUUUACAAUAACACCAACAACAUAUAUUUUUGAUAAAAGAGUGGUCAACAAGAACUUAGGACAAAGAACAAAGUAAAAAUCUUAUAAUUAACUGGGAAGAGUAGAUGCAUGGUGAUAGUGCCCGCCAUGCCACCGUGAAAAUCUAGUUAUCCAAACCGAGCUUGUACUCCACGCCGCCCAGUAUAGUAUUUGGGCCACUGCCAGCCUGACUUGUGCGUUUGUAGUGUGGUUUACCUGCGUUCUGGAAUCCUAGGCCCAACAAACUCCUACCUUUUCACCUACUUCCUUCUUUCACCCUCUAUAUUCUCCCAUAGAAAGUGGUCCCUUCAAAUUUAACAUUAGUCCUUGGACGAAGACGAAAACGGAGCAGACGAGGAAAUCAACAUAUGGCUGACACUGAACUUGCUCAAGCCCAAGAAGCCAUUUCACCGGUGGGAGUUCAUAGUCCUACAAGUAUUAAGCCUCACCGUCUCAACAACCAUGCUCUUGCUUGUGCUCUUCUGGCCUCUACAAACUCCAUCUUAUUAGGCUAUGGUAAGCCCGAUUUCACCUUUCUGUCAUUUCUUGUUGAUGUACCAUUCCCAAACGGUACGUGCAUCAAAGCACUGAAUCAAUUACAGCAACAACCUGAAUUACCCUUUUCAAAAUAUUAUACUAGUACACUAACUAGCAAUUAAUGUAAUCAAAUCAAUUAAUGUUGGCUGGGUUAAAUUUCUACUUGCAGAUAUCGGUGUGAUGAGUGGUGCAGUGCUCUUUAUCAAAGAAAACCUAGAAAUCUCAUCUACUCAGGUAGAGAUAUUGGUUGGUGUUCUAAAUGUUUCUUCAUUAAUAGGCUCACUGGCUUCAGGAAAAACCUCAGAUUAUAUAGGCAGGCGUUAUACCAUAGUCUUAGCAGCCACAACAUUUUUAAUCGGUGCACUUCUAAUGGGCUUGGCACCAUCCUUCCCAUUCCUCAUGGCCGGCCGUGUCAUUGCCGGUGUCGGGGUUGGAUAUUCCCUCAUGAUUGCUCCGGUCUACUCCGCUGAGAUCUCCCCGGCAAUGGCACGCGGCUUUCUUACCUCCCUUCCUGAGGUUUUCAUUGUUUUUGGCAUUCUCCUUGGUUACAUUGUUAACUAUGCGUUAUCAGGUCUCCCACAGCAUAUUAACUGGAGGCUAAUGUUGGGUCUUGCUGCUAUACCUUCGUUGUUAAUUGGCUGUGGUGUUAUAGCAAUGCCUGAAUCCCCUCGUUGGCUUGUAAUGCAAGGUAGGUUGGACGAUGCAAAGCAGGUCUUGAUUAAAAUAUCUGAUACAAUACAAGAAGCUGAUUUCAGACUCAGUGAAAUAACAAAGCAGCUUCAUCAGAUCAUUUAGAUUCUUCAAGUGCUAAAUGGCAUGGGCAUGGGGUAUAUAAGGAACUACUGUUGAGACCUUCUCGGCCUGUUCGCCGAAUGCUUAUUGCUGCUCUAGGGAUUAAUUUCUUCAUGCAAGCUUCAGGCAAUGACGCUGUUAUAUAUUACUGCCCAGAAGUGUUCAAGGAUGCAGGAAUUCACAGCAAGAAAGUGCUCUUUGGUGUUAAUGUCAUCAUGGGAUCUGCCAAAACUUCUUUUGUGUUGUUCUCAGCUCUUUUUCUGGACCGGUUUGGUAGGCGGCCUCUUUUUUUGUUGGGCUCAGCUGGAAUGGCGUUGUCGUUGGCUGUUUUGGGAAUGAGCUCUAAGUUUCUCGAGCAUUCCAACAGUAAGCCUAUGUGGGCUAUCGUGUUAUGCGUCGUGGCUGUGUGUGGGGUUGUUUCUUUCUUUUCUAUAGGGCUUGGGCCAAUCACAUGGGUCUACUCGUCGGAGAUAUUUCCACUGAGAUUACGGGCUCAAGGUUCAGGCCUGGCCAUAUCUGUUAACCGGCUGGUCAGCGGAGUUAUGUCUAUGACAUUUUUAACCAUUUCAAAGAAGAUAACAUUCGGAGGAAUGUUUUUUGUGCUAUCUGGAAUAAUGGUAGUGGCCACGGUGUUCUUUUAUGUCUUUAUGCCGGAGACAAAAGGGAAGACCUUAGAAGAGAUUGGGGCUCUCUUCGAGGAUAAGAAUGCGGAAGCAAGCAUUGACUAUGGAAGAGAAAUGGGAUAAAUAUAGUGUGUAUGAUCAAUUAGUUUGAACUUUUCAUCCCCCUUUUUUUUCUUAAUAAAAUCUUCUCAUAAAACGCUCACUCUCAUGAGGUCUACAAUUUGAAUCUCACCUAUAACAGACUUCUUGAUGAUAUAUUUAUGUUUACAUACAAUACAUUAUAAUAGCUGCCUUUGAAAAAAAUGAUAAACUUCAACCUUGCUAUGAGUCUUUCCAGAUCAAAGAAUGGUGCAUCUGUUCUCUCUCUCUCGUGUGUGUGUGUCUAAAGAAAGAUAACAUGCUUACCUUUCUAUCUUUCACCGUAUGGUUUAUUAUCUCAUCUUUAUUUUACCAAACUCACAUGAAGAGGUAAGCCCUUGACAGGCCGGAGUUUGAGAGCCAGUAGGCCUAACAAUUACAGCGUAAGAGGGGUCUUAAUUAUCUUGCAAAAAUGUUGGGGGUAGCUUGUAAAAUGGGUGCAAAUAUUAGUCCUGCAUCAUAUUUGCACGCGAUCAACACUGAAAGAUAUUGCUUAAAGUUACGUUAGAGGGAGUCAUAUAUGUUAGAAUUGCCACUGGCGUUCUUUCUUUUGAAAAUAAAUGAAAUUGCAUGGAAAAUGACCUGAGAGAGUUCGAAUCGAGUUUCAAAAAGCAGUAAAAAUUGAGUUUGGGUAGGAAUUAAUUGUAGAUAAUAAAAAGGGAUGAAAUCUUACAGAAUAAUGAUUUAAAUUACAAGGAUAGGAAACAAAAGAUAAGAGAAGAGUUUGAUUCUGAAUUAAGGAGUAAUAAUUAAUUUUACGUAGUAAAUUUGAUAGAAUAGUAACAUAGGGAUGCUACCUAACACGGAUAAACGAAUGGAUCAUGAAAAUGUUUUAUGUGCAAGUAAUAAUACGAAAAUGAAAAUAUAUUUAAAUAUAUAACAAAGGCCCAUUUGGGUUGGCCCAAACGACCAGCCUAGUCAUAUGAGCCAAUCCCAUGUGAUAAGCGCCCUGACUGACCCAAUUUUUCUUUUUUUAUUCUAGCUUUCUUCUUUUUUUUUUUUGCCCAAGGACUUAUAAUAUUAGUACAAUCAAUGAAAAUAUUCUUAACAUUUUAAUGCUAUCACUUUUUAUUGGACAAUAGCACGACGAAUCGAGUGGCCUAGUCUAAAGUCAAUAAGAGUAAGAUUUUUCUUUUAAAAUCAACUAUUUGCUCUAUAAAUUAAGCAUCUUGAACAUGCUUUCACCAUUAUUUUGGAAAUUUAACCACCUUCAUUGAUCAAUCUAUACUAGCAUUGUCACCCUUACUAUGAUUAACUACACUUUCUAUUCAUCUUCCAAGAUAAAUCGAGAUAUUUAUUUAAAUACAAGUGUGCACAAAUGAUACAAAAAAAAACACACAACUACCUGCUACACGUUAUCUGCUCAUCAUUUCUAUUAAACUCUCUUGCUAAGCCUUAAAAUGACUUAAGCAUUGGAGACUUUAUUUUGCAGGUAACACAAACUCACUCCAGAUCACCCAGUCCAAUUGCCAACUAUGAAAAAUCACAGGCAAAUUCAAUGAAGUUUUUUCACCCAAAUAAUUUUAUAGCCAUAAAAAUAAAUCCUGAUAAUUAUAAUGGUCAGAAUGACCCUAGAGAACAUGUAUAGAAUGUUAAAAACACUUUAGAGCUGGUGAUAAAAAUAGCAAUGCGAUGUGUACGAUUCUCCCAACCACCUUUCAUGGAUCUACUCAAGCGUGAUACGAUAGCCUAGAACUAGGUUCCAUACUCAAUUUCUCUGAUUUAUUUAGCAAGUUGAUUGCUCAUUUCAGCACAAACAUCCCUAAAUAAAUAUAUACUAUUCUAACAUCCUCGUUAAACUUAGAGAGUGGUAGCAUACAAGCUAGCUUGAUUUUAAAAAAUAGAUACCUUUUUAGUGGUAUGGCAAAAUUAUUUUGAAUGAAAAAACUUGUUAGACCCAACUAUCAUAUGAUAUCAUCACUCAAAUGUGUUGAAAUAAAUCAUGAUAUGAAAGAACAUACGGUCUGUGACCAUUAAAUAGUGAAACACGAACCAUAAAUAGCAUAGAAUGAGUCAUAGAAUAUAGUAAAAUAUCCAGCGAGUCAAGAAAAUCUUAUUUAUAAAAUCCAAGAUUUAGAAAUCUAUGUAACCCAAAAAUAAACUUGAAGUCAAAAGAGUAUUUUACAAAUAUAGAAUCAACCAAAACCAAGUUUAAACUGGAAAGAACAUGUUUAGAAAUCUUAUGAUCAGUGUGCGUUGGUGAAAAUCUAGGCUAAAAGAGCAAAUGAAAGACCAAAUGCUAAACUAGUACUCAAGAGGUAGAAUCUAUAAAAAUAAAGGGGGGAGGAACGCACACCCAAAAAACCUUAGGAAUCAAUCAAAUAUAAUAAAAAAAAUAAGUUAAAGGUUGUCAAAAUACAAGACUAAUAAAGUAAUGUUGUAAGUUGGUUGAACCAUAUAGAAGAAACAAUAAAGUAGUGUGAAACAUAAGCACUUUAGAGUGGAUGAUGCUACUAAAACUUUUGAUAAAGAGUAAGGCCACGUACUAGCUCUAAUUAUGAUAAAACAUUAUUGGAAAGUUUGUUGGAGCAUAAGGAAUUUAAUUGUUCAGAACUAAAAAGUUGGUAUAACAAAAAGUGAAAUAUGCUUCACAAGUGUAGACAACAAAUGAAAUAAUAAGAAAAGAAACACCAAAAGCUUGCUAAAUUGAAAAACAAAAAACUUAGCUUACAAGGAAUAGCUUUGAUAUCGUGAUAAAAUAAAGAAAAUAUUAAUGAUAUAAUUUAUUUAUAUCAGAUGAGCACGUGAAACUACAAGGUGCUACAUCUUAAAUAACUUUUUUUUUUUUACCUUAAGGUAAUCUAAGUUAUUUAUAUAUAACCUAUACACCUAAAUAAAAAAUAAAAUCAUAAUUUCUAAAUAAAAAUUAUUAUAGCAAUUUUGUGGAUUGACCCUCAAGAAUAUCCUAUAAUCAUUACAUAAUAUUAUAGUAUAGGUGCAUAAUAUUCUAUUAUUUACCAUGUUGAGUACAUUGAUCUGAAUAAGAGAAACAAAAAAAGAAGUUUUUUAUUUUUUUUAUUUAUUUUGUGUUUUUUUAUACUAAUAUUAGAUUAACAAGAUCUUUUCAUGGCACUAACCAAUAAAGAUGAAUCAAUCUCAUGAACCAAGAAUAAACUUUAGCAUGAAGUUUUGGAUAGACAUGGUAGCUUGUUAUAACUAUCAUUAAAUGUUAUGUCAUAUGUGAGGUAUAAAUAAAACUCCAAAGUAACUCAAUUGAAUUUUUUUUCUUAUUUUGUUUCAUGAUUAAUUAAUAAGUGUAUUAAAAUAUAAGCAUCUUUGUAAUAUUGUUUGUGGUAAAUUGCUUUAUUACAUUAAAUAUUGUUGGUUGUCGCAUAUAUGAUAAAAGAGCAAGGACAAGUUUAUAACUGUUGAAAAUGGAAAGCAUAAUUAAUAAAAUAAGAUAUUUAUAUGGAGAAUAUAUUGAUAAUAAGGAUGACAAAAUAAAAUAAGAUAGCUUAAAUACAUGAUCAAAAGUCCUAUUAUAUUGAUUUAUGGAUAGUAUCAUGAAAUAGACAAAUUAAUUUAUUUAUUAAUAGAGUAAAGUGAGAUAGAUAUACUUGAUUUUCUAAGACCCAUUUUUAUUUUAAUACGUUUUCCUAACUGAUAAAGUCAUGAAAAUUUCAGGAUUAUAUUUUUCUUUUCAUGAUUGUGUCUUGGAACAAAGUACAUGGAUUUGGUUAUAGGCUUUGUCUUCAAGUUCAGUAGUUUUUGUAAAACAAGCCCCUUAUCGGAAUAAAGAGCCUUUUGAUGCUUAAGUUAAUAAAUAUAAAGUAAUCAAUAAAAAUAGAAUGAAGAUCAUAAAGAGUGUUUGAUUGAAUAAAUUGGUAUUAAACCCUUGAAUGAGCUUGAAUGGCUUUUUAUGGCCUUGAGUGGUGAUGAAAUGGCCUAGAAUGGACAUGAAUAACUAUGAAAGGCCUUAAGUGGUCGUGAGUAGCCUCGAGUGGCUAGGAGUUGCCAUGAGUAACCAAGAGUGGCCAUAAGUGUUGUGAUCUCUUGCAUGGAGUUUUGUUCUAAGUGAUGUUUUUAAAUGAAUUAUUGAAUAUCUUGAAUGAACUUGUGGUGGUCAAAUCUUCUUAACUUACCUAGUGACCCAAGGUAUUUAUAUACCUCAGUCACAUGAGUUUACCUCAUGAAGAGUGAAGAUGAAUGAGUAUUAUUGGUGAAGAGGUUGAUGCUUGUCGUUGUUGUGGUGUCUCACUACAUAUUGGUGGAGAGAUUAGUGGUCGGUCAGCGCCUCUAAGGUGACAUGUUGUAAGAAGUAACCAUUAGCGAGAAAUGAGGUGCAUAUGGUCUCCAUAUAAAGUUUAUAUGUGCCAAAAACACCACUAGGUUGUUUGAAGGUAUACAGGUGAGCACUAGUGGAUGGUGGGCAUCACUUGCUCUAACAUUUUGAAACUUUCAAAUACAUUGAGGUGUAUAGUUGAAAAAAAGUGUCUUGGACAAUCCAAGGUGAGUUAAAAUAAACAUGUACUAAAAUAGCUAGUUGUUCAGGCCAAUUCUAAAUGAUGAGGAAAUUUGUUCAUGCCUAACUCGAAUUGCUAAAACAUCUAGCCAUUCGGGCUUGGUAAGCCUAAAUGAGUAGAUUAUUAUUAUUAUUAUUAUUAUUAUUAUGUAGUAUGACUAGCUCUCUAAGUCUUUUAAACAAUUGUGUUUCAAAGACUUGACCAAUAUAAAUAGAGAAAAGAAAAUAUUUAUAUUUUAUAAAGGUGAUGUUACAUUUUGUGGCUUUUGUUAAUGUGUCUGCAAGAGAGAUGAAUAUUUGCUUGCAAGAUUGAUAAUUGUUUUCCUUCUUAUAACUUUUGAGUGUUUACCUGCAAGAGAGGUGAGAGUUUUAUCAGUUUGUUGAUUCCUUUUAGAGUAAAGAACAUUUUUAUUUAGAAAGUAAAGAAUGCUUUGUGAAAAAACAAUAUCAAAGCAUUGUGUAAAGAGACAUGAAAAAAAUCAAUUGAGACAUGAAGAUUUCAUAGUGGAGAUCUUAUUGGAAAUAUGAAUAUCUCGCUAUGAAGAUUUCAUUCAGAGAUAAGCGGUUAUGGAGACUUGGAGAGGAUCCCAGAUUUCAUCAGAGAUAAGCGAUCAUGAAGACUUGGAGAGGAUCCCUGAUCCUUUUAGAGAUUAGCGAUCAUGGAGACCUAGAAAAGGAUUCAUGAUCUUUUUGAAAAUAAAUGGUCACAUAAACCUACAGAGGCUAGAGUACCUAUAAUGGAGAGGUUAGUUACUCUCUCAUAUACAAGUGUUUUUAAGUUGUAAGCUUUGUAAAGAACUUUUUUGACGAUGUGUGAAAUAAGAAUGAAUUAGUUUUUGUUUACUUUUCACAUAUGACACUACUAAUAAAUUUAUGAAAACUUCAGGAUUGGGUAUUCUAUAGCUGUAUCUUAGGUUGAACCGUGUGGGUUUGAAUAUAGGAUUUGUUUUUCCAAUUGAUUGAAGUUCCUAGUCAAAACAAGGUACCUUUUAAUACUUAAAUCAAUAAAUAUAAAAGGUGUAAUAAUGUACAAGAAAUAUAAUGAAGAUGGUAAGCAGUGUGUCAUUGAAUAAACUGGUGUUAAACCCUUAAAUGAGCUUAAAUGGCUUUUUAUGAUCAUGCGUGGCCUUGAGUAGUGAUGAAGUGGGCUGGAAUGGAUAUGAGUGGUCAUGAUUGGCUAGAGGUGACCUUGAGUAGCCAUGACUAGCCAUGAGUUUUGUGAUCUCUUGAAAUUUUGUUCUGAACGGUGUUCUUCAAUGAAUGAUCGAAUGUCUUAAAUGGACUUGUGGUGGCCGAAUCUUCUUAACUUUCCUAGUGACUUGAGUUAUUUAUAUACCCAGUUAUAUGAACCUGUCUGAUGGAGAGUGAAGGGAAAUAAGUGCCGCUGGUGGAAGGUUAAUGUUUGUUAUUGGUUCUAGUGGGUUGCUGCAUCAUUGCUGAAGAUGUGGGUUGUCAGGCCUUUGAGGUGACAAGUAGCAGGAAAUGACUAUCUGCGUGGAAAAGUUAUGUGUUCCAAGAGCAUCAUUACUGAGUGGUUUGACGGUGUGUACCAAUUAAUGAUGUGUUUCUCUAAAUCUGAUUUUUUAAAACUAGAAAAUAUAUUAAGAUAUGUGCUCAGGGCAUGGGUAUUGGACCACGCUAUAUGAGUCAUAUAUACACCAAAUAGCUAACUAUUGGGGCUAGGCUUUGGAGGACAGGAAAUCUAGCUCAACGGCUAGGAUUAUUUUUAUUUUUAUUACUGCUAAUUUUUGUUAACUAUCACCAUCCAUUACUAAGUGCCCAGACGUCUCACUGGGACAUGCAGUACAGAUCUUUUUGUUAACAAUAUUAUUUCUGUGACCUAAGAGGGAAGAUACCAAGGUUAAAGGACUUGGAAAGAUAAUUAUGGUGAAUUAACAAUUUUGACACAUGUUAUCAGCCAAAUGUAAAAAGACAAGCACACAUAAAGAGGGACAUGCACAAGCCCGAAUUAAUCAGAGGUCAAUUAAAUUUGUCAAACACUAAAGUCCAAUCGAAAUUUUCAGAGCCUUUCUAGUCAUAACCACAGCAAGAGUAGGCUCAAGAAAUCUAAGUCAAUGCAGUAGUUUCCUGUUGUCACAGAGCUGAUUUCGUACUUUGAAAAGCUGAAUCCAACUUGCCCAAAACUGUCUGUUAGCUUUUGGUGCCUUUGAUGUGUUUUUGUGCUGUUGGAAACUUCUCAGGCUUUGAGAUGCUCUUGGAGAUUUAAGGGCUUUAUAAGCCGUUUACAGAGAUGGGAGUCCUCUCUUUAGAUUCAUUUUCUAGAUGCAGCCAAAGACUUAGAGCACUUCAUUUGUCUUUUACGCAGUGAAAAAAGCUCAGGCCAGCCAAUAGCAUGUUGACAAAGCAAUACAAUUUAACUUAGAUUUAAACAUAAAGAAUGUGUACCAUAACAUUUUCCAGCAAGAAACAUGGAAAAGGUGACAAUGCUACCUUUGUCAUCCACCCUGAAUCUCACGUUUCAAAACUCUCUCUCUUUCUUCCCACCCACAAUUUCCCCUCUCCUUUUAUGCUUGAAUUUUGAGAGGAGGAUUCUGGGUUCCUCUUGAUGCCUUUUGUUUACUUUUUGUAAUUGCAAGAUUUGCCAACUAUAUGAUCUGAUGGAAUAAACGUGGAAUCUGUCUGAAUGAUGAAUACAUACAGAGCAGGUGAUAUAAAGUGUACAAAACAGAUUAUAAGUACUGCCUACCAACCCCUCCGUUUCAAUGCUUCACAUGCACAACGUCCCUUUCAAUUUUAACGUAAAAGAAAUCACAGGGAAGUGAAGGACUGGCCAAAACCAGCUUGACAGAUAAAUUUAUCUACAAAUAGGAAUGAAAGGAUCAUUGUCCUAACUAAGCCUUACAUGUCAAAGCUAUCAGUCCUUUUCUUUCUUUCUUUUUUAGAUUAUGAAAUGGUGGAAGAAAACGAAAAGAAAGAUAAAAAGCGCUCCUCCUCCAUGGUAGCUGCAGGAUAUUAUAAAACAGCAGGUCGAUGCUUCACAGCUUCAACACAAUUAAUUGACAUACUUCCCACGCUAAGCUGUAGAUUAGACUAAAAGAUUUUUAAACAUAAGAAAAAAAAAUUAAAGGAUAAAAAAAGAAAAGAAAAGAGAAGGUGUGCAAGUACAAUCUUUUUUUUUAAAAAAAAAAAAAAAAUUUAAGAUGAUAUUUUUAUUUUUUAAAAUAUUAAAAUAAUAAAGUAUUUGAUCAACUUGGGUUAACUCAUCAAACCCAAUGAGUUCAAUAAUAUUUUUUAUUUAAUUAUAUGAUAUAAAAUUGAAGACUAAUUCAAAAUAAAAAAAAUAUUAAAUGAUAAAAUUAAAAAAAAUAAUUAAAAAAAAUUCAAUGUUGAAGAAUAAAAUUAAAAAAAAAAAGCUAUACAAGGUGCGCAGGCCUGAGUGGUCCAGUUCAUUAAGGCCUUAAGAAAAAAAGCUCAGGCAUACAUGUUUUGUGAUAUGACCUAAAAAAAGGUUGAACAAGAAAUUUGCAUUCUAGUAUAAUUGUAUCUAUUUUCUAGUUUUACUCUAUCAAGCAUAACUCUCAAUCUUAUUGUUGGAUCAGAGUAAGAUUUUAUCAAGAGUUUCUAGGCAUAUUGUUCUACAUUAGGUUAAAAUUUCAAGUCAAUCAAAGUUUUGAAAAGCAUCACGAUACAGGUCAGAAGAUGCAUUAUGGAUUUUGUUAUUUGUUGUCUUUUGACUUGUGAACUUUCUAUUUAGAGAUGAUUUUUUUCUUAAUAAUGCAAAUAUAUUCAAUAGCUAAUUUUGGUAAUUUUUUAAAUUCUACAAGGAGACUAAGGGGCAACAAUUAUUACAAAGAUUUUCACGCAUAUUUAGGAGAGUUAAAGUCAGUUUUGUGUUGAUUUUUUCUAAUACAUAGAUUUGUUAUAACAUGCAUAAUUUUUAAUCUGAUCAUUAAACUGAGCUGGAAUUUAACCAAAAACUUUUAGAGGUCUUGUUUUAUAUCCAUUUAAAAUCUCAAGUCAAUCAAACAUUAGAAAGAAAUUUUGAUAAGAUUUAGAAACUACUACGCAAGAUUUGUAUUAUAUAGUUUCCUAGUUGAUUUAACAUUUCUUUUUCUAUUUUAUUAUUUUUCCAAACUUGUUUAAGAUGUUUUUACCUAAUAUCAAUAGGGUUAUUUAGCUUGUACUUAUGUUUUUGUUUUUAAGCCAUGAUAUUUCGAAUAAACUUGUGUUUUGUGUGAUGCAAGACUUUUUUUCCUUACCGGAACAAAGAACAAUUGAACUUAUCAAAGUAUAACUGACUUUGUGACGUUCUUCCUUAUACUUUAUUUUUUUGCGAUUUGCCAAUUGUUGAGUGGAGGUUCAUCCUAAUAGUAUUGGUGUCUUGGUUCAUGUAAUCAUUAUGUCACACACUCUUAUAUCAAGUUUGAUUUUUGGCUUUCUGAGAUUAUGUCAAUCUUGCUUGUGGGUUUCUAGAUCUUUAUAUCCAUGAGAUUCACAUCACUUGAGCUAUUUUUUUUCCUUAUAAAGGGUAGAUGGCAUAUUUAAAGAAAAAUAUUGUCGGCUUGUUGCUACCCAGGUUAGAAUCCGGCCACCACUAUAAUGGCUAAGAAAGUAAGAGGGGGCAGGGGUUUUUUUUUUGUUGAAAAUCUAUUUUUCAAACUAUUUUCACCCAAAAAUACUUAAUAAACAAUACAAAAACUCCCUAAACCACCUAUUAACCCCAAAACACCCUAAAAUCACAUAAAAAAAACUAAAAUCAACUGAAUCAAAAAAUCAAAAUGAAACUCAAUCUUUUUUUAAGCAUGUUUAUAGGAAAAAAACACAUCAUCAUCGAAGUCCUCUUUUUUAAUGGAACCGAUUGACACUAAGCUUGGCUAUUUUGGUUGUCGAAAUCGUGACAACCAACCAUUUCUCUCUUUCACUGUUUUGUAGCGACUUUCUCUCUUCUAUCUUAAAAUUAAAGACUUAAAAAUAAAAGAAACUUUUAAACGAAUGAAAAAUGUCUUGAAUUUGGAUUGAAUCAUGUAUUUUCUUUAAGUCUUACUUUUUAGUGCUUUAUUUGAUAUUUUCUUUUCAUAAUUUCAAGCUUAAUUGUACCUAAUUAGACUAUAAAAGGAUUUAAUUAAAAAAAUAAAUUAAAAAUGAAAAGAAAAAAUUAAGAUUCUUUAUUUUUUAAAUGAACAGUGAAACUCCCAAAAAAACAUCCAUAGCACCUUGUUGCAUUUCUCUAAACUCUUAAUAAAGAGCAGGAAAAAAACAAACUGGAUGGCCUAUUAGUGAGUGUGUGUGUGUAUGGUCAUUAUUGAAUUCUUGGACCUCUCAUUUUUUUUCUAAUUAUGAUGAGAAAAUCCAUCAUUAAUUGCAAUAUUUAUAUAAUAUUUUGAUAUUCAAUAAUUUAAGUACAUUUAUAUUUAUUUUAUAAUUUGUAAAUCUUUAUUCCUCAAUCUAUGAAAUAAAUAAAUUAUAGCAACAAUUAAUUGAAGGAUAGGAACAAAAGAAAAAUUUAACACAAUAAAUGUUAAUUUUAUAAAAGUAUUUCAAAGUUCAUUUUUAAGUCAUAAAUAAAUAAUUUCUUCAAAUGAUAAUCAACUUAACAUUUGAUUAUGAUUGUAAACGAUUCAAUAUUCACAUCAUCAAUCUCGUGCAUCACGGUGGGCCUUUUACUAUCUUUUUGGUCAUAUUUUUUUUAAUAGAUUGCAUAAAUACAUCCAUACUAUUAUAUCUAUAUAUUGAGAGAUUUAUUCUCAAGACUCUUUUAUCAAAGAUAUCAUUAUCGCUAAAAUUAUUGUCAAAUAAAUAUCUAGUUUGAACUUUGAAAUAUAUAUAUUUUUGUUUUGGUGUUGCCAUACGUCAUUUUUGUUUUCUUUUUCGUGUUGAUAGUUUAGUAAUUACUAGAUAGGUAGCUCACGUUAUGCCGCAUAUUAGGUCAAUUUUUUCAAAAAAAUAUCUCAAGGCGAUGAUGAUCCAAGUCAACUCGAGUAAAUUUACUAACAUAUGACCAAGGAUUAUCAAAAUAACCUAUAAAAAGAAAGGAAGAAAAAACAUUGCAAAGUUCAAGGGCCAAUAGCCUAAUAUCAAAUGCUUAAACAAAAAAAAAUCAAUUUUUUUAAAAAUAGUUUCAAAGAAAAAAAUCUAAGUCAGCCCAAGUUAAUUUGAUUAAAUAACCACCCGCGAUAUGAGAUCGGCAAAAAAGAUCAAAGUUAAAUUAAAAAAACAUUGAAAAAAACUCAAGCUAACCUGAGUUAACUUGACUAACUCACACUUGAGAUAACCUCACAAAAAGAAAAGGAAAAACAUGACAAAGCUUAAGUGCCAAUAAUUUAAUACCAAAUGAUGAAACUAAAAAAACAAAAAUCACUUUCAUAAAAAUAAGGUUGAGGAUACAAAACUUAGUCAACCUAGGUUAACUCAACUAACCUGCCACCCGUAAUAUGAGAUUGAGAAAAAAAAAAUUAGACUUUUAAAAGAAAAACAUAGCAAAGAAGACCGAAGUUAAAUAAAAAAAAUUAUUGAAAAAAAAAAACCAAGUUAGCCCGAAUCAACUUGAUUAACCCAUACUAGGGAUAACCCCAUAAAAAGAAAAGCAAGAAAAUCACAAAAGCUCAAUGACCAAUAAUUUAAUGCCAAAAGGAUGAAAUUAGAAACAAAAUCAAUUUUAAAAAAACCAUCGAGAAAAAACUCUGAGUCAACCCGGGUUAACUCGACUAACCUAUUACUUGGGAUAUGAGAUCGGGAUAACAAAAAAAAAAUGAAACAAAUAAUGAAGUCCAAAGCCUAAUAACUAAAAUGUCAAAUGAUGAAUUUGAGAAAAAAAUCAAUUUUUAAUAAAUAGACAAAAACAAACAAACUUAAUCGAAUCUGAGUUAUGAGACCAAGAUUACCCCAUAGAAAGGUAGAUACAAAAAAAUAACAAAGUAUAACUUCCAGUCACAAAACAAUUUAAAAUCCAAACAAUGCGGACCAAAUCUGAUAUAAAAACUAAAUGAAAGAAAAUAAUUAGGGACUAAAUUGAAAAACAAAAUAAAUUAACAAAAGGAUAAAAAAUAAUAAUUAAAAGAAUAAGGAUCAAAAUAGGAUAAAAAACUAAAUAAAAUAAGAAAAUAACAAUAAAAAGAAUGAUGAUAAAAAUUGAAUAAAAAAAUAAAUGCAAUAAAAUGACUAGUGAAGAAAUAAAAAAAAUCAAGGAAAGGAUAAAACACAAAAAAAAAAAAAAGAAUCAAAAGAAUGAGAACAAAAUUGGAUAUAAAAAUCAAAUUAAAUAAAAUUUUCAGGGAAAAAAUUAAAAAAAAAUCUAAAAUAUAAAAGUAUCAAAAGCAAAAUAAAUAAUAAUUAAAAGAAAGAAGACCAAAAUUAAUAUGAAUACAAACUAAACGACAUAAUUGUAUUUUGGAGGGGUUGAUGUGAAUUUCAAGGCCAUAAGAAAGGAUAAAAAGCAUGUUGGAGGCCAAUCGUGCCUUCGCAUCAAGCACGCAUCAUACUGUUGGAAAAAAAACGAUGUGCCACUCUUAAUGCUGCCAUAGAUGAUGAAAUUUGAUAACUGGAUGACCCUGCACUUGCUGACAUUUGCAAGCAUUGUUUUUAUAUAUAUUAUUUAAUUUAUUAAAAUUAUAAAAAGACCCAUGCAAACAUAAAAAUAACAAAAAAAAGCAGGAAAAUACUAAAAAACCCUUGAAUGAAGCCUCUUUUCUUUAACUUGAAGGGCAAUCUUGUAACUUUAAUAUAUAAACAGAAGGAAAAGACAAAAAAUCCCCUUUGUGAAAUUCUUUGGUUUUUUCCUUUCAAUGGUAUUGAAGUAAUUAUAGUGUGAAAAUAAUUUUAAAAAGAUAAAAAGCUCUUAAUGGAAAUUAAGCAUUGAUUUUAUUUUUUCUUUUAAAAAUAAUAAAAUAAUUUAACUAUACUAAAUAAAGUAUACUAAUCAAUUUAUCCCCGAGCAAUCUUUGUAAUGCAUAAAUGGAUUCCCAUGAAAACAUGAUUUUACCGUCAACUACAAGCUUUGUAAGUUUUGAUGAGAAGGACAAAAUAAUUAUUAUAUAUAUUGUUCUAAUAAAUAGUACUCAUAUUUUAUUAGUUUUUUAAAGAUAUUUAUUUAUUUUAUUAUAUUCGAACUCCAAUACUUUUAAUUGUCGUAGUUUUUUUUUUUUCUAAAAAAAAAUCUCUUAUGCGAUAAAUAUUAUCUUUUUUUUUUGGAUUUGAGGAAACUCUACUCUCCAGAAAGCGCACUUUGUGGGUUUAGAUGAGCGAGUAAAACUCUAGCUAUCCCAGUCUCUUACAAGAGAUGUACCCUGACUCGAUUUAGUCCAUCGCAAAUUCUAGUAUAAAAUAUAAACACACUACAAUUUACAUGAAACACUUUUAAAGGCUCUAAGGUAUUUACCUUUUAUAGACUUGGCUACGUAUUUUCUGAGUUCAUAUUUAGAAUUUCUUUCAGCCUAUGUUUUUUUCAUAUUUAGUAUAAAAUAAUAUAUAUUAUAUUUUGGUUUAGCUAAUUUAGAUUUAGUCCAUGGUUGGAAUAGGUUAAUUUAAAGAUAUUUAUAACCAUCAAAUUAAAAAAUAUAAAAAUUAAAUAAACAAUGUCUUUUAUUCUUAAAAAAAAAAAAACAUGAACCGACAAAUUGAAAGAAUAGUUAGCUAUGCAUUCGUGAUUCAUUAUCAUCUUGCCUAAUUCUCUGCUAUUUGAAUUUCAAAUACCAAAAGAUUCCUGCAAAAGUGCUCUCUUAUUUUUUUUUGUCCCCUACCUACUCUCUCUCUCUCUCUCUCUCUCUCUCUCUAUACAAUAUAUAUAUAUAUAUAAGUAAGUUUGCAUUCAUGCUUUUUGUUACCUUGCUAUAGUUAUUUUUUUAAAUAUUUUUUAUAUAAAAAUAUAUUAAAAUAAUAUAUAUUUUUUAAAAAUUUAUUUUUGAUAUCAGCACAUUAAAAAGAUCUGAAAACAUAAAAAGAAAUUAAUUUAAAAUAAAAAAAUUUUAAUUUUUAAUUUUUUUAAAAUACUUUUAAAACGCAAAAACAUGGUCUAAUUAGGUUGUUCAUGACCGCUGCUUUAUUAGUACCUGUUUUUUUAAUUUUAAUGACAAAUGAUUUCCGUUUACUAUUAAAAAAGUUAGUCAAUAGACACUUUUCAAUUAAAAAAAAAUUUAACUUGGUUUUAAGAAAAAAAAUAUUUUUUAAUUUUGGACAAAAAAUACUUUCUAGAAGUUUUAAAAAAGUAAAAAAAUAUAUCUAAUUAUUUGUUAAUUAUAUCAAAUUUUAUCUUUAAUAUAUUGAUUGCUAUAUAUUUUGUUUCAAAUUUGUUUUCUUUAAUUUUAUCCUUGGAAUUUGAUUUAGUUUGAUUUUCAUACCAAGUUGAUUCUUUUUUUUUAUUGUUAUUUAUUUUUCUCUUAUCCUUUUCUUAAUUUGUAUUAUUUAUCUAUCAAGUUUGAUCUCUAUUUUUUUAAUUGCUAUUUAUUUUAUUUUAAAUAAUUUAUGAAAUCAAAUUAUUUUUUUCAAUUUCAUUCUCUUUUAAUUUAUCUAUCUAUUAGAUUUGGUCUCAAUUCUUUUGAUUACUACUUGUUUUAUUUGAAAUAAUUUAUAAAAUUAGAAAUUAUUUUUCAAUUUUAUCAUUCUUUAACUUUUUUAUCUGUCAAAUUUAGUCUAUUGUUUCUAAUAAAUUUGAGAAAAAAAUUAAAAAAUUAUUUUCCACCUUAUUUUUUAUAAUAUAGCCAAACAUUAAAUAAUAUUUUCUAACUCAUUUUUCAUAACACUAUUAAAUAAAAAAAUAAUAUACUUUUAAGAAAUUUAUUUUCUAUAAAAAUUAUUUUCUAAAAAAAUUUAUUUUUCGGCAAAUAAACAACACCUAAGUGUUUAAAGGAGGUUUUUAUUUUUCUUUCAAAUGGUGGAUUUAAUAAUUAUAAAGAUUCACUUAUUAUCUUAAUUUCAUAAGGAAAUAUUAUUAUUAAAAAAAUCUAUUCUCCUAAAUAUAUUAUGAUGUGAAAGAUAAAUUCUUAAAAUUAAUGUACAAGAAAAAAAAUUAGAAUUCAAUCAUAAAAAUACUUUUUAUGGUGAGUUAUAAAAAAAAAGUGCACCUAGAAUGGCUUUUAAACGUUCCAAAGGAAGUCCAAUUCAAAAUAAAGUGUUGAUGGAGUAAUUUAUGUAUAAUAUAAUAAUUUAUUAAUCAUGGAUGAUGAAAAAAAAAUGUAAUAAUUAAAUAAUGAUUGAUUUGAGGUCGUCUCCUCUAUCAAUUUUUUUCCAUGUCCAAGAAAGAAACGACGAAAAGUAUGAUGAUUCAUUUAUGAGUACGCUAAAACCCUUAAUAUAAUAAUAAACUUUCAUUUUCGGUUUCUCAUGUAUUUAUAUCUCAACCAUCCUUAUACCACCACUCCCUUCAUAAACCUAUAUCCCUCUCCCUCUCUCUGCUUCUUCUGCAAUAUUUCUCUCUUUCUCUAAUGGAAAACCGAUUCAGGUUGCGAAUCUCUAGCAUGUUUCGAGGCUCAUGUCGGACCCGAAACUUAUCGGACGUGGCUGAAAAAGCUGUGUUUGUGCCUCAAAACCAUAAAAACUUCCACUUGAUCGACCAUUUACCUCCCAAGGCUCGACCUUUCCCUUCUAUUUGCAUACGCAAAUGCCCUGAAGCAACAAACCAAGCCAUCAAUCCCUCUAUCAUCUCCAGGAAAAACCUAUCACACCGGUAUCCUCCUGCUUCCCCCAUUUUUCCUAUGAAUCCAUUCUAUAAAGAAUUGGGUUUCCAAGAGAAAACGAAGGGACGUUGUAGCUCAAUUAGAAACAGGAGUAAAAAGAAGAAGAACAUCACUAACAAAAAAGACCAGAUGAGUUUGUUGAGCUCAUCUUCACAAGACAGUGCAUGUUUUGGAGGUCGCUAUUACUGGUUCAGCAGCGAAGAUGAAAACAAGAGAGAGGAUGAUGAGUCGGACACUCUUUUCUCUUCAAGAAGUCUUUCUUCAGAUUCAUCCGGAUCUCUCAGGCACCCUUCUUCUCGCCGCAGAAAGUACACUUCUCGGAGGAGAAGGGCAAAAGUGAAGAGUUCUCAAGUGGGUGGUUUGCCAUUAGAUGGAAAUGUGAAGGACAGCUUUGCAGUGGUGAAGAGUUCUAGUGAUCCUUAUAACGAUUUUAGAAAAUCAAUGGUUGAGAUGAUUGUUGAGAAGCAGAUAUUUGCAGCUAAGGAUCUCGAACAGCUGUUGCAGUGUUACUUGUCUUUGAACUCUUAUCAUCAUCACGGGAUAAUUGUUGAGGUUUUUAUGGAGAUUUGGGAGGCUUUGUUCUCUAAUUGGACUGCUUGUUGAUUUUCUUCUAUCUUUGUUUUAAAACAUGUAGUUUAGAGUUCUAACUCUGAUAAACUGUGUUAAAUUAAUAGAUUAGUUUUCCAUUAAUUCCCAUAUGUUGUCUAUAUAUUGUCAUUUCUCUCUUUCUUUCUCUGUUAUUUUCUCGAUGAUCAUGCCCGCUCCACUCACUUUUCUUGACGGCUUCUUUCUUUCUUUCUUGCUUUCUUUUUUUACUGUAAAACUUGACAUCCAUUAAGUGUCAUUUUCUUAAUAAAAAAAAUAAUAAUAAGAAAACAGUUAGGUCAAAAAGAAGUUCACGGGGACAUAUAAAAGGUGACAAACCAAGUCUUUGAUAUGGUUUCCUUAACUUUCAGAGAGGUGCUUUAGACUUGAAAGAUGGGGAUGGCAACUUUUCUGAUACGAACGCAAAUGGAGUUAAAAUAAUUCAAAAGUUGUCUCGGACUUUCGGAUUUCUUUUCCAAUUAAUACACCAAAAUAAUAGAAAGAAAAUAGAGAAGCCUAUGCUAUAGUUUCACCUGCAGAAGAAAAGAGAGUGAGAGAGCUGUUUUAUUAUGGAGAAAAUAUGCUCCAUUAGCAUUUCUAAGCAACAAUUUCUUGAACAUCAAGCUCUUUUCAUCAAUUAAUUAUUCGGUUCAGCAUCCUAUAUAAGCUUAUUUUUUUGUUGAUUGUUUUUGGUCAUUGUAUAUUAAUUAUCAGAAAUUCUGGGAACAAUUUCCUGUUAAUUUCGGAUCAGUUUGAAUUAUAUCCUAAACAACUAGCAAUAAAAUUAUAGCAAAAAAAAUGAGGUUGACGAUUGGAUUUCUUUCUUGUCUCCGUUGUUGAAUCCACCUGACCAACAAAAAAAAGAAGAAAAAAGAACAGUUAGCUAGGACGUAGGAGAACUUCCAUGGUGAGUUCGAAAAAGAAGAAGAAGAUUUAUUUACAAGAACUGCCACAUGAUAUGUACGAGACCAAAUGCCUCACUCUCUUUUAAGAAGAAAAUAAAUUCUACCCUACAAGUACUCUAAUCAUUUACAGGACUACAAAAACUGGAUGAUUCCAUCUAAAUCCUUUUUCUAUUAAAUUAAAAAAAGAGAGACAGAAAUAAAGAAUAAGGUCAUAUUAUUAUAUGUCAUUGAAAUGAUGAAGCAAUAGGCCGUUGGCAUGAUGCCCGCGGACAAAGAACCAAGUUUUAAAUUUUUUGGUCUUAAAAGAGACAAUUUUUGGGAGCUAAACACAUAAAAAGAGACAAGUGUUAGGUACAUCUAUUUCUUGUUGUAUUAUUAACCGAAUCAAAUUAAUUAAUGGGAUUCAUUUGUUUCCAUUAUUACAUGGUAACACAGGCAAGACAAAGCAAACACAGCCCCCCACCACCCCAACAUCGAACAGAACAGAGUUUUAGUUCUUGCGUGGUGUCCGUCCAAAACCUGAAACCUUGUUUUUCAAAAAACCGAAGAGAAGUUGUUCUGAUGGGGGCUAGCUAGGCUGCUUAAUUAGCAGUGCUGUGGCAUUCCUAAAAAGACUGAAAACUGAUAUGUCGGAUGCAUAUAAUUUUCUGUGAGCACUCGUACGUUCAUUUCAAACAACGGUUGUACAUAGCUUAAGAAAUAAAAUAUGAGAGAGGCCAUAAUGGACGGAGAAAAAUAGGGCAUAUAACAGAGAGAAUGGGAGCCAAAACCAUGCAAGAAGUGGGGUGCAGUGAUGUAGCUUUUAGUGGAUUUGAUAACAAUGUCACGUCAGAUUUGAUUCUUAGCUCGGUACACUCUGUUCUAAUGGUAAAUGAGUUCGAAAGCCUUUUGUAACAAUGCUGAUGACAAAGUAAAGAAUGUCUGAUCAUGGCAGUGGCUAUGUUUUUUUGUUGUGACUCAUAGAACCACAGACUGGCCUAUAUAGGUGAGCAGAUAUACAAUUGACAUUGACAAUCCAAUUGUGGUCUUGGGUUUUCUUGGCCCACUUUCCUAGAGCCGACUCUACAGGAUGUCGACAUAUGCAAAGCCUCUAAUGAGCUGAAGUUAAAUAUGCUAAUCUAGUUUGGAGUCUUCAUGAUGAUCUCGGAUGAAGCUUAAAUUCAAUUUCUAGUUUGCUGCUAGUCCUUUUUCUUUUUCUUUCGAUAUUUUGGACCAACAUAUACAUCAAUCAAGAUUAAAUUAUUUCCAAACGAUUUUAAGGAUGCAUCCCUGCAUACAUAAACCUGAUACAUUAAAUUGUUUUUAAUAAACAGAGAAGGGAUACUCUGUAAAACCAAAAAUAAAAAAGUUGAACUAAAGAUCAAGGGUAGGAUUGUAAUUCUAAGUACAAGGAAAAUAUAAAUAGAUACUUGGCUUCCUAAAAAAAUCAAGUUGGCCGGUUGCUUGAGGGACAAAGAAAGAGAGAAAAAUUGAAGAAAAUUUGUGGGGAGUUCUUGCUAAAAAAAAAUACCAAAUAGAGAUAAAUAAAAAGAUCAAAGAGGGAUUAGGAAGGGAUUAAACAAGAAAAUUGAAGAUUACCAGAUUUAAUAGCUUCCAAAUAAAAAUAUUGAAAUAAUUGGUAUUUGAAUAAGAUAUCAGAUUGAUUGGUAUCUAAUUAAAAUUACCGAAAUUAAUGAUUUUUAAAUGGAAAUGCUGGAAUAACUAGCAUUCGAGUUAGAUGUUGAAUUGAUUAGUAUCUAGUUAGGAUUACCAAAAACUAUUAUAUUCCAAAUGAGAAUACCAAAAUAAAUGAUAGUUAUGAGAAUUGUCAUGUAUAUGGGUAACCAAACGAGGGAUUACAAUAUCUUUAGUACUUGAAAUGAAUGACUAAACAAAUUAACUAUGAAAUAAAAUAGUCAAUUUAUAUAACCAUUCAAGUAGGAUGGAUGGAUGGAAAGAAAAGAAGAAAUUAGUGAAAGAUUUUAUUUAAUUCAUUGUUGAAUUAGUAGGACAAAAAAGAAUGUAAUAGAGAUGAAAAUGAAUUCUAAAAAAGAGAGAGACUAAUUAUGAUUGAAUAAAAUUAUAGUAAAUAUUAAUGCGUUCUAGUGUUAAUUUCUUCUUUAAAGCCUUUACAAGAUCAUCAAGAAUGCACUUUUAAUAUUGCUUUCCUAUUCUAGCUAAUAGGAAAGAUAUGUAUGUAAUUUAUUAGUUAUAGAUAAUGUAUUGUACUACUUUAAGUAUUUCCUUUUCGCAUGUAAAUUAGAACUUAUAGACUUUAAUGUUUUAUUAGAAAAGAACUUGAAAUUUAAAAAGUGAAUACGUUUUAUUAUAUGUUCUUCCAUAUUGUUUAAAUUAUCUUAUCAUUUUAUUAAUAUACUAAAUUGAUUAGGUUGAAAUGAUAUGGUAAGUAGUAUCAUUAGAUUAUUAAUGAGAUGAAAAUUCUAGAUAAGUUGAAUUGAUGUUUAAUAUUGGAUUGAUUAAAUCGUUUUGAUGUCAACACUUGAGAUAAUGAUAUAUUAGUAAAACAAUCCCUUGUUUUGAGAAAUCAUCAUUUGACAUGUUGAUUAUAAGUAGAAAGAUUUGGAAUCGUUACAAUUGGUAUCAUAGCUUUUGUCUGAUUCAGUAGACUUUGAAUGAUGAUUUGAAGUUUAUUAAAUCUAUUUUUGUGAAAAUUAAAAUGUAGUUCUUUUAUAAAUGAUUGGAGCAAAUUGAUCAACAUUGAGGCAAGAAGACCAAAUUACCACAAACACAGGGCACAAAAAGAUAAUAUAUAUAUAUAUAUAUAUAUAUAUAUAUAUAUAUAUUUGUUAUAUUUUAAACGCAUAAAAACAAAAUCUAAAUUUAUAACUUCACUGUAUAAUUGAAAUAUUUAUAAUUAUGAAUAUAUAGUAAUGAAAAAUAAUUAUAUUAAUGAAAAACAUUUUAAAUAUUAGGAUGCUAUCGUUCCUUAAUAUUAUACAAUAUACUAAAAGAGAUCAGUUUUUUGUCACUUUUCACCUCCUUACAUAAUACUGUGGAUUGGAGCGAUUUUUUUUAUUUUCACUUUGAUCCUCCAACUUUUAUUCUAUGCAAUUUAGCCUUUUUUAGCCAAAAUAGCACCCAAUUGCAUAUUUUUUUAGAAGGGAGGUUGAAUUGAAAGACAGGGGACUAAAAUGAAAAAAACAAGUAGAAUAAGUGGUGGAUAUGAAAUUUAUUAUAAAAGCUCAUUUUAGUCCCUCAUAGUUUUUAGUUAUUAGGUAACUGGUCCCUUUAAUUUUCAAAAAAAAAAUUUGGUACUGAACUUUAUUUUCCUUAUUUUUCAGUUUUGUUUAGUGGGAAGAAAUAGGGAGUCGUCGGAUUCCGGUGUAGAAAGAGAAAGUGGUCGUUGGUGACGAUUAUAGCCACUAAAACAGUCGAUUUUGGUGUCAAAUGGUUCCAUAUGAUGAGGAGAGUACAAAUAAUGCAUUUUUUUGACCUUGAAAGUGUCUAAAAAAACAUAUCUGAGUUUGAGAAGAUUUUGGGUUUCAAGUUGAUUUACAUCUGAGAUUUUUUUAUGUAAAAUAACAUGUUGAAAAAUUCCGCAUGUUCAAUUUUUUUAUUAUGUUUUGAUGUUUUAUAUUUGAUCCUUAUUCUUAUGAUUUUUUUCUUGACCCUUUUAUGUUGGAUUCAUGGUUUUUUGUUUUUGUUUGCUUUCCAGGUCACUAUCUUGAUAACACGUGCGACCUCUUUAACUUAUCAAAAUUUAAAUUUUUCUUACUCAUUUUAAAACUUUGAUAUCACAUGAAUGAAGAAACUAAUUUGUCUUGUGGUAUAGCACGAACCAUUUAUCUAGUUAUAUAAGUAGUUGUGAACCUAGCCUUUACUCACGAGAUAUAUUCUUAUAACGCAUAUAGAAUUAUUAACAAUACUCUUUCAAUCACUUUUUUCCAAUUGCAAAAAAAGAUGAAAAAUAGAUAAUAAAAGGUAUUGACUGAAAAUGCAUGGCUUGACCUGGCUUGUAUUUGCAGAGAUUGUUUGUUUUUUGUUGUUGAAAUCACGUUUCAUAAUUUUUUAAAUUUUGUUUUGCUUGAAAUUAUUAUUUUUAGUGUUUUUGUAUCAUUUUGAUGUGCUGAUAUAAAAAAUAAUUUUUAAAAAUAAAAAUACUUGGCUUGUAUUUGCAGAGAUUAAUUGUUUGUUUUUGUUGUUGAAAUCGCGUUUCAGAAUUUUUUAAAUUUUGUUUUGCUUGAAAUUAUUUUUUUUGGUGUUUUUGCAUCAUUUUGAUGUGCUGAUAUAAAAAAUAAUUUUUAAAAAUAAAAACAAAUUAUUUUCAUGCAUUUCCGAGCGAAAAACAUUUUGAAAAUUAACCGCUGCUACAAGACAUAACACACCACAGGGCUGUUUUGUGGUUACAUAUUUUACUUGUUAAUGAUUUCUUGGGAAAUAAAUUAAUCAAUACCAUGAAGUAUGUGUGGGGGUAUACUGGUACAAAAAUAAAAGUUCCAUGAAAAAUAAUAAAUUUUUAAAAUGAUUUUUAAAAAAUAAAAAAAUAUUAUUUCACGUAUUUUCGAGCAAAAUACACUUUCAAAAGCAACAGCUGUCACACUCUCAAACACUACUGCAAGACAUAACUCCACCAUGGCUAGGACAUAACAUACCUCGACUAAGGUUGUUUUGUGGUUACAUAUUUUACUUGUCAAUGAUUUCCUAGGAAAGCAAUAAAGCAAUUAAUCAAGACCAUGAAGCAUGUGUAGGGGUAUACUAGAACAAAAAUAAAAGAUCCUUGAAAAUUAAUCAAUUUUUUUAAAAAAUAAAAAAACAUUAUUUUCAUGCAUUUCCAAGCAAAAGCCACUUUGAAAAAUAACUCUCAUCACCCUUCCAAACACUACCACAAGACAUAACACACAACAACCAGAAAAUAUUAUAUCAUAGUCAGGCCUGUUUUGUGGUUACAUAUUUUACUUGUCAACGAUUUCCUGGGAAAGAAAUUAAUCAAGACCAUGAAGUAUGUGUGGUAGAAAUACUUGUAUACUGGAACAAAAAUACAAGAUCUAAGAAAAUUAAUUAUUUUUUAAAAAUAAAAAAAUAUUAUUUUCAUGCAUUUCCACUCGAAAAACACUUUUAAAAUCAAUCACUAUCACACUCUCAAACACUACCACAAGACAUAACACACCACGACUAAGGUUGUUUUGUGGUUGCAUAUUUUACUUGUGAACGAUUUCCUAGGAAAGAAAUUAAUCAAGACCAUGAAGUAUGUAUGACGGAAAUACAGGGGUAUGCUGGAACAAAAAAUAAAAGAUCUUUGAAAAUUAAUUAUUUUUUAAAAUGAUUUUUAAAAAUAAAAUUUUUUUUAUGUAUUUUUAUGUGAAAAACAUUUUGAAAAGUAACUGCUAUCAUAUUCUCAAACACUAUCUCAAGACAUAACACACCACAAAGAAAACUAUUUUGUGGUUAUAUAUUUUACUUGUCAAUGAUUUCCUAAGAAGAAAUUAAUCAAUACCAUGAAAUAUUAAAAACUUAUCAUCAUCAUCAAUAAAUUAAAGAUUUUAGACAAAAUUAGGAUAACAUAUAAACCCUAGGUAAAUUUAAAUGUUUAUACUUAUCAUCAUCAUCGAAUAAACAAUAAUAUUAAAAACUAAUUUAAUAUUAUUAUAUAUAAUAAUAUAAUAUCUUAAACAAAUUCCAUGUAGCAUAAAAAAAUUAUAUUUUUUUAAAAUUAAUCCUCCUAAUACAUUUAUUAUUUAUUUUAUAGGAUUCUCAAUAAUUUUUAUAUUAAUUCAUAUAAAAUAAUUAUAAAUCAAGUUUAGGAUAUUUUUUAAUAUAUUGCAGAAGUUAUAUUUGUCACAAAACUAAAUGUUACUUUCUUAAUUAGUACUUGGAAAAGGGUUUAAAAUUAUCAUACAUCCCUUUACCAUAUGAAUUUGAUCAUAUUACCCUCUCCAUGUUAAAAAGGGUAAAAUUGAAUUCUCCAUCGUAUGAAUUUGGCCAUUUUUAGCUUAUUUUUAAUGAAAUUAUGACACAUGUCAAUAUCUAAUUGGCUAGAAAUUGUCCAACUGACAUCAUUCCUUCUAAAAUGAUCAAAUUCAUAUGGCUGAGGGGUAUUAGACCUUUUUUUUUUUUUUUAUGUAAAGAAGUUGAUCUGACCAAAUUAAUAUAGUAUAAGGAUGAUUUUAGAUCAUUUUAUUUUAUAAUAAACCCAAAAAAAUAUAUAAUUAAUUUAUGAAUACUUAGCUCAUAUAAUUUUUUUUUAUAAGAUACAUCCACAUCGAUUGUUUUUUAAAUUUUCAAUGUAAGAUAGUUAUAUAUAAAGUCUAUAUUCACAUAGAAUAUUUCUUGACUUUUUGAUAUGAAAUAACUAUAUAACUUACAUCUACAUAUAUUAUUUUUUAAUUUUUUGAUGUAGAAUAACUAUACUGUACAUCACAUUUAUUUUUUAUAUUCUACAUUUAAAAUAUACUGGUUGGUUGACGUAUGUUAAUCAUCUGGAUGAAUGAUCUUCCAAUGACUCCAUAUUUUUUUAAAAAUUAGUAUAUAUAUUGAAAUUAAUGAUUAAAUUAUAAUACUGAAAAGUUAAAGUUCAAAUAUCUCAAAUUAACUCAAUGAAUUGGUAUAAUCUUAAGUGUAUAUGAUUUUAACCUAAAAUAAAAAGUCUUCACACCACGAAGACAUGAUAUUUAAGAUAACACUUUGAGAUAUUUAAUUAUUUUAUUGAAUUUCUUCACCAAGAGACGUGACCUUUAUCUGAUUAUUGUUUAAUCAUAUUCAAUUUCAUAAUUAUAAGAUCUAAUGUCCAUAUAUAGUUUGGAAUUCUUUCAUUAUAAUAAAUGUUACGUCAUUUAAUAAAUAAAAAUUGGUGAAAAAAAAUUAAUAUCUCAAGCAUCACAUGUUUAUUUAUUGACACAGCAAGGUCAAGGUGUCGUAUUUUACGUGAAAGGUAUGUUUCUUCGACAUAUUACAUCAGGCACCCAAAAAAAAAAAAAAGAGUAGUAGGAGAACCUAUCGGCUAACUAGACGUUACACUUGUUACGAUGCCGCGACCACCAAUUGCAGGAUCGGUAGGCUGACAGCCCUAAGCAACGCCCGAACGUUGUUCUUCGAACCCUUGCUUUUCUGUAGUGGCUGAAAAGUCAUAACUUGCUUCAACUGCAUCUUCCAUGCACAAAAAUAUGGAUUCCUUCCCGAUCUUAUCUACGAAUUUUGAUUUCAUCAUUUUCUCCAAAACAUCUAGCCUGGGGUUUACAAUUUUCAUCUGCCAUGAACAAUUAAGGGAUAUACUUAUUUAAUUCUCUAGCAAAAACAAACAAAUAAACAAACAAAUAAAUAAAUAAAAAGAAGAUGUCUUAUCAUGAUUUUAAAAACAAGUUUUAAAAAGUAAUUUUAAAAGAAUAUUUCAAUAUUUUGUAUGAAAAAAAAUAAUUAAUAUGAUAAAAUCAUAUAAAACUCUAUUAAAAAAUCAUGUUGAAUAUUUUGUUUAGAGUGCAUUUAAAAAAAAAACUAAAAAAAAAUGAAAAAAAAAAUUAUAAAAAAAAACCACAUGCUUGUGCCUAAAAGAUUGGUCCUGACUACUUGGCUUAACAUAGAAAAGGCCCAAUACACAUGAGCCUACAAGCUCAGACCCGUGCACCUAGCUUCUUUUAUUUUAAUGUUUAUAGGCGAAAGACUAUUUUUUUUUAAAAAAUAAAACAGAUAAUUUAUUACUUGCUAAUUUAAAUUCUAGCAAAAUGAGUGGUUGUUGGAAAGUCAAGUCAGAGAUUUUUUGGACUAAGAGUUAACUCAAUUUUAAGCUAUUUUUAUCUAAAAACAUGUAAUAAACACACUAAAAAUUUUAAUAAACUAAUUGUUAACCUUAAAACACUCUUAAAUUAGUCCAAAGAAAAUUAAUCAAACAAAUAAAUUAUUUUUAAACAUCAAUCUCUUUUUUUCAAUGAAAUAAAAAUUUAAAAAAUAUCUCAAUGAUACUCUUCUUGCCGGGAGAAACUCAUUAAUAAAUAUCGGUUUUUUUGUAGUUAAAUGUGUUCAUCUAACUAUUUUCUUUAUCAUCUCAAAUUUCAAGGAGUGAAAUAUAAAAUCAUUGAAGCUUAGGACUAAAACAUGAAACCCCAAAAAACUAGGGAUCAAAAAGUAAAAGCUUCAUAGGCUAAAUUGUAGUUUUUCAACAGCACACAAUACACCAAGGUCUGGCCUGCAUGAACAAUACAAGAAAGAGCAAAAAGCUUCCUCUCAAUGUAAUUUUACCUUGAUGUGUUUGACUUCUAAGAUUCUGAGCACUUCAGCUAAAGUUUCGAUGCCUGUCGUGUCAAUGGAUGUAACUCCUGUUGCAGCAGUAUUUAUAAUUUUGGAUCAGCAUUGACAUGGAGUCGUCAAAUUUGGAAUGUAGCACUAGCUAGGUUGAGGCUGCACGCAAAUUAAUUAACCUUACCCGUCAAAUCUAGCAAAACAUGCUUCACAGCUUUCCCAUUACCCUCGUCAUUUCGAAUCCACCGGAGAAUCCUAUUCACAUAAAAUUAAUUAGUUACUAAUUAAAAUGCUGCGCACGUGUGUGAUAAACCGAAGAUUGUUUCUUCUUCUUCUUCUUCUUCUUAAGAAAGCAUGUCAAGUGUGAUUACCUCUCUCUUAUAUAGUUGCCAUUUGCAUAAUAAAUAGGAGAACCAAGUUGUAUAGCAAGAAUUCCAGGGGGACCUGAGGCUUCAGCAUACUGUUCGGUGUCGCGGUACAAGGUUGAGUCUGGCAAUUUUCCAAGCUUACAAGCAGCAGGUCUGGCCACAUAUAGAAGUGCCCUCAACAAAGCAAGCGCAACCUGAAAUCGAAGAAUGGAAAAUUAGCUGUUAAUUUCCUGUGAUAUAUAAAGAUAUACAGGUGGGUUGAAAAUCCUUACUGAUAUCAUGAGGCCCAUAUCCAUGGUUAUGAACGCAACACCAAAAAAAGCAGCUAAGCAAAUGCAGAAAUCAAACUUGUCAACCUUGAACAAGUGAUAAGCCUCCUCAUAUUUGAUGAGGCCUAACAUCGCAGACAUGAUAAUGGCAGAUAGAGCAACGAGAGGGGUAUAGCUAAAGAGAGGAGCCAAGAAUAGGAGAGUGAGCAUCAUGCCAAUAGCCAUUACUAAGUUCGACGCUGCUGUCUUACACCCAGAGUUGUAAUUCACUGCAGUUUUUGAGAAUGGUCCUGCAAAUUAAAGCACUACUCAUAUGAAAAAUGCUCUACUAAGUUUUUCUUUUCUACUUUCAUUUCUCAAACAAACCAAGAAUUGAAGAACACGCAUAUGCAUAGAUACCAGUGGUCAAGUAGCAUGAAAAGCAAGACCCAACAAUGUUCAUGAAACCAAAAGCUAUCAUCUCCUUGUUUCCAUCAACUUGUUCAUUAUUCAUUAUGGCAAAGCUUCUUCCAAUUGCAAUCCCUUCCUGCAAUAAGUAUCGUUUUAGUUCGCUAUCGAUUAAUAAUAAUAUUCGGUUUUGGUAAAUGAGUAAAAGAAAUUUAGCGAGCUUACAGCCAAAGCAAUUAUGCCAGUAAUGAUUCCAGCUUUCAAAGUGUAGGGCAGAUACUCAGCGUCAAAAUUCAAGUAUUCGAUGCUUAUCGGAUUUAACCCUUUAUGCAGGUUCCCAACCUAAUUAGUGAUAGAACACAGAUAGGAGGCAAGUCGUAAGCAUGUACAUAUAUUUGACAAGAACUAAUUAGACGUGGUUUUUGUAAGUUAGAAAAAAGUCAAUUUACAGUUUGGAUGCUGUAUUUACUGUCACGAGUAAAGUAGGCUAACAAGCAGCCGAGUACAACGACCACCAUCGGAGCCAUAGCUGAGACCCAAAAUAGCUUGGGUUUUCUUUGCCUCUGAAAAUCCACCAUUUUCAAAAUGUUAUUAGAAUUAGCACAGUAAGAGAAUACUCUCAGCCGCAAUCUCAUGCAUGCAGGUACCAUAAUGAGAUAAAGUACAUGUGUAGAGAUUUUUGAUGGUUCAAUCUUGAUGUUGAUCCCAGAAUUUGAACCCGAGAAAUUAAAAAAUAAAGUAAACCUCUUUAAUCCCAUAAUAAUAAUAAUAAUAAUAAUAAUAAUAAUACUUGGAUUCAUGGUUUACAACUUCUUAACCUUAGAUGAAAAACAGGGAUGUUGUGUGAUUAAAAAAAAAGAAGAAAAAAAUCUCAUUUUUUUUUUAAAAAUAAAACUCAAAAGAAGCAGUUUAGCUUUUGAUUGUUGAAAGCUGGAGAAAAGAGGGAACAAAGUAAGAUGUUGACAAGUGUUCAAAAAGUACUUUUACAUUGAAAGCAACCACUUUAAUAAUAAUACGAAAUAGCCGACCUCGCUAUCAAAUUUGUUAGUGCAGACACAAGACUUGAUGUGUGCAAAGCAUAUUGUGAACGAUAAUACAUGCAUGGCAUCAUAUGUUGAUGUCAUAUUAAUGGAGAGUGCACCACUCACCAGAUAGCGGGUGAACAGCAGGAAAACAAGGAAGGCCAUGCCGACAACCGCGGUUUCCCAUUUCCACUGAAAAAGGACAAAAAGAAAAAAAACCAUUAGCCUAUAUAUGUAAAGUUGGAAUAGAAUCUUCUCAUGGAUAUUGAUGAAGUGAUAGUUAUAACCAAAUUGGAUGAUCCAAAAUAUAUAUAUCACCCUUUUAUGCCAAAUGUUUUCCACUCUUAGAACAACAAGAAAGAAAGAAGGAAUUAAGAACGUUUUAAUUUGUUAGUCUUCUGCAGUGCAAACCUCAUUCCUAUUCUUGAAAACUGCAUGCAAAACAGAAACCACAUCUGUUUUUGUGGUGAAAUGGCUCACUCCAAGCAAGCCCUUCAAUUGCUGUAGGCAGAUAAUAAUCGCUGUGCCUCCCAUGAAACCAGUGAUUGUGGAAUGUGACAAGAAAUCCACCAGAAUCCCCAGUCUGCACGUAUUCAACUCGGCUCAAAUAAAGAAUUAUACAUACAAUAAUUUGAGUGCAUUAUCUGUUUUAAACUCGCCUUAGAAAUCCUAGAGCAGCCUGAAAAACUCCAGUGAUGAAAGCGGCCGUGAAAACUAAGUGGAGGUACAAUGUUGGGUCAUCUUUGGAUGAUACUUUGGAUCCAAUUGUAUCUGCUAUGAGCAAUGAGCACGCAGCUACUGUCCCCACCGCCACAUGUUUCGAACUCCCGAGAAUUGCAUAAACUAAAGCAGGCACAAAGCUCGAGUCUGCAACCAGAAUCAUGAAAGAAAUCAAUAAACCUCGUUUUUGAUACAAAAAAAAAAAAAAAUUACACCAGCAGACGGCCGAAAACAAAAACGUAAGAGAACAGUGAGAUUACUUACAUAGGCCAAUGAUUGGAGGAAUUUCAGCGAGUUUGGCAUAGCUGAUUCCUUGAGGAAUGGCAAGGCUGGUAAUGGUGAUACCAGCAAGAAGGUCGAAUCUAAACAUCUUAAGAUUGUAUUGAGGCAGCCAUUCAAAGAUUGGAACGAAAUAUUGAAGGGUUUUCUUGGCCUUGCCGAGAGGCUUCUCAUUCUUGAAUUGUCUAAAUGGGUCGUCAGGGAAGAAGGUCUCUUUGCAUUUAGAUUUCAAUGUUGUCCUAAACUUUCUCGGGGAGUUGAAAUUCACCUGGGUAGGAUUCAUGCUGGAAUUGCGUGUGGGCAUGUGAAGAAAAUAUUAUGGAGCAAGUAAAUAAAUCGGCUGGUUACUCAAUUUAGGUGCUUAUCCUUUAUAUAGAUAGAUAGAUAGAUAGAUAAAGAUGCUCGUAAUAAAAAUAGAAGGGUUUUUCUGAUGUGUGCCUCAAGGGCAAAACGUUGUUAAAGUCAAAAAUAAUAUUUUAUUGAGAUAAAGAUAAUGAGACUUCUUCAGAUAUCGUCGUUAUCUAUUAACAAAAAGUAAAACAAAUUACCAAAUAAACUAGAGCAGAUCAUGUUCUUCGCUGUCACAGUGCAUCCAAAUAAACUAAAACAACUGUUCAUUGUGCUUUUUUGCCAGGUUUUUCUAAGCAUUCGAGAUUUGGUUGUAAAUGUGGAUAUCCGACGUCUUCACCAAGAUAUAUUACCCAAUUUAUAUAUUUUUUAAGUAGCAAACCACUAUAAUAAUACCUGUUUUUCUUCCUUGGUUAAAACCCAAAAGCUUUAAUGGAUUUUGAUCAAUUCAUUAAAUUUGAUGUUAUUAAUUUAUUUUUAAAUUAAUUGGUUUAAUCCAACUUACCGCGUAACGCGAGCCAUAAAACUACUUAUAUCUAAAAAUUAUAUUAUAAUCAUGAAAAUAUUUUUAACAGGUAUAACUUAUUUUAUAAAACCCCAAAUCAAAAGUUUUGUUCUAUCAAAACUAUUAAUAUUCAUAAUUUAAAUUAUUUUUUUUAUCAUCUCAAUAUCAUUUUAUGUGCACCUAUCCAUUCAAACUACCCUUCAAACUAUAUUAAAACUUUAUAUCCAAAACAUAAAUAUGAGAAUGUAAGAAAAAAAUUAAAAAUAUUUAUAUAUAAUAUAUCCCGUGUUCUUAAUACAUAAUCAAUUUAAAUUCUUAAUUUGCUUUAGAUUUUUGAAUGAGAUACUAUAACUAUAUAUCAAAUAAUUUUUUAUUAUAAAGAACUUAAGUUUUUUGGUAAUUUUAAAAGGAUUUAAUUUAAAAAUAAUAUGGAUGCAAAACAAUACAUAAUUCAAAUUAUACUAUUAGAAAUUUUUAAACAAAUUAAGAGAUGAACUGAAACAGUAUUAGAGAUGUAUAGACACAUUUUUUUUUGUCUCAUACUUCUUAAAAAAAAAAGAGAGUAAAAUACAACUUAAAUUAAAGAUUACAGCACAAGCUUUCUAUUAAACAAGUAAAAAUAUUUAACAAUAAGCAUUUGUAAUUUGUUCAAAUUUGUUCGUUUAAAAAGAAUUAAAGUUUUAAUUUCUCUUUCUGCAAAUUAUCAUUCAUGGUUUUUCUUAUUUGAGUGUGAUACUCUCUUUUUAAUGUACUUGUGGAAUAGGGACUAUCUUAUGUCUUUCUUUUUAUUUCAAAGCACAGCAAUAUGUGAUUGAUUAAUAAUUCACACUAGCUAUUUGAUCCAUGUUCUGCCGCAUGUUGAAUAUUUUUUAACAGAAAAUUAAACAUGGAAGCUUUUUCAACAUGUUAUUUUAAAUAAAAAAAUAUUAAGUGUAAAUAAAAAAAAUUAUUCACACAUUUAAUUAAAAAAAUCAAGAACCAUCUAUGUCAAUAGAAAAAAAACUAGAGAUAACUAAAUACAUAUCUAGAAAAGUCGAGAGGCGGAUGCAAAUCAAGAUAUUUAAUAUCGUAAUACGGACUAUUUAUCCAAUUGUGUUGAUUGACUUUGUUUAUUAAUAUAAAUUUUUUAUUUAAUCAAAUGAUAGUAGAAAUAAACACACAUAAAAUUGAUUCGGUAAAAUCAAAUGAAAAAACAAAUCUUGUGAGGUUGAACUUAUUAGAAAUACUAUCUAAAAUAAGUAUUUUUUUAUUUUUAUUAAAUAAAUUUCAAUUAUACAAAACAUUAAAAAACAAUUAUAGAUGAAUUAUAAUAAUAUCUUAAAAAAAUAAACAUAUACAAAAUAACUAAAAAACAAUUAUUUAAAAGAGGCUUAAUACAAAAAAUAAGAAAUAAGAGAGAAUGUGUAUUAAUUUAAAUAUAAAUUAUAGAAUCAUUUAAAAAGAUACAUAUAAGAAAAGGCAUGAUUUUUUAAAAGUAAAAAAAAAACAAAAGAUGAAGAAGAAAAAGAAAGAGGUUAGGCGCCACAAGACCUAACCCAAUUAGAAAGGCCCUGUUCGUAGGCUCUAUUUUUUUAAAAUAUUACAAUUAGGGUGGAUGACAUACCAUUCGCCUCAAUAUGUUUUGAAAUUCUUUUUCCAGAAGAUGCGUCAUCUGGUUUUUUUGAUAUUCCGGACGUUAUGAUGACCACAAAAACAUGGUCUAUGUUUUUUUGAUCUAAAAUUCAUUUUUUAACUUUUUUUUUCCUCCAAAAAACAACUAGAAAAGAGACUAAAAUCCUUGAUAAAUCCAUAGAUGCCUUUAAAAAACCAAAACCAUAAAAACUCGAAUUCAACUUGAAACCUAAAAUCUUCUUCAGUUUAGAUUCGGUUUUUUAGGUAAUUUCAAGUUGAAAAAAAAUACCUUAAUGAAACUCUUCUCAUCAAACAUUGAAACCCUUUGACUCAAGAUCGACCAUUUUAGUAGCCGAAAUUAGUCUCAACGUUGAUUAUCCCUUUCUAUAACCGGAAUCCGGUGAUCUCUCUCUCUUAUCUUAAAACAGGGAUUAAAAAAAUGAAAUUUUAUAACAAAAUAUAAUUGAAAAACUAUUGAGGGACCGAAUAGGUAUAAUUUGUAAAAUUUGAGGACUAAAAUAAACUUUUUAUGAUAAUUUUAAAAUCAUCAUCCAUUUGUAGCGUAUUUUUUUACUUUGAUUCUUUGUCUUUUAAUUUUAUUCUUAAUUAAUAAAUUUGAUUUAAUUAUUAUUUAUUUUUUUCUAAAAAAAUGCAAUCACGCAAAAAAAAAUUGAGGAUUAAAAUAAAAAAAAAAAAAUUUUAAAAAAUGAGCUCUUAGGAAAAUGUAAGAUGGUGAACUGUGCAUGUACACAUAGUAUUUUAGCCAUAAUAUUUAGAGUAUUGUAUAAAAGGGUCCGCCCCAUGCAUAUCUCAUGGAGAAUUCAUCGGAUUUGCUAGUAUUAAUUACCCAGUAGACACCCAGUUCAGCUACAAACUCAUGACAUUCUAUUACAAAAUUAAGCUGCUAAAGAGUAAAGAGGGAAUUAAAGGAUAUGAUAAGCAAAAUUAUUGCUGUAGCUUUUAGAGAAGAAAACUAGCAGCUGCAUAUCUUGAUCGCCACCUUCAUGUGUGUGUGUGUGGCUAGAAAUUAGGCAUGAAUCUUUGGAUGUUUGCUCAAACAUCACUCCCCAGAUAAGUUCAUACGGAGAAUGUCUAAAUCCAAUGAAGAGACAAUAACCAUUGGCAAGCAUCCAAAGAACACUCAAUAUAUAAACUUAUCUGGGGAGUGAUGUUUGAGCAAACAUCCAAAGAUUCAUACCUAAUUUCUUAAUUAACUUGCUUGCUUACUUUCUUUCUAAUUUUAACUCUCACUUGACUAAUUUACAUCGCAUUUGCUUAGUAAAUGUUUCCACCAAGAUAAUUUUGUUUUAUGGAAAUUGAGUUAUGUUUCUUAAUUUGUUUUGAGAAGAAUAAAUUUUUUAAUAGAAUUUCAUAGUUAUCUAUUCAAUAAAAUAAAAAAUAAUAAUAGCAUGUAUUCUUAGGAGUCUUAGGUGUUCGUUUGCUUAUUAUAAGUGAAAGUUUUAAAAUCAAAAUGUAGGAAUUAGAAUGAUAAUUAAAAAAAUUAGAAUGGCGUUUUAAUAAUAAGAAUCAAAAUAAAAUUUAUAAUUUUUAAAAUUUGGUUAUUAACAUAAAAAAAAUUAAUGAUUAAAAAAAUAAUUUUAUUAACAAUAAUAACAUCAUAGGAGAUGAUUUUGGUGGAACAAUAAUAAUAAUAAUAAUAAUAAUAAUUUAUAAUUACCACUGUAAUAUAAUGACGAAGAUGACGAUAAUAAUAAAUAUAGUAAUAAUUAUAAAAGUAGUUGAUAUAUAAUAAAUAAAAAUAAUAAAUUAUUUUUAUUUGAAAAAAAUCUUAUUCGUAUUCUUUAUUUUUAUUCUUACCCUUGAAACUAUGUUUAAUUUUUAUUUACAAGCUUAUCGUUCAUUCUCAUUAAUUAAUUGUCGCUUCAUUUUUUUUAACCAAAAACCUUCAUAAUAGGAAUAGAAUUUUCAUACCUUAUGACCAAAAAUCCAUAGACAGAUUGUAUACUAAUUUAACCUUUGAACAAAAAUCCAAUCAGCUGUAAAAAGUUUUCAUCGAAGUUGACAGAUUUGUUCUUCAAUAAAUAUCUAAUGCUCGAAAACUAUAUAUUUUGACUUGAACACUUCCUUGUCGGAGAGCUUAUCUGAUGCGCAGAGAUAUGUUCACAUCUUCAGUGAGUUUGCAUGUGUAAUUAAGAGCUUCCGUGGACAUCGAUCAUCGAUCGAUCUUAAGGUUUAUUAAUUUAGACCAUGAAUCAAUUUUACUUCUGGGAAUGACAAACGCCAAUCAUUAGUUGAGAGGUAAUUAAGAAGAUCAGUUAAGAUCAAUUUAGAGAUGAAGCAUCCAUCCAAAAUAUAUAUAGCUGUGAUAUAUUGUCGUCUAAAUGAAGCACCAAAUGAAGCCUCCCUCAGUUACCCAAAUCAAAGAGGGCUGGGCAGCUGCUUCGAUCGACAACUUGGAGAUAUUGUGAGGACUGCAAUCAAUCUCUACUGACCAAGUUUGAAACGGAAGUCUUGGGGUAGUGUUUGUUGUGUCAAUCUCUAGUCACCACACUAACUUGUCAGUUUCAUUUCAACCGCAUCAAUCAUUGUUUCUUACAAAUUCCACAGAGGAAGGAAGGAAGAAACAUUCAUGAUCUGGUGAAGGGGUUAUCUUGGUCCUGUCUUAACCAUUAACUGCAGCAGCAAACCUUCCCAUGAUGAAAUAAUUGAUUUUUGCUCUUCCCCCGGUGCUUAUCUUGGUGGUCCCUGUCUGUCUUUACCAUUAUUAUUUUGUACUCAACUGUCAGCUCCCUUUCUCUACACAGUGACUCUAGUUUUCAUAUAUUACUUCUCAUAUUUCGACGUGAAAUCUUCAAUCUCAUUUUUUUUUUUCCUUCAGAUUUUGUGAUACCUAUUAAACACUUAAGGGUGUGUUCUGUUAUAGAAAAUAUAUAUUUUUUUUCAAUUUUCCUUUUCUAAUAAAAAUUAAAAAACAUGUUUAUCUUGAAAAUAAAGUUUACUUUUCAUUUAAUUGAAGUUUGUUUAUCUCAUCAUCUUCAUCAACUUCUGUAUAUCCAUUAGUUCUUAAUAUAUCAUUUAGCUCAUUAGUAACAUCAACAACAAAAAUAUUCUUAGCAACAUGAAAAAUUAAAUUUUCUUCUAAGUUGGUAGACGGAGCAACUCGACAUGGAUCAACUAACUCAUAAAGUUGAAAGAUAUCGUCUUUUGCAGUUAUUUUAUCUUUACCAUCCCAAACAACUUGGACAUGACCCUUGAGUUUGGUUUUUACAACGGAUAACCAAUCAACUUUAGAACAAUCAUUUCUAAAAAAACAUAUAUGUGUAAUAAACUUGUUGGCAUUACUUCAUUAAAACAAAGACAUUGUCGAUGUUGCGAAGUCUAGUCUUUGUAUUAAUUUUGACCAAAUCAUAGUAGAGAUCUAAUCUAACUUUUUUAUCGGUGGUAUCAUACCAAUAUCAUGUGAAUAAAAAGACUCUAUUAUGCUUACUAUGAUAUUGCAAUUCAAUCACCUCUUCUAACUUUCCAUAAUAAUCAACUUUAAACUCAUUAGAAGUUGAUUCAUGAACACAAACUUUAUUGUUACAUAUCUUUAUAUUUUGACCAUAAUCUUCAAUAUGAAAGAUAUAUCCAUUAAUGAAAUACAUGUUAUAAUAUUUGACCUAUCUUUCAGGAUCCAAACAUAGUAAAUUCAAACUACCAUUUUAUAAAUCUAGCAUAUGAUUACAACCACUAACAGUUAAAGAGAAAAGUAUAAUAAAAUUAAGUAUUAUAGGAGUUAAGAAUUAUUAAGUACUACUUACAUGUGUUUUAAACCACGUGGAAAAUUACUCAUAUUGUAAUCGAAAAUUUUAAGAUUCAGUCAGAUAUUAAUUUUAGGAUAGUAAAAAUUGAUGAUAUUACCUAUAAGAAAUUAUUCAAUAAAUCAGUUUAUAUGGGUGUUAGAGAAAAUCGUUUAAAAAUAGCAACAUGUUAAUAUUGUACUCAUGGAAUAUAAUGUAUUUACAGGGAAUAAUGUUAAAAAUUCCUAUUAUGUCCCUUUAAACCUUUUAUUUUUUACGGGUAAUAUUUUCUAGGUCCUAAUACUGGUUAUACCAGACUUAAAAUAGGUGAAUCCGAAUUCCAUUAAACUUUAUGCCACAACAAUUUUUUUCCAUUUUUUAUCUAUGUUUCUGUAUUUUUUAUUUUUUAGCUAUUUUUCAUAAAUUAUUUUUAAAAAACCCAUACCUAAACAUUUUAUUUUAAUUUCUUCCAUUUUUCAUCAUUCCCAUGAAUUGAUUAUUCCUUGUACUUAUCAUUGUAGUCCCUUCAUUAAUUUUACAUGUUUCUUCUUACAUGUUUCUUCUCAAGGGUUUACAUAAAGUCCUCUUUCAAGAAUGGGAGAAUAUAAAAUUAUUUCAAUAUUUUUAGUUUUAGUUUUCAAAAUUGAUAGGAUCCUCAAUACCAUAAAUUGAAUCAUAGGGAAAAGAGAUAGAAACAUUAAACACACCAUAGAUAAUAGGUUAGAAAAAAAACUCUCUUCUAAAAGAAAAAUCACUCUCGUUUGAAAAAAAAUAAAGAGCAGAAAACAAACCCUCUCAUAUCAAAACUAGACCUAGCAAUCACAUGUUUUUAUCCCUUUCCUUGUCAGAAUCUAAUGACAAAACAACAUAUCUUUUUCUUAUUCCAAAAAAACAUCACUACUCCCACCGAACAAGCCAACCACAUAACAACCUUCUCUCACUCCUACAAGCUUAGUCUACCAAACAUUAGCCUCAUCAUCAUCGAUCAAACCACUAACCUCUUAUCUUUGAAUCGAUCUCUUUCAUCUCUAUCCAAAAUCAAAAACCUACUGCUACCAAUCAACACCUAGAAUCUCUUCAUCACAACAACUCUAACCUUGCUCUUUCUCCACCACACAACAAUCCCUCUCUCCUAGUAACACCAACGGAUCACCAUAUACCUUAACCACAACAGCCCCUCCACACUAUAGACCAAAAAACCAUCAUUUUCUCGAUCAACCCAACAACAACCACACAACUUAUAGCCAAACAACCUAUUGGAACAACCUUUCUCUUCCUUAUUAGUCAAUCAACCUCCAAAUCACCAUAAAUUCUAGCCUUCAAAUUAGAUUGUUUAUGUUCUUUUUAUAGGUUUUAGAAAGGCAUGUGAGAUAUGUGUGCCCCUAUCUAUAACACACAUUAGUGUGCCAGCAUGUGAGACGCACUUGCCAUCGAUGUCUAGUCCUAGUUCCAAUAUCUUCCUAUCGACUCCAACAGCUCUCAAAAGUCGUUUUUGAAUCCCGAACAAAUUUUUGCUUUUCUUGAAUAAUUUUCAAUGUAUUUUUUUAUAUUAUAAUAAAUAUUUGAAGUUUUGAGAUCUAUUAUAGGGCAACCCUGAAGAUAUAUAACAGUUGGAUAUUUAUUUUUUGAGAAGUGACAAGGUUAGAAUCAAUAUCUCAUGAUGGAGUUGAGAGGACAAGUUGUAACAGGAUUAUCCAAGGUGUAAUUGUUUGACAUCGGUGUAGAAUGUCGUGUGUGGAUGUGUAUGUUUUCUUGUUGUGGAAUUUGUACAUUUAUUUCACUAAAUAAACAAUAUGAAUUUUUUUUUCUUUUUUAUGUAGUUAUAUAUUGAUUUUCUUUUCUUAUCAAAUAUUCAAUAUGCGGAUAAUAUGAUGCUUAAACGAGUCAUGUGCUCUAGAAGUUGAGACUUUGUUAUUUUCAUAUAAAAAAUAAAAAGUUUGAUUUCAUUUUUUUACCAAUAAAUCAACCCAAAGAUGAUAUAAUUCUUAAAUGGAUCCUAUCUUUAUUUUCAUAUUAAAUAAAAAUAAAAAAAUUAUUUUUCCUAUUUACCUAAAAAUCAAUCCAGGAAUGCUAUGAUCUUUAAAUGGGUUGUGAUGCUUAAACGAUACAUGAUUCUCAUAAGUUGAAGGAUAUUAUAAAUGGUCAGUAUGACUUUAUUUUCAAAAUACACCACGUAAAUAAUUUUUAAAAAAUCUACCUAUUUGUAAAUAUCAUUCAAUUGUUUUUUUUUUAAUUUUUCAAUGUAUGCGAAUGUUUGUUUAGGAAUUUUUUGGUUUCAAGAUACAUCACUCUCUAUCAAUAUGAGUGGAUUCGUGUUAAGUCAAUGUGAUCCAACAAAGACUCAUCAAGAACGUGUGGUGGCCUUUGAGCCCAUUUUGAAUAUAAUAAAAAAUAGGCUUGAAUCCUUAUUAACCAUUACCAUCCCUAGAGUCUACAUAAGCAUUUUAAAAGUGAGGAUUGAGUUUUAUUGCCAAGCUUAGAUUUCAAAUCACUACUUAAGUCCUAAUAGUUUUUAUCUUUCAUAAAAAGUGCACAUAUACCAAUUUAGACAAACAUUUAACAUAUAGGCAUAAUAAACACCUUUAUCAUAAAACAAAAACACGAAGUGAUUUACCUUAGAUAGGAUGUCUUAGAAUGAUUUUCAUGUUCAUUUGGCAUAACUAACCCUUACUCAAUAAUUUUUGAAAGAUUAAUUAGAGUUUUCUAGUUACUAAUAAACUAGAUGAUGAUUUUUUUAUAUUUCGUCCUCAUUAAUUAUAUCCGCUCACCAAGAUGUCCCGUACGACAAUGAAAAAGGAAUUAACUAACCGAGAGCUUUGAUCUUAGAAUUGAGUUGCUAGUGGGCUGAGGUAGGAUUUUGAUAGCAAUUUAGACUUUGACUUGAAACCAAGUACAAACAAUUGCAAGCUGGUUUUCCUCACCAAUAUCACUCGGCUUUUUUCCUGGUUUGUUUAGGCUGAUAGCAAAAUGAUUGCAACUCCGAAGCCAGUAUUGGCAACAACACAAUUCUUCCAUAUGAUGAAACUCAAAUUCAGAUUGAUAUUUUAAUAAAAUUGAAAAAGGAAUAAUCAAUCGGUUUCUUUUCAAAAAACAUUUGAUGGCAUAUAUAUAAUCAAUCGGUUUCUAUUUCGUUUCGUCCGGAAUGGCCGAAACAUUUCAUACCAAUUCAAAAAACGAAACAAAACGAAAUAAUUUUCAUCUCAUUUCAAAUCUCGGUCCGUUCCGGAUUUUUCAGCUAAAUUCCGGUCGAAAUAUUCCGGUUUCAUUCCACAUGUUCCAUUCCAGUCUUGAAAAGCCAUUGAAUCAAAUUGAACUUGGUUCAAUUUAAUUAAUUAAACCACCCAAGUAUAAAAAGCUUUUUUUCAUUACUAUUUUCAAUAACAAUGAUAUUAAUAAUAAUAUUGAAAAUUAUUAUUACUAUUUUCAUUAACAAUGAUACUAUUUUUUUUAAAAUUAGAUUUAUCACUAAUAUAUAUGGUUUAUAUUCAUUUUGUUUUUUUCAAGUUUAUACUUUAGAUCCCAUCAGCCUUGAUAACAUUGACCUAGCUUUAUAUUUAAAAUAUUUGUAUUAAAACAUUUUAAUUUCAUAGUAUUUUGAUAUUUUGUUUAAGUUGAAUUACUUUAAAUUAAAGAUCUAUUUAAUCUUGACUAUUUAGAAAUAUUUUAAAUUUUAAAAAUAUAUUUGUUUGAUAUUAUGUUUGUAUUGCAUAAUUUAUAAUUAAUUUAUCUUGAAUUUGAAUUAUGUUUAUUGAAUAUAUAUAUAUAUAUAUAUAUAUAUAUAUAUAUAACACCUAGUUUUGUUAAUCUAUACAUGAAUAUCAAUAUAUAAAAGGAUGAAUGGUAUUCAAUAGCCAUUAAAUUCUCCAAAUUCUUCUAUUGUUUUGUUUUCAUGGUGUUGGAGCAAGAUCCUUUAGACCAAUCUCGAAGGGAAAGAUAUAUCUCAAUUAGUCAUGUUUUAGGUUUACUUUUUAAAAAUUAUCAGUUUGAGUCCUAUAAAUCUCAGGACCACUAAAAACUUAUAUGGUCAUUAACUCAGGGUCCAUAAAAUUAGUCGAUGUACAUACAAGCUAACCGAAUACCCACGUUAACCCAAAAAAAAAAACCUUUGAACCAAAAAAUACUACAUUUAUAUAACAUCAAUGGCUACCCCUUUUGCCUCUUUUUCCUUUUCUUCUUCUACCUCCUCCUCUACUGCAUCACGACUGUUCGCUUCACUUUAUUUGAACCAGUCAUAUUUACCGUUUUAAGCGCAAACUCCACUUUCUGGCCACUCUAAUCAACAAAAAGCAAUAAUCUUUCUUCUCUUUUUAUCUACUAAUAAAAUUUAGCAAAAAUACUAAAAUCUUAUUUAAAAUAAAAAAUAACUAACCCAACAUAAAAUCAAAGUUGUCCUUGUAAAUAACUCUGAGAACCCAUCUACAUAUAAAUACAAAAUGUUAGCCAAUGUCAAAUAAAAGGCAUAUAAACAUAAAAAAGAUGGUACCUUGGCAAUCUUCAUUUCCUCUUCAAGCACAUAGAAUCUGUCCUUCAAUCAGAAAAGUUGGAGGAGUAUUUGCUUUGAAAAUGGGUGGGGGCUGCGAGCAGUACAAGUGGAAUUGCCAUUUUGAAGAGAAAAGAAGGUACAGAGAAGAAGGGAGAAUCAUCCCUUUUCAAUUUUCAGGGGAUAAGGAACACUUAUCUCUAGAAUCAGUUCUAUAUGGAAAGCUGAAAAAUCCCAUAAAAAAACAAAACAAAGGCGCAAAUAACACAAAAAAUGGAUAACACCAGGGAAUCUUCAAAAAAGAUAGCCAUUGUUUUGCCCGAAACAAAUGGAUUUUGAACAUAAGCUAUGUUUGAAAAUAGUUUAAAGAAUAAGAAAUGAUAACGGGGAAGAAGCGUGAGGGUGUGUUUGGUAUUGCGGUAGUGGUUGUGGUUGUGGUUUAAAAAAAGUUGUUUUAUAUAAGUAUUUUUAGUCGAGGUUGGUUUGGAAAAAUAUAUGUUUGGUUAAAACUGUGGUUGAAAUUGAGGUUGAACAAAAAGUAGUUUAAUGUGUUUGGUUAAAAGAAUGCUUUUCAAAUUGAGGUUAUAAAAUAAUUAAAAAAAUAUUUAUUAAUCUUGAUUGUUUUUAAUUUAAAUAUUGUAGAUUUAACUACUGUUAUUACAUCAUGAAAUAAAUAAUAUUGAUAUCAAAUAUUUUUUAUUGUUCCAUUAAACUAUGUGCAAUUUCAUAACGUACGAAAUCUAUCCAACAAGGACUAUAUUUUUCAUAAUUUCUUAAGUGCGCAACAACAUCAGGUAAGAUAUCAUCAAGAACAAAAUUGAGGUUGGGAUCAAAUUUUGUAAAUGCUACGUCAUUAAACGAUCUACUUUUAAUUUUUUUAAUUAAAAUUAAAUUUUUUUUAACCAAGUCGGACCCAGCAAGAAUAAAAUUGGGAUUGCCUUCUAAUUUUUUGAAUAAAACACAAUUAAAAAAAUAAAAAUUAAUUUUUUUACUAGGUCGGACCCGGUUUAAUGCAUUUAGCUUUGGACCGGACCCUGACUGACCGGAACAGUGGAGAGUGACUCCACUGUUCAAGUGAACAGUGGAGUUUUACUCUCCACUGUUCACUUAAUUAAGUGAACAGUGGAGAGUUUGCUCUCCACUGUACAAAGACACAGCACAACAGGAAGAAGCAUAAAAAUAUUGUUUCAGCUGAACCUACGGUUACACCUCAAUUUUUGUGGGUCUCAUGCAUCAAAACACAACCACUACUUAAACCAAACACUAUAUUACUGAUUUUGAAAAAAAAAGCAGCAGCUGCCGCAUAGCCAAACGCUGAUUCGAGUGGGAGAAGAAACAGCCAAAGCUGCCACUUCUGUGUGCAAUUAAUGAACUAGAACAGUGGAAAAUCGAAGAGACCCCAUGACAAAUUAUAUCUAGAAAAAUAAACAAAGGACAAGAUCGUAAUAGCACACCGCGACUCAUGGUAGAGAGGGGAAAAGGACACGGUUAAGGUGAAAUUAUAUCAAAAACUAAAUGGCACGAAGUUUUUUCUGUUUAUUCUUUUUAUAUUGUUCAUUAUUGUGUAUUGAAUAACAUAAUUAUAUGGUCAUUCUUGCUAAAAGUUUUUUUUUCCAGAUAUAUAGUCAGAGGUGAGAUUGUUUUCUAUUAAAUAUAUUUGGUAUUGAAAAAAAAAAGAAUAAAAUGAUUUAUUUUGAUAUUUUAGGGUCUGACACUAGGAAAUAAUAUGGUUGUUAGACACGUGGCACUAGGAUCAAGCACGCCUGCCGAACCCUAGGUGUCGGGGCCGACAAACCCACGCGCUUGGAUCAGCAGACCCGCAUGCCUGAGUCUAGCAUCACACAUUGUUGUUGUUGUUGUUAUUAAAUUUUUUAAAAAUAUAUUAUUACAUUUGGAGAGAAAUUAUAGAUUUGAUUUGAAGAAUAAAAUUAAAAACUAUCUCCUUUAUGUAACUUUUAGUAAUGGAUUUCCAUGAUUCAACCAUCAAGUAAAACUUUUAACUUCUACAAUAGAAUCAUCCUCUUGUGAUGAGAAUCAUAUUAUAUUUUCGAUUCAACUUCUACAAUAGUGUAUUCAAUGUCUCUUUCAAUGCCUUUGUCUUGGACCGAGUUAUUGGACUAUUUGGAACGUGUAAUGGGUCCUUGCUGGUGUUUCUAAGCUGGUCCACAUCACAGACCUAAGUAGCUUGGGUCUAGCAGGGGCAACCCAAAUUUUUUAGGUAUAGGCAUCACCUUCCAAACUUAAGUAACUUGGUUUUCUCAGGUGUGCCAGACCCAAUUAACUUGAGUCUAGAAGGUAAUGUCAUACUCAAGAAACUUAGGUCUGACUCGGCCAGACCCCAGGAACCUGGGUGUGACAUGGCCGAAUCCCAGGAGUGAGGGUCUGGCAGGGGUGUCAGGCCCAAGUUACUUAGGUUUAGAAGGGGAUGUCAUACCCAAUGAACAUGAGUCUUAUUAUUAUAAUUGUUGUUGUUAUAUUAUUAUUAUUAUUAUUAGUAUUAUUAUUAAAUUUUUUAAAAAAAUAUUAUUACUAUUGAAGAAAAAUCAUAGAUUUGAUUUGAAGGGUAUUAUUAUUGUUAUUGUUAUUACUAGUAUUAUUCUUUUUAUUCAUAUUAUUAUUAAAUUUCAAAAAAAUAAUAUUAUUACUAUUGAAGAAAAACCAUAGAUUUUAUUUGAAGGGUAAAAUUAAAAACUAUAAGAACUUGGGACAUGCAUGUUUAGUAUUAUUAUAAAUAUUAUAAAUAUUAUUAUUUUAAUUAAUAUUAAUAAAUUUAGAAAAAAAAUAUUAUUACUAUUGAAAAAAAUCAUAGAUUUAAUUUGAAGGGUAAAAUUAAAAAUUAUUAUUAUUGUUAAUAUUAUUAUGAUUAUUAUCAUCAUUAUUAAUAAAUUUGAAAAAAAAAUAUUAAAAAAAAACCAUAAAUUUGAAUUGAAGGGAUUAAAAACUAUAAGAAUUUGGGUAAGAUAAAUUUAUUAUUAUUAUUAUUAUUAUUAUUAUUAUUAUUAGGAGCUCCAGACCCAAGUAACCUGGAUCUGGCAUGAGAGACAGACCUAAGACAGUUGGGUCUGAUAGCCAUUUCCAGACCCAAGGCUCUUGAAUCUAGUGUGGCUACCAGACCCAAGAAACUUGAGUCCGGAAAUUACCGUCAGACCCAAUUAUAAUGGGCAUGACAUAGUUGUUAUACCCAAAUUUAUUUUAAAAAUACUUUUUAAAAUAUAAUUUUUUUUAUACAUUUAAAAUAAAUUUAUUAUUAACCAGUUGCGAAAUGCUAGCCAAUACACUAGCAACAUACCAUUUACGUUCUUCUUCAUCCUCAACGUCAUGUUGUUGUUAAUGUAGUUCUGGUUCUUUGAGGACUUUCUUAAGGAACCUAGCUAAUAUUCCACGUUCUUUUCUGCUUCUAUAAAAUACAAACAUAAUUUGAUUGGAUUCCCAAAGUAAACCCCGAUUCGAUCCCCCUCCGGCUAGGAGAGUAAUAACCAUUUAAUCUCACAAAGCAAAAGAAGUGUGCCUACCAUGAAUAACCAACAGAAAUGGAUUUUAUAAACAAGAGGGAAGAAAGGAAUACAAGACAAAAGAAACUUCCAAUUUGAAAAUAACAGAGAAAAGAAAGGCAAAACAACAUGGUGGAAAAUGGAUAAAUGAUAAGCCACGCAGAUCAACCAGAGCCAUUAGGCCAAAUUCCAAGUAUGUAUGAUGAAGUGAACGUAAUUGCAUGUGGCAUGCGGGAAGAUAUCAAACGUGAAAUAAUAGUUGCAUGUGUCAUGCAGCAAUAGUUGAACGUGAACAGUGUUAACAUGGACAUGCAGAUAUACAGAAGAGAUAAAUAGUGUGUUGAGGAGGAGCGGUUUCAAUACAAGACUGGGUCUUGUAUAGUUGCGAUUUAUCAGUUGCUUUUAUUUCAAUUUGUUAAAGUUGUUGCAGUUAAUAUUCAGUACGUGUUAUUUUCAGUUUGUACGUAGGUAAACUCACAUCGUGAGUUACCAACUUUUCCUUAAUUUUAGAGUUCUCUGUACUGGCUUUGCUUAUUUAAAGCAGCCAAGAAUUAUGAAGAGGCAGAAAAUUUGAUAUUAAAAUAAUUGUGGUUCUUUCUCACCCGAAGAGAAACAAACAGUUCUCAGCAAAUACUUGUUAAAUAUUUGUUGAACUUAUCAUUGGUAUCAGAGCUUGUAGAAGAUCUUAUGGGCACUAAUAAGGAACACAUUGAGCAUUUAGAAGAAGAGCUGCACCGAAUGGAGCUGGGCAUGGCUGAUAGGUUGCAACAUCUGGAGGACACACUUAACCGACUUUCUGAUGUGUUGCUUACAAAUCAAGAGCCUCCAAACCAGGGCAACCAACAACGUGAAGGUCAAGAAGGGGGACGACUAAUUAUCUCAUCCAAAACAACACGACUUGAGUUUCCUAGAUUUUCAGGAGAUGAUCCCACUAAGUGGUUUAAUCGUGUGAAUCAGUUUUUUGCAUUUCAAAAUACUCCAUAACUUCAGAAGGUCGCCCUGGCUUCUUACCACUUGGAAGGGGAAGCCAACCAGUGGUGGCAAUGGGUUCACCGGUUGCAUGAAGAAGAAGGACGAGUUUUAUCAUGGACAAACUUUGAAGAUGAACUCUGGGCGCGUUUUGGUCCUUCAGAAUGUGAGGAUUUUGAUGAGGCCCUUUCCAGAAUAAGGCAAGGAGGAUCACUGCAAGAUUACCAACGCGAAUUCGAGUGCCUGGGCAACUGAGUACGCGGAUGGACGCAAAGGGCUCUUGUAGGUACAUUUAUGGGUGGUUUAAAAACUGAGAUUUCAGAUGGCAUACGCAUGUUUAAGCCAUAAAAUUUGAAGGAGGCCAUCAGUCUAGCCCGAAUGAAGGAUGAUCAACUUAGCAGACAGAGGAGGUUCAGUAGACCAGCACCAUCACCACCAAUGAGAUCUAUGAUUUCUCCUCCCAGUUUCAAUCGAGCUGCCCCAACGGUUCCUACCACUCCUAUUAGGCGCCUCACUUAGGAGGAAAUGUAGAGAAGACGAGCUCAGAAUUUAUGUUUUAAUUGCAAUGAUCGAUUUACUGCAGGACAUAAAUGUCGCGAGCCUCGCAUCUUAAUGUUAGAAGGGUACGAUGGCAGUAACACUUUGUUAUGUGAUAAUGAAGGUGAAGACCAACCACUUCAGGAGAUUGUUGAGACAAUCACCGAACCUGAAAUUACGCUACAUGCGUUGACAGGAUGGGCUGCACCCAAAACCAUGCGCAUCACUGCAAGGAUAGGGUCAAGCGAUGUCAUCGCACUAAUCGACAGUGGAUCAACUCACAACUUUAUUAGUGAGAGAUUGGCCAAUGCAUUACGAAUACUAGUGGUGCCUACUGCAUCCUUCACAGUGUGGGUUGCAAAUGGCGAAAAAUUAAAAUGCCAGGGACGUUUUGAAGAGGUCGGAGUGGACUUGCAAGGCACCCAUUUUUCAUUAACUCUUUAUUCUCUUCCACUUACAGGGUUGGAUCUAGUGUUGGGCAUCCAAUGGUUAGAAAUGCUAGGUUCUGUGGUUUGCAACUGGAAACAGUUAACCAUGGAAUUUCAGUGGAAGAACCAACUCAGGCAGUUACAUGGAAUGGGCGAUGAAGGCAUACAGAUUGCGUCUAUCACUGAAUUAACCAAAGCAAUUCACCAGAACCAUGCCAUUUUUGCAAUAUGUUUACAAAUCAGUACUGUGGAGCCACACAUCCAGACAACUCAUCCUGAUAUGGAGGCCAUUUUGCAUGAGUUUGCAGAUAUUCUAAAGGAACCAGCAGGUCUACCACCUACCAGAGGGGUUGAUCACUGCAUUUUUCUCAAAGACGGCAUCGAACCUAUUAAUGUUCGGCCUUAUCGAUAUGCAUAUUAUCAAAAGGAAGAAAUUGAGAAGCAAGUUCAUGAAAUGUUGAAUUCCGGCCUUAUCAAACCAAGUACCAGCCCUUUUUCAUCACCUGUACUGUUGGUGAAGAAAAAAGAUGGAACAUGGCGUUUUUGCACAGAUUACAGGGCCCUCAAUGCUGCAACCGUGAAAGACCGCUUCCCUAUUCCUACAGUUGAUGAUAUGUUAGACGAGCUUUAUGGUGCUUCAUAUUUCACUAAGCUUGAUCUUCGAGCUGGAUAUCAUCAGGUACGGGUUAAUCCUGUGGAUAUUCAAAAAACUGCUUUCCGCACUCACAACGGACACUAUGAAUAUUUGGUUAUGCCAUUUGGGUUGUGUAAUGCACCAUCAACAUUUCAAGCUAUCAUGAAUUCAAUAUUUCAACCUCAUCUUUGAAAAUUUAUAUUGGUUUUCUUCGAUGAUAUAUUAGUCUAUAGUCCUACGUGGGACAUGCAUCUGAUGCAUGUAAGAUAGACUUUUGAAAUAUUACAGCAACAACAAUUCUUUGUCAAGGCUAGUAAGUGUGCUUUUGGUCAACAAGAGCUGGAGUACUUAGGGCACAUAAUCACCAAUCAUGGCGUGAAGGUAGAUGAAAAUAAAAUUGCGGCAAUGGUGGCAUGGCCACGACCUAUUAAUAUUUCAGAGCUUCGUGGGUUUUUAGGGUUGACAGGAUAUUACAUGAAGUUUGUCAAGAAUUAUAGCAUUGUGGCGCGGGCUCUCAACAAUCUGCUUAAAAAGGGCCAAUUUGGGUGGAAUGAGGACGCUUAAACUGCCUUCAUCGCGCUCAAACAGGCAAUGACAAUGACACCAACGUUAGCAAUGCCCAAUUUCAAGGACGUCUUCACUGUAGAAACCGAUGCCUCAGGUGAUGGUAUUGGCGCCAUAUUAACCCAGCAAGGCAAACCAAUUGCAUUUAUGAGUAAAGCACUCGGAGUGGCAAAGAAGUCUUGGUCUACUUAUGCUAAAGAGAUGCUGGCCAUUCUUGAGGCCAUACGAUUGUGGCGUCCAUAUCUGUUAGGCCGAAAGUUCUAUAUUCAGACGGAUCAACGUAGUCUAAAAUUUUUGCUAGAGCAACAUAUCACCACACCAGAACAGCAAAAAUGGGUAGCCAAACUCUUGGGCUAUGACUAUGAGAUCAUAUACCGGUCUGGACGCGAAAAUGCUGCAGCCGAUGCUCUCUCUUGUAAACAAGGUAGUCCUGUUCUUCAUCAUCUUUUGGUUUCUCAGGUUACUUUGUGGGAAGAAAUUAAACAGGCGGCAACGACAGAUUUAUAUAUACAGUCCAUGAGUCAGAUAGCCGCGGAUCAGUUACACAGCCACUUUGUGUGGCGAAAUGGUUUGCUUCGUUACAAGGAACGGGUCAUCAUUCCUGCAGACCCUACUCUACGUGCAAAGCUACUGCACGAAAUGCAUGAUACCAAAGUUGGUGGCCACUCUGGUGUUCUGCGCACAUACAAGAAACUGGGGCAACAAUUCUAUUGGCCAGGAAUGCGUAAGUCGGUCCAAGAAUAUAUCAAGAAUUGUGUGGUAUGCCAGAAAACCAAAUCAGAUACAUUGGCACCCGCAGGUCUCCUCCAACCAUUGCCCAUCCCUUGCCAGGUGUGGGAGGACAUUACACUUGAUUUCAUCGAGCGUUUACCCGCUUCUCAGGGCCAAGAUACAAUCAUGGUUGUCGUCGAUAGACUCAGCAAAUCAGCUCAUUUCCUACCCUUAAAACAUCCUUUUACAGCUAAAAGUGUUGCAGAGAAAUUUGUGGCAGGUGUUAUUAAGCUACAUGGCAUGCCAAGGUCUAUAGUCAGCGAUCGGGAUCCAGUUUUUGUGAGCCAUUUCUGGCAGGAGUUCUUCAAGAUGUCAGGUACAAAAUUGCAGCUUAGCUCCGCGUAUCACCCACAAAAGGAUGGCCAAACCGAGGUUGUCAAUCGCUGCGCUGAACAGUAUUUGCGAUGUUUUGUUCACCAAUGGCCAACAAAAUGGAGCCUCUACUUACCAUGGGCAGAAUAUUGGUAUAAUACAACAUACCACAUCUCAACCGGAAUGACUCCUUUUCAGGCACUAUAUGGUCGGCUUCCACCAACUAUUCCAUCAUACAAUGAAGGUCUAUCGCUGGUGCAUGAAGUGGAUCAGCAGUUGCAAGACCGAGAUGAGUUACUUCAGCAGCUCAAAAUCAACUUGGCACGCUCGAUUAAUAAGAUGAAAUAAAUCGCAGAUAAAAAGAGAAGAGAUGUCUUAUUUGAUGUUGGUGAUUUAGUCCUUCUGAAACUCCAUCCAUAUCGACAGCAUACGGUUUUUAAGCGGGCAUACCAGAAACUUGCUAGUCGCUUCUAUGGACCCUAUGAAAUUCUGGAGAAAAUUGGACCCGUCGCUUACAAACUUCAUUUACCAGCAGAGUCACGCAUUCAUCCAAUAUUCCAUGUCUCUCUGCUUAAACAGUACAACACCAACUCAGAGGUUAACAACCACAGCACAGAGAUAAUGUCCUUCAAUGAUGAUGGGGAAGUUCUGCUAAUACCACAAGCUGUUAUUGAUCAUCGCUGGAUAAAACAAGGCGCCCAAAUUGUCGAAGAAAGUUUAAUUCACUAGAAAUAUUUACCCGUCGAGGAGGCCACAUGGGUAUCUACCAAACAGCUACUGGAACUGUUUCCAGAUGUCAACCUUGAGGACAAGGUUGCACGUGAUGGGGGAGGUAUUGAUAAGCCACACAGAUCAACCAGAGCCAUUAGGCCAAAUUCCAAGUAUGUAUGAUGAAGUGAACGUAAUUGCAUGUGGCAUGCGGGAAUAUAUCAAACGUGAAAUAAUAGUUGCAUGUGCCAUGCAGCAAUAGUUGAACGUGAACAGUGUUAACAUGGACAUGCAGAUAUACAGAAGAGAUAAAGAGUGUGUUGAGGAGGAGCGGUUUCAAUACAAGACUGGGUCUUGUAUAGUUGCGAUUUAUCAGUUGCUUUUAUUUUAAUUUGUUAAAGUUGUUGCAGUUAAUAUUCAGUACGUGUUAUUUUCAGUUUGUUCAUGGGUAAACUCACAUCGUGAGUUACCAACUUUUCCUUAAUUUUAGAGUUCUCUGUACUGGCUUUGCUUAUUUAAAGCAGCCAAGAAUUAUGAAGAGGCAGAAAAUUUGAUAUUAAAAUAAUUGUGGUUCUUUCUCACCCGAAGAGAAACAAACAGUUCUCAGCAAAUACUUGUUAAAUAUUUGUUGAACUUAUCAAUAAAACAACACAGUACAAAAAAAUAUUUUAAAAAAUAACAUAAUUUAAAAAAUCAUAAAUGACACUGCGACUCACAAGUGUCAUCCUUGACUUUCUCAAAUUCUAAGAUGACAUAAUUUAUAAUAAAAAAAAGACUAUAUCGAGAAAAACAAUGAAAGAAAAAAACUUCGUAGAUUCACCAAAACUCUAAUUACGACACAACCAAUAUCAUUAGAAAGAUAUCAACGAAACGAAUCCAAUGACAUUAAAAAGGUCAUCAACGUGGGCCACACAAGCUGUUCAAAUGUGUCAGAGCUCAUUUGUCUUCGGAUGGCUUAUAUGGCAUUCUUUGAUCACCAUUGGUGACCUUCCUUGAUGUUAUUAGAUUCGUCUUGUCGAUAUCUUUAUUAGUGGUAUUAUUAUUAGAGCCUCGAUGUGCCUCCGAUAUUUUGUUUUUUGUUUCUUUGUUUUUUCUCUUUCCUUGUAAUUUGUGCAAAUAGAGAAGAGAAAAAAAAAUCAAAAAAACAAUAAAAAGGUCACGAGGGCACAUUGAAGCUCUAGUGACGACCCUGUAAGUACCGUUGAAAAGAUCUUGACAAAUCUAAUGACAUUAAGGAAGAUCACCAACGAUGACAGUGUGCCACACAAACCGUUGAAAGCGAAAUGAGCCUUGACACAUUUAGACGGCUCGUGUGGCCUACUCUGAUCAUCAUUCAUGACCUUCUUCGGUAUCAUUAGAUUUGUCUUGUCAAUAUCUUUCCAACGUUAUCAGUGGUGUUGUUAUCGGAGUUUCAGUGUGUCUGCAGAGCUUUUUUUCUUUCCUUGUUUUUUUUUCUCUCUCUCCUUCUCAUCUCUCUCUAUUGUAAAUUAUGUCAAGUUAUUUUUAGCAUUGAAGAGAGUCGCAGAUGACAUCAACGACUUCUCAUGAGUCACAUAUGUUAUUUGUGAUUCUCUAAACUAUGCCAUUUUUGUGACUACUCUCGAAUCGCAUAUAUCAUUUGUAACUCUCUAAACUAUACUACUUUCCUAAAUAUUUUUGGUGCUAUAUUAUUUUAUCUUUUUUUUACAUGCUAAAGUACAAAAAUUCUCUUUGGGAGGUCUUAAAUAGGUUAAAUCCAGAUUUGUUUACAACAACAUAUAUAUAUAUAUAUAUAUAUAUAUCCCUCCCAUCACCGCGAAUGAGGGAACGAUCGCCGACGUUUAUUUUGAUGGAUCAAUACUGAUCUCUGUAUAAAUUAAAUAUGUUUUUGUUAUCGAAGCUAAGCCCGGUUUGUUUUUAUGUUUUAAAAGUAUUUUAAAAAAAAUUGAUUUUUUUUUACUUUAAAUUAAUAUUUUUUUGGUAUUUUUAAAUCAUUUUGAUAUGCUGAUAUUAAAAAUAAAUUUUUAAAAAAUAUUAUUUUAAUACACUUCUUAAUAAAAAAUAUUUUAAAAAAUAAUCGCAAUCACAUUUCCAAUCACACAAUAAAACUUGCUUAAUGGACUAGGAUUGUACAUCACCUAACAAGGCAAGACAAGGGGUUUUGGUCGGUCCAAAAUAUAUUUAAUCCUACUUGCCUUUGUUAAUUACAAAAAUACUCUUCACCUACAGUGCCGUUGUUAAUAUUAUCUUUCAUAAACGCUUGAACCGUUCCAUCUAUUUUUCAUUCAAAUAAGUUUACACAUUCUGUUAAAAACCUACAUGAAAAAUCCAUAAUUUAGAGUGGAAAAUAUACAAUUGAUAGUAAGGGAAAUUUAACAAAAAAUUGAAGACCUGAAGAUUUCAAUUUUUUAUAUUUAAAAAUUGAGCUUAAAUAGGAUUCAAAAUUCUCCUUUAAUUUAUUCUGAACUUCUGACUUUAUUUUUUUUUAAUUUUUAUUCUAAAUGGACUCAAUUUUUUUUUAAAAAAAGUUUUGUUUAAAUUAACCUUUCAUUUUUAAACAAUAAGAUUUAAUUAAUCUGCAUAUUCUACAACCUCCCCUUGGAUGUGUUUAAUGGAUUUAGAUGGAAAAUGAACGAAAAGAUAAAAUUGAAAACCUUAGACAACAUUAGGGUGGAAUUUAUAGAUACAAUUACUGAAGGAUAAUUGUUUCGUUGAUUAAUAUAAAUAUUCAGAUUAUCUUACACGUAUCUUAAUUAAAAUAAUUAAUAAAAAGCAUUUACGUAGUUAACCGUUACUUUAAUCAGGGAUAUCUCCACUAUUAUUCGUUCCUCGCACCACCAAGAAUUAUUUAUUUAUUUAUUUUUAUAAUAAGCUAGCCUUAAGUCCAACCACUCUGUGCUUCUACUAUACAAAUUUAGCAUAACAGAAGGCAAGUCAAGCGCACCCAAAAAUAAUUUUGAAGAAAGGUUAAAAAUUUGACUGUUAAAGUCAGAUUUAUUCUUUAAAUGGAAAACACAGGUGGCAUCCAUUAGCUAAUUACAAACAACAGAUAUUGAUGUGUAAGAUUCUGCCACCACGACCACUAUCACACUUUUGUUGGCACUCCCGAAACCAGAUAUGAGAACAGUAGAACUGGUGUUUCCAAGGACUAAAUUUGAUAUUUUUAUUAUUAUCCUAUAAACUAAAAAACAAAAACAUAUAUGUAUGAAUUCAAUGCACACAAUGAACAGUGCACAGUUUUUUUCUUUUAUUUAUAUGGGAAGUGAUUUCUGUAUAUAAAUAUAUGUUUUUCAGUUAUAUGUUGUGUUGGUUAUUUGGUUAAUUCUAAUCCGUUUAUAAGAGAUAGGUCAAAUUCAAGGUUGUUAAAAAUAUUUUUUUGACACGACACAAAAAAUAUAAUAUAAACUUAGAUCGUAAACUCGGAUUGUAAAAUCGUAAAAUCAUAAGUAAUUUUUUGUAACUAAUUAUAUAUUGAUAAUUCUAGUCAAUAAAUUAAAUUAAAUUAAAAUCUGAUAAAAUAAGUCAACAAUAUUAUAAUCAAUGAGUGAUCUAAAUAAAAUGAGAGAGAUAGAUAGUAUGAAUCAAUAAAUUAAUGACAUGGAAAAAUAAAAUGUCUCAGAACAAAAUUUUUCAAUGUAGAAGAAUCACUGAAAGGUAAGAAUCACACAUAAAUCUAGUGACAACCUGGUUGUUCCCAUCAUAAUAAGUCUUGAUAGACCCCUUUUUGGUUGCAAACUAAUGACACUACCAGAAAACCGGAGAAAACCAACGAAAUUACCAACGGACAUAAUUCCAUCUCAAAAUCUGUCGGUAUAUACUGACGGCCUCCAUCCGUCGGCGAAACGGUCGGUAUAUACUGACCGUUUCGCCGACGGGGUAUACAGUUUGUUUGGAAAUAUGCAACGACUUGGUGACGUCAGACGAUUUUACCGACGGAAUUACUGAGGGAUUCAAACUGAGAUAGCCGUACAGUGACGUGACACUUUCACAGACGGAAGCACCGACGGAAUGAAUCCGUCGGUGAUUCCAUCGGAAAAAACCAUUAUAUACCCACCCAUCUGCCGACACUCUCUUCCCUUGUUUCUCCUUCUUCUUCUUUCCCAUCCCACCUCUCCCCUCCCAAGCUGCAGCCAACCUCCCUCCCAUCCCAACUCUCCACUAUUCUCAACACGAGCACUCAAGUUAAUUUCUUAUAUCUUGUAUGUGGUCACAAUAUCCGUUUCUUGUAGAUUUUAUCAUUUUUUUAUAAGUAAAUCUAUCCUUUUUAGUUUUAAUAUUUAAUUGUGAAUUUUAUUGUUGUAGUAUAUGUAUUUUGUUAACAUUUGUACUUGUUUAAUUUUUAUUUUUCAAAGAAACUAGUAGUAUGAAUGUAUAAUUUUGUAGUUGUUAUAGUUUGUUUUAGAUUUUGUCAAAUUAUAUUUGUUUGUAAAUUGUUGAAAUUUUGUUUGAAUUACACCGAAUUAAAUGUGUCAUUGUGAUGAAAUAAAUAAUUAAUAGCUUGUUUAACGAGUCUUGUUUAAUUGUUAUCAAUUCUAUUUCGAAGUUGUGAUUUCUGUAAAUUUAUAUAUGUAUAAAUUUGUAUGUAUGAACGUUGAUAGUUGAUAAUUGAUAAUGAAUAUUUAACAUAAGUGUUGUUUUAGUUUGUUGGAUAAUGUCGGGGAAAACCAAUAUUUUUGUUAUGUUUUAUAGAGGUUCAAUAGAAGUCAUGAAUAAUCGUUCAUGGAUGUAUCGGGACUCACCCCAAAGAUUGCGGAGGAUGGAUUAUUGUAACGGUGUCCAGGGUUUUAUUAAUUUUGCAACAUCUAUUUCGAGGAAUUUUACUGAUGGCGGUAUUAGGUGUCCAUGCAGGAAAUGUAAAAAUUUAAAGUUUCUGCAUCAAGAUGUUGUAACGAUGCAUCUUCUAACCAAAGGGUUCAUGGAAGAUUACCUGUGUUGGUAUGCUCACGGAGAACUAUUUGUUCCUGAUGAGAGCAUAGAAGAACAGGUGGUUGUGCUAGCAACAUGCAUGAAGUUGGGAACAGUAAUCCUUACAGGAAUAUGGUUAUGGAUGCAAUGAGAAUGAGUGAAGGUAAUGUCAGGGAAUGUCCAAUCGUAGAAGAAGAACUUAAUGCAGAUGCAACAAGGUUUUUUGAUUUGUUGAGAGAUUCUGAUGAACCAUUAUGGGAUGGCUGCACGAACCACAGUAAAUUAUCAGCCGUAGCACAGGUGUUCACCAUCAAGUCAGAUCACGGGUUGAGUGAGGCCGGUUAUGACAAGAUUAUCGAAUGGGCGAGAAGCAUUUUACCUGAAGGGAACAGGAUGAAAGAGAACUUCUAUGCUGCCAAGUCCAUGAUGAAACCCCUCGGUUUAGGAUACUAGAAAAUUGAUAUACUUCCCAAUCACACCUAGACUGCAGAGGUUAUUCAUGUCACCAAGGACUGCUGAGCACAUGAUAUGACACCAAUCACACCAUGUGGUUGAUGGAGUGAUGGUUCAUCCUUCUGACGGUGAAGCCUGGAAACACUUUAACAGUAUGCAUCCUCACUUUCAGCUGAAUCAAGGAACGUGCGUCUUGGGUUGUGUACAAAAGGAUUCAACCCAUUCGGGUCAUUUGCUGCUCCUUAUUCUUGUUGGCCGGUCAUACUAACGAUUUAUAACUUGCCACCGGGGAUGUGUAUGAGGCCGGAGUUCAUGUUUUUAUCUAUGGUCAUACCAGGUCCGAGCAGUCCGGGUCGGAAUAUAGAUGUUUGUCUUCGUCCGUUGAUUGAUGAGUUGACGCAGUUGUGGUCCUCUGGAGCUUUGACUUAUGACAUCUCGAGGAAACAAAAUUUUGUUAUGAGAGCGGCUUUGAUGUGGACUAUCAAUGAUUUCCCAGCUUAUGGAAUGGUUUCUGGUUGGAGCAAGCAUGGAAAGCUAGCAUGUCCAUACUGUAUGGAGAACAACAAGGCAUUCACGCUAACAAACGAGGGUAAAGCUUCUUUUUUUGACUGUCACCGUCGUUUCUUUCCACAUAACCACAGGUACAGAAAGAACAGAAAGGAUUUCUUUGUUAGCAGAGUUGAAAAUGAUGUUGCACCCCAGUGUCUUUCCGGUGAAGAAUUGUUUGAUGUUGUGUUAGAGUACGGUGAAAUUGUGUUUAGUCUCCAAUCAGGUAAGCAGAAAUUUCCUGGUUUUGGUUUGACCCAUAAUUGGGUGAAGCGAAGUAUGUUUUGGGAGCUUUCUUAUUGGAAGACCAAUCUUCUCCGCCAUAACCUUGACGUCAUGCACAUUGAAAAGAACGUGUUUGAGAACAUUUUCAACACCGUCAUGGAUGUGAAGGGGAAGACAAAAGACAACAUCAAGGCUAGAUUGGAUGUAGCGCUGUUCUGUAACUGUAAAAAUAUGGAGUUGGUUUGUGAUGGGUCACGGGUCACAAAACCAAGAGCAAGCUUCGUGCUAGAGAAAAUCGCACAACUACUAGUCUACAAAUGGCUUAAGAGUCUGCGUUUCCUCGAUGGACAUGCCUCGAACAUAUCAAGGCUGGUUAAUACGGAGGAAUGCAGAUUAUAUGGAAUGAAGAGUCAUGACUGCCAUGUGUUUAUGCAAACACUCAUCCCAUUAGCUUUUCGUGAUUUGUUGUCAAAGGGGAUAUGGGAUGCACUAACGGAGAUUAGUCAUUUCUUCAGAGAUAUAUGCUCCAGCAAGUUGAAUGUUGAUCACAUUGAAAGGCUUGAAAAGAAUAUCAUCGAGACAAUAUGCAAACUUGAGAUGAUAUUCCCUCCAUCAUUUUUUGACUCAAUGGAGCAUCUACCCGCACAUUUACCGUUUGAGGUAAAAGUUGGAGGACCGGUCUAGUACAGAUAGAUGUAUCCAUUCGAGAGGUUAGAUAUUACAGUUGCUAUGACAUUUAUAAUUAAAUGUUUUUAUUUUUAUUUUAAUGUUUUUAAUUGAUAAUUAUAUAUAUAUAUGCAGGUAUUUGUUCAAUCUUAAAAAAAAGGUUAAGAACAAGGCGCAUGUUGAGGCGUCAAUAUGUGAGGCAUAUAUUGUUGAGGAGAUCUCAACAUUUAUCUCAUACUAUUUCGAACCUCAUUUGAGAACGAGGAUAAACCGUGUUCCACAACAUGAUGAUGGUGGUGAAGUGCAUUCAAGUGGGAACUUGUCAGUAUUCUCCAAUCCUGGACGACCCACACCUAAAAAUGUCGUGAGGGGAAGAUAUUUGUCUGAAAUAGAGUUCAGACAAGCACACAAUUAUGUCCUAUUUAACUGUGAUGAGCUGAGACUUUUUAUUAAGUAAGUAGAUGUUCGACUUAAACUUUGUCAAGAGUGUACUAUUUAUGUUUUGUGAUACCAUACACUCAUAUAAUUUGAAACAACCUUGUAGGCAACAUCGACGAUACUUACUGUCCAAUAACUCACAGCUGACCGAAUCCCAGAUCUUUCAAUUACAAGAUGAACAAUUUGCCACAUGGUUUAGAACACAUGUAAGUCCUAUCACAAACUCAUUAUCUCUUACAAUGUAAUUAAUUGUAGUCAAUGUUACAUAAUAUCCGUUUAUUGAUUAUUGUUGUAUUUAAUUUACAAGCUAGGUUUAUCAAAUGGGAGGUAGUGCUGCUAUUUCACUGUCUUUACUAUGUCUGGGCCCUGAAAGAAAAGUCAAGUGCUAUAACGGGUAUUUUGUCAAUGGAUAUGUCUUUCAUACUGAAGAAUACGGGCAUGGAAGAAAGACAUACAACAACGGUGUUUGUAUUAAGGGAUCGACUUCUAGUGAGUUUGAAGUUGACUACUACGGUAGAUUGGAAGAGGUCAUCGAACUUCAAUAUCAUAGCGAGCAAAAUAGAGUGUUUUUAUUCAAAUGCUAUUGGUAUGACACAACUGACAGAGGAAUCAGAGUAGAUCCUCACUAUGGUCUCGUUGAAAUCAACUCAAAAGCUAGACACCGCAACGUAAACGACGUCUUUGUUUUCGCAAAGCAAUGCCAACAAGUUUAUUACACAUACACCCCUUCCUUUAGAAAGGACCGAUCAAGAGUUGAUUGGUUAUCCGUUUUAAAAACAAAACCCAAUGGUCAUGUCGAGGUUGUUCAGGAUGAGAACGAAGACAUAAGUGUGAUAGAUGAAGUCUUUCAAGCUAGUGAGUUGGUUGAACCAUACCGAGUUGCUCCAUCGAUUGACUUAGAAGAAAAUUUGAAUUUUCGUGUUUUCAACGAUUGUCUUGUUGAUGUUGACGCAGAGGAGUUGAAUGUUGUUGAAGAAGAUGAUAACGAAAUUGAAGAGUACGAUGAAACUGAUGAUAACAAUUCAAUAGAGGACGAAGAUGAAAAUUCUGACUAACUAAACAUGUUAUAAAGCCUUAUUUUAUAAUGUAAUAAUUUGAAACAUGAAAUAUUUAUUCUUCUUUAAUGGUUAGCCGUUGUUAUUGUGUUGUGUGUGCUGUAAGAUUACAAUUCAAGAUUUUGUGACAGGGUUACAUAAAAAAAAAUAAGAAAAAUUUACGGUUUCACCGACGGGUAUACCGACGGACUAUAACCCGUCGGUAUUUCACAGAGACUUGCAAAAAACUUACGGGGUUGUGCCAUAAUCACCGACGGGUAUACCGACGGAAAAUAACCCGUCGGUAUUUCACAGAGAGUUGCAAAAAAAUUACGGGAAUGUGCCACAAUCACCGAUGGGUAUACCGACGGCUUUACCGACGUACCAUACCGAUGGAUUUACGCACAUCCCGAAGCGCACGCAUGUCUGACACGUGUCCGUCUGCACAAAUACCGACGGCUUUACCGACGAAUUUACGCACAUCCCGAAGCGCACACAUGUCUGACAUGUGUCCGUCUGCACAAAUACCGACGGAGUUUCCGACGGAUCGAAAAGUCUGGCGGGAUUUUCGAACUUUUUUUGGUGCGCAUUUCAAUUAAUUUCUGACGGUAUUACCGACGAAAUUUAAUUCCACCGAUAACAAUUAAUUUCCGUCGGUAAUACCGUCGAAAAAAUUGCUAUAUAUAACCCCCCCAUCCCCCCACUUGGUUCAUUUUCUUCUCUGCUUCCGUUUCUCUUCUUCUCCAUUUCUCUUCUCCUCUCGGUUUAUAUUUAGCUUUUAGAAGGGAUUUUACUGUUUUGGUGGUAGUUUUAAAAGGUAUGUAUUCUUUUUUCUUUAUCUUUGUAUUUUUUUUAUUUUGAUUAUGAUUUUUUUUUUUGGUGUUCUUUGUUUUGUGUAUUGUUUGUAGAUAAAAUCUUAAAUUCAACACACUAUUAAGGUAAGCAUUUUUUAUUCCCAAUUUUAUUUUGAAUUGAUAUAGUAUUUUUUAGUUUUGUGUAUUGUUUGUUUUGUGUUUAUGUUGUUUUGUCUAGUGUUUUUUAGUUUUUUAGUUUUAUUUAUUAAUUUUAUGAUAUUAUUGUUUGUAUUGCUAUAAUUGUUAUUGUUGAAUUUAUGUUAAAAAUGUUAAUUUAUAUAUAUAGAAUUACAUUUAAUUAGUUUAUCUUAAUUUAGGAUAUUAUUGUUUGUAUUGCUAUAAUUGUUAUUGUUGAAUUUAUGUUAAAAAUGUUAAUUUAUAUAUAUAGAAUUACAUUUAAUUAGUUUAUCUUAAUUUAGGAUAUUAUUGUUUACAUGUCAUUGUUAUUGCUUGUUAUUACAUUUUUUUAUUUAUGUGUAUACGUUAAUUUCUAUUUUGAGGUCCAUUAGGGUCGAUCGUGUUAGGAAUGAUAUUGAUUUAGUUACCUUUUGCUUUUGACCAUGUAAUUAUUUAUAAAUUAAGAGUCUUGUUUCCUAAAACAUGAAAUGUAAUAUUAAUCCGUAAAUUUGAAUGUAUGACUUUAAUCUAAUGAAUGUUCAUAGUUGAAAUUGAUUCUUUUACUUGAAUAUCAUUAUAUGAUGUUAUUGAAUAAAAUGUUGUGUUGAUGAUGAUGAGUUGGGUUGAGAUCCAGGAUGAUUGGAUCGGGAUGUGAAAUAAAAUUGAAAGUGUAAUAUGAUUUUGUCGAUAAUUUGGGACCCCCUAGUAUAGGGGAGACUCUGUCGAAUUUUUUUUAAAAUAAUCGAAGUUAAUUAUGUAAUUAUUCGUAUAAAUUUAUGUAGAUGCGUAGAAUGAAAUCUACAGCACGUCGUCAUAAGACGGUUGCAGCUAGUUCUUCUAGCAGCGAGGAGGACGUAUCCUUAGGUGCUGAUCACGGCGAGGAAUCUACGCCAACUUGUGAUGUUGCCUCUUCUAGCGCGGUUGCACAGCGCAGAAGCGGUGUGCCUUCACAGUGGGGUCAAUUCACCCGCAAGUACCAGGCACAAUGGAAGGAUGACCUCUCAAUGUAAGUUUGUUUAGGUUUUAGUUUUUUUGUUAUAUACUUAUAACAUAAUUUAUGAACAAUUAAUUAAUAUUACUACUUUUAUUUAAUUUCAGGUUCACAAACAUUGAGGCUGCAAGGACUAUAACAUUGGCAUUUAAAUCGUCGAUGGAGAUUCCAUUGUUUCAAUGGAGCCAGGUUUCCAGACAUCCUGAGUGGAAACCUAAUAUUGAUGCAUGGUUUAAGCGAUUUCAGGUCGGUGUUAAUUUUUAAUUUCCAGUUUAUUUUUAAUAAAUUAUUUUUAUAAUUUUAUAUCUUGUACUAUUUUUAUUUUAUAUGAAUUAUUUAUACACACAGAACAAAUUUGAGUAGGAUAGGGCGGACAACAAUGUUGUGAGGAGGGUAUGAGAGAAUCACGUGGCAACUAGGUAACAUCGAAAAUAAUAUUUAUUUUUGUUUUAUAAUUUUAUGUUCUAAAUUCUAAUUUGUUACUAUGGAAGUAGGUUGCGUGAUUUUUGGUAUGACACCCAAAAAAAAUCAAAAAGACAUGCGAGGGAUAACGGUCUUGAAGGAUGGAAUGAGGUGGUGGUUUGGCAGGAAUUCAAACCGCCAUUCAUCUCGGGGGAAAUAUGGACGACAUAUAUUGAGCACGUGACCUCAGAGCGGUUCUCACGGCGCUCACAGUCCGGCGCCGACAACCGGAACCGAAAAAUUCAUGGUUCGGUGACCACGCACACUGGCGGAUCCGUCCCAUUCAGUACACAUGCAAAGCGGGUGGUAAGAUUAAUUUUAAUGAAAUAUAUCGUUAAUUAAUUUGUCGUUCCUUAUAAUAUAUUUAACUUUCAACCAAUUUUUUCCUUACAGGCCGCGUCUCUUGGACGUGAACCGAGUCCAAUGGAGCUGUUUGUAGAGACGCAUGUGCGGAGUCAAGACCGCCAAAAGGGGGUGCAGCAGUUCGUGGACAACCGUGCUCAGCACUUCGUGGUAUGUUCGUUCAUUCAUUUUAUUUUGUAAGUUAUUAUUUUCUUGAAUUGCAUUUGAUGAUUUUUUUACCGACGGAAUUUUCAGGAGACCUAUAAUAGCCGGUUGAGGGAGAGAUAUGGGGACAAUCCGUCGACCCAUCCAGAUUUCGAUCCAGAUUUGUGGAUCAAGGCGGGAUCGUUUGGUGGACCCGAUAAAAAUCGGGUCUACGGGCUCUCCAACACUACGGCUGAAAACUUGCGUUCGACUCGUAGUGUCUCAACUAUUGGAAGCUCUCCAUCAGUAUCGAACACCCAGUUUGAGGAGUUCAUUGCGUUGAAACAACAAUAUCAACAACUCUCGACGAAUUAUGAUGAGCUCCGUCAAAUAGUCAUGGAGAUGAGAUCAAAGAUGGAUGACGAUACUUGUGCAGCUUCGUUUUGGCCGUAUGGUCCCGGAAACAACCAGCCUCCUCCUCCUCCUCCUCCUCCAGCUCCGCCGCUAUUCUAGUUUAAUUUUGUUUUUUAAACACAUUAAAUUUGUAAUGAAUAUUAUUUAACAUUACUUUUAUAUUUUUAAUGUUUAAUCCAUUUUUAUUUGUUUAUUAAUGUUUUUUACUAUUAAUAAAUUAUUUUUUUUAUAUAUUUUAAAUACAUACCAACGGCUUUACCGACGGAUAAUUUCCGUCUGUAUUUCACAGAGAGUUGCCAAACAAUUACCAGCCAUGCCAUAAUUACCGACGGAAUCUAUCCGUCGAUGAUUCAAUACAGACGGAUUUACCGACGGAUAAUAUCCGUCGGUAUUUCACAGAGGGUUGGCAAACAAUUACCAGCCAUGCCAUAAUUACCGACGGAUAUGCCGUCGGUAAUUACCGUUGAAAUUACAGACGGAUUUAUUCCGUCGGUAAUGUUCCCGCGGGAAACUUUUUUUUGACGCGCGAGUAUCCGUCUGUAAGACCAUCGGUGGGUGUUUUUUUUAUUUGCGACAGACUUAACGAUGGAAAUUGGAGUUACCGACGACUAGUAUACCGACGGACGUAUUUCGUCGGUGAGGCCGUCGGUAAUGAUUUCACCGACGGAUUUCAUUCCUGUCACCGACGGAAUUAGUCCGUCGGUAAAACUGUUUAAUGGUGUAGUGUGAGCAAGGUUGUCAAAAACGCUUUUUUAACACGACACGGAACAUACAAUAUAAACUCGACUCGUAAACUCGAAUCGUAAAAUCGUAAAAUCGCAAGUAAAUUUUUUUAACUAAAAAUCGUAAAAUCGCAAGUAAAAUAUUUUAAACAAUACAAAUAUCCAAACAUCUUAAAAUACAUAAUUCAAAUAAAAGUAAAAUAAACAAUACAAAUAUCCAAACAUCUUAAAAUACAUAAUUCAAAUAAAAAUUCAUACAUGUCCAUAUAAUUUCAAUAACUAAAAGUUAACAAACCUAAAACAAAUAAUCUGUAGGUGUGUCAUGUAAACUAAACAUCAUGUGGUAUAAAAUGUUCAAGCAAAAACUAUUCUUAAACUGGUGAAACUGGUGAUAAAUUUUAGGUAAACAUAGACAAAACGUUGACAGAUAUUCAUAAUGCAGCCAGGAUUUCAACAUACUUGGUCACAAUGCAGGAGUAGAAAAUUCACCGUCUCUUCCAACUGUUGCCAGCCACCUUUUACUGAAAGCAUAUAGUGGCAAAGAACAACACAAAAUAAACUCCUGAACUCAUAUGUUAAAAUUUUAAAUUCUCAGAAGCUGUACCAUAAAUAUGACACUUAACAUGACAGAAGAUUCACAAUUUGUAUUAAGCACAAUUUGAAUCACAAAGCACUGUAUUUUAUUCUAUAUUAAGCAUAAAUGCAUAUGUUGAACAAAAAAAAACAGAGGCUGUACAAGUCCUCCCUCUUUUCCACACUCAUUCUUAAUUCAAGCUCUAUUCCCGUAUUCAAAUAUUCUUCCAUUCACACCUUUUUUUGGUUUUAAUUCACAGUUCAAGAACUAUCAAGUGAAAUAUGGUUAUAUACUUGUAUCCAUUCAACAUAAGCACUCCUAGAAACAGAGGCUGUUAAUUCAAAAUAAUGAUAAUUUAGUUCUAACUUCUCUUCCAUUUCCAGCUCUGAUGUUUUUUAACUUGAUCGAAGCAUAGUAAAAAAAUUAAUUAAGAAAAAAGAACUGAAAUAAAAUAAAAUAAAAUUUUAACUUAAUAAAAUUUUUCUAAAUACUAAUCGAAAAAUAGAAGCAGAAAAAAAAUAUAAAGGGAGAAACUAGAAAAGCAGAAACAAAACAAGGAAAAAUGAUGUAAAAUAUAAAGGCUCCACAGUCUAGAUCAUGACUAGGCAUGACCCAUCAGCCAUUUCUCCGCAUGCUGUGCCACAAUUUCUCCCUAUAGGAGAUCUAAUUCAAUGCAAGCUUUCUUCAGAUCACACCAUUUCUACGCACUUUCUCUUUGACGUUUUAAACUGCGGUUUAGUUGGUUGAAAAGCAGCCAAAAUAAUAAUUUUUUAUAAUUAAUUCUAAGAGCGCAGUUUGAAAAGCACAAAAUCACGUAGACAAGCACACCUCUUCAGUAAUACAACCUAAUUCCUAUACGCCUCCACUCCAGUUUUGAUAAGAAAAAAUUAAGGAUAACGCAUAAUAAUCGACAGACAUUAAACACAAAAAAAAAAACUAAAAUAAACAUGAUAUUUUGAAAAUAUACCUGAUGAAAUCGAUCGGGUAAGAAAUCACAAAAAUCAAAGUUGAUGAAAUGAGGAGGAAGGACUGAGCCACUGGGGAGAUGAAUUUGGAGAGAGCGAAAUCGAUAGGACUGUAGCCUGUAGGAGCUCUUUAGAUCAGGAGAGAGAGCGUUUCAAGAGGAUGGAAGAUUGGAAAUUUGGAAGAAAGAGACUGUUGUGCUGAGUCAAAGGACAGAGGGCAUUUCAAAAUUCUGCAUUUGUUAAAAGUUUUGGUUAACUCGUGAAAACGUUACGUUUUUAAUGUUUUUUACGAGUUGACUUGUUUUUAAGCGAGUUUGACCGGGUUUGAUCGAUUUUACUGGUUUUUGAGUUUUAACCCCGAUUUCACACGUUUUAUGUGUUUUGACUCGUAAAAUCGAACGAUUUUACGAGUUAAAACGCAUUUUUAACAACCAUGAGUGUGAGUUUAAAUUAGUAAUUAACUAACAUAAAUUUAAUAAUGAAAUAAACCCCUAAACAAUGUUUAAUGCGCUAGAAAAAAUUCAAAUUAAAAAUUAUUAUUUAAAAUUAAAUAAAUAAAAAAAAUAGAAUAAUAAAAAAAGUCUUCAUGUUAAAAUUCUUCUAUGUAGCCUGAAUAUUCAAUUUUUGUAUAUUCCUUGUAGAUUUGAGUUAUGAUUUCAAACAUGUCGUUCUCUCUUAUUUGGAUGAAUUAUUGGGCUUAUGAUAUAUAGUUGAAAAGUUCCAGAUGUCUAAUUUCUAUCCCAACUUUAAUCGAAGCAACAUUUCACCAGUAGCUCUAGAUAUUUCCCAAACAGUACACGAAGGUCUUGUUUGAUAUAUUUGACAAUAUUAGUUAACUAACUUUGACCCUCUGAAAUAUUACGUUCUUUAACUCUAUUUGACCUGAAAAUUUACCACAAUAUAUUUUCAUGUAUCUAAUAUUUUCCUGUAAAAUUUUAGCAUUAUCCAAUAUACGGUUUGAAAGAUAUGCUCAAUCUCGCAAAAUUAGUCAGCAGAUAUUUUAAGGCCACAUUUGGAUUUGACUUGGUUCAUAUCAUAAAUUUAGUAAACUCGUACAAUCGGACCGAGUUUACCAUUUUGCAGGAGUUAAGUCUGAUUUGACUGGUUUCAAGUUUUUAGUCCAAUUUAGCACGUUAGAUACUUGUUAACUCAUAAAUCCAAUCUCGCGAUUUUAACAACCUUGGUCAAAUCCAAAUAUUUAGAGAAGUUACUAAAAGAAAUAACCACUUUCUCUACUUUUAUAUAUAUGAACAUAACUCAUAUGAAAAGAUAUAUAUAUAUAUAUAUAUAUAUAUAUAUAUAUAUAUAUAUAUAUAUAUAUAUAUAUAUGGGGACAUAACUCAUAUGAAAAGAGUUGUUUUAAUUUGUUGAAAGAAUAUAGUUCUCUCUUUCUCUUCUUUCAUCUUGGACUCUCUGCAUUAACUUGACAAGAUUUACAAAGACGUUCGUGAUGUGGAAUAUCACUUUGAUUUUAGUAAUUGAAGUGACAUUGAAGUAAUUGACUCGGGGAGAAGAAAACAAAUUCUCACAUCACAAGUGAAUUUCCUUUGAUUUCUACAUUGGUAUCAGAGGCAUGGUUUUAAUAUUGUUUUUGUGCAAUACAUCUGUUACUACAUAAACGCUAGAUGUACAUUCUGUGUAGAAAGAAUGCUUCUUUUGAGUCUUAGAUUUACAAAACUUUAUUUGAUGUAUUGUUAUUCAAAUUUAAUGAAGUAAUUUGGUUAGGAUUUUGUCUUUUCUAUCAUUAAUUAGAAAGACCCUUCUGCCAAAUAAAUGGCAGUUGUGUAACUGUCAUUUGUUAAUUAAUUAAAAAAAAACUACCAAUUAAUCGUGUGAAUUGGUAACUGACAUUUUAUAGUGCUGGCUAUGGGGUAAUUUUAAUAUGUCCUCGUAGUCAAUUGGAAACUGCUGUUUGGCAGUCAUGAAAAAAAAAAUGUGACAACACAUCUUGUUUGACAGUUGAAAAAAAAUAAUCAUGAGAACAAAUCUAGAAUUGGUAGAUGUCUAACUGCCAUUUGGCAGUUUUUUUUUUUAAAAAAACAAACAUGAGAGAGGGAAUUAAUAUUGAUGAAUUGUUAAUAUAAAUUGCUUAAUUAUAGUGCCAAUUUAGCUUUUAACAAAAAAAAAAAUGAUACAUGCCUUAAUUAAAUAUUGAUUACAAUAUUUAUGUGCUUUUGGAAUAUUUUAUUGUAGUGGAUAGGCAACAUCAAAUUGAUUAUUUAUUGGGUUAUGCCAUUAAUCUUGUUCACAAAAUUCAAGAGCAUAUUGAUUAUAUGUAUCAUUGGAUGAGUAGACUAGAUAUGAGUGGUGUUUACAAAUUCUACAUGGAAUAUCAAAUAUUAAUCAUUCUCAAUUCUCUACCUGAGGAAUGGAUGUCGGUGCAACUAUCGUUGGAUUAUAGGCUAGAAUCCUUAGAUUUGAACAAUCUCACUGAUGAAAUGUUGUUUGAGAGGGAACGUUAGUAUAACGAAAAGGGUAUAUGACAUACUGAAAGAAGCGCAGCUCAUUUGGAUGUUGCUGUUAAAUUCAUUCCAUGGUUUGAGCAUAAUGAACUUGAAGGAGAUGACUUUGAUGAAGUAGAUGAUGUAAUUGGAGACCCUACUUAUGUACCUACAAUAUAAAAUAAUUUUGAAAUUUAUUAUUCUUAAUUUUGUAUUUUUUUUUAUUUCAGUAUUUUUUUGUUAAGAUAAUUGGUUGUUUAUUUUGAAUUGCAUAUUUUAUGUAAUUUAAGUUUUAAUUACAUUUUAUGCAUGCAUAUGAAAAUAUCUGCAAUUUGAUCAGUGGGAGUUGUUAGUUGAAACUAAGAACUAUAAUUUUGCACUCAUUUAAAUUUGCAAUAAUAAUUAGACUAUACAAAUGAAAAUUGAUCAAGUGUUUGACAUUCUUUUCAAUUCUAUUGUAUAUGUUAGAUUAUUAUUUGUUUAAUUUAGAAUGGAAUGACAAUAAAUGUCAUUUAAAUUGUACUAGUUACUAAUAUUUAUAAUUGGUGUCAAUAACGCUUAAUACGACUGAAUCUUAGAGUAUUAUUGCUGAUUUGAACCAUGAAGACAAACUAAGUUAAAAGAAUUAUGAUGUUUGGCAUCAUAAGAUUGAAUAUCUCUUGGAAGAGCAAGAAAUGCUGGAAACAAUCACACAACUGAUGGUUGAACCCGAGUAAGGAAACACUGCUCAACAUAGGCUUGAUAUGAAAGCAUAUCAAACCUAUAAGCACAAGGAUCGUGUAGCUCGCAUUCUGAUGUUGAGCAACAUGAGAAAUAAUAUAAUGUUGCGUUUUGAAAAGCAUCGUUUAACCCAAUCAGUUUGGGACGCAAUAAAUAUUGAGUAUGAGAGAACCUCGAUUACGAGACUUCGUCAAUUAACCCUUAAAUUUGAUGGUCACCAAAAGCGCCAAAAUCAGAUGAUGAGGCAACAUUUUACAGUCAUGUCUAACAUGAUCAGUGAAUUAAGGGGGUGCUGGGCAUGAGAUGAUAAUUAGUACUUAAAAGUGCAUUUUUAUUAAGGUUUUAUAUUAUCAUAGUGCACUUAAAGUAUCAUUAAAUUCCCUAACUUAAGCAUGUUUUAUAAUAACAAGUCUGAUAACAUAAGAUAUCUUUAAUUUAUGGUAAAUACUCAUUUUAAAUGCAAGCAUAUCUCACAAUUUAAAGGAUUGAUUGAUGUGUUUAACUAUUGAAAGUGAAAAGACAAAGAGAGGGCUAAGUUUAAAGAAGAGAUGUUGGUUCAAUUCAAAUUAGAACACCAUUUGGUUAUUGGAUCAUAACUAGAGCUGUAGAACUUGGAUUUAGGUUUGGUUUAUAUGGAUAUAUAGCUAAGACAUAGGCCUAAAACUUUCAUGAAGAGUCCAAAAUUCAAAAGGGUCGUUUUCAAGUUCAAAUUGUAGCAACAAAAGAGAAGUCAGAAUCUGUCCUCCAGCCUAGACAUUGUUUAGUAUUCAACCAAUAUCUCGAGUUCUAGAAGUCCAAAUGAGCUUAUUCUUAUUUUGUUGGAAAGCAGAGAAAAAUGCCCAGAACUGUUAUGAGGACUAUCUAUUCAAAUUCUGAUGUUAGCAAUGACGUUUUGUUCAGACAAGAAGAUAAUGGUUGUCACUAAGUCAAGAGGUGGCAACCCACUCAAUAAUUAGUCAUGAAAUCAAUAGUUCUAAAUUUUAGCCUAUAAAAGGAGGCAUUUGCCAUGCAUUUAGAAAUCUUGGUGUUCAGAUCAAGAUCACUCUUUCUUUUUAUAUUUUGUAAUCUUUAAUUUUUAUUUUAUGUUAUAUUAAUCUCUUAUUUAUACUUUUCAUUUCCUUUACUAUACUUGGUUAACUUAUAUCAUAUUUAUGUUCUUUAUUGUUUAUUUAUGUUUUUCUUCUUCAUGAUGUUUAGCUAAGCUAAUGGUAUAAGAAUAAGUAUAAUAUAAACUCAACUCAACAUGGACUUUAAUGUUUGAUACUAACAUGUUUUGUAUUUGUUAUCUUACUCACUCUUAAUACCCUGCUUGUUAAAUGAUUAAUCUAGAUUUGUGUUGUACAACCCUUGGUACAACAAAUACUUGGCACUUUCAUAGCCUACUGUAUGGUAUAACUGACACCUGUGCUAUGAAAGGAACUUGAUUUGUUAUUAACAUAAGUUAACAUCAUGAAUUCCUGACAAUAUUUAAAAGUAUGGUGUUACUAAAAUAAGAUAAUUAAUAUGAUCAUGUUAAAAAUUUAUAAUGAACUAUUAAGGAUAAAUUAUCCGAUUGAAAUCUCCUUUGUGUGUGGUUUCCAGUUGAUUAAUAAAAAGAGUUUAUACUAUACUUAUUUCUAAUACUAUUAGUGGAUCCUCUAACCUUGACAAUUGCUUUUAUCUUUGAUUAAUACUCACAUCAAUAUCACUUCUCAAAAGUUCUCUUCAACUCCUUUUCAUUUGUUGUUUAUAAUUUUAUAUAGUUCACCUCCCUGUGGUUUAACCCCGGUCUUACCGGAUUAUUUAUUACUUCGACACUCCUACACUUGGGAUAAGACAUCAAUCUUUUGAUCGUGUCAAAUGACUGAUGAACAACAAGUCCAAGCUGUUAUCCGCUCUUUUCCAAGCAAUUAGGAGCACAUGCGUGUUAACUUUACCCACAAUGACAAUAUCAAGACAUUUGAUGAUGUUGCUCAUCACGUCGAGCUUAAAGAAGGUUGAUUUCACGCUGAAAAGCCUGUAAAUGAGGCUUUCAUAUCUGAGACUAAGAUGCGUGGAGCAUAUGACUCUAAAUAUGAAAAGGGUAAUGGUAAGGGUCCCAAAUAUGGCAAGAUAGGAAUAGAAGCAAGUAGUAAUGGAUAUAAGCACAAGCAUGGAAAACAUGGCGAUAAGUAAGAAAACAAUAUGAAUUGUUUCAAUUGUGGUAAACCUGGUCACUUUGCUUGUGAUUGCACUUAGCCAAAGGUAAUGUUUAACCACAAUCAUCCCUCUAACUUAUACAUCAGCAGUUGUUUAAUGCUUGUUGAAUUUAUUCCUUUUUGGACUAUAGACUUAGGAGCAACCGACCACAUAACAAGGAUUAAACAACCUUUAUAUGGAAUUUUGUCGAAUUCCAAAGGGAAAAAGAUACAUAUACAUGGGGAAUAACGUUUUUGCUACUAUGCUUGGGAUUGGUACCUGCAAAUUGGAUUUAUGAGGCAGUCGCACACUAUAUCUUCAUAAUGUACUCCACACUCUAGAAGUUCGAUGAAAUCUUGUGUCUAUCCUUGCAUUACUACAAUUGGCUUUAAUAUUGAGUUUGUUGGUUGUUGUGUAAAAAUAUAUAUGGAUAAUAUUUUUUAUGGUUUUGGUUUUGUAUUAAAUGGUUUUAUGGUGUUAGACACCGUUAAUGUAUCCAUUAAUGAUGAUGCUUCUAUUUAUAUUGUUCAAAAUGCCAACACUACUAAUAAUAGUGAUAUCGUAACUUGGCAUGUUAGAUUAGGAAAUAUUGAGCAAGACCUAUUAUAUAGAUUGAUAAAAGCUUGUCUUUUAGGAUCACGUACCAAAGAGUAAUUGCCUGUUUGUGAGUAUUGCCUUGCUGGAAAAGCAACGAGAUUACCAUUUGGCAAAGCGAAAAGAGCCAGUAGUCCAUUACAACUUAUUCAUUCAGAUAUUUAUGGCCCAAUAAAUGUGAGGGCAAGACAUAGAGCAAAAUAUUUCAUCACAUUUAUAAAUGAUUUCACAUGAUUUGGUCAUGUUUAUUUAAUCUCACAUAAGUUUAAAGCAUUGGAUUGCUUCAUUCAAUACACUAAUCUGGUAGAGAAUAAACUAAGUACCAAGAUCGAAGUUUUAAGAACUGAUCGAGGACGUGAAUACUUAUAUGAACAAUUUUAAAAAAAUUAUAAUGAAAAGAAUAUAGCUAUACAACUAACUAUUCCUUAUACUCCACAACAAAAUUGUGUAGCAAAAAGGAGGAAUAUGACCCUAUUUGACAUGGUUAGGUCAAUGAUGAUGCAUGCUAACUUACCAAUUUCUUUUGGGGGAGAUGCAUUAUUAACUACUGCCUACAUACUAAACUACUGCACCAUCUAAAUUUGUCUCAUCCACCUUAUAUAAACUAUGGAAUAACGAUAAACCUAAUCUAGGUUAUUUGCAUCUAUGAGGUUGUGCAGCUUAUAUUCACAAUAAUUCUCAUAAAUAUGGGAAAUUUAGUCCUAGAGGAAAGAAGUGUAUCUUUAUAAAAUAUUCUGAACAUUCCAAAGGAUUUGUAUUUAUUGGUGAAAAAGCUAAUGGAAGAGUGAUAGAGAUUGAAUCACGUGAUGUUAUAUUCUUAGAAAAGGAUUUUCCAAUGACAAGUGAGGUUAAUAAAGAUUUUUGAUUAUAUGAAAUGAAAAAUCUAGACUAUGGCGCAACAAGCUAUUCAGGAAAGGACUUAGAAGAAACUCUUAAUCCUCCUGGAAAUAGUGGGAGUGAUAUUUUGUUUAUUCCUGCUCUCAUGGAGAAAGAUCAUGAGCAAUCUCAACCUCGUAGAAGCAUUCGCGAACCAAUUCCUCGUCGUCGAUUUGAGAUUGAGGGGGAAGCAUUCAUGAUUGCUCCACAAGAUGAUAAAGAGCCUAAAACAUUCAGUCAUGCUCUAUCUGGUCCUAAAGCAAGAGAAUGGAUUAAAGCUUUGGAAAAAAAAUGGAGUCGAUAAAAUCUAAUCAAGUCUGAAACUUGGUCGAUUAACCAUCAGGACAAAGAUCCAUUGAAAAUAAAUGGGCUCUUAAAAUUAAAUGUAAGGUGGAUGGGUCAAUAGAACGUUAUAAGACUUGAUUAGUAGCAAAAGGCUACACUCAAGAAGAGGGAAUUGAUUAUGAAGAUAUUUUCUCACCAAUUAUGAGGAUUACUUCAAUUCACCUCAUUUUAGCUAUAGUCACAUAUAUGGACCUAGAGUUAUGCCAAAUGGAUGUUAGAACUACAUUUCUCAAUGGAGAACUAAAUGAGGAGAUCUAUAUAAAUCAGCCUUAGGAUUCGAGACUAAAGGACAAGAGUGCAAAGUUUGUAAGCUUAAAAGAUUAAUAUAUACUAUUAAGCAAGCUUCUAAACAAUGGAAUGUCAAGUUUCAUCAAGCUAUCCUUAAGAAUGGUUUUACAAUGAUGGAAGAAGAUCAUUUUGUGUAUUUAAAACAUUCUAAAAAUAGUUUUAUAAUAUUGUCUUUAUAUGUUGACAACAUCUUAAUAGCUAAAAAUAGCAAAGAGAUGAUUGAUACUAUUAAAAGGUGGUUAUCAUCAAAGUUUGAAAUGAAAGACAUGGGUGAGGCCAACUAUGUUCUUAAUGUGAAAAUUAUAAGAGAUCAUGCUAAAAGGCUUCUGGGUUUAACUCAAGAGACUUACAUCAAAAAGAUGUUAAAGCGUUAUCACAUGCAAGAUAGCAAACAAAUGGACACCCCUGUUGAUAAAAGUUUGAGUCUGAGUCAUGAUAUGUGUCCCAAAACUUUAGAAGAAAAGGACAAAAUGUCCAGAGUACCUUGUGCUAAUGUCGUCGGUAGUUUGAUGUAUGCAAUGAUGUGCACAUGUCCUGAUAUAUGUUAUGUCGUUGGAUUAGUUAGUCAAUAUCAAUCAAACCCUGGUAAAAAACACUAGUUAACCAAACAACAUCUUGUGAUGUUGCGGAACAAGCUACAUACACAGCCUCUAUAGUAGAUAAGGCUAUGCAGGAUUGUUUAUUGCUCCUCCAUAGUAUUGCACUAUCAUUAAGUAAAAAAGCAUAUCCCGAAGUUGAUUUGGAUUGAUCGACAUCUCCUUCCCAAUCAACAUUAGAGUAACCAAUCAAUCAUAAGUCUUUCUUUCCUUGGUAACAUAACAUGUAAUUCAAAAUUUCUUUUAAAUAUCGUAGAAUCCUUUUUACUGCCAUUUCUGAUAUAAAAAAGGGGUUUGUUUGGCCAGAUAUCAAAACAAAAAGGAAUAAAAUAAAGGGGAUUGAUAUAAGAGCGUGUUUUGCCAAACACAACCUUGGCCCAAAAUAAAUUGGGUCGGCUGGGCUAGAGGCCUAGGCCCAGCCCAACCUUUACUACUGAAAUGGUUCCUGAGGAAGAAGAUGAUGAAUAGUUUUUGAAAUAACAUCGUUUUCUUGAUUAAAAUGGUUAUUUUCAAUUUGGCCCCUGAACUUCUGACAUUUAACAAUUAAGUCCCUAUUCACGAAAUAUCUUUUUUUUAAUUUCUCCCCUGGAUAAAUUGCAAUGGACCCCUGCAUUUCGAUGCCAUUUACAAAAUGGUCCUUGGUUUCUAAUUUAAUAAAUUCAAUCCUUAAUUGGCUCCUCAACUUUUAAUUUUUUCAAAAUUAUCCCUGGAAAAAUCAAUUAAAUGCCCUAUAGUAUCCCCUACCGUUUCACUUUGGUCCAUGGACUAUAAUUUCUUGCAAUUUUGACCAAAUUGACUCCUAAAUUUAAUAAUUUCAUCCUUAAACUUUCAAUUUGUGUUUUCUUAACCUAAUUUCAAAUGUAUUUUUUUUUUAUUUUUUUGAAAAUUCAAAAAUUAGGUUAUGACACCAAAGACAACUUUAAACUUUAGACAUUACACUAUUGAAAUAGCUUUUAAAAACAUGCCCUAGUAUUAUUUCAUAGAUAGUCUUGGAACUCAUUUGAUAGUCAAUUGAAAUGAUCUUUUCUUUUACACUCACACAUGCUUUCAAAACAACCUUAAAUCAUAUCUAACUCCGUUACCAAAAUCAUCAAUGCCUUCAUUUCAACAAUUCAAUCAACCAUAUCAUCAUCAUCCUAAUGGUCAUCUCAGUUUUGACCAUUCCUCAUGGAUGUUUAUCAUCAAGGCUAUCUUUUUUUUUUCCUCAUACCAUCUUAUUUGGUUUCUUUCAACUAGUCCACCAAUGAUCUCAACAAGUCAGAGUACUGACGCUUCUAGCUUCUAUUGUGACCACUGGUUAAUAAAUAUCCUGACAAUCAAUUAUAUUUACACCAUUAUUUCCUUCUAGGUAAACUAAUCAAUCUAAUCAUUUUGAUCAUCAGUUUCAUUGAUGCCACUAACUCCUUUUGAAUAGCUAGUCUAACAAAUAUCCUGGUUAUCAAUGCAUUGAUGCCACUAGCUCUUUUUGGAUAACUAGUUUAACAAAUAUCAUGGUCAUCAAUUACACUAAUGUCACUAGCUCUUUUGAGAUAAUUAGUCUAAUCAUAUCCUGGUCAUCAGUCACAUUGAUGCCACUACCUCCUCUUAGGGCAACUAGUCAAAUUAAUCUUAUCAAAUACAUAUACAACAAGUUCACUUUGUUGAUCAAAAUCUACAUCUUAUACAUAAAUGCAUAAUGCCAUUUCCAUGUAGCAACCAUCAGUAUUCACCCCCAAAUGAACCAUCAAUAACUCAACAAACCAGUUGCAUUGACACCACUAGCUCCAUUUAAGGCAGUUAGUCUAACAAAUAUCUCAGUUAUCAGUCACAUUGAUGCCGCUAGCUCCUCUCAAGGUAACUAGUUAAAUUAAUUUUUCUAUGACAUAUACAUUUUAACAAAUACUUAUCACUUACAUAUACAACAAGUUCACUUUGUUAAUCAAAAUCUACACCUUAUACAUAAAUGCACAAUCCCAAUUCCAUGUAGCAACUAUCAGGUUUCACCCCUAAAUGAUCCAUUAAUAAUCCGAUGAACUAGUCAUGUCGAUGUUAUUAGCUCCACUCAGGACAACUAGUCAAAUCAACCUUUUCUUAAUAUUAACAUUUAUAUAAAUACACACACAUUUAAAGAAUUCAUAGUUCUAAAUUCUUAAGAAACUAUCUAAGUAGGAAAAUGAGCAGGGCACUUACCUAGAGUCUAUGUACAUGCUACUGCUCCUUGCUAUUGUUCAGUGUUCAUAGCCUCCCUUGUACCAUAUGUGAUUCAAUUAUCAUAAUUAAUAUAACCAGCAUCACAACUUCAUUUCAAUUCUCAUUCAACUAUUACUUUCAAGCCAAUGACAAGAAAAAUCAUUCAAAUUCCAUAUCCUUAUAAAUUUUCAUGUUCAUAUUCAUUCUUAUAAAUUUAAAUUUUAAAACCCUCACUCAAGAGCAAUUCCAAUGAAAGAUUAAAAUUGUCUAAUUCUGGUCGAUUUAGCUUAGCCAACCUAGAACAUUAUCUAGUGUUUUAAUCACAACUGAAGCUGUAAAACUCAGUUUUGGGUGUGGUUUGUCUCAAUGGAAAGCUAAAACUUAUAGCUACAACUUUCAUGAAUAAAUAAACACCAAGGUUUUCCAUUCUAAAAUCACCCAUUACAAGAGCAUAAUAAAUUUGUUCAAUAUUAUAUUGGUUUGGAUCUUUCCUCGGUCUUUAGUUUAUAUCUAAAGUUAUAUAACUUCAAAUUAAUCAAGACCAAUUUCAUUUAAUAUUUAACAUUCAUAGACCUUUUAUAAAGAAACCAACUCCAAAUUUCAUUGUUGUAAAGUUCAAAAUCAAUAAUCAUAGCAGCAUUCAAAAUCUAUCAAGAGUUUUGUCAGUUUAGACUUAUCCAUAUCUAAAAUUUUCCUAAAACUUCAACUCCAAAUUCUAUAGUUUCCAAGCUUUAAAUUCAACUUUAAUUAGCUGAUUCUUGUUUUUUUUUUAAAAAAAUGGAGGGGUUUGCUCCAUAUUACAACAAUAUCAUUAAUCCAUGUGUUAUUUUUUUUUGUAUUUUUUUCUGUUUAACGACACUCUCGCAAGGUCUUUUCAAACUCCAUUGACCUGAAAUUGCAACCCAACAUAGAACAAUAUAUUAAGAGACUGUUAGUAAAAUUUCAACCUGAUCCAACUAUCAGAUUAAGAGUUAUGUAUGAUAUCUUAAAACUAGAUGGUAGGUAAUUAUAAGCCAUGUAACUCAAUUUAUUUAUAUCCAAAGCUUUUUGUCAUCUUCUUUUAGUUACUUGGUCCCCAUGUAACUCAAUUUUAUUUUGAUCCUUUUUUUUUGUUUUGCACUUUAGCCCACUUGUCCAUUUUGCUUUCUAUUUUUUAUUUUGGUUUAAAAAAAAACAAUGAUAACAUCAAUUUGAUAAGCAAACCAAUCAAGAAAUACAAAAUGGACGCAUUAAAAAUCUAAAUACAUCAAAAUGGCUAGGUAUAAAAGGUGUUGAAGGGUCAAUUAACAUAGGAUCACUUGUGUAUAUGUGGAAAUUGUUUUGGCUUGCCACCUCGAUUUUGACAUUUCAACAAUUGAUCUCACUUUAAUCUCAAACCUUUGAGUUCUACCUCAUGCUUUGUUGUGACAUUGUUUCUUUAAAUAUGGAUUGUGCACCAUUAAUAGGGACGCCUUGGAGAGCUUUCCAUUUUGUUUUCCAUUUUCUUGCUUUUUUUUUUUGUAACAUUUUUAUCCCUUUCAUAUUUUUUGUAUUUAGAGAAUUUCAUCAAUCAUUUAAAAAUUCUAAAAAAUGUCCUAGUGUGAAGGUUGAUUCUAAUUUAGGUUAUUAUCCAAGAAAUAUUUAAGGCUUAUAAGGGAAGAUAUGAGAUAUUUUUAUUUGUGAAGGAUAUAUCAAAAAAGACUUUUCUUCAUCUCAAAUCCAAAUAUUCAUUUUGUUAAAUUUAGCCCUAUUCAAAGAGCAUCGUUAAUCAGCAAAACCAUGAGGCUAACCUUAAAAAAUAGGUGGUGGGGUCAUGACCCAAAUGCAUAGUAUGCAUCAACAUUUAUGUCAUUAAAUCAUUUGGUUCUAUUUUGGACUUAUUUUUAACAAGAUUUUUCUUUUUAAUGCUUAUUGAAUGUGGCGAAGGUAAUUAUAGAGGUUAAAAAGAAUGUUGGAAGCAAAACCUCACUUUUUUUAUGGUUUAUUUUGGGUGGAGAAGGACAUUUUGAGUUUUAAAAAUAAACAUUCCCUCUUAACAUUCGCAUAACAUGUCUCAGAUUUGAUCAAUUUUGAAUUAGUUUUCCAUGUUACUUUCAAAUAAACAAUCUUUUAGCUUUAAAACAAUAGUAAGACCAAAAAGGUACACUUAUUAACAAAAAAUUGACAUUGUAUUUUCGACUAAUGAAGGCCUUAUUAGCAAAACAAAUUCAAUUUAAGGAGGGAAAUUCAAAAUUUGAUGUUUAAGGACUCAAUUAGAAUUUUUCAAGGUUUAUUUGAAUUUAUUGAGGGUUUAAUUGCCAAAAAUAUUGAUCUUUAAAGUCAAUUCAGUCUUUAAUUGGAAGAAAUUAAAGUAUGGGGUUAAAUUGUAAUUUUUAGGAGUUAAUUUGUUCAAAUCAGGGGUGUAAUUGGAUAAAUAUUGAAGUUUGAUAGGCAAUUAGGGACAUGCUUGAAGAAAUCCAAAACCAAAGAUCAAACUAGAAAAGUCGUGUGAAUAUAGAGGUUGAAAUUAACCAAAUCAUGGGCCAAAUUGAAGAAAUUAAAAGUUUGUUAAUCAAUUGAGGGUCAAGAUGCACAAAUUUAAACCAAAGACUAAAAUAAAAAAGAUAACCAACUAAGGGGCUGAUAAUUAAGUUUGACAGGGAUAAAUUUGCAUGAAAUUAAAAGUUUGAAGGCAAUUAUAGGUGCAAUUAAAAGACAUUAAAAGAGUAGAGGCUCAAUUAAAAUUUACCGAUCCCAAAUAAAAAACCCUCAAUGACGCGUCAUUCAGACUGAAAGAAGAGAAGGUGAGUGACAUGUCGUUUAGUCGAUUGGUCUCUGUUUUUUAUAGUUUUGACUGAUCGAGCUGGCAACUUCAAACGAAUGAAUAUGGAGCUACAGACCUCCAAAUUAAACAAUGUUGGAUUUAAAUGAAAGGUGUGCAUUCUCUUUACCAACUUCAGGUUAUAGUAGACGACGAUGAAGUUAGAAUUGAUCUGAUGAGGCCUUAAAAGUGGGCAACCUAGUCAGCCCUAACAGUGCAACUUUCAUGCAAAAACCAAUUUUCUUUUCAUGUGUUCACAUACAAAGCCUUCUCAAUGGGUUCUUAUUAAGUGUUUACAACCUUUCUUUCAAGAUCAAGAGGUCACAAAUGAAUUGAAAACCCUAAGAAACCCCUAUAAAUACCCCCCCAAGUUUAAAGAAACAAAAAGAGGGGCAAAGAGAGGGGAGGGGAAAAAUAAAAGAAAAGAUAAGAAAAAGAGAAAUAUCAAUAAGAAACACAAGUGUAGAGGUCCAAGAGCUUAAAAAAAAGAUUUUUUUUAGCUUUGUAAGUUUAUGAGAGGCAAAAAUGUCUAAAAGAAAACAAAGAGAGUAGUUGUUCUAGAUAUAUUUUUCUGAUCCAAAAGUAGGUCUUUUAUGGCCUGUUCUUGAUAUUUUUCUUAUUUACUUUUUUUUUUAUGUUUAUGUUUAUAAGUAUAGAAAAGAGGUUUGAAUGAUCAACAAGUAAUGAUGUAUUCACCUAUUUGUUGCUGUGUUUUUCUUUAAUGAUGUUUAUUUUGAAGUUUUUUUUUUAUAUGUUUUUGAUACAUUAAAGUUGUUGUUUAAGUUUGUUUUUGAUAUAAAAUGUUAUUUUAGUUUUUGUUUAACUUAAGCUACGCAUGUUAAAGAAAUGAUGUUUUACCAUGGGUUUGCUAGAUUUGUUCAUGCACAAAAUGGGUUCAGAAAACCAAUUUUGGAUUUGGUAUCUCUUGUUUGAUUUUGAAUUUUUUGAUGUUUUUUGUUAGUUUUUUAAAUUUAAACAUGCUUGUGUAUGAUAUUGUGACUUUUUAGGAUAAAAAAAGGGAUGUUUUAUAAGCCAAAAAUGCCCAUUUGUUGGGCUUGGUAGUGGCUUCCAUUUCUGGGCAUAACUAGGUAAUUUUUUUUCUAGGUUUUGGCAAUGUUCUUCGUGUUUUUGGGGAGAAUAUUGUCUUAGCCCUUAGAUAUGGACCAAUUUUUGUCUAUUUCUUUGCACAUAAACCUUCCUUAUGCAUGAUUAACAAAAAUAUCUAGUGUUAUUCACAUCAAUAAUGUGUUUAAACGGUUUUUAAUCUUAGGGUUUCGGUUUUAAACUGAAACUCAUUUUGGCCAAAUCAUGAUGAUUCAUUGAUAAUUGGAGUGAAUAGAUGAUAGAUUAUUGAUCCUUACAUGAUUUCCAACAUGUAUGUGCAUUUGUUAUGACCAAACGUAGUGUGAUUAGACUCACAUUGUUGGGUUCAGUUUCAAGUGUUCUUUAUUUUUUUUGGUAUUCGAUUCGUUUUGUUGAAGAAUCUUUUUAGUUUUUAUGUUUUUUUUUGUGUUUAAUCUUUUUUUUUUGUUUUUAGGUUGUUUUCGGGUUAAACCAAGAUUUUUUGUUCGGUUUAUGGUGGAACAAAAAAUUUCAGGUCAACUCGAUCAGGUCGGGUAAAAAACAAUUGGGUCUAAAGGUCUUAUACCCUGUUUGGUUUGCCAUUUUUGUUAAGGGUUUUUAGGUUUAAAGGCAUGUUUAGCAAACACCCUUUUGGCUUAUUUUGGGUAGAUUUAUUGCAAAAAAUAAAAUGAGUUUUUGCCAUACAAAGCCUAAAAAAUAAAAAAUUAAUAAUUUUUUUUCUUGAUUAUGGCCAAAAAUUCUAAAUUAUUUUGAGCAUCUUUUUCAAAGAAAAUUUAAAAUAUUUUUGCAUGUUUUUUAAAAAAUACCGCAUGGAUUUUACAAGUUUGUAAAAUUUCAAAGGAUUUUGGCCUAUAUUUCAAAAAUACCAAAACUAUUUUUUUUGUUUCUUUUAAUAUACAGGAUUAUGAACUUAUAUGUAAGAUAUAUUUUUGAUAUUAAACAAAAAGACAAUUUAUUUUAUUUUUUAUAUUGGCAUUAGAACGAUUAGGUUUUAAACUUGAUAAGAUAAAGACCUCCUUAUUGAGAAAGACUUUUCUUAAACCCUAGAUAUUGAAACGAUUAGAAAACAUAAUAUUUUCAUAGUUUAUAUCAGACAAAUAAACAAUGCACUUAUCUCAGGUAAGGCGUAUUAGGGGUGCUAAUACCUUCCCUUAACGCAAUCAGUUCCCUUACCUAAACUCUAAGAUCAUUUAGGGUCCCUAAUGACCAGAAUACGUGGUGACGACUUUCAUUCUCUUUUUCUACUGACAAAGGACAAGAAUUCAUUGUCCUUUUCACCCAUAUCAUUCCCGACGAUACUAAUAUGAAAGGAUGAUCAUCGCACCCGUGCGACAAUCCCAAAACAAAUGAAGAAUAAAUCAAGGUUUUAAUGAAGUUAUUCAUAAAGUUCAAUAAAAAAAAUGGUGACAAUGUAAAACUUACCAAACGGCACACCAAUUGUUAUGUAAAACCCAAAUAAAAACAAUAAAUACAUAUGUAAAAUAAAAUAUUUAAAGACACUUUUGAUGCAUAAUCACUUGACAAGGCCCAUGUUUGUUUCCUUAAGCCAAGAUGAUUUACUUGGAUACGACCCUCAUUGGUUUUGGGCAAAUAGGCUGAGCCUUUUAAGGCCUAAUGUCCCAUUUGUCAAAGCCAAAAUAUAUUAAAGAAAAAUGCAUUUUUAGGUUUUUAAGACAUGUUUGGCAAACACGCUUUUAAGAAAAAUUUUAAACCAGUGUUUUUCAGCUAAGGGGGUGUUUGAAAAACAUAACCUAUCAUAUUUUUCACAACCUUUUUUUUUUUUUGUGUUUUGCAAAACACGCCUUAGUUUAAUUUUAAUUAAUUUUUAGUUUUUUGAAGGAUCAUUUUGCAAUUAAUUUUAUGUCUUUUAUACCAGUUUACCUUUUGUUUAUUUGAGAUUGUGAACUUAUAUGUAAGAUAUUUUUCCAAUAUUAAAUAAACCAGUUUUUUCCAAUAUAUAUAUAUAUAUAUAUAUAUAAUCUUUCUUUUAAAAAAUAUACAUUUAUGUUUUAAAUUGCAUACGACCAAGUUUUUUCAAAACAAUAAUAUUUGCAUUUUCUAUAAUAUAUAUAAAAAAAAGAAAAAGAUAAAAAAAAAAAACUAAAAAAAAAAUAUUUGCAUGAUUUAGCAUCUCUUAAAAAUACCAAAAAAAAUCAGAUUUUGCAUGUAUCAUGGAUUUAAUAACAACUUUAUUAAAGCUAUAAGGAUUUGGCCUAAAUUUUUAAAACACCAAAAAAUCUAUUUGUUUAUUUUUAAUACCAAAGAUUACGAACUUAUAUGUAAUAUGUAUUUCCGAUAUUAAAAGAAAUAAAUGCAAAAAAAUAUGUUUUGCUUUUAGAAUGCCUAGGUAUGACCUAUAAAGUCAUGGUCCACCUUGUUGGGGUGGACCUUCUAUAACUAAAACAAACCAAUGCGAAAAACACAAGAGUGCUUAAUAAUAUUUAGACAAAUAAACAAUACCACUUAUCUUUAUACUAGGUGUAACACCCCACCCCAUUAGCAAGAUAUUGUCUGCUUUGGCCCACGGGCCUCACGGAUUUGUUCUUGGUAGCCACUCAUGGCCCAAUAACGCAUCUUACUAGUCAAGGUGAGCAUGCUUAUAUAAGACCUUCUCCCAAGUCCUUAUUCACCGAUGUGGGAUAUUACAAUCCACCCCCUUAAGGAGCCCGACGACCCCGUCGGCACCACAGGACAACCAGUGAGUCGAGCUCUGAUACCAACUAUAAAACCCCACCCCACUAACAAGAUAUUGUUUGCUUUUGCCCACGGGCCUCAUGGAUUUGUUUUUGGCAACCACGCAUGGUCCCAAAACGCGUCUUACUAGUCAAGGUGAGCAUGCUCAUGUAAGGCCCUCCCCCAAAUUCUCACCCGCCGAUGUGGGAUAUUACACUAAGGGUGAUACAUAACUAGUCUCUUUAUCCAGACUUUAAAAAUCAAUUUGGGUCCCUAGUGACCAAAAAUAUUUGGUGGCAACUCCAAACCUUUUUAACGAUAAAAAUGACAAGAAUCCCUUAUUCUUUCCACUUAACACCAAAAUUUUGAUAUGGAUGGAUGAUCGCCAUAAACAUGUGACACUAAUGAACAAUGCCUUGUAAUAAAAAAGUGAGUGGUGAAUUCACUUUCUCUUUUAAUUUGUGUUAACCAAUUAAACUCGUGAUCUAGGUCAUAAAAUCGAGAUAAUUCCAUAAAAAUCAUAUCAAAAUAUAUUAUAUAGUUCAAUCUCGAAUAAAAUAAAUAGUAAAUGAUGAAAUUUUAAAAAAUAAAUUAAAACAAAAGAUUUAGGGAAAAGUGCAUAACCAGUCCCAACUACAUCACCUCUAAAGAAAAAUAGUGGUCAUACUCAAAUUAUUCCACCAAUUGUUAAGGAGCCACAAGCCCCUCAGAAGGUAUGAUUGACAACAGCUCGACAAUUUAGCCAUGAUAAAGAUGUUGGUUCUUAAGCAUUACCAGUAUCAAAAGAGAGCCAUGUUGGGCCAUCUCAACAAAGCUAUUUGGAAUUGACUCAUUGCACUAUUUACAAGAAAGUAUCACCCAUAAUCUCUCUUGAGAUCCCUUUAGAUGGUGAUUUCUCCCUUGUUACUCGAAGGAAGAGAAGAAGAACACAAGUUUUGUGUAAAACCUAAAAAAAAAUUAGUAUUACACCGGCCUAUACUAGAAAAGAAUUAAAGGAAACAAACCGGCCUACUCUAGGUGGGAAUUGUAGGAGAGGUAACUAACCUUAAGAUAACCCAAAAGAGAGAUAAGAUUAAGCAUGACCAUCACCCAAACACCUCCAUCUCAUUUAAGAGGGGUAUAAAUACAAGAGAGGAAAAGGAGAUGACUUUUUCUCUCCCCCAAAACCGACUGUAGCCCAACCUGCAACAACCCCUCUGAUAAGAACCCUCUGGGAAUUUUUAAGUGUGAACAUAUGAAAAAGUUGAAUGGUUUUGUGCAAAUGGGUAUCUCAGUCAAGAUUAACUACGAUGGCCACUUUCAAGGCCUCGUCAAAGCAAUACUGACGUCAUCAUUGUUGAAGACCACCUGAAGUUAGUAGAGGGGGUGUACAUAUUUUAUUUGGAUCCAACCUUGUUUAAUUUGGAGGUUUGUAGCUCUACAUUCACUCACUUGAAGGUUCCAACACGAUCAGUAGAAUAUGAAAAUUGAGUAAUGGCUGAUUAAGGACAAGAUGUUAGGGACUUCUAUGGAAGAAUUGGGAUGUAAACAUCUAAUUUCAUGGAAAGAGGGUUGUAGAGGGGAUGUUCCUCUUCCAUUUGCGAAAAACCACAUGUCAUUUGGUGGUCUAGAACUCCAUGGUGAGUUUUUAGAAGAUGUUAACCUAAUCCUCGCGAAUUGCCAAGGAAGAAGAUGGAACAGAGGCUGAACGAUGCAUUGUCUUGGUUAAGUCCCUAGAAAUUAGGGUUUUUAAUUUGGGAUCUAAAAUAUUUUAUUUUAGUUCUUGUUCUUCUAAUUGCUUUUAAUUGUCUAUCAAACUUUUAAUUUCAUGCAAUUUCAUUUAUGUCAAACUCAAUCAUCAACCCCAAAGUUUAGCGACCAUUUCAUCUUGGUUCUUUCUUUCUUAUUUAUGCAUUUGGAUUCUUAAUUGACUAUUAAAAUUUUAAUUUUCUUCAAUUUGACCCCUAAUUUUCUGUCUUUUACAAUUUGGUCUUUAGUUUUGAAUUUCUUUAAUCAAACCACUAAUUGGCUAUUAAACUUUAAUUUUUUUUACAAUUAAACCCGUGAUUUGACCAAUUAAACUUUUUAGAGUCCAAUUUCAAUCCUCAAACUUCAAUUUCUUUCAAUUAAAACCCAAAUUGACUUUAAAAAAUUGAUUUUCCUUGAAAUCAUGUCCUCAAUAAAAUUGAUUAAGCCUUCUAAAAUCUUUAUAAAGUCCUUACUCAUCCAAAUUGUAUCUCUUUACCCCAAAUCAAGAUAUUUUCACUGAAUGGGUCUUUCAUCAAUCAAGAUUGGAUAUCUAAUUUUGUCAAUCUUAUAUAUUCUGGUCCUUCAACUUUUCCACUUAUCAUUUUAGUCUUUCACCACCAACAUGGGCAAUCUUUUAAGUUUUCUUCAUGUGUAUCCUCUUGUAUUUUUUUUUUAUUUUUUUUUCUUUUCUUGAGUUUUGUGGGGUCAAAAAUAAGUAACAACAACUCUCAUUCCAUCUAAUUAAAUUAAUAAAUUAAUUGCAAGGUAGUAAUGGAUAUAUAUAAGUUUCAAGUUCAAAAAUGCAUUUACUUUGGGGUAUGUUAAGAAUAAUAUAAAAUAGUUUAAUAGCUUAAGUUUUUAGGUUGAGAUUGUUAUUUGACAAACUUGUGUGUGAAGUUUUUUCGUUGAAUGUUAGCAAUUGUUUUUUAUCUAGGGUUGUCAAGUUAUCUUGGUAAUAAUGUGAGGGUCAACCUAUGAGCUAGCUACGAUUUAUUAUGGUUGUUCAUGAGGUGAUUUAAAGGCUCUGUUGAUUGAAUAACUGAUUAUUCUAGAUGUCGAUGUAUUUUCUUUUUGUUAUCUUGCCAGAACUGCAUGGUUUGCUAGAUUGUAAUUUUGGUUUAUAUUUUGGGCUGUUCAAGGAAAUGGAACUACUUUAUUAGGAUUUAGUGCUGCAAUAUCUUAUAAAGUUUUACCUCUUUCCUAUACAAUAUGGUAAAUCUUGCAGUAUUUCUUGUAACAGAGAUUUUGAAGUCCGCGUUCUUGGCAUUUGAAGUUUCGAAACCAUGAUGAUGUCUGAUCAUGGUGUGGAGAGAGAAUUGUCGGAAAGUCUAACUAUGCUGUGACUUGCAAGGUUUUUCAGGAUUUGAUGGACAUGAAGGUUAUGUAUUAAAGAUCCAACAUAACAUUUUUCUCGUGGUUGGGAUUUCAUUGGUAGCGUAGACUCUUGUUUUACUAGCUAAUGAUAAUCUUGUCGGUUUAUGUUGUUAUAUAUUUGCUUUUAAGAUGCCACUAUCAUGUAAUCUGCGUAGCUUCUUUGAAUCAAUGGCUAAAAAUGUUACAUUUUUAUUAUAUUUUUCAUGUUUGUGAAUGUGAUUCUGGCCCAUACUGAAAAUAAGAAAGUGAUUGAAAAAGCCGGGUGCUUUAGUGACCCAUAAAUUACCUAUCAUUUUCUGUAGCCGAAGAUGGUAUAAUCUCAAGGUUUACAGGCAUAAUAGAAUACAACAGUAGUAACAGUGUCAAAAACAAGCACCGUGGAAUACAUAGAUACCAGCAUGGGCCCUUCCCAAAAACUGAUGCCCUUGCUCAUCUUAAACUCAAACAAACACUGAACUAGUCCAAGUCCCAUAUUACUCAACAAAGCCAUAACUAGAGCUGUUUGCUGUCUCCCGGCCAUCAUAUUACUGGCCUUAACUAAUGAUUUAAACCCACAGCACUCACUCUCCAAAACUGCCAAAACCUUGGCUAAAUUUGCUACAACCACAAGAUGCGCAAAUGCCAGACAGAAGGGUGCUCCUAGAAACCCCAGAAUUACCCGUAAUCCUAGCAUUCUAGAACAUAUUCCAUAAGCAAACAGUGUACCAGGAACUGACACCAAAGUAGCAACAAAAAUCACCCAAAGAGCAAGCAGGAUAAGUAACUCCCAAAAACAAGUUCGGAGAAGCUUAAUCCAAGCUGCCCCGCUUCUCACAAGUAACCGUCUUCCGUUGAGGUUUAUUCCAUUGUAGCUGUCUGAAACUAGUUGAACAGUAGCGGCUUGUCCAAGGAGCCCGAAUGUGAUGGAGGAGGGGAAGCAAAUGAUGAUGUGUAUUAAGGUUUUGGAGGCCAGUUGAGGGAGAACUCCAUAGUGUUCAAGUAGAUGAUCUGUUAUGCUGGUUGUUGAGAAUGGUAACUGGGGAGAACUGCGAGUGAGAAAAUGGGAGAUGAAGAGUGAGAUUGGGAGAGGAGAGAAGAGAAAAAUAGAGAUUGAAUGGAAAUGAGUAGGAUGUAGAAGCAUAACUCUAAUGGAUUCUUUGAAGAUAUGAAGAGUGUUUAUCAGAUAAAAAGAGUUAGGCACUUGUGCUGUCCUUCUGGGCAUUGUGUUCAGAGGUCCGAGAAUGGCUGUAGGUAUGUAUGUAAAUAUAAUAAUUAAGAGGCAUGUGAAAGUUUGCUGGUUAAUCAACUAAAGAAUUUGGUUGCUUCUAUGCUAAUUUAUCAUCAUUGAAGAGGUUAUAAUUGUUUCAUUGCUUCUAUGCCUUUGAUUUUAUUUUUAAGGUUUUCAAUAUUUGCCACACUUGCAAGGCACUGAUUUUUCUUCGUUUUUAAACUGUGUCUUCACGGAUGGUCCCCUUUAUUAUUAUUAUUUUUUAACCCAUGAUGAUGAUUGUCACCAAAAGGCAAAACAUUAAUUGAAUUACUUGGGUUGUUUGUGCAUCCAAUUUAUACUUUUCAGAUAUUUCCAAGUUUCAGAACAGCAAGUGGCUAUUAUUUACUUAAUUCACCCCCCCUAAAAAAAAAAAAAAAAAAAAGCAGAGAUCAACUAAGAAAUGAUUGUUCCGUGAGGGUAUUUAAGGUUGAAUACACAUGUAUAAAUAAUGAUGGGCUUGAAUGGGAUGACAUGGUUUUGUGCAACCAAGAAAUACGAUUGUGCAACUAAGAGUUUUUUCCUGAGCUCAUUACAUUUCUGCUAUAGAUGAUGGUGUUGGGUUUAUUGAAAUGCGUAUACAAGUGGAAAUUAUAGAUUUAAAAUUUGUCAGGAGUUUCAAGAAUCGUGUUAAAUAGAUGUAAAGUUUUUUAGGGUUUAUAUAAAGAUUGUCCGAAGAUUAAAUGUUCUUUUCAACUUUAAAUAUUCGCUUCAAGGAUGAGUUGUCGCAAACCACAAGUCGUUUAAAUGUUCAGCCUUUAAUAGUAAUCCACACAAAUCACCAGUGAAAAAUCUUCUAAACCCUUUUAAAAGAGGGAGAUUGUUAUAACUUAGAGUGCUAACUCUUUUCUUUUAUGUUUUAGUUGUUUCUAUAUUAUACUCUUCUCACCUUAAGAAAUAAGAGGCAUAGCAUUUUAUUUAUAAGAAAACCUGAAAAUUUUUAUAAAUAACAAAAUAUCAAUUUGCCUCUUAAAUAAUAUCACAUAUAUUAUUUUAGGAUAAUUUUAAAAAUUUAUUUAAUCAUGUCCCUACUUGAUUUUUUCUAGGUCUACAAUUGUAAUCUCAUGUAUUAAUUAUAUUCUAUUCCUUAAUUUCUAAAAUUUAUUUAUAAUCAAGUCACAAUUGAUUAAUCAUUCCAUUUUAAUUUCUAACAAAUGAUUUUUAUAUAUGUGACCCAUUAGGUUCCUUAAAGAGAACCGGAUUUGACACAAAAAGAAAAUAAAAAAAAAUUAUAAGGGAUGAAAUUGAAAAACAAUUUCAAUUAAGAAAAUGAUAAGAACAAUUAAAAAUAACAAUAAAAAAAUAAGGAUCAUAUCUAAUAUAAAAAUCAAAUGUCAAAUGAUGAAAUUAAAAGGAAUGACCAAAUCUAAUUCAAUAAAGGAUUCAAGACCAAAAACAUCACAAUUAAAAGAAUGAGGACAAAAUCUAAUAUAAAAAUCAAGUAUAAAGGAUGACAUUAAAGAGAAAAUUAACUCAAUAAAUGAUUAAUUAAAGACCAAAUACAUUGUAAUUAAAAGAAUGAGGAUCAAAUCUAAUAUAAAAAUCAAGUGUCAAAUGAUGAAAUUGAAAAAAAAAAUUAACUCAAUAAAUGAUUCGAGAUCAAAUAUAUUGUAAUCAAAAGAAUGAAGACCUAAUUUAACAUAACAAACAAAUUGCCCAACUUUUUUUUUUUUUUUUGCAAUAGUCAACAUGUUUUUCUAGGAGGGAAGAGAGGAAAGAAAGAGGGAUGGAAAAACUUGUGGUCGGAGCUCUGCUGCAAGCCAGAUGCGAACACGCUCCUCACCACCGCGAUGGGCCCUGAAAGGUUGUGUUCAGUGUUGUUUCGACGCUGCACACGUCACCUGAAUGGCAUAGAUAACACCUACUUGCUAACAAGUGCCUAGCAGGCACCAACCAUGAAUUAAAAUAAUAAUUUAUAUAUAUUAAAAGACCCAAUUACCCCUGAACCCAUAUGAAAAUUAUAAAAAUAAUAUUUUUGAGGAAGAUUAUUUUUUAAGGGCAUUUAAGUGAUUGAGUUGUACAAAAAAAGAUGAAAAACCUGAAAAGCCCCUGAAACCAAGGGAAAAAAAAUUUCUAAGGGUCAUUUAGUAAUUACACUAUGGGAAAAAAUGUCAAAAUACUGAUGAACUCUCUUCUUUAAUGUAAUUACUAAUAGGUCCCAUUAAAAAGACCUUCUUACCCCUAAACCUAAGAUUACCCACUAAGGGUAAAAUCAAACAUUCAUUGUGCAAAUCUAUCUCUUUUAGUAUAGAAUAUAAUAGCAUGGAGUAUGUUUGUUUUAUUAAAUCAUAUUAGUUCUAAACAUCAUAGUCAUUGAUUAUUUAAAUAAGAUUUAGAAAAUCUUCUCAAAACUCAUUCCAUCUUGGCUAAAGAUUUCAUAAUCAAUGUUAUUUGAGAACAAAUUAAAAAAUAAUAAUUCUAAUUCACUUAAGAUGAUGAAUCAUCUCUUGAUUACUUAAUCAAAGUAACAAAAAUGGUAAAUAUUUGGUAUAACAUAAACUAUAUGAAGGUACUUACGUGAUCAAGAGAUGAUUCAUUACCCUAAGUGAAUUAGGAAAAAUGUUUUAUUUUUUCUCAAAUAGUAUUGAUUAAGAAAUCCUCGACUAAUAUGGAAUGAGGUUUAAAAAGAGUUUUGAAUCUUAUUCAAACGAUCAAUGACUAUUAUAUAAAGAACAUAAAAGAUUUAGCAUAACAGACAUACUCCAUGCUUUAAUAUGAAAUCGAAACAAUAUUGAUGAAAAUAUAUUAAUUACACUGAGAAACCGGCCACUAAAAGAUUAAGUCAAACCACUAAUGACUUUUCUAAUAUUUGGGGGAUCAUGACACAUUGUUAAACGAUGCACCUGAACUUCAAAUAUAAAUUAAUCUAUUGUUGAAUUGAGAAUGAAUUAAAUUAUUUAAUUUAUUUAAUUCUAUUUAAUUAUAAUUAUAAGUUAUAUUUGAGUCAUUACAUUAGAAACCUAAUGGGUCACAUACAUUAAGAACCAUUAAUUAGAAAUUAAACGGGGAUGAUUUAAUUAAGUAUGACUUGAUUAAAAAUAUAUUUUAGAAAUUAAGGACUAUAAUAUAAUUAAUACAAGGAUUAUAUUUCUAGACCUACAAAAUCAAGUAAGGACUUGAUUGAGUUAAUUUUUAAAAUUUUCCUGAAUAAAUAUAUGGAUAUUAUUCAAUGGGAAAAUUGAUAUUUUAUCAAUUUAUGGGGUUUUUCAGAUUUUCAUAUAAAUAGUAAGCUACGCACUCUGAAAAAACUACAUAAGUCACAGAAUAAAGAACUAGCACUCUAAGUAUAGCAAUAUUUCUCUUCUGAAUAGGGAUUUAGGAAAUUUUUCACUAAUGGUUCUUGUGAAUUACCGUUGGUAGCUGGAUAAUUGGACGGCUUGUGAUUUGCGACAACUCAGUCUUUAAAGAAUUAUUCAAAACCGAAUAAUAUCAGAUCUUUAGGUAAUAAAUCACUAAUCAACUUUAUAUUUGUCUAACGAGAUCCUAGGGACUCUCGAAUAAUUUUGUUUUAUUGUUUUUUAUGCAUGUAUGACAUUCAGGAACCUAUCAAAUAGGUGAUCUUGCUAUAUGUAAUUAUCUUGCAGGUUAGUUCGAUGUACAUAUCAUUUAAUAAGCACCACAUAUUAGUUCCAGUUAUUUCUCAUACCUCAAUUUAUGUUAACACUUGUUUCCUUUCAUAAAUGAAUGAACAUAAUAUGUAUCAAUCUCAACACUUCUAAUUAAUAUCAAUUCCUAAUAGAAUAUUGACCAAUAACAUUUAAGAAUGAUGUUUGAUGCAAUAAGAAUCUCAUAACUAUAACAAUUUUAUAAUUUAUUUUGCAAAAGAUUUUUAUCUCAUAAACUUUAUCUUUACUAGAUUUUUUAAUUAAAUAUUAGAUUCAUUAAUCAAAUAUAAAUAAAUAUUAAAAAUAAAAUAAAUAUUUAUCAACAAUAAAUAUGUUUUACAUAAUUGCGACAUUGUAUAUUCACUUAAAGAUGCAACACAAGUAGGCAUGUAGCCUGUGCACUUACAUAGUUCUUCAUUAGGAAACAGGUCCUCAAUCCACUGUAUUUGAAUGCAGGUAAUAUCCCAAAGAUCAUCUCACCUUUUUUUGCAAUAAAAUUUCUUUUUCUUUCAUUUUCGUGAUCAUCUUCCUCGAUAAGUCUGGUACCGCCUGUUGCAAUUUUGUCUCUCCAAAUACUCCCAAAUCAGCCUUCAUGCAUGUAUCCAUUCUUCUCAUAGCUCCCAGCCACAAAGUGCUGAACCCAGGGCUGGCUGCUAUCUGCUUAUGUAAACAUCUGUAAGGAGCUCCAUUGCAAGUCUUAAGAGUCCCUUCCAUACUUCUCAUCGCCCUCUCUGCAUUCUCACGCCUUGAAUAUUCCCCCAUCUUUUCAUGCAAGUCAUCUACCAUUGCAAAUAUCACCAAGUUAAAACAAUUGAUACAGUUGAUUGGUGAGAAAUCAAGCUCCUCAGACAAAGUAAAACUUUUCUGAAGGGAGAAAAUUGUGUGGUUUCUCAUCUCUUGUUUUCCUAAAUGCUUCACCAAGUUUGACAAAUAGAUUCAUGGUAUAGUUACCAGAAACCUUUAUGUUGUCCUGUAAAGACGAAUUGCUCUCAUUGCUUACCAUGCGCUAUGAUUAGUUCCUGGAUCAGAGUAAUCUAUGUACCCAUGGAUAAGUAAAAUCACAGAAUCUGUUUGAAGGUCUAGAAUCUUCAGGUUCUUCUCCAGCGGACUGUUCUAGAGUGCAACAAAUUCAAAUUCACAAUCAAUACAGUAGUCAGUAGACAUAAUUUAUACGUUAAACAUGUUUAGGGUCAGACAUCAUGGUGAUCAAUGUCUCAACACCUUGCUCGUAAGCUUCGGAGUGUCGGCCAGAAACAGAUAACAAAUGAAGUGCUGAUGAUAUCCAGCCAAGAUGGGUUUGUAAAUUUUGUCGGUAUCCAACAAGAAACUUGCUUAUUGUAUUUGUUAUGGACUCACAACAUGUGUCAAGAAUUUCUCUAUCGGGCUUCCACAUCAAAUUUAUGCCUCUGAGAAUUUAUCAGCUCUGGAUGAAGAAAGGAGCUUCAGACAUACCUCGAAAAGUCCUAAGAUUGCCUUUUCAGCAAAUGGGAUAGGAGAAAAAGAGGAGCAACUACUAGCAAAUAAUCGUGGAAGGAAGGCCAAAAUGUCAGGAAUUUGUGAAUGUUUGCCGAAUAAAUGGCAAUUACCAAUUCCCCAACAGAACCUCGCUGUCACUACCCCUUCUACCGGGGUGUUGAAGAUCUCUACAGCGUAUUAAUGAUUAAUAAUUAACAAAAAAUAAUAAUUAAUUAAAAGAUCUGGAGCUUUUAUAUCGUUCACAACACUCCUGCCUACUCACAAAUCAUUAUUCAUUGCGUUGUUUAUUGGGAGUGCUUUUUUACACUUUGAUAUUUUGUAAUUCUCAAAUUUUAGGUUUCGGUCAUGCAUGCAACUUCAUUUGUAUCAAAUUUCAAUCCUUGAUAGUUGAGGGGAAAAAAAAGAUGUUAAAGAGGGAAUGAGAGAAGAAAAUUCAAUCGGCCAUAAAAUAAAAACGUCAAUCAUAAUGUCAUUGAAUUCACCUUGAAAAAAUGUGUUCAAUAAAGAUAGUUUAAUACUUAAAUCAUACUAGGAAAAAAAAUAUAUUAGAAUCCAAAGAAUGUGUUUUGAUUUGAUUUAAUUUUGAACUUUUAGACUAAUUAGAGUAUGUUUUUAGAUUGAAAAUGGAUUUAUGAAGUUUUAUUAGAUGUGUUUUUGAUAUCUUUUAGACUAAUUAGAGUAUGUUUUUAGAUUGAAAAUGGAUUACUUCCCGGUUUGAAUGUAAAUACAAAUUGAUAUCUUUUAAGAAUUGGUUGGAAAGUGCUCUCACUUGCUAAUAGGUUUUUGGUUCACAUGAUCUAUGUCCAAUGCUUGGGCUCUCUUGGCUCUUUCUCAAUUUUAUUUUUUAUUUAAUGAUUAUAUUUUUUAUAUUCUAAAAUAUUUUUUUUUCAAAUAAAAUAAUUAAAAUGAUAUUUUAAAAAUCAAAUGAUUAUAUAAUACUUUUCAUAUAAAAUUAUGGCUUUUACAAUAAUGUUAGCAAUUCUUUAUGAAUAAUUAUAUAGAAACUUAAUAAGGGUAUUUUUUUAACAAGGAAAAUAUCAUGAAUAUUCAAUGAAAAUAAAAUAUUUAUUUUUUAAUUGUGAAUUUUUUUAUGGAAGUUGCUUAAAUUAAUUUAUUCCUUUGUUUUUUCAAACAAUCACAUAAAAAUUAUUCAGAUGUAAUUGUUUUAAUUGUCAAAACUUGCUUUUCAAAUCAUUGUAAGCUUUUAUUAAAAAAAAAAAUGUUAUGAAUGAAAAAGAUAUGUUUUUGUGAAGAAAAAGAAAAGGAAAUGCACAAACAAGGAAAAUGAGUUUUAGCCAAAGGACAAUUUUGACAAAAAUUCAUAAGAAAUAUAUCUUGAGUCAGUAUCUAUCAAGUUUAAAUUAUUUCAUCAUCCCACCCAAAAAAUUAACUCGGGCAUUUAGACUAGUAUCUCCUAGUUCUUUCGAGCUUUGUUUAGAGAAGAUGCCUAUAGUAACCGAAUCGAUUGGGCCAGCACUCAUGCUAUAAUCGUAGAUUAGCUCUAAUCAUGUUGAAAGACUAAUUGUUGAAAGGAUUUUAAAUAGAUGUCCGAACAUUCGCCACGAUAACAGGAAUUAUCCCAACCUUUCAUCAAGGAAGCCUGCAUGCGUGCAACAUCAAUCAAUGUGUUGAAGAGAACUGAGACCCUAUUCAAGCAUCAAGGUAACGGUUAAUAGCUUGAUAAGCUCACCAGACUUCCGAUAGACCGACUUUUGAAGGUCAAAUUCAAGACAAAAUCAAUGGGGAGAAAAUAUACCAGUUCGUGCUUUGUAUAACAGGAGGGAAACUGGAAACAAGAGCAACCGAUGAACACCAAAUACAAGGUAUACUGCUCUUCCCUGUCAUUUCAGAACAUGAUAACUAUUAUGGGGAAAAAAAUCAUCCUCAGAUUAGGAUUCCUACAAUACAUUAUGCAGAUUCUAUCUACUCUUUGAGCUACAAGAUUCAUACGAGCUCUUCAACUCAUGCCACAAGCAAAACAAUGUGUCAUAAACAUCAUCAUCAUCAAAAUUACAAUCUCUGAUUCGUGAGACAUUUACCAGGGUCUUCAACCACUCUUCAUGGAGAGUUGAGAACUCAGACCUCCACUCACUUGACUUGAAACUUUCUCCAGUUGAAUUUUUCAUCAGUUGACCAGCAUGUGAAGCAGCUUCAACAACAUGCUCUGGAAUGCCAGCCAUAGUUGCCACUUGCAAUCCGUAGCUCCCUGGGCAUGCUCCAGAUGCAAGCCGGUACAAGAAGACAAGGUCCCGGUCGCUUUUAGAAUAGCUUUCAGGUUUUGACUUGAAUGCACAAGCCAUGUAUUGUAAUGAAACAUGUGGAUGAGAAGCAAAUUCUUUUGUGAGCGGGUGAUAGUGUGUUGCAAAAAGCAAUCGACAGUUUAUCUUCUCAACAAGAUGGCGGAAUACCUGCAUGAAUGAUCAGAAGCAGUAUAAUUUGCUAACGAAACCACUUCAAUUAUAAUAGGCGAAUAAAGUUUUGAAACACAACAGAUAUAUGAAGCUUGAUAUUAUUACAGGUAAUAGUGUCGUAAAAUAGAAGAUUUUAUAUUAGGCUGUUAACAUUACACUUCCAUAAAAAAGUUGAAACUAUUUCAAAUAUACCACACAACACUACAAUCACAACAUACUUUAAUUAUCACAGCGUGCAACUAGUCACAUAACUACAAGUAUUUGGAUUAUUAACAAAACACUAAAAGAUGUGUUGCUUUUAAUUUUCACCACUUUACAAAGUAUUAUUCAUUUUAAUAUUGCUUUGUUUUUGUUCAUCAUGUCUGAAACAAAACCCGUUGCUACCCAAGCCUCCAAUAACAAGCCACACUUAGUCCAAAUCACCACCAUCUGUCUUAAUGGUGAUAACUUGCAUUGGUCUCAAUUUGUGCGCAUGUAUAUUUAGAGGCAAGAGGGAAUAGGUUAUUUGACCAGUAAAAACAACCAACAAGGAAGGAUCCAACAUAUGCUACCUAGGAUGCUAAAAACUCCAUGUUAUGACGUGGCUUGUGAACUCCAUGGAUGAAGAUAUCAACUCCAACUAUGUGUUAUUCAACAACAGAGAAACUUUGGGAUAAUGUUUACCAGAUGUAUUCUGAUCUGGGUAAUCAAUCCCAGGUAUAUGACUUGACUUUGAAACUUGGUGAUAUCCGGCAAGGAGAAAACAAUGUCACCAAAUACUUCAACACACUAAGACAAUUGUGGAAAGACCUUAACUUUUUCAAUGAUUAUAAAUGGAAAUCUACAUAUGACUACAACCACUGCAAGAAAACGAAGGACUUUCAAAUUUACGAAUUCCUCGCUGGACUCGAUGUUGAGUUUGAUGAAGUUAAAAGGGAGAAUAAUAGGUAACAAACUCAUAACUCCAAUUAGCAAGGUAUUUUCAAAAGCUAAAAAAAUAGGAGAGUCAUGAGGAGUCAUGCUUGGAAAACAAGCAACUGGAAGUCCUAUUGAGAACUCUACAUUGGCUAUGCUAAUGCAAAUGUGAGUAGGAUUAUUGCAAAUCACUGUUAGGUGGAUUAAAAAUCUCACAUGUGUGACUAUUGUUACAAGCCACAUCAUACACAACAAAACUUGUUGGAAGCUCCAUGGAAAGCCAUCUAUUUGGAAAAGUAGCAGACCUGGUGAUGAACCCAACGUGUGGUUCCUCCAUAAAUAAAGUUGAGAAAAGCCUUUUUAGUAGAGUAGAUAUACCAAAUUCUACAAUUGUUACAUUCCAAUCAUCAUCUAGUAUUCCUAGUGUUUCCUUGGCUAAAAUAAAUAGCCAUCUUGUGCCUUAUAUCUUGUUGUUCAGAUUCUGCUUCUUGGAUUAUUGAUUCAGCCGAUCAUAUGACUAGUCAUUCUCAUCCAUUUACAAACUAUUCAUCAUAUCCUGAUAAUGAGAAAAUCAAAAUUACAGAUGAUAAUUUCUCAUCUAUUACAAGAAAAAGGUUAAUAAUAAUUUUUUAGAGCAUAAUUCUUAAAUUUGUCCUCCAUGUUCCUAAACUAACCAAGGAUUGUAAUUUUCAUGUUAUUUUUUAUUAUUCUAUCUGUAUAUUUCAAGACCAGAACUCAAGGAAUGUGAUUGGUAGUGCUAGGAUGAUAGACGGUUUUUACUACCUUGAUAACAACUUCAAUAAUAAUAAAAAAAAAAAUCUCAAGGCUUUAAUAGUAUAAAUUCAAUGUUUGUUUGUGAACAAAUAAUGCUUUGACAUUAUUUAUUGCUGAAAGAGAACUAGGACAUCGUAGUUUUCUCUAAUCUUAAACAUUUAGUUCCUGAGUUGUUUAAACAUUUGGAUUGUUUAUCUUUUCAAUGUGAAAGUUGUCAUUUAUCAAAAAAUCACCGUGUUCCGUAUAUUUCAAAACCCUACAUGCUUCAUAAUCUUUUUAUUUAAUUCAUAGUGAUGUGUGAGAUCCUUCAAAAUUCACUAUUGUAUCUAGAAAAAAAAUGAUUUGUUACAUUCAUAGAUUAUCACACAAGAUUAUAUUAGGUUUAUUUGAUGAGUGAAAAAUUUGAGGUAGUAACAUUGUUUAAAGAUAUAAAUCAAAUGAUAGAAAACCAAUAUCAGACAAGAAUUAUCAUACUUUAUUUAUUUGGGAAAUUUUUUGAAAGCAAAAAGGAUUCAACAUCGGUCUACAUGUCGUGACACUCUUAAGCAAAAUGAAAUUGUUGAGAGAAAAAACAAACAUUUACUUGAAGUAGCUCGUGAAUAUUCCAAAAUACUUAUGUGAUAAAGCUGGUUUGACGACAUCUUAUUUGAUUAAUAAAAGUUUUUAGUUGCAAUCUUUGUCACAUACUAAGUAAAUUCCAAUCUAAACUUGAUCCUAAAGCUGAAAAAUAUGUUUUCAUCUAAUAUGCCUCAAACAAAAAUGACUGCAAAUCUUAUAAUCCUUAAACUAUGAAAAUUCAUGUACGUAUGGAUGUUUCUUUUAUAGAAAAUCAACCUUAUUUUACCAAAAAUCAUCUUCAGGGGAGAAAAAAAGAAAAGAUGAUGGUUUUUUAAACAUAUAUGUUCAAUUACCUAUUACAAUUAUGAACAAUACGAUUUUCUCAGCAUCACAAUCCCAGGAAAAGGAUGUUCAUGAUAUUGAAAUAAAUGGAAAAACUAGUCAAUCAUUGUUAUGUGCAAGUGUAUUGCAAACAGGGGAAGUAUUACAAAAGGAUCAAACUUAUCCAUAUACCGAGCUUCAAGUUUAUACUAUAAGAACUCAUACGAAAGGUAAAGACUUUGCAUAUCAUCCCUACACAAGAUCAACCAAAAUUCUCUGAGAGAUGGUCCUGAGAAUAUUCCAUGUAUUCUUACUUCUAUUGUUCCUUUUAAUAAUGAGCUUAUAGACCUAGACAUUCCUAUAGCUACUAGAAAAGGUGUUUGAUCCUGUACCAGUUAUCCUAUUACUAAAUAUUUCUCUUACCAAAAACUUUCUAAUAAUCAUAAAGUUUUACCUUUAUGAUAUCUCAAUUGUUUAUUCUAAAAACUUCUUAGAGGUAGUUGACUUGCCAAUGAAUGCUCUAGACAAUCCAAAUUGAAAGUUAGUGGUUAUGGAAGAAAUGAAUGCUCUAAACAAAAAUAGCACUUUGAGUAGUUGACUUGCCAAGGCAAAUGAAGAAAGUAGGGUGCAAUUUAGUGUUUACAAUUAAAUGCAAAGCUGAUGGGAGCAUAGAAAGGCACAAGGUAAGGCUAGUGGCAAAACACUUCACACAAACAUACAUUGACUAUCAUGAUACAUUUGUUCAACCUAGCCAAAAUAAACUCAAUUCAGGUGUUAUCUUCACCGAUGAACUUUAGCUGUCCCUUACAUCAAUUGAAUGUUAAAAAUAUUUUUCUAAAUAAAGACUUGGAAGAGAAAGUCUUUAUAGACAUACCACUUGGGUAUGAAGAGAGAAUUGACUAACAUAAAGCCUACAGACUAAAAAAAUCUUUAUAUGGCCUUAAACAAACUCCUACUGAUGGUUUGAACACUUUGGAAAGGUUGUAAGACGUCAUAGUUAAUGUCUAAGUCAAGCAGAUCAUACCAUGUUCUAUAAACAUUCAAAGAAGGUAAAAUUGCUAUCUUGAUUAUUUAUGUAGAUGACAUAAUCUUGAUAAGUGAUAACAAUUUCGAGAUGGAAAGACUUAAGAAGAAACUUGUUGAAGAUUUUAAGAUCAAAGAUUUGAAGCUCCAACCUGCUAAAACUAAGGUGGUGAAUCGAGAGCAAUUGCACAUAGGAUUUGUGAAGUUGUGUGGAUUAAAAGGCUUUUACAAGACUAGAAGAUUCUUAACUCCUCACCCACAAAGGUAUAUUAUGACAAUAAGACAACUAUCUCAAUUGCUCAUAAUCCAGUUCUUCAUGAUAAAAUAAAGCACGUGAAAGUUGAUGAACACUUUAUCAAAGAAAAGAUUAAUAAUGGAAUGAUUUGUAUACUAUAUGUUCCAACCACCGAGCAAGUUGCUAAUAUACUUACAAAGGAACUUCACAAAAAUUUAACUAAUUAAUCAGCAAGCUAAUAAUGGAAAAUAUCUUCAGGCUAGCUUCAGGAGGAAUGUUGUAAAAUAGAAAAUUCUAUAUUUGGUUGUUUAUAAAUUAAAAAAUAAAUUUGGUAUUAAUCAACUCCUUAAAUUAAAGAUCACUUCUAAUUAGGAUAUAUGAUUUGAUUUGGUUCUAAUGUCUUGUAUUCUCUUUUAAAUAGAAACCUUGUGAAUUAAAUCAAUAAACUGAUGUCUUCAAAUAGAUCUCUCAGUUCAUAGAAUAGAGGAAGACUUUUUCGGUCACCCAAAAAGUGAGGUAGGUGUCCAAGUGGGUGGAUGCAGAAGACAGCAUUUCCUAGCCACAACAUUUCUAACGUUACAAAUUAUUUGUAUCAGCACAUGUCGAUGUGUAUAGAAACUAGAGUUGUACAUGCAACACAAGUUUGUCUAAGGCCAAAACACACAAAUCUAUGACCAUAAUGACCAAAAAAUGCUCCAAUAUGCAAGAAAUAUAUUUGCAUUAUUAUGUACCAGUUACCUACCCAUCUCAAGUGGAUAACCUAGAAAAGUAUAACUUGACUAGAACCAAGGAUGCGAACAUCCAUAGAGAUGAGAAAUAAUAAUUUAUAUCCUUAAGGAGUUUGAUAUAGAAUACGUGUUCUUAGUAAUGGAAUAAAAAGGGCAGGUAAAUCAAGGAAUAAUAGAUCAAUAAAAAGAAAUCUCACAGCAUAUGCAAUGGCGUAUCCAUCAUAAGUGCUUGUUCCUCGACCCAGUUCAUCAAGAAGGACAAGGGAAUCUUGAGUGGCAUUUUGAAGCACCGAAGCUGUUUCUGUGCACUCAAUGAAGAAUGUACCUAGAAAAAUGACAAGCUCGUUUCUAUUAUCAAACUCCGGAAUUAAGAAGCACAUAAGCAAACACUCAUUAAUGCAUGUGAUUGGGUCACAUCUAUUUGCAUAAUCCUCACUUUCAACAUUUAAAGGACUCUGGGGUCCAGAAGUGAGAGUGAGACAUCCGGGAUUAUAGGCCAAGUUAGUAUGUGGGUGCCUUACAUUCCACAACGGUUUCCUUUCUUCUACUUUAAGCAUUUUUGAAAUCAUAUGAUAUAUCCUAUUUUAAAUUGCCUUGAAGAGAUUUUGAAGAUUUAGAUGGACAAGAUCCAUUAGAACACAACCAUUUACAUCAAAUCUAUAGUAGAAUUACAACCAGAGUAAAACAACCACUGCACAAAACUCUAUCAACCUUAGAUUCACCACUGCUGUAUUUAUAGGCAUUAUGAAUCCUUUCUAAUAACUUAAAUCGAGGAGAAAUUUAGAGCAAGCCAACUAUGACAUAGAUUUAAACAAUUUUAAUUUUUUAAAAAAAAAACACUAAACAAAUCCAUAACACUGUAUUUUACCAUCAAGAAGCCAUUUAUGACCUUCAGAUGAAAAGCAGGAUUUCAAAUAAAACAGUCAACACUUACCAGAAUUUAUUCUUGCAACAUGAUAAUCAUGAUUUGGACCACAAAAGUGCAUAAACUAAAAAAUAUAAAUUUACAUCAAGAAAGUGAAUUUAGAUCACAUAAAGAGAAGCAAACUUCCAAGUGAAACCAGUAAACUGUUAUCUUGCUACAACUUACUCUCGCCUGUCAUUAUUCGAUCAGUGGCACCAAGCCGUGUAAAAAUUAUGUCAGCAAGUGAGAGAACACACUUCUCACCGGGAACAAAACAACCAAGCUGCAAAAUUGCCAUAGAAUUAAAAACUAUAUGGUUAAAAUAUGCCAAAGAAAUGAAUUUUCUAGGGAUGUAGGAAGCACAGAAGUAAUUUUUUCAAGCUAGGUCUAAAGUCAAACCUGUGCUAGUAUAACAGCUAGACAUGUGGCACGCAGAAGUGUUGAUUUUCCACCCAUAUUUGGUCCAGUCAGCAACACAGUGCGGGGAUGUUGGCUAUCUGAAUCCUCACCAAGGAACACAUCAUUUGGGACAGGCAAUCCAUUCUCUCCGAGAGCAAAUGGGUGCCAUAACCCUUUAAUCUUAAGUACAGGCCCCCCUUCCCCCUCACAGAAAGAAAUGGAUUUUGAAUCAGGCAAAAUAACAGGUCUACACAUAGCUCCACAUGACAUGCUUGCUGUGACUGUGAAAGAUCUAAGCACAUCAAUACAAUUGAUUGCAUGAAUGACUUCACCCCACUGUGCAGCUUUCUCAAUAAAUAACUCAAUCAGCACAGAAAGCAUUCCAGCCUCUGAAUCUGUCACAUCACGAUUCUGAUACCAAAUACAGUAUUAGUAAUGUGCAAAAGUAGGCAUAAAAACAGAAUGCAAUAUCAUCACCCACAUAAAGAAAAUAAACACUUACAAGAAAGUACAGAUGUUCCAAAAAGGAAUGGCCAUAUUGUUAAACAGUCAAUAUAAGCCAAUGUGUGGUGUGUGUGGUGUGAGAGAGAGACAAAGAGAGAGACAUUUUCUAACAGAGAAAUACAGAAUUCCACAGAGAUGCAUGCUCAGUUAUCAAGGAUGCCAAAAGUCCUUUAUUACUGCAGAACGUAAUAAUCUGAGGGGGGAAGAAAUCAAGACCGAAUGUUGAACUGUGAAAAAGAAAGCAGCAGCAGCUACACACCACAUUGCAUGUACACAUGCAUAACUAUAAUUUUAAUAGUAGCCUCGAAUAAAUAAAUUAGUAUAUAAUAAUUAAUAUAAUUUCAUACAAAAGAAUACAUCUGCAUCAUCUCAAUUAGAAACACAAGGAUCCAAAUGGGGAGAAAGGGAAAAACAUUGGUUGAUAUAUCCAAAACACAAACCAGAAAGAAGCAGACCUGGUAGUUUGGGAAUUCACUAUCUACAGCUGCUUCAAAUUGCACAAGGAAUUUUUCAAGCCCAUUACUACCAAGAAGCUCUGGAAGUUUAAAAUUUUUUGAUAAUGAUGAAAUUAGUUGCUCUUCCUUCAGUAAUAGCAAUAACAAAUCCAUUCCAUUCCGAAGCCCUUUCACCAGAGACCCGAACACUUUCACCUACACAACACUUACUGCCACUUCAGUAGAAGGUUCAGGACUAACUAGAGACUUGCUGAAUUGUGACACCCUAUGAAAAUCAUCGUACAUGUGCACUCAAAGAGAUUUUUACAAGUAAAGAUUUGAAAUCAAAUAAGACAACUUACUCGUUGUUUCAACAUUUUUUUGCUAAUCAAGGGCAGUGCAAGAGAACCUGAUGCCUGAAAGCUAACCUUAACUCGCCCAAGCAUUCUUUCUAAAUCUGGAAGCUUGCGAAGAUAUUGAGCAAUAACUAACAUAAUUUCUGAACGAGCCAUUAGAUUUUCAAUUACAUCAAGCCUAUUAUUAAUGCCUUCAACAUGUUUCAGUGGAUGGCAGAUCCAAUUCCUCAAAAGCCGCUUACCAGAUGAUGUCACGCAGUUAUCAAGAUAGUUAAACAAAGUACCUGAAAUCACGAAGAGAAAAGGCUUUCAAUACUUAAUUUAAAACUCUUAAAAAUCAAAACCAUAGAUUUGAGGAUGAUGAUAAUUUCAUGGGAGAUCAAGGAAUGAACACACUGGCCUGAUGAACCACCAUCAGCACUGUUACUAAAAACCUCCAGAUUUACUAGAGUCUGCCCAUCCAUUCUAAGGCAACCCUUAUAAACUUGGUAGGGUAGAAUAUCUGCAUUCCUUAAAACAUCAUCAAACUGCACAAAAGAAAAGGCACAGAAAUCUUUAUAAGCAACAAAUAAUCAGGGAUCUUAACAGUUAAAAGGCCAACCAGAGAAGGGAACGGAGGAGGUUGACAGGCAAGCAUACCAUCAAUCUGGAUAGAUGACCAAUAAGCCCGCCAAGAGCACAUAGAGAUAUAUCCUGGUGCAUUAUACUGUCAAGUGCAUGGUUCCAUGGAUUUGUAGACCAUUUAAAGUAAUCCUUCGAUUGAAUCAAAUUUUUAACUUCAGAAGCAUCCACAAAAUCAGUGCCUGGCAGCACUGGUGACAAUUGCAGUGCUGUAGAACCUGCAAGGAAUGGGUGAGGGAAAUGAAAAGGUGAGGUUGUGCUCCUCAUGAUAGCUUGGAUCAUAACUUACAUAUCCUUUUAAUGACAGAUUCUUCAGCAAUAAACCAAAUGUAGAAAGACUUAUUUAAGAGAUCAAUAAUGAAGGUGGCAAAUUAUUAAACAGGAUCACUUUAGAAAGGAGACAUGUAAAUUUAAAAUAAGUCAUGAGAUGUAUAAUUGGAGUAUGGUUAGACUACGUUCACCAACCAGGAGUAUGUUAGCUGGCUACCACAGUUGGACCUCACAUUGAUCAACUAACUUGUGCAUCAAAGCAAACAAAGGAGACUGUCAAACAUUUAUUCAUAACCUUGCUGGAGAAGUUGCAGCAAAGGAAUUCACAUUGAUUUGAGCAAAACACCCAAGAUAAUAAUAUGCAUGCAGGAACAGCAUCCCAUCGAAAUACAUAAAUGCAACUUGUUAUCUAGUAAGACUGCCUAAAGGCCUUCAUGCAUAGAGAAAGUGCACAGAGUAUAAAAUAGCUAAACCUGAAAUUACUAAAAAAUAGGACAUGAGUUACUAUCUUUACACAAGGCUACAAAGACUAAACAAAUCACAUACUAAUCAUCGAGCAUAUUUUAUACAUCCAACAAAUAUCCAGCAAGUUUCAAGUUGGUCCAGACAACUGUCUUUCAUUUUCUAGAAGAUUUUUACAAACAAAUUAUAGUGAAAAGACAAUAAUGACACAGGAAAUAAGGAAAGAUAAGAAGGAAGAUCAAGCUAAUCUAGGAAAAAAAUGUGCAAAAUAACAAAAUACAUUCUGGCAAAUGGAAAGUUCAGAAGGCAUGUACUCAUCCAAGGCAGGUGUACAAAGUCUUCCCUUCUUAUCAAGAAAUACCAGUUAAUAUAUUUGCAAGUGCAAUCCUUAAUCUUAAAUGUAUAUGAUAUAUCUUGUCAUAUGAAAAAGGUCGGUAUAAACUUACCUAUUAAUGAGUACUUCCUAAGUUCUUUCUGAGCGCCUCUGGAAAGCUCUGCAACAUAGAAAUCCUCAAGCUUUAAGCUAGGCAAAAAAAAAAAAAAAAACAAUCCAAGAGCAAGAGAACAAAAACAAGAAAAGGCAUGUACCUCUAUUUUCAUAUAUGACUUCCUUAGGUGAAAUCUAUAAUCAAAUCACAGUAAGAUAUUCAAAGGUUAAGUACUUGAGAGCACACAGAAUCAUUAAACAAACAAGAAAGAUAAAGGAGCAUACUUGCAUCAAUAAUGCCCCCAAAGCAGCAUGUGACGCAUCAUCAUUGAUUGAUCCAACCCAAACUCGUAGAGCAGCACAAUCAACAAAAGCAAACCCAUAAGCAGUUGCACCAUUAUCCACCCCAUAGUUUCCCUAAAGUUAUCACCCAAAGGAAUAACCAGAUAGGAUAGCACAAUAAACUUUCAAGAAAUGCAUAAAUAACAAGGACCAUUUAAAUGAAUAGAAUAACAAAUGAAACCAAAUUUCUAAUUCUCCACGCUGGGCAAGUUUAUAAGAACAAGAAAUGGUAGAAAAUAAUAAAGUCAACUGCAUAUCUAACAUACUACGUGGACACAAAGUAAUCAAAACAUUUUAAACAGACUGUUCAUUUUAAGUAGUGAUAAAGAAGAAAAAUUGCAUCAUAACAAUUCAGCAAUUCGCUCUUCUAACUCAUGAUUUAUCAAUAAUAGCCUGAUAUCAGGAAAAUGUGAGUUUUUAACAAAAAAAUUGUCCUCCAGUUAAAUGAUGCGAUCACAGAAUAAGCUCGCACAAGAUUAUUUUAGCAAUAUUUUGAAAUUGAAGAUGGGCAAAUUGCAACAAUUUGAGAGAGUUCAACACGAAAAAUGUUGCUGCAGCAGAAAACUGUAAGAAGGUAAUCAUUACAAACCUCUUUUAUGGCAAGAAGGUGAACAGCAUCAGGCCCCAUAUUAUGUCCAGUUGUGGUUGAUGGGGUGACAACUUGUACCAAUUUUCUUUGGAUUACCUGAAAUUCAACAUCAAUGAUAAAACAAGGAACUCAGAUAGUUACCCACAUCAUGGCAUUGAUUUACUAUUUCAGUUUCAUUGAAUUAAUGAAAACCACAAAUGAUGCAUGGUGUUGAGAACAUAAUCUAUAAGAGAUGUCAUAUCUGUCUGAAUGGUUGAAUCAACAAGAAUAAUUGAAAAACAAAAAUCUAUCAGAAACAUGUCUCCUUUAAAGCUGCACGGAAAACUCACAGAAUUUGCACCCCUAGAUUUUGCUUGAUCAGAUGUUUCCAAUUGCUCCACUCUUCCAACUUUAUAUCUUGACAAAGAGCACAAAAGCAAUAAGUGAACUGCAAAUGUUCCGGACAAAAAAUGUGGAAAGAGAACAUGGGAUUGGCUAAAUCUCAGCUAACUACUACGAUUUGAGUGAAAAGAUCUUGUUUCAUAUCUUCAGCCAAUAUAUGAUUAGCAUAAACGAUGCAUAAUGCAAGUUGAAAAAUGCUUUUCUUUUCAUUGUGCUUCUUAGAUACAGGAAGAAAUGAAGGAAAUAAAAAAAUUUCCAUGACAGAUGGCCAGUCUGGUCUACAUGCUGGCUUCUUACAAUUUUUGCAUAACAUUUUGCUGUAUUUAAGAAUAAUAUUAACUACAUAAAUAGAGAUAUAAAACUAGUAACAAUGAAAUCUUUCAUUCAUCUUGAAGGCAUGACAUAACAAUGAGAAAAAAGGAAAUUAUGGUUCAGAGACAAGGUCUGCUGCUCCCCUACCCACGAGCUACCAGCUUUUCAACAGCAUCGUCAAUCCCACUUUCAGAUAUACCAACCUGAUCACAAGGCAGAUGCUAUUAAAUAAAACACAUAUGCAUAGAACUGUAAUUGUAGCAAUUAAAAUUGGCUUUUAAAUUAGACAAAUUUAUCUUUGAAGUCACCUGCCGACAUUUCCCCACACCGCUUAAUGUCAUUUUCCAAUCAAGCUCUUUGUGACCAAUUUCAGCAUCCAGUUCAUAGAGCUCAUAGAAUUUUCCCUGUGUUUCAUCAGUCACAAAAACAUAUUGGUCUGAUUUAAGAACCCAAAACUUCAGAAGACACUAAAAGAAAGUUCUAAUUUUCAACCAUGACACACAUUAAUAAAUUUGUAAAUAUAAAUCUCAGUCAACAGAAAUGUGUGUGUGUGAAUGAGUGAGUGAGUGAGAGAGAGAGAGAGAGUUAAAAUACAAGUUACAGUUCAAGCACCGCAUGCCAACAUUGGCUGCAUGAUUGCGGUGGCAAUGCCUCUUUUUUCCUAUUGGAUCAUACAGCCAAGAUGCACAUCCACUAUUAAUGAGAAAGCAGAAAUUUCAGAAGAAAAUGAUGCAUGAUUAGCAUUAAAUCAUUACCCAAAACUUCAGAAGUCACUAGAAGAAAGUUCUAACUUUCCACCAUGACACACAUUAAUAAAUUUGUAAAUAUAAAUCUCAGUUAACAGAAAUGUGUGUGUGUGUGUGUGUGAGAGAGAGAGAGAGAGAGUUAAAAUACAAGUUACAGUUCAAGCACCGCAUGCCAACAUUGGCUGCAUGAUGUUAGUUUUGCAGUGGCAAUACCUCUUUUUCCCUAUUGGAUCAUACAGCCAAGAUACACGUGGUAUAUGCUCCACUAUUAAUGAGAAAGCAGAAAUUUAAGAAGAAAACGAUGCAUGAUUAGCAUUACAUCAUUCUUUUGAAUUGAAUUGGUUGCUGAUGAUGUUUAUUGCAAGUCCAACCAUUUAGCAAGGAAACAGAAAUUUUUCAGAAAAAUAAGAAUGAACUGCUUGCUGAUGAUGCUUAUUGCAUAAGAAAACAGAAACUUUUCAGAAAAAAUAGAAUGAAUAGCUGGGUCAUGCUUUAAUGUAACCUUAUGAUGUCAAAAAGUUUCAGCAACUUCAAAAGUAUCAGAAACUGCAGCAAUACUACUAACCACUUUAAAGAAAAGUAGAACAUCCAUGUACUGAGAUUUGACAGUCCAGUAUUGCUUUUGAGAAGCUGACAUUUUCUUCAAUGCAUCAGGUGGUAAGUACAGCGUCUUUUUGUCAUAGAGAGGAUCAUUGGGCCUUCUCCUAUUGGCAUCCCUGAUUUGGGCAGGGUCAAGCCAUUCAAACUUGCUUGUUGAAUUAGAUAUUUCCUCAUGAUUUUUGAUCAAGGAAGCUGGGUCCUGUAGUGGUUUCACUCUUUUGCUAGAGUUUAGGAAGGAACAACCAUUCUUAUCCUCAAACUUAGGAACGUCCUCUAGAAUUCUCUUCAGACGAGGAACUAGGGGUCGCAUGCCUGGUGUAUGUGGCCCAGGAACAUCAUUUACACUUUCAAUAUUCAAGACACUCGUUUGAUCAACCAUGCCACUGGAACUAAAACCAUUGUCUUUCUCAGAGUACAGUGUAUCCAUUCCAUGCUGAGGCAAUUCUUUUGGGAUAGUAAAUGUAACAGAUGUAGAGCAAACAUUAGCAGAAUGAACCUGGUUCCUGCAUCAAUUUGCAUCAGUUACACCCACUAUGAGAGAAAUUUGAGCCAGCAAGGUACAAGGACACAUAUUUAUCACUCAUAUACUAUUAGCGAUCAUCAAAACAAACAGAAAUUAGUCAAAAAAGGAAGCCUAUCACAUUAGGGUUCGAACACUAAAUCCUGAAACUAUUUCAUAAAUGUUCACAACACAAAAUCAAUCACAAGAUAGAAACUCAUUGUAUUUAAGAAAUGCCCUUAAAACAUAUUUGUCCUCAUAGACUCCACAAACUCGCUUCACUUAAUAACUUGCAACUCCAAAAUUUACUUCAAAUUUCAACAAUCAUUUCUAAAAUCUCCUCUCGUGAUCCGCACUCUUUUAGGAUUUCCAUUUGCUGGGAGUAUUCUUGAAAUAUUAAAAUUAACAAAUGAACGGCUUCAGUUCAGCUUCAACAAGAAGACUAAUUAUAAAAUAUUGAAUUAUUUUUUUAAAAAAAAUAUUCCCUUCAUAAUUACAUAGAUAAACAACAAUUCAAAGAUUUUAAUUAAUAUUCGAAAAAAAAAUGUUACCUCCCAUUAGGUUUUUCUCUGUCAUCGACCUUAACGAACUUAUGCAUUAUGCUCGAGAAAAGCGAAGCAACUUUGGCCUCCUCGUUCUCCUUGAUGUUCACCGGUAAUAUCUGACGUGGCACCUUUUCUGGUGGCGUGUCAGUUCCUCUAAUUUCAAUAGACGAGUCCACCGGUCCAUGAAUCGCAGGUUGAGACACGUUUUGAUUAUGUUGCUUCGCCGAGAACAGAGGAGCUUGCCGACCAUCGGUCCUUUCUCCGGCGUCGGAGCUCUGACUGGGCUGCGAGGGUUUUUGGAAGAACGAGAGUAUCGAUUUUUGGCGCGGCAUUUUCGUACUCCUAGAGAGAAUCAACCUUUAGAGAUGUGAAAUUUUUAUUAAAAUAUAUGGAGUCUAUGACUCUAUACAGUAGAAAACAAUUGGCGCCAAAAUCUGCCCCUUUCGGCUCUCAAAAUUUUCAAAGGAGAAAAUGACGCCCUGAUUUUAGAUUUCACUGGGUGGUUAUUGUUGAUCUGAUUUUCAUCGCUUCUUCUAAUACGGUCCUAUUUUUUACCUUUUAAAGGAUUAAUAUGGUAUUGUGUUAACUUUGUACAAGUAAACAUAUAUCUGCAUUUUAAAUUUUAUUUUUAAAAUAAUUUAUUUUUUAUUCAGAUCUAUAUUUAAAUAUUUUUUAAAAUUAUAAUUAAAAAUAUUUUUCUUAAAAUAUAACCACCCAAAACACAUGCUUAAAAGUUCAAUCUUAGUAUAAAAUAUAACCACGCAAAACACAUGCUUAAAAAUUCAAUCUUAGUAUAAAAAAAACUAUUUAAAAUUAACACUCUCAAAUUAUUUUAUUGUAGGACUUCAACCACUAAAUUAUGGUUUAUUUUGAUUUAAAAAAAAUCAUGAAGCAUUGGAGAGUUGAUUUAUUAAUAAUAAUUAUAUACAAAUUUAAGACAUUUUAGAAUAUUGGUGGAUGUUUAUUUUUAUAACUUUCUUUAACUUAUAUCUUUCAACUUAUUUUAUUUUUUUACAUUUUACAAAAAAAAGUGCAGCACGGGUCGUGUUAUCUAUAAUUCUAUAUAAAAUCACAAAUUAUUUAACAAAAUUUAUUUAUUUAUUUAUAUUUAAUACUAACAUUAUAAUAUAAUAUAAUAGUAAUACAUAAAUUUUAACUAACCACUAAUUAAGAAAAAUAAGUUUUAAAAUAUUGCAGACUUCUAAAAAUUAGAUCAAUCUCAUUUUUAUUUUUAUUUUCGUAUGAAAGAUUAAUAUAAAAUAGCAUGCGAGAAAAAUAGUUUAACAAAACAAGAACGAGAUGUUGAUGCAAGUAGCACCAAUUAAGAUUAAUGACGUGGAAAAAGCAUACAUCUCAAAUCAAGACUUGAGCAAUGACAUUCAACCAUGUCAUAGAAUACGAGAACAUGAAAACUUACGAUCAGCAAAGAUAGCCAAUAACGAUGAGCCAAAUCAUCACAAUCGGUGAAAUAAAGAGAAAUAUAUUAGAAUAUCAUAAAUUGAGGGGUAAUAUAAUCUCUUCUUAAAAAAUACUUAACCAAGCAUAACUUCAUUUAUUUUCUAGAGAUGUAGACUGUACAACAAAAAGGCAAUCAAGCACAAUUAAUCACAUAAACAAAACAGGAACAGGUUGAUGCUAUGAAAAAACAACCAAACACAAUUCAUUACAAAAUUUAAGUGAGCUAAAGAUUUAAGUUGAGCAGUCAAAAGACUGGUUCGAUAGCAACAAACUUUUCCACCAAUUAAAAGAUGAUUUGUGAGAAGGUGGCUGUAUAUCAAAACCAUGUAAAGAUACAUGUAUAAUAUUUAAAAACAUUAUACAAUUUUUUACAUAAAAAUUGCACAAGAUAUAAUCCUCAAUGAAGUCUAGCAAGACUUCAGCAAACAGAAACCCAGUAAAAUUCUAAGCCUAACAGGGCUGAAUUUGAUUUUCAAAGCCUAGCAAGACUUAAUUUAAUUUUCAAAGUCUAACAAGGUUUCGAGAAAGAAGAAAUGCAACAAAGUUCUAAAGCCCAACAAGGCUUAAGACAAUCUUAAACUCAGCAAGGUUUAGCAAGAAAGAGUUCCCGACAAAAAAGACCUAGUAAGGUUCUGAGUCUAGCAAGGCUUUAUUGAUUAAAAACCUGGCAAGGUUUUGAAAAAGAAAAAGUCUAACAAAACUCCAACAAAAUGGACCCAGUAAGGUUUUGAACCCAGCAAAGCCCUCAAUAAUUAAAAACUCAGCAAGGUUUUGACAGAGAAAGAGUUCGGCAAAGCUCCAACAAAAAAGACUCAACAAGGUUUUGAGCCAAAGAAGGCUCUCAUUGAUUAAAAACCCAGCAAGGUUUUGAUAUAGAAAGAUUCUGGCAAGACUCUAGCAAAAAGAACCUAAUAAGGCUCUCAACAAUUCAAGACUCCAACAAAAAAGACUCAGCAAGAUUUUGAGCUCAAAAGGGCUCCCAACGAUUAAAAACUGGCAAGUUUUUUACAAAGAAAAAGUUUGGCAAGACUCUAGCAAAAAGGACCUAGCAAGGCUCCGAUGAUUGAAAAUCAAUAAGGUUUGGACAAAGAAAAAGUCCAACAAGAGUCCACAAAAAAGGACCUAGCAAGGUUCUAAACCUAGCAAGGCUCCAACGAUUUAACCAACAAGGUUUUGACAAAGAAACAGUCAGACAAAACUCCAACAAAAAGGACCUAGCAAGAUUCUAAACCUAACAAGGCUCCUAACUAUUAAAAAUCGGUAAGGUCUUGAAAAAGAAAUAGCCCAACAAGAUUUCGGCAAAAAAGACCUAUCAACGUUCUAAGUCUAGCAAGGCUCAAUUUGAUUUUCAAAACCCAUUAAGGUUUUAGCAAAAGAAGAUUCAAGCAAAACUCCAACAAAUGAGAACCCAGUAAGGUACUGAGACGGCUUUAACUGAUAACAAGACGUCUAACAUAGAUAAUCCAAAGAAAAAUCAAAAGAUGGUCUACUUCAGAAAAUACAGGUCAUCCAAACAUAAACCAUUCGUGAAAAAAUCUAUAUAUGUUUUACCAAAAUUUGAACCCUACCAUUAAGAAGUCCAAGCUUGCCAUUAGGAAAGACAUGUGGUAACCUUGCAAUCAGGAAACACCGGGAAAUUUAACCAUGUCAUUAGGAACCUUCCAUUUUAACCUUGUUAUCAGGAAUCCUCCAUCCGAACCCUACCAUUAGGAAAUGAAAAUUUAACCCUGCAAUCAGGAAGAAUAUGUAUCAAUCCUAUAAUCAUGAAAUACUAUGAAACUUCACCUUGUUACAAGGAAUCCCAUAUUCCAAUCCUACCAUUAGGAAAUGAGAAUUUAACCCUGCCAUCAAGCAUGAUAGGUGCUAACCCUGCAAUAAUGAAAUGAAAAUUUAACCCUGCAAUCAGGAAGAAUAUGUAUCAAUCCUAUAAUCAUGAAAUAUUAUGAAACUUCACCUUGUUACAAGGAAUCCCAAAUUUCAAUCCUACCAUUAGGAAAUGAGAAUUUAAUCCUGCCAUCAAGCAUGAUAGGUGCUAACCCUGCAAUAAUGAAAAACCUUGAAAUUUAACCAUGUAAUUAGGAAUCUCAAAUUCAACUAUGUCAUUAGAAAAUCUCCAUUUUUUUAACUCUUUUAGAUAAUGCUUUUGGCAUUAUUUAUUUUUCAGUACCUUUUAAGCCCAUAUCUCUUUUCUUUUGAAUGCGUUUUCCAUCCCUAAGUUUUAAAAUAGUGCGCUUUCUAGCCUUAUCUUUUUUCUUCAAAGUAUACUUUCUAGCCCUCACCUUUCCGAUAAUGUGCCUUUAUGCCCUAUCGAUUUCCUCAUAAGUGCACUUUCCAACCCUCACCUACUAGAUAAUGCGCUUCCUAACCCUAUUUUUUUUUUCUUUUGAGUGCAUUUUCCAGCCCUCAUCUUUCAGAUAGUGCGCUUUUUAACCUUAUUUUUUUCCUUUUAAGUGUGCUUUCUAGCCCUCACCUACUAAAUAUCACUCUUUUUAACCCUAUUUUUUUUUCUUCUGAGUGUGUUUUCCAGCAAUCACCUUUCAGAUAAUCUGCUUUUAUACCCUAUCUAUUUCUUUCUAAGUGCGUUUUCAAGCCCUCACUUCUGACACUUUUGAAAAGAUUGAUCAUUUCUUGAUCUAGUAAAUCCACAACCUUUCUUUCUUUUUUUUCUUUACAAGUUUUCUAUCUAAAGUACUUGUUAUCGUAAGUAUUGUAAAGAGGGAGGCAACUGUCAUAACCUAAUUUUGAGUUUCCUUUUAAAAAAAAAUUUCUUUUAAAAACAAAAAAUGAAAAGCAACAAAAAAUAAAAAAAAGAAAAAAGAAAAAAACUAGCAACUAGGUAAGAGCAAGUUGAGAAGGGUUUCAAAUGCAUAGAGGAACUAAGCUAGAAUUUUGGACAAAAUUGGGAGCCCAAUUGUACCUAUUGUACCUAAGAUUGAAAGACAAUGUAGAUUUAAGGUUAAAUUAAAUGAUUUUCGAAUGAAUUUGCAUAAAAGUUAAGUCUGAUGACUUAAUAGACUUUUAAUAAGCCAAUUUGAUUUAAUCAUGGGCCCAAAUAAAGGUUUAAUUAAGUUUAAGAGUUAAUUAAUUAGGUUAAAUUAAAAGAAUUAAUUAAGUGCAAGGAUUUAAUUAGACUUUUAAUGGAUCAAAUUAAUUUUAUUGGGGAUUUAAUUGUUGAAAAAUUAAGUUUGAAAGCCUAAUUUGAGCUUAAUCGAGAAGAUUGAAAAUUUUAAGGACCAAAUUUAAUUUUUUAUGCCCAAUUGGAUGACAUCAAGGAUAAAAUUACAAGAAAUUAAAAGUUUAAAGAUCAAAUUGAAGAAUUACAAAAUCAAUGACCACUUUGUAAAAACCUCAGGGUCCAAUCAAAGAAGUUCAAGGUGAAAUUGCAAGGGAUCUAAAAUAUGAGGGCUGCUUAGGAGUUCUAUUACAAAGUUCUAAAAGUUUAAGGACUAAAUUUAAAAAAUACCAUAAUUUCGCUAUUUAUUAUCUUAUUCCUAUUAAAAUAAUAGAAAAGGAUGACAAAGUAUCCACCUUUAGCUAGGCCUUAAUAUCACAAAUAUUAUAUCAAUUCAUAUUGAUAUUUAUAUUUCACUCCAAGCUAAAAUUUUAGCUCUAAUGACACCAAAAACACUUGUAGAUUCUUUUGAAAAAAACAUCACCCAACACUAUUAUGCAUACAAAAAUAGCAUUGAUCUUUUCUUUAUUAGUUAUAAAGUAGGACAAAUUUUUGUUCUUAACUCCAAUAACUGGCUAGAAGUUUUUCUUCAAUAUUAAGAAUCGAGAUCUCAUUAACAUGUAAGCCUCCAAACCUUUUCAUUUCUCAUGUAAAAACCUAUAAAACCUUAUCCCAAGUAGUUAGAAAAAGAAGGAGCUUGUGAAGAAGUAAACAUAGCAUAUAAAAAAAAAUGUUUCCCACAUUCCCACAUAUAAAAACCCGUGACCUCUCAAGGAGAAAUCACCGAAAUAAUUAAUUCCCCUCCACGACAAGCUGCCACUAUGGUUCAUCUCCUCCUCACCAGCCGUCAGCAUAGGACAAAUUUUUGUUCUUAACUCCAAUAAAUCCAAUAAAUGGCUAGAAUUUAUUCUUCAAUAUUAAGUAUCGAGAUCUCAUUAACAUAUAAGCCUCCAAACCUUUUCACUUCUCCUUUAAAAACCCUAUAAAACCUUAUCCCAAGUAGCUAGAAAAAGGAGCUUGUGAAGAAGAAAACAUAGCAUAAAAAAAUGUUUCCCACAUUCCCACACACAAAAACUCGUGACCUCUCAAGGAGAAAUCACCGAAAUAAUUAACUCCCCUUCACGACAAGCUGCCACUAUGGUUCAUCUCCUCCUCACUAGCCGUCAGCCAUGAGCAGUAGCACCUGGAAGCAAAAAGAACCGUGAACUCUAGCAGCCCCAGCCAAGCAACAACAACUUCCUCUCCUCUAAUAUAGCAGCAACACUGGUUUCAACAACUUGAGUUUCAGUCACACCAUCAGCAACAAAUGCUAGCAGCUCCUCUCAACAAGCUGCCACUGUGAGCAGUAGAAAUCCUCUUCUCAGCAAGCUGCCAUCGUGAGCAGCAGAAGGUUUCCUCUUAGACCUUGUUAAGCCACGUCGAUCGGCAAGUACCCUUAGGCCAAAUCCCAAAUAUAUGAGUUGAAGUGAACGUGAAAUAUUAGCUGCAUAUGCCAUACAGGAAGAUUGGAACGUGGAAUGUUAGCUGCAAGUGUCAUGCAACAAGAUUGGAACGUGAACAAUAUAUAUAUAUAUAUAUAUAUAUAUAUAUAUAUAUAUAUAUAUAUAUAUAUAUAUAUAUAUAUAUAUAUAUAUGGGCACGCAGGUAUGCAGAAGAGAGUUCAAAAUUGUGCUGAGGAGUGGGUUACCUACAGGACUGAGUCCUCUGCAGUUGUGAUUUUUCUGUCACUUUUAUUUCAGUUUGUUAUAGUUGUUAUGCUUAUUGUUUUGUACGUGUUACUUUCAGUUUUUACGUGGGUAAUCUCACAUCGUGAGUUACCAGCUUUUCCUUAAUUUUAGUUUUGUUGAAAAAUAGCGAAAGAAAAAGAAAGUUGUUGAUUGUCACUAUUUCAACAACUAAAAUGGCCAAGCUUGGUGUUAGAGUUCUAUUUGACGAGAUGAGUUUGAUGGUGGUGGUAUUUUUUCCCUCUAGAUUAACUAAUAUACUAAAAUAUCUAGGGUAUAAUCCCAGUUAUGUUCAUUGUUCAUAUGAACAGUGAAGUAGUUGGAGGUUUUUUUUUUCAAUUUUCAAACUUUUUCCCCUUGCAAUUAAAUACAUUUAUAACCUAAUUAGAUAGAGUUAUACUUUAAAUUAUGGAAAAAAAUACCAAAUUAAAAUAUAGAGGAUUGAAAAGUAAAACACUAAGAAAAUACAUGACUCACUCCAAAUUCAUAAUAAUUUUUAUUUUGGUCCAAAAGUUUAUUUUGCUCAUUCUUAAUCUUUAGGUUUGAAAGAUGAUAGAGAAAGUCAUUGAAAAAAUAGUGAAAGAGGAAACAAGUUGUAAAUUGUCACAAUUUCAACAACCAAAAUGGCUUAGCUUGUGUUAAAGGGUUCUAUUUGAUGGAGUUUGAUGGUGAUGGUUUUUUCCUCUAAACAUAACAGGAAUGAAAAAUCGAGUUUAUUUUUUAUGUUUGGAAUUUAGUUGUUUGAUUUUGUUUAUAGAUAAUUUUGAGGUUUGUUGGGUGGUUUAUAAUGAUUUUAUGAUGUUAUUGUGUUUUUGGGUGAAAAUUGCUUAAAAAAUAAAAUUUUAGGCCAAAAAACUUAUCAUUUGAUUUUUUAGCCACCACAAUGGUGUCAAGAUUCGAGGCACUAAUAAGUGACAGCUCAUCUACCACUUGAAGUGACUUGUUGUUGGCUUCAUUAAAAUAACAAAAAACGGAUAACAUGCCAUUGACGCUUUAGGAAAAAAAACACAGGCGCGCAUGGGCUUUUUAAUUUAAUUUAGGCCCACACACUUAAAAAAAAUACCAUUCAAUUUUUACUUUAUUUUCAAAUAAGAAUAUAUCAAUCUUUUUAUAAUAAUACCAAAAAAAAUUUUAUAGCCCAUCAUUAUUUAAAAAAAAAAACUUUAUCUAGUUGUUUUUGUAGUAGCGUAUAUUUUUUAUUGUCAUUUAACUAGAUGACAAGGUUUAUAUUUAUUUUAUUGGAGUAAAAUUAGUCAAACAAACUUUUUAUACAAACAUACAUGCCAGAUAUUGUUUUAAUAAAGAGUAAAUCACUUAAAAUACAUUGGAUCCAUAUUUUACCAUUUAAAGUAAAUGGGUAAUGCAUCAAUGUAUAAAAAAAUUAGUAAAAAACUAUUUAUUUAUAUAAAUCACUUUUGAAGAAAUAUUAAAAAUUAUUUAUUUAUUCAUUAAAAAAUAAUGAUACCAUUUUUUUCUCGGUCCUUUAAAAAAAAACAAAUGUUGAAUUAAAGAAAUGAUACGAAGAAAACAAACAAAUAAACUGAAACCAAAAACUAUCGUUAGAAGUAUAGGUGAGCAAAAAAAUUGAAAAACUGAUUAAACUGAGAAAAUAAAAAAAACCGAACCAUGAAAAAAACUUGAUUAAACCGAUUAGAAUAUUUAGAAAAACUUCCAAUUCAGUUCGGUUUCGGUUUCAUAAUGCUGAAACUUAUAAACUCCAACCAAACCGAAUCGGUUCAGAUUAAAAGAAAAGAUAUUAUAAAUAAAUAAAAAACUUUCUAUUCUAAUAACCCUAGCAGCCGCCCCUCCCUAUAGAGUCUCUAACCCUAGGCUUAUUCUUUUACGUUCAAUAGCAAGUAAAAAAAGCCCCCUGCUCUGACCCCCCUUGCCUAGCCUCUCUGGUACAAUUGUAUUCUUCCCAACACUUUUCUCUAUGUGAAAUAGCUGGAAUGCACCUCCAGCCUUAUUUCUUUUCACUUCUGUUAUCAUUGCCUUUCUUGGCAAAUCCUGCAAGAAUCAAACACACAAACCCUCUUCUUUUUUUUCUUAUCAUUCUCCAAACUCAAAAGGGUGGUGGACAGGUAGUCAUUAUAUUACCUGUUUUUUAGAUGUAUCUGGGGAUUGAUUCCACAACUGGACAUAUCUAAGCCAAUUAGAUUUCUUCUUAUGAUCGUUGUUGUUGAUGUUGUUGAUACUCUUGUUUCUCUUAUUAUUGUUCUAUGAUUAUUGUUCUUGAUGAUCAUCAUCAUAAUGAUUAUUAUCAUUUUCUUCUUGGAUAUGGAACUCUGAUUAUUGUUGUUCAACAUAAGUGGAUUGGAGGCACUCGUUUUACUUGAAUUUGACUGCAUAUUCAUCAUACACAAUAAUCGUGUAUAGGUUUUUUUGAUUUUUGAUAUACAAAACCAAAUCAAACUAAAACCGGUCGGUUGUAAUCGAUUUCGGUUUAUUUAUCUAUUUUUUAUAAAAUUUCAGUUUGGUUGUUUUUAUAGGUAAAAACUGAAUCGAACUGAAAAUAAUAAUCCCUAAUCAAAAGCUAACUUCAGUAAUAACAUCUGUUAAUUAAAACGAGAUUUAUAACAAAUUAGAAAUAUGAGUCUCUCACUUCAAGAGAAAGUAAACAGUCUAUAAAUCCCUACUUUCAAAGAAACAUUUGAAGAGUAGCCCAGAUGAAAUGACAUCAUAUUUCUAGAGAGAAUAUUUUUUCCGUCGCGGGGACAUAACAACUGCAUGAUAUGUCCUGCAACACCAGAAUGGUACUCACAGCUAAGGUCUGACUUGUACUAGUUAGAGUAAGGUGGUUGCAGAGACACCAAGGGGUCGAGAGCUACAUACUCGAUGCUUAGUAGUUUCUGGUAUAUCUCAUUUAGGAGUAACAAUUGUCAUAAUCCAAUUUUUUAAUUUUCAAAAAAAUAUAUAUUAAUAAAAAAGGGUAAAUUAAAAAUAAAUUUGAGAAUUGGAUCAAGACAACACAAAUUUAAAGUUUGAGGACUAAUAAAGAGGAAAUUAUAAAGUUGGAAGUCAAUUUAGCUAAAACUUGAAAGAAUUGAUGAGUUUAAGGACUUAAUUAAACUUUGAAAUUAGUUUAAUUAAUGAAAUAAGAGGCUUAAUUAAAGAAAUAUCAAAGUUUUUGGUCAAUUUGGGUCAAAAUUGCAAGAAAUUAAAUUCCAAGGACCGAAGUGAAUAGGCGUUGAUAUUAUAUGGGGAUUAAUUGAUUUUCAGGGGUUAUUUUGAAAUAAUUAAAAGUUCUCAAUUAAGGUCUGAAUUGAUUAAACUAGAAACUAAGGACUAUUUUGUAAAUAAUGCUAAAAUCCAGGGGCAAAAUUAAAAAAAGAAGAAGAAGAUUUCCAUGAAUAAAAGCCCAAUUGCAAAAUUUCAGAACUUCAUGGGGCAAAUUGAGUCAAGAGAACGACGUCGUUUUGGAAUCCAUUGUUCAUCCUUUUCCUUCUUGGAACAGAGGAACCCACCUGCAAAAAAAAAAAAAAAAAAAACACCAAUGGCCUCUGCUAGACCCCAUCAUCUCACCAAAUGCAAGCCAGAAUGCAGACCAAAUGGUCCACUAUAAAUCCUCAAUUGACUUAACUCAUUGUGCCCCUACAAUACGUCUCUGGUGUCAAGAAAAGCCAUCACCAACAUGCCAACAAUGGCAAGACUGUUGGUGUCCUAAUCCCAUCAAACUCGGGGCCAAUUUUUAUCUUCACACAAGAUCACAAUCCCAAGAAGAUAAGGAUUGAGUUUCUCUUAAGGUGGCCUCUAAAAGCAGAGGACGCAAAGAGACUGGAGGAUGAAAAAAAAGAUAGAAGAAAAAACACAAGAAAAGAAAAUAGAGAAGCCAAAGAGACCCUUAACCUUCUCUUAUAGCAGAUUGUUGACCCAACCACAGAAAAAAAAAACCAAAGGAACAGAGAGAGAGUCAGAGAAGAUCUAGAGAGUAGAAGCAAACCCAAAACCAGAGAGAAGGAUGAUUAGAGAGAAACAGACAAAACAAAAACAGAGGAAGGAGCAUUGCCCAAUCCAGCACCACCUCGAGUCUUCGUCUUCAAACAACGUCUGAAGCAGAUAAGUAAUUCUUCUUCCCCCGCUUAUGGUUUGUGUGGAUUACCGUUAGAAGUCAAAAACUUGGACAACUUAUAAUUUGCAACAACCUAGCUUUGAAGAAAUUAUUUAAAGCCGAAAAGAACAUCUGAUCUUCAGGUAAUCUUUAUAAAAAUCCUAAACAACUUUAUAUCUGUCUAAUAGGAUCCUUGGAACUCUAAAAAAAUAUUUAAAUUUACAGUUUUCACUGCGUGUAUGUGUUUCGAGAAACUCAACAAUAUAUACAUUAACAAUCCCUUCAUUGAGAAUCUUUUGAUUUAGACAUUUGAGCAUUAAGUGUGUUUGCUCUGUUAAAUCAUAUUUGUUCUCAACAUUAUAGUAAUUGAUUAUUUGAAUGAGAUUUGAAACACCUUUUCAAUUUUUAUUCCAACUUGCACAAGUAUCUCACAAUCAAUACUAUUUAAGAACGUGUAAGAUAUUUUUUUUUAAAUCACUUAGGGUGAUAAAUCAUCUAUUGAUUACUCAAAUAUCUGUAUAUAGUUCAUAUUAUAUAUAAUAUUUGUUCAUUUGUUAUCCUUGAUUAAGACAACGUGUAAUUAAGAUAAAAAAAAAUAGCAUUCUUUAUAUAAGAUAACUUAGUGAUCUCAAGUCUAAAGAUUAUUUACACAACUUUUACAUGAGAUUUUCAUAAACACGAGUGAUAUCUUCAUAUAGAAUCUUCAUGCAAAUUAGUUCAAUGUACUUAUUACUUACAAGAACUUACAUUUUAGUUCUACAUAUCCUUCAUACCUGAGCUAAAUAAAAUAAUUGUUUCCUUUCAUAAAAAAAUACAUAUUAUAUACCAAUUUCAAUUACGUUAAUUAAUUUUCAAUCUUAAUAGAGUAUCGAAUAAGAAUAUUUAGAAAUAAUAUUUUGAUACAAUAGCAACCCUCAUAAUUAUAAACAUUUUAUGAUUUUCUUUGCAAAUCUUUUUUGUUCCAAAUAUUUUUUUUUACUCUAGACUUAUAAAUAAAAAAAAAUAUGUGUGUUUUUAUAUAAAUAAAGUUCAUAUCAAAUAUAAUCAACUAAUUGAAUAUAGAGCUUAUACACUAAAAUAACAAUCAUGUAAUUUUUCCAAUCCUGAAAAUGAAUUUCAAUGAAAAGAAAAACACAGAAAAUGCCCACUUCCAUAUUUUAUCUGAUAAAGGUCAAGAGUUGGUCCUAGAAAGGGCAGAGCCAGAGUAAGUUGUUUGCUUCCUCGAAUUUGAUGAGGCCCUUUUGGGUUUCACCCCUUUUGUUCUCAAAUAUGGAAUCGUGGAUAAUGGCACCGUCUCACAGUUUUUCAAUGGUUAAAGAAUCUGACAACUAUGCAAGCAUCCGCAUUGUCCAAUUUCAUACAAAACCUCAGCCUAAUCCCAAACUCCAGCCACAAAGCUAACCAUACCAUAUUAUCGAAACAAACAAUUUUCUUUGCCAAUCAAAACCUUGCAAAUUUCUAAAGAAAAAACAAAGUACAAACCAUUGGCUCGAAUUGGACCCUUCCACUUGAGACACAACAAGCGGCAUGCAUGAAUCGGGCUCAUCAUACAUAGCCACAUGGCAUCUUUAUGCCACGUUUCAGCUAGAAGCUCCUGACUUUUCUGGUGAAUAGUUUUUGGCCGCUUCCCUUUUGCAUUUGCGGCUACGUUAUCUUGUAAUAGGCCGUUUGUUUUUUGAUCAGUGAAGGUGGUGUGGUUUCAUGAGCCAAAGCAAAUACCUUACUCAGGUCAGUGAUAACCCACGAAUGGAUAAUUCUGAAUUUUUCGUUUUUAAUUCUGUUGGUAUACACUGAUAAAAAUAUUUUUCAGUAUAUACCAACUGAAUUAUCAACAGAAAAAAUUUCAUUAUUAAUUAUUACUACAAAUUAUUGAUAGAAUUAUUUCAUUAAUGAUAGCGUUAGUAUUAAGUGAAUUUCUGGUAAUGCUACAACUCCUUUACACCUUUUAUUCAGGCUUCCUUUCUUUACUUCUUAUAAAAUCUCACACACCACGGAUUCUUUCCUUUUCUUUUGAUCAAGCUCUGUCUUCACAAUAAAAAUACCUACUACAAUCUUAACCAGAAGAAAGGUUACAAGGAAAAAUGUGUCACCCUGGUGUGCUUUCGGUUAGCCAAAGGAACUUGGUGGUGUAUCAGAGAAGGCUCGUUUUGCAAGCAGUUGAGACAGAAACUUCACAUGCACGAACAGAGGUGGCUGCUGGUGGCGGAAGUGCUAUUUCUAGAUCGAUAAACAAGUGUUUGUGUUCACCCACAAGGCACCCGGGAUCCUUCAGGUGCAGGCACCACCGUUCUGAUUAUGUGUGGAGUGGGAGAAUAACAAGAAAGAAGCAACUCCUUGAAAAGGUAUGAUGUAAGCGUAUAAACUGUGAAAGAGAAUUUUGUUUCUAAUGAAUUUCGUUUUCAUCAACCGCUCCAGUUUCGAACUGGGUUUCGUUGUCGUAAGAGAACCAACAGAGAAACAUGAAAAUGGAAUCCGUUGAGGGUUCUUUUUUGAUAACCAGUCUCUAAAUCUCUCGUAUUUUUCUUCGUUUGUCUCCAUUUGACAUUAUGUAACACCAGAACUUUCUUCUUUUUUUAUUCAAGAAGAAAAGUUAGGAACCUGGUAAAGGGAACUUGAAAAGGAACGGCUUUCUUGCAAAAGAAUAAUUAAUCGAAUCUUGUCAUCAAGUUGACGAUGGGGAUCCAGAUAUUUUUUUAAUGUGGCAUCGUAUAGAAGACACGAUAAGUUUAAUUCAGUAGGUUUACACUCUCUGCUUUGCUUUGGUAAAUUCUAUUCCAUAAUAAACCUUAUCAACCAAAAAUUGGGUUAUCGAUUCCAUUUCGUCCCUGUACUGUUUAAUUAAGUCCUCCUAUCAGUUAAGACUUAAGAGUUCAGAUAUAAGAAGUGUUUGGAGGCUUAACAAUUGUAUUAGUCAUCCUCUCUAUAUAUUUAUAUAAUUAGAGUUGUGUAUAAUAUUAAGAGUGUAAUACCCUACACAUGAUUUGUGCUAUAACCUAUACAAGGUAAACAUAAUUUUCUAUAUUUGUAUCUUAUAAUUCAAUAGAGUAUUUUAUAUAAUAUACCCCCUCUAACUAAAGAUGGAGCUUUCACACGAAGCUUGGAUAAAAAAUGAGUAAAGAUCGCAGAAGAAAGCAAUUUAGUAAGAACAACAGCAAAUUGAUUCUUAGAAGGAAUGAAAUGAACUUGAAUCUUCUGCUUGGCAACUCUAUUAUGAACAAAAUGAUAGUCUUCCUCACAUGCUAGUGUGAGCAUGAAAAACUUGAUUGACUUAUAGAUUAAGCAGCACCGAAGUUAUCACACCAUAGUCUAGUUAUAGAAACACUAGGAAACCAAAGCUCUAAAGCAGAGAGCGAAUCCAUAAAAUUUCAGCAAUACCAUCAACUAAGGCCUUAUAUUUAACUUUAGUAGAAGAAUGAGCAACAAUUUAUUGUUUUCUUGAUUUUCAUGAGAUAAGAGUAGUGCCAAGAAACACAAGAUACCCAUAUGUAAAUUUCUGAUCAUCAAUAUUGGCAGCCCAAUCAGUAUUAGUGAAACCAUGAAGAGAUAGAGAUAAACUAUAAGUGAUGUGUAGGACAUAGGAAACCAUGGCCUCUAAAUAGCGCAAAAUAUGCUUGACGAUAACCCAAUGAGAUUUAGUGGGGGAAUACAUAAACUAACACACUUUAUUUACAACAUAGCACAAAUCAAGCCUUGUGAAGGUAAGACACUAAAAAACACCAACAAUUUGUUUAUAGCGUGUAGAGCCAGAGUACAAACCACUAGAUAACAUGGCCAACUUUGAAGAAAAAGGAGAUACUGAAGUAUCAAUAGGCUUACAGGAAAACAUAUAUGCUCUGUAAAGAAUAUCAAGAGCAUGUUUAUGUUGGCUUAGAAUAAGUCCCAUAGAUAUUGGUUUAACUUCAAUGCCGAAAAAAUAAUGGAUGGAUUUGAGGUCCUGAAGCUUGAGCUUUAAGCUUAGUAACAAAAUUAGUUUGGCAAGUAAAGUUGAGUUACUGCCUAUAAGCAAGAUGAAUAGGAUAAAUAAAGAUAUACACAAGCAGAUAGACAGUAUCACCAACCAUAAAUAGGAUAAAUAAAGACGUAUCAACCUCAAAGACACAAGAUCCUAUGGAUAACAUAUAGUCACUCAUUUGAUUAUACCAAGCCCAAAGAACUUGUUUCAAAUCAUAUAAUGAUUUAUGUAGACGACACAUAUGAGAUGCUAGAGUAUGAUGAGUAAAGCUAGGUCGUUACUCCAUAUAAACCUUUUUUUAAAGGAUCUUAUUCAAGAAGGUAUUAUGAACAUCUAGUUGAUUGAUCUUCUCAUCUCGAGAAACAGCAACAGUAAGUACUAACCAAACUGUAGUGGCUUUAACCACAAGACUAAAAUGUUUUUAACUAAUCAAUUCUCUCAUGCUGAGUAAAAUCUCUAGCAACCAAACAAGCUUUAUAACACUCAACAUUACCAUCAGCUUAUAUUUUAAUUUUGCUUACCCAAUGACUACUAACAACAUUCAUGGAGGGAUGAGGAUUUUUGUUACUUGUUUUUUACCCCACAAAAAAAAUAAAGAAAAGAGAGAAGAAAAGAUAAAGAAAAUCCAAAAUAUAAGAGAAUACACAUGAAGAAAGCCCAGAAGAUUGUCUAAGAUGGUGGUGAAGGACUAAAAUGGCAAAUGGAAAAGUUGGAGAACUACAAUGUACAAGAUUGACAAAAUUAGCGACCCAAUUUUGAUUGAUAAAAGACCUAUUCGGUGAAAAUAUUUUAUUUAGGGUAAAAAAAUACAAAUUUGAAUGAGUAUGGACUCAAUAAGGAUUUUGGAAGGUUUAAAUAAUUUAUUAUGGACUUGAUUGCAAGGAAAAUUAGUUUUUUUAAGCCAAUUCGAGUGUUAAUUGAAAGAAUUUGAAGUUUGGGGAUUGAAAUUGAACUUUGGAAAGUUUAAUUGGUCAAAUUAGUGGCUUACUUGUGAAAAAAAUUAAAAUUUGAUAGCUAAUUAGGGGUUUGAUUGAAGAAAUUCAAAACCAAGAACCAAAUCCUAAAAUAUACGAGACUUCAAGGGAUGAAAUUGAUCAAAUCAAGGGCCAAAUUGAAAAAAAAAUAAAAUUUUAAUGGUCAAUUAAGGGUCCAAAUGCAUAAAUCAAAAGCCAAGAAUGAAUAUGAAAAUGGAGCUAAAAUCUGGGGUUGAUGAUUGAGUUUAGCAAUGGUGAAAUUGCAUGAAAUUAAGAGUUUGGAAGACAAUUACAGAUGCAAUUAAAAACAAUUGGAAGAACAUGGACUAAAAUAAAAUAUGUCAGAUCCCAAAUUAAAAACCCUAAUUUCUAGGGAUUUAACCUAGACGAAGUGUCGUUCACCCACUAUUCAUGUCUUUUAGUGGCAGUUUUCGAUGAUCGAGUUGACACCUUCCAAGAGCUCGUUAUGGAGUUCUAAACCUCCAAAUAGCUCAAGGUUUUUGGCAAAUGGAAGAAGAAUAUCCUCUAUAUAACCCUAUUUCCAUGAAAUUAGAUGUUUGCAUCCUAAUCCUUCCAUAUAAGUCUCUAAUAUUUUAUCCCUGAUCAGCAAUCACUACAAUUUUAGAUUCUGGACUGAUCGAGUUGGCAUCAUUAGAUAAAUAAAUGUGAAGCUACUAACCUUCAAAUUAAGUAAUGUUGGAUCCAAAUAAAAGAUUUACACCUCCUUUAUGAACUUCAGGUGGUUUUCGAUGAUGUUUAUAUCAGAAUUGCUCUGGUAAAGCCUCGAAAGUAGUCAACCAAGUCGGCCUAGACUGUGACACUCAUUUCUAAAAACCACUUAUUUUUUCAUGUGUUCACUCUAAAAGCUUCUUAAAUAAUUCUUAUCAACAACUUUAAACCCCCCCAUCAAGGGCCAGAAAUAGUUUUUUGCCCUUCAAGUUUAGUAAAACCACAAAGUACCUAAAAAACAAAAUCACCAUUGCAAACCAGCUUGGUAUAAGAGUUUCCAGCCGUUAGUUUUUGCUUAGAACUCUCUUAUUUUGAUAAAAGGCUGAUCUUUGAUCAAUAUUUGAAGGAAUCCACUAAAAAACUUAGAAAAAGACCCUUUACAUACCUUUAAAAAUCAAAGGAGAGAGUAAAAAAACCAUAAAGAAAAAACAUAAGUAAAUACCCUUUGGAAAGACCUUACCAUAAAGGUUCAAAAAGCUUGACACGGAAGUUCAAACAAGCUUUGAAAAGAAUAUAAAGGCAAAGGAAAAGAAAACGAAAGUUACUGCUUAUAGCCAAAAAACUUGGAGAAGGUAUAACCCUGUAAAAAAUCAAGGGUGAAGUCUAUGUGGCCUGCCCAUUCAUGCUUUUUCAAUGUUUGAUGACAUUUUUUUAAUCUUUUUAACAUUAUUUUGUGUUUUAGCAUUUAAGUGAAUUGAUGAAUGAAAAUGUUGUUUUCUUUGCUUAAUGUUGCUUUAAGUUAGUUGUUAAUGUUUGUUGAGUGUUUAGAAUGGUAUUUGAAUGUUGUCUUUGUUGAAAUUAAUAUUUUUUAGAAUCUGCCAGAUAUGAUAGUAGGUAUUUGAUGCAUAUUUUUUGGGUUGUUAGUUCAUGUAUUGGGUUCCUAGACUUGGUUUUUGUCCUAAAGAGUCAGUUUUGGAUUGAAGUUUGAUGUUUUAUUGGCUGUCAAUAGGGCUGCAGUUUUGGAAGUUAAAAUUUUAAACAUGUUUUUAAUGAUUUGAUAUUCCCAAUGUUUUUCUAAUUCAAACAUGUUUUUUAUUAACAAUGUGAAUUAUAUGGAUCAAAAAAUUAAAGUUUAGAGACUUAGAGGGUUAAUUUAUGGGUUUGGCAGUAAUCCAUGUUUUCUAGGCAGUCUCGAUUCAUGUUCUUCAUAUUCAUCUAAAGAAUAUUAUCUUGAGUACUAGCUUUAGGUUUCUUUUUAAGUUUGUUUUGGUCUUUGCAUGUUUGUACAUCAUUAUUAGUCAAUAAUCUAGGUUGUUUUGCAUCAAUAACAUAUUUUUAAGUGUUUCUAUCUUAGGGUUAGGCUUCAGACUGAAACCUUCUUUCGAUAAAAAUCAUGUUGAUUUAAUGAUAAUCGAAGCAAAUAGACCUUUGAUUCCUGAUCUAUGCUUGAUUGCAAACAAAACCUUGCUUUUUUUUUUUGCUUGAAAUCUUUUCUGAUUUGAUGUUUAUGUUGUUGGGUUUGAAUUUGAACGUUCUUCAUUGUUCUUCAUUUUUCUUAGUGUUUGAUAUGUUUUCAUAAGAAAUUUUAUGAUUUUUGUGAUUUUUGUGAUUUUUGAUUUUAUUUUGGUUUAAAUCUCUAUUUUCAUUUAGCUUUGGGUUGAACCUUGGAAUGGUUGAAUCAAUGUUUUCGAGUCGACCUGGUCGGAUCAAAAUCAAGUCACUUAGUAAAGGCCUGUGUGGUUUGCUAAUAUUUUUAUGAAAGAGUUUUUGGUCUAAGUGGUUGUUUGGCAAACACACCCUUAGACUUAUUUUGACCACUUUGUUUUUUUAAUAAAAAUGGAUUUUGCCAAACAAACCUUAAAAAAUUCCAAAAAAUAUAAAGACCGAUCUAAAAUUAUUUGUAAGUCCCUCACACCUUUUUCCAACAAUUUUAUUUAAUAUCAGAACUGUAUACUUACACUGUAAAAUACGGGACUGGUAUUAAAAUACCUGUUUUUCACUGAAAUUUCAAAAAAAAAAAACAAAUCCUCUCAUUUCAAAAAUAUAUAUAUAAAAUGUUUUAUUUCGUGUGCAUAUGGCCAAGUCUCUAAAAAAAAUCAUAUUUUAAAAAAAUAAAAAUAUAUAGUGAGUUUUAGCAUUUGUUUCAUACAUAUAAAAAUAUCUUUGCAUGUAUUUUUAGAUUUAAUAACUAGUUUAUUAAAUCCAUGAGAAUUGGGCUAAUAUUUCAAGAAUUCCUUUAAAAAAUUUAAUUCAUAAGAAUUAAUAGUCAGCAUUCUGUUAUAAAUAUUGGACCUAUAAGUAGGCUGAUAUUUAAAUACCAUAAGUUGGUAAGAAAGUUCUCAUAAUUAUUUUAAAUAUUCAUCAAUUCUAAUUGAAAGUUUCUUUUACCAUAGUACAUGAGUUGUAAAAAACACUUUCGCCUUCCAUGAUAGUUGAACCUUGUAAAGGCACCUACAUGGACCCUUCCUAUAAGAAUUUAUCUGGGCGUACAAGCCCAUAAUAAAUUUAAAAUGCUAGAUUUAUUCAUAAGAGUAAAAAAAAAAUUGAGUCAUAGAUUGACCAUCAGUUAGAAACCCAUCAAAACCUUUAAGCCACAUGAAGACCACACAAUACAACUAACUUUAGGUAAGAUGUGCUAGGGGUGAUAAUACAUUUUCUAGCUACAACCAAUCCCUUACCCUAGAAUUUCUAAUAAGAUCAAUAUACUCGGGUCUCCUAAUGACCCUGAACUAAACAACUAGGUAGCAACUCAUUGACCCUUACAUUAUGAGCCCACAUGCGAUAGAAAAAACUACAAAUCAUGUACCAUUGGAAUGAAGAGCAUAAAUCUCAUAUUGCAUGGCGUGGUGCUAAACAACAUAAGUGUUGGCUUCCUAAAAGUGAGGGGUUAAUGAUCAGGGAGAGAAGAUAAUCGUGAAAGAGAUGAGACAAUAAGAUCUGUUAUCUUAUGUUGUCUCAAGCAAAGAAGCUAGUGGUGCUACUGUGAUAUUUGAGCAUGAGAAGGAUAAUUAGACACGAAAAACUUGAAAAGGUCAACCACCAAGUUCAGUCUAGGUGGUGACACAACAACAAGGGACUAUAGUGAGUGGUCUGGAACUAAAUUAGACCAUAGUGGGCUUCGGUGAGUGGUCCAGAACUGAAAAAAAUCAUAGGGUGCCCAAAACAACAGGAGAAACAUGUUCACCAGAGGAAAUCAAGGUAAUACUUCAAAGGUUAUCAACAGAAUAAGUGACAUGUAGAGAUAAAUUAGUAUGACUAUAACAUACCAAAUAUGGUGUAAGAGAGUUAAAGAAUAGCGGUUAUAGUGUAUGAGGAUGUAGCAUAUUGAAAAUUUGAGAGUCUGGUGAUGUCAAAUGUUGCAAAAAUAUAUUGAUUGAUGAUAAAGCUAGUGGUUGUAUCUGUUUAAAAAUUUAUAAAGUAAAAGUAUUUUCAUGAAAUUUAACAUGUCGAGAAAUGUAAACUCAUUUGGAUGACAGAUUAAGACACUGAUAACCUAAAUGAGAAGAGUUAUAACCAAGAAAUACAUGAGAAGUAGAGCACAAAGCUAAUGUAUAGGCAUUGUAAGGUUGAAGGAAGGGAAAACACAAACACCCAAGUUUACAAAGGAAACUAUAAUCUGGAACAGACUGAAAAAGGCAUUCAAAAGGUGAUUUUCUAUUCAGUAUAAGAGUGAGCAUGUGAUUAAUUAAAUAGACAGAUGUUUCAAAUGCAUAGCCUUAGAAUUUUAAUGGUGUUUUACACUAACCAAGGAAAGUGAGAUAGAUUUCAACAAUAUGCCUAUGUCAACGCUUAAUUAUACCAUUAUCAUCAUGAGUAUAUGGACAAAUUAAUUGAUGGUGAAUGCCAAUGUUUUUAAAAUAAGUAUUUAACUUUCCAUACUCGCCUCCCAAAUCAGUUUGGAUAGAUUUAAUUUGUGGAAAACUAUCAUUUAAUAUGAGUUUGAAAUUUUUUUGGCAACCAAAGAAAAGAACCAAAUGUAUUUAGUAUGAACAUCCACAAAAAUAACAAAGUAACAAAAACCAUUAGAAAAAAACAUAAGGAAGGAUCCCCAAACAUCAUUAAAUAUUAAUUCAAACAGAGUAGAAGUUUUAUGACUUUUAAGUUCUAAUGACAAACAAGAUUUUCUCAAAUGACAUGCUUGCAAUUAAAAUGGGAAGAUUUCAAAGUGCAAGACCUUUUUAUUUGACAUUAAUAUACUCAAAAUUUAUGGUCUUGGAUGCUCAAGUUGACGAUGUCAAACAUCAGCAAAGGUAGAUGACACGACCAAAGAGUUGAUGUCUUCUUCCAAAUAUAGGAGUGUCAAAAUAAUAAAUAACCCGGCAAGACCGGGGUCGAACCACAAGGAGGUUAACUGUAUAAAUUACAAAUAAAGAAAUAGAUAAUAACAGAAAAGGAGUUGAAGAGAGCUUUGAGAUGUGAUAUUGAUAUAAGGAUUAAACAAGGAUAAAAUAAUUGUCAAGGUUAGAGGAUCCACUAAUGGUAUUUCAAACAAGUAUAAUAUAAAUUCUUUUUAUUACUCAACUGGAAACCACACACAAAGGAGGUUCCAAUCGGAUUAUAAAUUGUUGACAUGAUUACAUUAAUUAUCUUAUUCGAGUAAUGCCAAUACUUGUAAAUAUUAUCAGGUAUUCAUAGUGAUAACUUAUAUUAACAACAAAUCAAGUUCCUUUCAUAGCACAAGUGUCGGUUAUACCAUACAAUUGGGCUAUGAAAGUGCCAAAUAUUUGUUGUACCAAGGGUUGUUCAACACAAAUCUAGAUUAACCAUUUAACAAGCAAGAUAUUAAGAGUGAGUAAGAUAAUAAAUAUAAAACAUGUUAGUAUCAAACAUUAAAGUCCAUGUUGAGUUUAUACUAUACUUAUUCUUACACCAUUAGUGUAACCUUUUCACCUUGACAUAAUAAACUUAGCUGAACAUUAUGAAUAAGAGAAACAUAGAUAAACAAGAGGAGAACAUGAUUAUAUAAGUAUAAUAAAGGAAAUGAAAGGCAUAAACAAGAGAUUAAUGAAAACAAAACUUAAGCAUUACAAAAAUAUAAAGAGAGAGAGCAAGAACAUGAUCUUGAUCUGAAAACCAAGAUGCCUAAAUGCAUGGCAAAUGCCUCCUUUUAUAGGUCAAAAUUCAGAACUAUUGAUUUGAUGACUAAUUGUUGAGUAGGUGGCUACUUCUUGACUUGAUGACAUUUUUUAUUUUGUUGUCUGCAGAAAUGUCAUUGCUAACAUCAGAAUUUGAAUAGAUAAUCUUCAUGAAAGUUCUGGUAAAUUGUCUCAGCUUUCCAACAAAACAAGAAUCUGUGCAUGACCUAGAACUCGAGAUAUGGGCUGAACACUGAACAGUGUCUGAGUUGUAGGACAGAUUCCGACUUCUCCGUUGUUGCUACCAUUUGAACUCGAAAAUGACACUUUUAAUUCUUGGACUCGUCAUGAAAGUUUUAGGCCUAUGUCUUAGCUUUUCAUAUAUAUAAACCAAACCUAAAUCCAAGUUCUACAGCUCCAGUUAUGAUCCAAUAACCGAAUGAUGUUCCAGUUUGGACUGAACCAACAUCUCUUUUUUAAGCUUAGCCCUCUCUUUGUCUUCUCAAUUUGAGUAGUUAAACUCAUCAGUCAAUCCUUUAUUUAUGUGAUAGGCCUGCAUUUAAGAUGAACAUUUACCAUAUAUUAAAGGUAUCUUAUAUUAUUAGACAUGUUAUUAUAAAACAUGCUCUAGUUAAGGAGUUAUUGAUACUUCAAGUGCAAAAUGAUGAUAUAAAACCUUGAUAAAAAUGCACUUUUAAAUAUUAAUCAGUAGACACACUUAUAGACAAUAAAGCUUGAGGUAAAGACGUUGCAAAAGACUUGGAGAUAACAUAAAGAUAAUCCCUACUCCAACCGAAAAGAAGUACUUCCUUGGUUAGUCGAUUCUUGACAUAAAACACAAACGAGUGAAAUUCAAAGAAAUUAUUAUUUUCAAGAUAAUUUCUAAACAAAUAAUAAAUUCUUUUUAAUAUGGGAAACAUAUAAGACAUUCGAUAAGGUAAAAGUACGUUUAGGUGUGUGGAUGGUAGAGUGGGCAUCAUUUGACAUAGGAAGUCCCUUAUUAUCUUCAAUAUAUAGUUGAUCAGUGUCUAGAUACGGUUCUGAAUUAGUCAUAUUCAAAAGAUUAGGUGUCACAUGUUGAUUAACACUCGUAUCAAGAAAAAAAGUGGCUGGAGUAGCACUAUAAGGAUUAUUAAAUGCUAAGUUAGCACUUACUUACAUUGUGUGAUGUUGCAUAUAUGGAUAUUACGGAGCAGAAUGACCCAAACCAUAACAUAAGUGACAUUUUAUGGGUGAAUUAUUGGACCACUAAUUUGAGAAGGAAAACUGAUUGUCAUGCUCUACCCAUUCUGACUUAAACUAAAAUUAUUAUUGCCACAUAAAAUAUCACCAUUUUCACGGGAAUGAUUGUUGUAAUUGUUGUAGGUGUUGUUCCUCCAUCCACCAUGAAAUUUGCCCCUAGAACCACGGUUAAAAUUAUUGUCAUAAGAUCCUACAAAUUGACCAUAAGAUUGGGGUGACUGACAUUGAACAAAAAAGGUCGAAGAAGUGCUAGAAGGUGUAGGCAGCAAUGGUGUUAUUGUGUGGGAACCAACAAUAGGCUAAAGAGAACUCUUAUGAAGGUAUUCAUGACUAAGCAAAUGACUGUGCAAGUCAGUGUAGCUAAAUGGUUCGGCUUUGGUUGAGAAGUUGGUGACCGGCCAAGUCUUUAAAUUCUCCCCACAAGCCCCUGAACACAUAAAGAUCGAAGUUCUCUAACCUAAUUGGUAUGCCAGCGACAUCAAAGCUCAUCAUAUGGCUUUCUAUAAGUAGGCACUAACUGUAUCAUCUCCUUGUUUUAGUUCUUGAUGGAUCCAUGGAGAUGCAUAAUUCGUGAGUUCAAUGGAGAUGUAAAAGCUUGAUCAAGAGUCUACCAUAUAGUGUAUGAUGUUUAGCAGUCAAUAACCAAGUGUAAAACUUUAUAUAGUAGAUAAAAAGGACAAAAAAGCACUUGUAAUCAGAUGGUCUUGUUGUUUCCAUGACAGAAAUGUUGGAUUAGUUACUAGAGCAGCCAUGAAUGAUGAUAUAACAUAAGAAGGAGAGCAUGGGAGAGAACCAUCAACAAAAGAAUAAACCCACUAGCCUAGUAGAUAAGACUUCAUCUACAUCUUCCAAUACAAGUAGUUCGUGUAAGACAGUUUCAAAGAAAUCACUUGUUGUGUGUGAGGUAAGAGAAUCAUGGUAUUGCUAUAAUAAACAUUAGCAUAUACGGAGGCAUUGAAAUCAAUAGUAACGGUAGGAGCUUGAUCAACAGAAUUGGGAGAGGAAUAAAACGCUUGUGCAGCAGAGGUAUGCAAUAACGUUGUCUGCACCGAACACAAGCGGAGAGGAAGAAGAACCAAGCAGCAGAACAAUGGAGAUAACUGGCAAAACAUAUAUGGUAUACCCGACAACAACAGAGGGGUUAAAAAUAGGAUUAGCAACAGAGAGAUUAAAAGCAUAAUUGGUAGCAGCUGUUAUAUAUUGAUUAGGAUCCAUGUAUAGAAAGAUUAGGGAGAAGAAGGCUAUGAUACCAAGUUAAGAUAUAAGAAGUGUUUAGAGGCUUAACAAUUGUAUUAGGCAUCCUUUUUAUUUAUAUAAUUAGUGUUUAGAACCAACAGCAUUUCCACUUAAAUUUACACAAAUCCCAAACCCUAUCCUUUUCUAGACAUAGUCAUUAAACCUAAUUUGAGAAGAGUCCUGAAUCAAACCUAAAGCUGGAAUUCUGAAAGAAGCCAGCAUGUUAACAGAUCUUGGCUUUGAUGUAAAAUAGGCCUCCUUUUGUAGUAACUUUGUGAUUAAUUUCUUAGAAUUCAUUUAGGAAAGAAAGAAGUUCAAUAUAAAAGGACCAAAAUGUAAAAUAAAAAGAAAUCUCAAGCUCAUUCUUAAAUUCACCAAAAAAAGUACUUUUUAGUCCUAUUUUUCUUUUUCUUCUUUUACGGUCCAUAUUAUUUUUGAAAUUUUAGUUUUGAUCUAAAAAUUCAUUAUGUUCAUUUUUCAAGCUUUAGAUGUGAAAAAGAAUCAUCGGAUAACAAAAAAAGAGUUAUAAUUGAUCACAUUUCUAGCAAAAACAAAAGCUCAAUCUUGAGGUCAACAAGUUCCAUUCAAUAAGACAAAUUUCAUUAAAGUGUUUUUAUAUGUAUACCUUAUUAGAAAAAAUAGAUUAAGGCUGAGAGAAUUUUUUUUCCAGUUUGAUUUUGUAUUUUAUACUAAUUUAAAGAUGUUUUGAAUUGUGAAAUUGAUUUAUUAAGAUGGUAAGAGCAUUUUUUUAGUUGUUUUUUUUUUUUAAUGAAAAUUGGUUUUAAAAAAUGGUAUUUCCCACACAAAAAACCAAUCCAAGUUUUUCAGUCGCUACUUUGUGGUUGGAAUUUGAAGAUGUCGCCCUUGCAGACCUAAGUGCACCUAACGUUCUUCCAGUUAGAUACAUGAGCUUGAUUGUUUUUGGUUUUUUUUUUUUAUAAUUUUUUAAGGACUUUUUUUUAAUGCACUAAAAUGUUUUUAGCAUUAUAAUUCAAUUUUCAUUUAAUUUAUCCAUGGUUUUAUAGAUUUUUAUGGGAAAGUUGAUAUUUUGUUUUCAAUUAAAAUAAAAUAUAUGUUUAAAAAAUUUUAAACAAUUUAUUAUAUGAUUAAAUAUAAAAUUUCUAAUGCAUUAUUCUUAUAAUUUUUAAAUAUAUAUGCAUCAUAAUAAUAAAAACAUUUUUAAAAAUUUGCUUUUGAAAUUCUUAUCAUUUUUCUUCAACAAAUAAAUAUUUGGAUAAACAAUUUGCUGAAAACAAAAGUCAUUAAUAGGAUAAAGAAGCUUUAAUUAAAAAGGUGUCUUUUUCAUUCUUAUUUUGAAUCAUUUGAGUCUUUUGAAUAGUUACUCCAAUCGCCUUCGAUUUUUAUUAAUGAAGUAUUAUUUUUUGGCCAGUAAAAAUAAUAAUAUUAAUAAAAAAAAUUAUACUAGCAAAUUAUUUUAUUUUUAAUACAAUUUAAAUUACUACUUUUCUUAUAAAAAAAUUAUUGAUAUAAAUUAAAUAAAAAAUUUAAAUACUUUUUCACAACAUAAAAUCAGAUAUCUGAACUUUUAUUUAUUUUAACUUUUUAAUUUAGUCUUUGAUUUACCACAACAUUUCUUUAAAAAUUUUAUUUAUACAUAUAACUUUUAAUUUACUCUUAUUAAAAAAACGUCAAUUAUUUUGUGUUGAAAAAUAAUUUUUUAUCUGGCAACAUACCACGAACAAGGUGAUGAGUAAUACAUAAAUUCUAAGCAGAGCCCCGUGAGUUUUGCAACUCAAAAGCAACAAUUUCUACCACGAACAGAGAGAAUAAGUUGAGAAUCGAGGGAUAUUGUUAAUUGACUCGACUCGACUCAUUGACUCCAUUCGACUCAAUUGAAAAUAAUAAAUUUUUUUUGAAUAAUUAUCUUAUUUGAUAAGUAGAUAUAAUUACUUUAUUUGAUAAGUAGGUAUAAAUCAACUCAAAUCUAAUUUGAAAUAUAUAGAUAUAUAGAUAUAUAGUAAAACAUUUAUAUUUUUAGAAUAUAUAUAUACACACACACACACUCAAAACUCGCUUGAUUGAUAACAUAAUAGAUAUCUAAAUUUUUUUACUUGUUGGAUAAUAAUUAGAGUCAUCCCGAGUAACAAACUCCUCAAUCUCUCUUUUAUCAAAUUUAGGUAUUUUCCUCCUUUCUAUUUUUUUUUGGUUACUAUGUUAUCAAUUGUAAAUCAGUUAAACUGAUUAUGAGGUGUGGAGUGGUUGUAUGUUAUGAAUAUUUAUGAAUCCCUUAUUUUGAAUGUUCCACUUAGCAUUUUUCAAUGCAAAACAUCAAAAGCAGCUAUCAAUUUGACAAGUUUCUUUUUUCCCCUAAUGUCGUCAAAGCUUGGACGUAUUUUUUUCCGUUGUAAGUAAAUUUUGUUAUAUGGGUUUCUUUCAUAUAUUAUCACAAACACAUGGGCAGCGUGAAGCUUUUUUUUACCAUUCAUGAAUUUGACUGGUUAGUAUACAAAUUUAACAGUGUUGAUGACAAAUUGACUGUCUCGCCAGUGGCCCGUACCUGGUGUAUGGCAGGCCAUUAAUUCUGAAGUUUAUGCCGGAGUAUUUUGACUACAGCUAUGAAAAAAUGACUGGGGUCCCUGUUUGUGAAAUUUCCAAAUCUACCACUAAAAUGUUGGUCUGCCAAUUACCUCUCUAAGAUUGCUAGUGUGAGUAGUAGAGUGCUAGCGUGAGUAGUAGAGGUGGACGCAAACUAUUUCGGAUAUCCACAUUAAACUAAAAAAAUUGCUAGCGUGAUUGGAACUAUUCAAUGUGAUAAGCUUACUACUACUAUGUCGAGAAUCUUGUACGCUAGAGUGCUUGUGAAAUUCGAUUUGCUUGAUGAUCUUGUCCAUUCUGUUGACAUUCUUCUGCCGAAUGGUACUGCACUCACACAAUCAGUUAUAUAUGAGACAUUACCCAGAUUUUGCAAGCAGUGCAAAGUUCUUGGUCAUGCAACUGGGGUUUGCUAUAAGACUAUUAAUGUAGAGUCAAGAAAGAUGGGCAGACAUGAAGUUAAACAAAUGGGCAGUGUGAAGCAUGGCAAUGUCUCUGACGGUUUGGGAUCCUGCAGACAUCAGUGUGAAGAAUAAUAAAGUGAACGAUGUUGUGGCAGACCAAAGUUUUGACCCCAUGCAAACUGAGGUGGAUGUCAUAAUUGAAGAAAGGGAAAUUGUCAGGGGAAAGAAAAGCAUUGUUGUAGACACAAGGAAGACGGGCAACCAUGCAGCUAAACAAAAGGGCAGUACUAAGCACAGCAGUGUCUCUAUAUGUGUGGGUCCGAUUGCUAAUGCUAGUAUGGAGAAUAAUAAAGAGAAAGAUGUUGCAGAUCAAAUUCUCGACUCCAUGCAAUCUGAGGUAGACGUCAUUUUUGACGAAUGGGAAACUGUCAGGGGAAAGAAAACUAGAAAGUCUCCUGGCAGUGUUGGCUUCAAUAUCCAAAAGAGCAAAGUCAUUGCAAGGGCACCUCAAGGCUGGAAACAGAGGGGUCAUGAAGGGCCGGUUGAUGGUGUAACUACCAGGAGUGUUCAUAAAGGAAUUGAAAAUAGAGCUACUGGAAGUGGUAGGGAGCCUCCUACCCCUCCACCACUAUAAUGUUAUUGAUAAGUUGGAAUGUCGGAGGGCUUAAUAGCCCUCUGAAGCAACAUGAAAUGGUAAAUCUCAUGAAGAAAAGCAAAUGUGAUGUGUGUGGCCUUUUAGAGACUAAGCUAGUUUCUUCCAAGCUUCAAUUCAUGCACAAGUUUAGAUUGAAGCAUUGGAGGUUUUUUUCUAAUGUUGAAAUUGCUGGUACUGCUAGGAUUGUUGUUCUGUGGAAUCCUUCUAGUGUAAUUGUUGAUUUAAUUAAUUCAUCUCCCCAAGCUCUACAUAACUCGGUGCGUAGCUUGGAAAAUCAACACGCUUUUGUAGCCACCUUUGUGUAUGGGUACAAUACAGUUAUUGCAAGAAGAUCUUUAUGUGAUCACCUUAGAUAUGGGCUCCAGCAUGUCCUUGGAUUGUAUUAGGCGAUUUCAACUCUAUUCUAUCACAAGAUGAUAAACACAAAACGAGGAACCUGUUACUAACUAUGAAGUGUCUGAUUUCAGAGCGUGUUGUUCAGACUUGGGGCUCUCUGAUUUGAAUUACACCGGCUGCCACUACUUCUGGUCAAAUGGGAAAAUCUGGACAAAGAUUGAUCGUGUGUUGGUCAACCCCAUGUGGAGUAGCCUUCAGAUUCAGUCCUAUGUGAAAUUGAUUUGGAGCAUCACCAAUCCCUAUUCCAUGAUGACAGGGAUAACAUUACCCUCUUGGAAAGAGAAAAGCAAUUAAGGCUGGAACUUAUGAACCUCAAAGCUGUGUUUUUUGCUUAGAAACUUAAAUGCAACUUCUUCAAGGAGAGUAACAAGGGCACUAGCUUUUUUCAUGCCUUGAUGAGCCAAAGACACAAAAGAAAUUACAUUUCAGUUAUCCAAUGUAGUAAUGUUGGUAUUACUACCUCUCUAGAUGAAGUCAGAGCAGAAUUUGUUAGAUACUACAGUGAGCUUCUUGGAACCCCAAAGGCUACAAUCCCUAUUGAUGCAGAUGUUCUUCAUUGCGGGCCGUGUCUUGAUGACAGGUAUCAUGAUUUUCUCUUGGCCCCUGUAUCUAGUGAUGAUAUCAAGACAGCUCCUUUUGGUAUUGGUAAUGACAAAGCUCAUGAGCCUGAUGGGUACUCAUCUCUCUUCUUCAAGAAAUCAUGGGAUACAGUUGGGGAAGAUUUUUGUGCGGCAGUGCGUGAUUUCUAAAUUUCUAGCAAGCUACUUAAGCAGAUCAAUCAUUCCAUUAUAGCUUUGGUCCCUAAGUCUGCUAAUGUUACUUCUGCGAAUGACUUCAGACCUCUCUUUUGUUGUAAUGACUUCAGAUCUCCGAACUCUUAGCUGAGAGAAUGGCCCUUGUCCUCAAAGACAUUAUCAGUCCAAUUCAAAAUGCUUUCCUGGGUGGGAGAAACAUGGCUGAUAAUAUUAAUCUGAUUCAAGAACUCCUAUGGCAUUAUGGCAGGAAAAGAGUCUCCCCAAGGUGCCUUGUUAAAAUUGAUUUCAGGAAAGCCUUUGAUUCGGUUCAAUGGCCUAUCCUCAGAAGGCUCCUCCAGCUGCUGGGUUUCCCUCUCAGAUUUUUUCAUCUGGUAAUGAUGUGUGUCGAAACCUCAUCAUUCUUUAUGGCUAUCAAUGGUGACCUUUAUGGGUUCUUUACAGGAAAAUGUGGGGUUAGACAAGGCGACCCUUUGUCUCCUUAUCUCUUCAUAACCUGUAUAGAGUACUUCUCUAGAAUGUUGAAAUUAGCAUCCCAAAGGACUGAUUUUCAUUUUUAUCUGAAGUGUGCUUCUAGUGGAAUUUGCCACCUUGCCUUUGUUGAUGAUAUACUUCUUCUCUCCUGAGGGGAUAGAACUUCGAAUCUUUGGAAAGACUUCAGGGUUGACUAUCAAUGCAGAAAAAUCUUCCAUUUAUUUUGGAGGGGUCGGAGAAAGCUUGAAACAAACCAUUCUCCAGGAUACUCAAUUCUCAAAAGGUAGUUUUCCCUUCAAAUAUCUUGGUGUUCCUCUCAGUCCUCAUAAGCCGCUGGCAAGUCAGUUCCCCCCCCUGCAUAAGCUUGAAUCAACAAUCCAGAGCUGGAUGGGGAAGCAUUUAUCUUAUGACAGGAGGAUUGAAUUAAUACGAUCAGUGCUAUAUGGAAUGGUGCAAUUUUAGCUUAGUAUAUUCACUGUGCCAGGUCUGGUCAUAAAUCAAAUCAUUUGCAUUUGCCGAAACUUUUUGUGGGCAAUACCUUGAGAAACAAGUCUGCUUCGGUAGCUUGGAAAGAUGUUUGUUUUCCCAAGAAUGAGGGUAGUUUGGAUUUGUUUGAUAUAAAGGCUAGAAACAAAUGCUUCCUAGCCAAACAGCUUUGGAACAUUCACCUUAAAACUAAUUAUGUUUGGAUCAAAUCGGUGCAUCAAUACUUCUUGAGACAUCACUCCAUCUGGAAUGCUUCUCUUCAGCGAACCUCAUCACCUCUAUGGAAGUCCAUUCUAUCCAUCAGGAAUCAGCUACUAGGGGAUUGUGGGGGUGAAUCUGAAGCCAUCUCCAUGAUGAGAAGUUGGGAAAUUUGUGAUGGGCCCUUCGCUGCUAAUACUUAUGAAUACCUCAGAGUUAAAGGUAUUUCAUGUGUCCUAGAAUAAUGUAGUUUGGGAAUAUUGGUGCUUACCUAGACACAGCUUCAUUUUAUGGUUGUCUAUGUUAGGGAGACUAAGAACAAGGGAUCGGUUAAGAUUCAUUGGGACAGAAACGCAUUGUGUGCUAUGCCGGCAUCAUGAUGAUAAUCAUAGCCAUCAGUUGUUUUUCGCCUGCAAUUGGACCUCUAUUCUGUGGAGGAAGAUAAGGGCAUGGUUAAGAAUAAAUAGGCGUAUGGCUACCUUGAACAGUGCAACUAGAGGAUUAAGCACUAGGAAGAAGAAUCUUGAAGCUAGAAUGAGAAGAGUCUCUUUAAGCAUUACUGUUUAUUUGAUAUGGGAAGAAAGGAAUAAAAGGAUCUUUGAUAACACUUAUAAUUUAGUGGAACUCAUCUUCCGCAAAUUUCAAGUGUUUUUCCAUAUGAUCUUACAUUUCCAUGAGAAAAACCACCUUAUAUUCAAUAUUGGGUGAAGGCUAAGGAAUUGGCUGGUUCGGCAGGUUUGUUGGCUGGACAGUCUGCCAAGUUACCAUUUGAUAAUUACUGAGCUGCAUUUGCCUUGCUACGGGACCUCUGUCAUAAGAAUUCCUGAUGAUUGUCUAUCCUGUGUGAUGCUGCUUUGCUGGGUGGAAGCUUCUUCAUUCAGCUGUUAUAUUAUAUUAUAAUGCAUGGGACUGGAUAGAUGGAUGAGGUCCUUCAUAAUGUUAUGUUGGCUAUUUGGUGCAAUUUAUUAGACCCCUGUUGGUGUACCGGGCAUGCUGGUGACCAGGACAGUAUAGGCUUCCUUGUCUUGGCUGGCACUGUCCGGCUGGUGUUCCUUUUUUUUUUUUUUAUGGUGGUUUAUACUGCUGAUCAGUUGGAGUCAUGGCUGAGGUGAUGCAUUUAAUAGUCGAUGUAGAAGUGUUAGAGCUUCCGGCUUCUUCAUUACUUGAUCUGCUUCUUGGAAGUUCUGUAGGUUCUGUGAUCAUGUAUGUUGAUGUGGCCUUUUCAUUCAGCUCAAUGUUAUUCCAGUUACAAUGAAAGAAUGGAAAUGAGGGAUGGAGGUGGUUCUCCUAUGUGGUAUGCACAUGUGUGCAGGGGACGCUGUAAUCAUGCUUUGUCGGUGCCUAUGCAUAUGGAAGCCUGUAUGCUUAUGGCUUGAAUCCCGGUGUUCUUGCUGGGUCAAUGGAGCUGCCUCCAUUGCUGGGAUUAGCACUAGGAAAUUCAUUUCUCUCAGCUGUUUGUUGUUGAUAUAUGUAAUUAUAAAAAAGUUUCUGUUUGCGCUCAAUGGGUAUUGAUGGGAUUUCCGGGAUAACCUCUGUUGCUCCUAGGUUUUAGAUUGCUAGUUUUGUCCUUUGGGGAGCAUGUUCCCCAUGUCUGUUUAUUAUGUUUUCUGUACAGAACUAGCUGGUCCUUCAGCUUUGCCUAUUUUUGAUCUAUAAUACAUACUUACAUUUUGAUUUAAAACCCAUAGCAAUUGGGGAUGUGAAAGGGCUCAAUCAACUCUUAUAAUAAGAGAAGAACCUGAAUUAACAUGUUUUAGUUGCAAUGUUCGAUUUCAUUUUAAAUGCUAUUUUCUAUUUAACAAAAAUAAAAACCAUCAGAUUAUACACACAAAUCUAAACUGUUCAGAGUAAAAAAAAAAAGUAACAUGCUUCUCUUAUCCAGAUUUUCCACACAAAAAAACACAAUUUUUCAAUUUUAUUUUUAUUAUUCUUAUACAUAUAAUAAAAUAAGUUAUAAUUAUUCUUUAACAAACUAUUUUUUAAUGUUAUUCUAUGCAUAUAAAACUUAUUACUUGACAAUUUUUAUACUUUUAACUAUUAUAAGAAAAAACAAUUAUUAAGAAAUAAAUUCAUAAUUAAAUAGAAAAUUAUUUUUUUACUAUUAUUUCAAGUCUUAGAUAUAAAGAAAAUAUACAGAUUAAUGUGUAUAUUUUUACAUGAAAUUAAAAUAUAUUUUAUUGUAUUAAAAAACUAUUUAAAAGAUAUGUAAAAAAAAAUUGUAUAAGAAAUACAUAUAAGCAUAAAUCAUAUGUCAAGCAUAAGAAAUACAUAUAAGCAUAAAUCAAAUAUUUUCUUUAAUUCAUUCCAUCUCACCUUCUACCAUCGAAUAGAGGAAUAAACACAGAUUUUUAUCUUGUCUACCUUGCCAGACACAAAUCAUUCUCGUCCUCAGCGUUCUCAUUUACAUAGUUCUGUCUCUUACAUCUUAUCUCUCUAAGAAACACAAUAACAACAACAAUAAUAACAACAACAACAAGAAUAAUAAUAUUGUUAUUCAACACGUCCCCGAGCCUUUCCUAUCUUUACUAAUUUUUUAUAAAAAUAUAUGAUUUGUUAUUCAAUAUUUUAGCAGGUGACAUUAUCAUUUAAUAUUUGUGAUAGAGUAGAAAAAUGUUUAUGAUAUAAUAUUCUACUCUAUCACAAAUAUUCAUAUCUAUUCAUUUUAUCAUGUAUUUCGUUUCUUUACAAAUAUAUCAACACAAAUAUUAUUUUGUAAUGGAAAAACAUGGGGAUUCAGAAUUAAGAGGAAGGAUUUGAAAGUUAAAAGGAGAGAUUUAGGAGAGUUUCUGUAGGGAUUUGGAUUUUACUAACGGAAAAGACAAAGAUUCAGAAUUAAGAGGGACUUCAAAAGAAGAGAUGUAGGAGGGUGUUUGAAGGGAUUUGAAUUUAAAUAGUCCGUUACAAAUUGAUUUUUUUUGGUAGAUUGGUUUUGUUGAAUGAUAAGGCUGUUGUGUGGCUAAUAUGGUGUGGUUUAUGUUGGGUAUGGCUGAGGGUAACUGGAAGAGGGGCUGUUGUGGUUGAUGGGGGUUGGCAGCAAUUAUUUUGGGGCUGUUGAGUGGUGGUUCGUGACUGAAAUUGACAGGACUUGGGGAUUGUUUGGGCAGCAUUGUGGUUGUUAGAUCUGAUGCUGCUGUACAGUGGACGUGGUGUGUAGGAUGAGUUUAGAAAGUCGCGGUUUUGUUGGACAGCAAGGUUGUGGUUUUUGCACUGGAUCGAUUGGUUGUAGAAACAACCAAAAAAUACCUGUUCUCUGAUACCAAAGCUGAUGUUGGACAUAUAAAAUUGAACAAAAGUAAGAGGAGAAAAAAGAAAGCUAAGAUGCAGAAGAAGAGAAGAAAAGCAGAUGACGAAGAGAAAGAAAAGGAGGAGUUGGAGAAGAGGAGAAAAUAUUAGAAGAAAGAAAAGGGAAGAACGAGAUAGAAGAAGAAAAGGAGAUGUAAAAAGAAAAAAAGGAGCUAGAGAAGAAAAGGAAGAUAGGAGGAGGAGAAGAGAUGGGAGAAGAGAAGCAUGUCACUUUUCUUAUUUCAUCAUCAACAAUCUCACCAUAAUGUAGAAAAUUACAUCUAAAUCAUCAGAACAAAGAAACCCUAGUAAAAAAAAAAUAGGCUUAUGGCACACUAAAUAAAAUGUCUAAUAAAUCAAUAUAAAUUAAGCCCAAUAAUAAUGGGUUGGACUAUACUCCGUUACCAAGUCUUCAAAUGCAAUUAUGCAUCUCUUAAUAAAACCUACACAAUAGCCUACUAAGGUUUUAUGAUGCAAUAAAAUAUUAAUUCUUUUGUACCCAAUUUUUUCCCGUCAAGAUCAUAGAGAAGGCAGUGACAAAGUUCAAUUGCGCUAAACCCUCUUAAGCAUGCUUCACCCAAUUACAAAUUGCAGUCCUCAAACUAAGUAUGUGGAUGGAGCUAAGGUAGAAGAUUUUCAUAGGAGAGCCGAGGCAACUACACAACGGACAUGAAACUAGGGUUGCAAGUCAUAGCGGGAAGGGGGCAAACUAAGGAGGUCUUGGUGGACAUUUCAUGCACAGUAAACCAUCUUAAUUCUGAGAACAAAAUACUCAUUCUCCCCAAUAGAAUAGCUGCUGUGAUAGUCAGCAUAUUCUGAAAGCACAUUAUAAGAACCCUAAAAUCUAAUGCGGAUUUGCCACCAAAUGUGUGUGGAUUACGUCAUAACUAUUUAUUUUCAAAAUAGUCAGGGUUAUUGAUAACGAAAAUAAUUAUUCAUGAAGUAUAACAUUAUUAGUGAUAUCGUUUCACACAUGCUCCUCGUCAGUAUAUACCAAAGAAACAAAUUAAUCUUUUCGCUAAUUGCAUGGGGAAAAAAAACAAGAAUUAUUAGCUUUCAUACUACAGUGAAAUACGGGGAUACAGUUGUUGCUCAUAAAUUAAUCUUUUGUCCUAAUUGUACUUGUAAGUAGAUCACACCACGCUAUUGAUCACAAUGAAUGAAUACACUGAGCACGUAUCAUUACCUAUGAGGUGGUGGCAAGACCAUACUAUUUACCUCCAGCACCCAACUUUUAAUUUGUCCAAUUCAAGACAGUCAGCUUGAUAUGCUGAAAUUCCCAUGUCACUGAAAAGAUCAGAUAGCAGCUCAAAGUUAGCAAAUCCACUUGGAUGGUACAGAAUCUACUAUCUAAUAUGACCAAUGUAAUAGCAAAAUCAACCCCUAGCAUAAUAAAAGCAUUAGGAUAUGGUUCAGAUCCCUCUUGCAUUCCAGCAUAUAAACAGCUGAACACCAAUUCACAGUGAACAAGAAACCACAACAUGACAUGCUAGAGCUUCCAAAUAUGAGGGGGAUUGGGGAAAGGAUCUUGCUUGGCAAAAACUAGAUGAAUAACCCAUCCUUCAAUUCUUUUUACCCAUUCAUCAUCCAUCCCUCCCCUGACAUACACAGCCUUAUGGAUUUGGCAAAUUACAAAGAUGGGCAUGGCCUUAGAUAUAAGUUGCAAUGGACAGCAAUAAGUGAUCCAUCCCCCUCUAAACUCAGAGCAACUUGAUCUCUCUAAUCUUGGUGGCGUUUAUAAAAUUAAUACAGAAAACAGUUUAUAACCUGACCUGAGGGUAACAAUCUUGAUGCUCUACUGUCUGAUUAUUUGUAUUCACAAACACUUGACAUGAUACUCUUCCCUGAAACAUUUCAAAAACUCAGAUUACUUACUAAAGCAGCACGAAGAAGAAAUUAAAAUUAAAAAAAAAUGACUUACAUUGAUGGGAAUUUUGAAAAGCAAGAGGCCAAGGUCUCCUUUAACCUGUGUAUCAGUAUCGAAAAUAAUAACACCUCUAGCCAAAUCCUGAAUCAAAUAAAAAACAUCCUUUAUAACCUCAAGACCAUUUAAAUCAAGCCUUGCAUCCACAUACGAACUCCUUCUCGCUCUGAUUUUCCCUCCCUUUGAAUUCACAAACCCUAGCUCUCUCCCUCUGUACCCAACCGAAACUACAAGAGAAUCGUAAUCCAGAGAGAAGAAAUCCCUGUUUUCAACUUUAAUUGUGAGGGAGAAUGAGACGUCCAGAGUAAGUUCAGGGGACGAGUUCACUCGGAUGUGGUUGAGUUUGAUUCGGGAUAGUUGGAUCGCCGGGUCGGAAGGGUAGAGGAGGUAGGCGGCGGCCGAGAGGAGGAGGAUUGCGGUUGUGAAGAGGAGACAGCGGCGGAGGAUGUGGUUUGGAGGUCGAUGGUAGUAGGAGAGAACGAUGACGUUUUGGGGAUAGGAGUCCGGGUGGGAAGGUAGAGAGGUGUACGGUACGGAGGAGGUUUUUGAAGUCAUGGUCGAAUUAUCUUGUCGAGUUCUGAUCCGUUCCAAAAAGUUUAACAGAACAUUACUCCUUUGUGUAUGCGCGAAGGUUGGUGUCCCUGAUGACGUGUCAAGUUAUUAUUGAUUUCUUCAGUUCACCAAGAAAAGAAUUAUAAAGAUAAUUUUCUCCUUGCAGUUUACUAGAGGCUCCACUUUAGCAAUUAUUAAAUUAAAUAGGUGGCACUUGUUGGGUUUUUUCCAACAGAAAAGAUAAUAUUAAGUAUUUUAAAAAAUAAAAAAUAAAAAUUAAAAAUUGAUUCAAUUGAAUUGUCCAAACCUUAAAAGGGCUUGAGGCAUGAGGUCCAGGCACAAAACAAAAGGAUUGUCCCAAAUGUAUAGCACUCCUCCGUCUUAAGUAAAGCACCAGAACAGGAGAGGAUCCCAGCAGGAAACUUAAAAAGACUUACAGUAUAGAAAGUUUUUUUUUUUUUAAAAAAAAAAAAAAAAACCUAGAAAUUAAAGAGAAGGUCAACAUCUCACAUCAAGCUUUGUGUUUAGUGUCAUUUUUGGAGUCUUGAGGACAAGCUUUUGUUAGGUCGUGGGAGCAGCUGUUACAUUUGAAGAAGGUAGUAUGGAAUGGACUGUGGUUGGGAAAGAUUUUGUGUGUCUUGGCUGCAAGAAUGGGUUCUGAGAAGGCUAGCACUUAGGCAACUUCCUCGGUUCUUAAAGGAUGAACAAGGGGAACAAUUUGGGGUGAAUGUUUAAAAAUCAGACGUCUGUUAGAUGGGAAUUAUGUUAAAUUAAAGCCUUUUUUAAUUUGCCCUGUAAACUUUCAAAACCUUUCAAUUAAGCCCAGAAUUGUCUAUAAUUUAAAAUAUCCUUGCAAUUUCAUCCUAACCUUCUUCAAUUAGGCCCCUAUAUUUCAUCUUCUUUUACAUAAUGGUCCUUAUUCUAGGGUUUCUUUGAUUAAGUCAUCAAUUAACCCCUUACACUUCUAAUUCUUUCAUUUUUACCCUUGAUUAGUCAAUAAACCCCUAUAUUUUUUUGCAUCCUUUUCAUUCAUUCUAAUCAUUGGAUUAAUUUAUGUAAAUUGACUCCCAAACUUUAAUUUUUAUUCAAUUAAGUUUAUAAUUGCAUUAAUUAGGCCAAUCCAAAGCUCAAUUAAGUCCGUAAGCUUGUUGAUUCUUCCAUUUUUCACAAAAUUGACUUCAAACUUGAUUUUCCUUUCAAUUAAGCCCUUUCAAAGUUCAACCAGGUCCUUAGUUUUUCCAAUUUUAGCAAGUUUGCCCCCAUCUCCAACUUUCUCCUUAAUUAGACCCUCAACUAUCAAAAAUUUUCUACCAAACUUUGCAACCUUGUCCAUGUUGGUCCUCAAACUUCUAAUUUAUGCAGUCUUGACCAAUUUCAGUCUAUUUUUCAAAUUUUCUUCAUCAAGACCCCAUAUUAUCUAUCCAUUUGGCGUUCUAAACAACUAGGAAUUAAAUGUGUGCCCAAUUAUGAUUCAAAUUACUACUACUACUACUAUAAAUUUUGAUUUUUUUGGUAAAUAAAUUGAAUAUUUUUUUGCAAGAAAAAUAUUUUCUACAUGAAAAAUGAAAACUUUUAGGGGAACUAAAAAUUGUAUUAUGACAAUUGCUAUGACUCUUCUCUUAUUGUUCUUGGAUGAAAACAUUAUAAUGAAAUUAUCAUAGUAAAUUCUCAAUUGUUUGGAAAUUGUGUCAACAACUUCAAGCCCCGGGAUAUAGCUACUCAACCAUAUAGCUUGUAAUUUCACUUUAAAGAGUGAAAUAAACUCUACUUUAGUCCUAAAAGUAUCAACCAAAGAUCAAUUUGCACUUCUCUAAGAAAUGCCCCCUCCAACUAAUAAGAAGACAUAUCUUGAUAUUGACUUUCUUAAGUCAAGACAACCAACAAAAUUAGAAUUUGAAUAUAGAAUUGCUUCUAGAUGAUCAAAUUGUCUAUAUAUAAAUUUGUAGUCUUUAGUAACUUAAAGGUAUCAUAUGAAUUUCUUUGUAGCUCUCCAAUGGUCCAAACCUAGAUUACCUUGAUAUUUUCCCAAUAUUCCAACUAUAUAUGUAAUACUAGGUCUUCUGCAAACCUAAUCAUACAUUAAACUCCUAAGCAUAAAAGCAUAAGGAAUGUUCAUUUGCUCCCUCUUUAAUUGUAUUUUCGAUGCAUUUACUCCCAUUUCAUAAUUUUCAAUGCCUUUUCAAUAAAUCAAAUUUAAAGAAAUAAGUUUACGAUGCAUUCAUGUCCAUUUCAUAAAUCUUGAUUGCUUUUUUUAUCGAAUUAAUGUUAACGUUGUUUUUUGAAAACAACCAAAAUACAAAAAAAAUCAAAAAAUCAAAAUAGGGUGCAAAAUGGUCAAGUGAGAAAAAGUACAGAACAAGAAAAAUGAAGGACUAAAAACAUAUAUAAUAAAGAUAUUCUUAGGAUAUACCUAGAGCAAGGGAUCAAAAUAAAAAUGUUUUCAAGUAAAGAAGUGUAAAUAGAAAAAUGAAUAAUGUGAAAGGAGGGGGAAGCAAAAGAAAAACGAGAGAAACCCUAGCCAUUAUAGGAAGAGAUAAAGAAAGAAAAAUAAAGUGAAAGAGGGGAGGAAAGUAUAGCUGAAAUUUGAGAGAAAAACCUUAGCCAUAAAAAAAAAAAAGGAAAAAAACCCUCAUCUUCUUCCCCUCUCCCAUAAAAAACAAAACCCUAGCCACCAAAAGAAAAAACCAAGCUUCUAUAUGAAAAAAUAAAGAGAAGAAAAGGAGCAAAAAUUAUCCAUGUCCUUCCUUAUAAAAACCUAAUAUAUAUUUCUCUCAUUUCUUUUGUCCACCAACUUCGGCUGACCAUCCAUACCUUUCAUUGAUCACCAUGAACUCUUUCAUGACAUCCCUAACAGAACAAUACCUAUGAUAGCCAUAAAUAAAUAAAUAAAAGUGAGAAAAACAAAAAACGAAAUAUCAAUAAAGGAUAAAAUGAGACAACAUAGCAAUCAAAACUUCAAGUCGUAUGAUCUCUGUUUAUCACCGAUGGUGACCUAUACUGCCUCUAUUAGGAGGAAGAAUAUGGGAUGGCAUAACCUGUGAGACAAUCCAUAUGCCUCCCCUUCUUAUUAUUAAGCCCAAAAAUAUCUUUUAAGUAAAGCUAUCUAGAAAAAACAACAUCAAUGGCAAAAAAAAAAGGCCAAAACUCUUCGGGCACCAAUCUCUUUUUAUGAACAAUGGUGACUUACACUGCCAUUAUUAGGAGGAAGUUGAGGAAAUAGUGCAACAUCUAGACCCAUUCACAUGCCACCUCUCUUAUCUGGUAACCAGAACAAUGUGAUGCAAUCCUAGUCAUCACUACUAACUUUUCUUGCAUUGUUUUGCCACUUCCACCUAUUGUUUUAGCUUUUUUUAUUCACCUUAGCCACCCUAGAAGGUUUAUUUUGAACCCUAAACAUCUUUCAAAUUAUUAUUUUUGUUUAUGGUUGAUUUGGAUAUGUAUUGUGGUGAAUUAUUUUAGAUUUGAAUGAAUUUUUAGGUCAUGUUUUUAAAGCUUUCAAACAACCAUUAAUGCUUUUUAAAUAGAAAGAGAUAAUAGAAAUGUCAAAGGGACAAAAGUGUUACAAAAGAGAGAUAACAAAUAAUCAAAUGAAAAAUUCAAAUGAUCAAGUUAAAAAAAAGUUAAAAAAAUGAUGAUGAAAAAGGAAAGACAAACAACUCUAUAAAUUGUCUUUAUGAUGGUGAAAAGUCCAAACUUGAAGACAAAAUAUCAAUGAUAAAACACAAGAUACAAUUUGGAGAUUGGAGGUUGUAAUGAGAUCAAUCAUUAAAAUGAAAAAAAAUCAAUUCAACAAGCCUAAAAAUAUCUUUACACAGGACAAAUAAUCCUUAGUAUUUGAACCUUUACACACCAUUUGAGUAUCAUGUAUUCUUUCUUUCAUGAUCAUGAAUCAUAUCUUACAUUAUGUGUCUUAAAAAGUCAUUUCGAAUAAAAAACAUGUGUUAAAAGGUGUCAGCUUAAAAAACAUUACCUGUUUGUGCACCAUAUUCUUAAUGAUAUCAAAUUAUGCGAUUUUUACUACUCAACAUAACAUAAAGUAAGAUGCUCUCCUUUCAAAAACCAAAAAUAUAAUUUUGGAAUCAAACAUUUUCUUUCUGAAAUAACCCCCUGUUGGAAAGGAAAUUCACAACAAAAUCUUGAGAUACCAUACUUUCUCAAAAUCCUAAUCAUCUUAUACCUCUUCAAUUGUCAAAACAAUAAUCUUAGCGUUGAAAGAUGUGUUUGUUAGUAAAUAUGUCAUGUAACUAAUUGGUUAAGUACAUGUAACAAUAAUUUUAUUCAUGUAUUAUUCAUGUAAAAUAUAUUUAUUAUUAAUAAAGGCUUUGUUUGUCUUUAAUAUUCAUUUACAUUUGAUUAAUGAAUCUAAGUUUAUUUAAUGAAUCUAGAGUAAAGAUAAAGUUCAUGGGAUAAAAAUGUUUUACUAAGGAAAUUAUAAAGUUGUUAUAAUUAUGAAAUUUUUAUUGCAUCAAAGCAUUGUUUCUAAAUAUUAAUGGUUGAUGUUCUAUUAAGAAUGAAUAUUAAUUAGAGUUGUUGAGAGUGAUACAUAUUACAUUCAUUCUUUUAGAAAAAGAAGUAGUUCCUCUCAUAAACUAAAGUAUGAGAGAUACCUAGAACUAAUAUAUAGGUGCUUUACAUAUGACAUAUAUACUGAACUGACUCAUAAGAGAAUCUCAUAUAGAGAGAUCAUAUAAGUCUACGAAAAAACUUUCGUGAUAGUUGUGUAAAUAAUCCUUAGACUUUAGAUCACUAAGUUAUCUUAUAUAAGGAUUGUUAUGCUUUGAUCCUAACCACAUGUCAUCUUAAUCAAGGGUAACAAACAAAUAUAUAUUUGAUAUAACAUAAACUAUAUAACGAUAUUUGAGUAAUCAAUAGUAUUGAAUGUGAAAUCUUUGACCAAGAUGGAAUAAGUUUUCCAAGUGGGUUGAUACUAGAACUUGAUAAUUGUUAUUUUGUUUCAGUACUUUCUAGAAAUAAUAUAUCUAUUUCGUACUUAGCUUUGAAUGGAUUUAUAUUUAUGAUUGAAGGCAAAUGUUAUUCUUUUUAUAAUAAUGGUUUUUUUUUUAUUAAUCUAGUGAUUAUACAAAUAGUUUAUAUAUAGUUGAUUUUGAAAUGCUAAUGUUCAAUAUAAACUACAAGAAAAAUGGACUAGAUAAUCAAUAUCAUUUAUAUUUAUAGCACUAUAAACCAGGUCAUAUUAAUAAAACAAGAAUCACUAAGUUACAUAAAAAAAGAUAUUUUGAUCUUUUUUAUUAUAAAUCGUGUGAAACUUCUGAAGCUUGUUUAUUAGGUAAAAUGACUACAACACCCUUUUAUUGGAAAGAGUAAAAGGUCUAAAGAAUUGUUAGGUUUAAUACAUACAAAUAUAUAGGACCAAUGACGAUUCAUACCAUAGACAAAUAUACUUAUUUCAUUAUAUUUACUGAUAACCUUUCUAGAUAUGAUUAUGUAUAUUUAAUGAAACAUAAGUCUAAAUCAUUUGAAAGAUUCAAAGAAUUCAGAAAUGAAGUUGAAAAACAAACACAAAAGAAUAUCAAAAUACUUUGAUCGGAUCAAGGUGGUGAACCCUUGAGCCAAGUUUUUCAAGAUUAUUUAAAAGAUAAUGGCAUUCUCUCACAAUGGAAACCUCUUUGAACACCACAACUUAAUGGAGUUUCUAAAAGGAGAAAUCUUAUCUUAUUGGAUAUGGUACAGUCCAUGAUGAGCUAUGCAGACCUUCCAUUUUCAUUUUAGGAUUAUACCCUGCAAACUGUUGGUUACCUUUUAAAAAAGAUUCCAUCAAAAUCUGUUGAUAAGACUUCAUAUGAGAUAUGGAAUGGUAAGAGACCAAACUUAUCAUCUUUAAAGAUUUAGGGAUGUAACAUUUAUAUGCAUAUAGUAUCGCAAAAGCUAGGAGCAAAGUCAAAUAAUUAUAAGUUUGUAGGAUAUCCAAUACAAUCUAUUAAAUAUUAUUUCUACCAUCCCAUUAAGCAAACAUUGUUUGUCUUAAAAUAUGCUACCUUUCUAGUGAAACAAUUUAUUCUUAAAAUGAGUAGUAGGAGAAAAAUAAAACUUAAUAAAGUUCAAGACCAUAAAAAACAUCCAAAUAUAACAAAAGCCCAAGGUUAUAACAUUUUAUGUUUAGUCUAAAACUAAAAAAAAUAAGAACUUUUUAGAUUUGGUAGGACACAUCAUGCACUAUUGAGAUAUCAACUUCUUGUGAAAGUUGAUGAUGACGAGAUGCUUAUACUUGAUGAGCUUACCAAUUAUAUAGAAGUAAUAUAUAAUAUUGAUUCUAAGAAAUGGCUUAAAGCCAUGAAAUCUAAAAUGGAUUCCAUAUACACCAACUAAGUAUGGACUUUGGUUGCUUAAUCUGAAAGGAUAAACCCCAUUGAUGUAAGUAGGUCAUUAAGAGAAUGAUUGACAUGGGUGGCAAUGUACAAAUAUAUAAAGCUAAACUAGUUGUUAAAAGUUACAAAAAAAAAAAGAAAAAAGAUUGACUUUGAUGAAACCUUCUUGUUGGUAGAUAUGUUCAAGUCCAUAAGAAUUUUACUUGUUAUAGUUGUAUACCAUGAUUAAGAGAUUUGAUAAAUGGAUGUCAAAAUCAUAUUAUGAAAUGGGAAUAUUCACAAAGAUAUGUAUAUGACACAACCUGAAGGUUUAAGAAAUUUACCAACAAAGUAUGCAAGCUAUAAAAAUCCAUUUAUGGACUUAAACAAGCUUCAAAGAAUUGGAAUAUAUGUUUUAAUGAGAAAAUCAAACAAUUUGAAUUCAUAAAAAAUAUGGACAAACCUUGUGUUUAUAAAAAGGUUAAUGAGAGUUGAGUUGUUUUUUUUUUUAUCAAAUGGAAGAAAUUUUAUAGAUCAAAACGAAACUAAGUUGGAAGACCAGCGAGUCAAAGAUACAAGCAUAUACAAUCUAAUGAAAAUGAACAUACGAGAACAAGCUCCCAAUAUGAACAUAGUGAACAAAAAGAAACAAUGUACAACCAAAGUAGCAGUUAAUGGGAACAUAAAACACAUGCUAGAACCAGCAUGAGUAAUAAGCUCCCUAAAUAGAGGCUGGAACCAGGAUGAGCAAAGGUGAAUACCAUAACUGCCCAAGAUAAGCAAGUAUAACAAAUUAAAGCUCACAACAGAUAAAAGUAAGAAAACCAUCACAGAAGCCAUCUUGUGCCACAAGGCAUGGUAACCGACCAAUGAACAAUAGACCAGCCAACACAACGUGCAGGAGCCAUGGCAAGCACAACUAUCCAGUGCAAUGGAUCACAUAUUAGUAUGAGCUCCACUGGGUACAGCCCAACAGACGACAUCACAACGAGCUUACAUGCACAACUCUACAUGUAACAACAACCAAAGAGAAACAAAGCUAGAGACUAGCAAGUUCAAAUGUACAAUAAACACUAAGUAACAAAGGGAACAUGCCUCCUUGAACUAGAAUUAAAUCCAUAUACAGAACAUGAUGUAAAACCAAAACAAGACUACAUAAAACAACGUCAAAAUCCAAUUGAGUCAUAAAGAAGGAGACAGGGAAUAUGAACCCUCAUGUCUGCCCUAAAGCCUAUUGCCUGUCAUAGACCGAACCUUUGUAGAACCACUACCUUUACAGAGAACAGCAACAUCAGUCUUCGCAUGUUGGCCAGCAUUUGCAAUACCAGCAGCCCUGCUACAUCAUAUAUUUUUUCCUGCCUCUAGGGGGCUCUUCUCUUGUAACAAAAGCCACAUCCUACAUAGAAUCAUCAAUAACAUGCAUUAUUUUCGAAGGAGCACAAGACACAGUACCUGGGAGGGGGGAGAUAUGUACUACUGGCCCAACUUCAGCAUAGUUAGCCUUUUACGCCUAGGAUCUGCAACCCAGCUAUCAACCAUCGCCGCCACUUCAGCACGCAUCGGAUCCAUACAUGGUUCUCUAUGGGAUCUGCCACUAUAUACCUAUUGUGUUCCACAGCAACAGUCUCAACAGAAGGGACAAAACUAAAACAACCAGAAUUUCGAUGAGGCUUUGCAGGAGUGGAAGCUUCCUGGGUGUGCUUCUUACGCUUAUUACUACCAAUUCUGGUGCAUGUAGAAUCAGUAUGACCAAGAACCUGAUAAUGCUUGCAAAACCGAGGGAUGGACUUAUACACAAUCAAUUGCAAUAAAAGCAUUCCAUUGGGCAAGACAAAAUUGAUAGAAUUAGGCAAAUCAACAAGCAAAUCCACCUCUAUUAAUACUCUAGCAUACGAAAGUCGAGACAUUAAAGUGGUGAGCAUAUCAUAAUGAAUAGGUUUACCAAUCACACUAGCAAUUUUAGAUAAACAAGUUGGAGACCAACAUUUAAGGGGAAGAUUGGGAAAUCUAAUCCAAACUAGCACCCUAGACAUAUGAGUUGCAGUAAAGUCAAAGUAUUCAGGCAUAGUUUUUAGGACCAAAGGCCGGCCAAAAACAGACUAAGGGCCACCACUGAGAACGACAACCUUGUCAGCUUCAGAGAAGAUGUAUAUAUCAGCCAACCAGAAUCAUGUAUAGUUAGCUUAGCAUUGCAAUUCCAGGAACUAGAAAUUAGGUUAUUUAAAGCAGUAAAACCCAAAAAUUUCCUAGCAACAUAGCCAAUAAUGCAUAGUUUCCACAAAUCCUUAUUAUUGCCAAGAUCAGCAUCCAUCAUAUGACAUGAUGUAGCAUAGUCAAAAUCAGGAUAAUGCACUAAGGACGGAGACUCACUCCAAUCAUCUACAAACGAUUUACCUGGUGGGAAGCCAAUAGAGGCUCUACCAUGGUCUCCAUGAGGGGCAUUAGCAUCUUCCGCAAGAAGCGGAAUGCAUGAAGAGUCAACACCAGACGAAAAAGGAACCUUAGAGGGACGGGGGAGCUGAGGGACUCGGUUCAGAGCCAGGAGAGUGUCCAUACCCAAAGCCGAAGGGAAGGGAAGAACCAACAUCAGCAUCCGAACAAGAUUCAGCAGUUACUAGGUUAGGACCAAGGGAACCAGACCCAGAUAGAUGAGCACUAGAGGGAUGCCCAGACUUAAUGGCAUUAGGACCAACCUCAUUAAGCCUAAAAGGAGCAAGAGAAGGUGGUGCUUGAACGUGAGCUUACGUUUCCUGCAUGUCAAGGCAUUUGCCCCUAUUGCGAGCCCUAACACCACAAUAAGGACCAUAAGCUCCUUCAGUGUCAACACUAGUAUGAGCUGGCGAGGGUGAGGCUAGGGUAUGGGUCAGCUUAUCCUGCAUGAUAGGAGAUUUGCCCCGAUUCUAAGCCCUAACUUCACGAGAGGAACCAACCGAGGGUCGAGUAAAUGAUAGUCGUACUGAGCAAAAUGAAGAAGUGAAGCUUUCUUCUUUGAUUUCGCCAUAGGAAUGAGAAUGUUUCAAGAGACCUAAACAAAGAGGGAUGAUAGUUAUCACUUCUGAAAUACAAGAAGAAAGAGACGAAACGCAGCCACCGAGUAAAAAAACGUUGCACAGUGAAAAGGAACCUUCUCUCUCUAACCGAGAGCUUCUUUCACUAUAGCUUCUCUCGACUGACUAAGAGCUCUUUCUUGAGUUGAGUUGUUUUCUUCAUAUUAUAUAUAGAUGAUAUAUAAUUGAUAGGAAACAACAUUCCUUUAUUCCAAUCAGUAACGAUUUGGUUGUCCAAGAAUUUCUCCAUGAAUGACAUGAGAUAAGCAGCUUAUAUAUUAGGAAUAAAGACAUAGAGAUAGAUCUAGAAAGUUGUUUGGAUUAUCUCAAUCCAUGUUCAUAGAUAAGAUGCUAAAAUGAUUCAACAUGGAAGAACUUAAAAGAGGAUAUUUACCUAUUUUGCAAGGAAUAUGUAUAUUUAAAGAUAUGUGUCCUAAGACACAAAUUGAAAGAGAUAGGUUAGAAAGAAUUCCCUAUACUUUGACUAUAGGAUCUAUUAUAUAUGUGAUGAUAUGUAUAAGACCAUAUGUAUCUUAUGCUUUGAUCAUAACAAGUAGAUACCAAUCUAAUACAGGUGAGAGUAUGAAAGAUAGUUUAAAAACAUUAUUAAGUACUUAAGAAGCACUAAGAAUGUCUUUCUAGUCUAUGAAGGACAUGAACUGGAAGUUCAUAGUUUUUUAGAUGCUAGUUUUCAAUCAAAUAUUGAUGAUAGCAAAUCUUGAUCAGGAUAUGUUUUUGCUCUAAAUAGUGGUGUUGUGAGUUGGAAGAGUUCUAAACAAAAGAACAUAGUUAAUUCUACAAUUGAAGUUGCAUACAUCUUUGCAUCUGAGGUGGUAAAAUAGGCUAUUUAGAUUAAAAAUUCAUUACUGAACUAGGUGUGGUUACUAGCAUUAUUGAUGCAGUAGCCAUGUACUAUAAUAAUAAUGGAACUAUUACACAAGAAAAGGACUUAGGCAAUUCCAUUUUAUUAGAGAAAUCAUAGAAAAGAAAGAUGUAAAGAUAGAACAAGUACCUCUUGAAUAGAGUCUUGUAAAUCCUCUUACUAAGGCAUUGUCCCAAUAGAAACAUGAUCAUCAUAUGAAGAGAUAUGAUAUUAGAUACAAGAAUGAUUGGCUUUAGUGGAAGUGAGAGAUUGUUAGUGAAUAUGUCUUAUAACCAAUCAGUUGGUUACAUAUAAUAUUAAUUUUAUUCAUGUAAAAUAUAUUUAUUAUUAAUAACAACUUCCUCUAUCUUUAAUAUUCAUUUAUCUUUGAUUGAUGAAUAUAAUGUUUAAUUGAUAAAUCUAGAGUAAAGAUAAAAUCUAUAGGACAAAAAUGUUUUGCAAAGAAACUUAUAAAGUUGUUAUAAAUAUGAGAUUCUUAUUUCAUCAAAGCAUUAUUCCUAAAUAUUAUUGGUCAAUGAUCUAUUAAGACUGGAUAUUAGUUAGAGUUGUUAAGACCAAUACAUAUUAUGUUCAUUCCUUUAUGAAAGGAAACAAUUGCUAUUAUAAACUAAUGUAUAAGGGAUACCUAGAACUAAUAUACAAGUGCUUGUCAUAUGACAUGUACAUUGAACUGACCCAUAAGAGAAUUCUAUAUAGAGAAAUCACCUAUGUUUAUAGAAAGAAUCUCGUGCUAAUUGUGUAAUUAAUUCUUAAACUUGAGAUAACUAAGUUAUCUUAUAUAGGGAUUGUUAUGCUUUGAUUCGAACCAAAUGUUAUCCUAAUCAAGGGUAACAAACAAGUAGAUAUUGAGUAUAACACAAACUAUAUAAAGAUAUUUGAGUAAUCAAGAUGUGAUUCAUCACACUAGAUGAAUUAGGGAAAAUGUUUCAUUUGUUCUCAAAUAGCAUUGAUUGUGAAAUCCUUGGCCAAUGUAAAAUGAAUUUUGAAAAGAGUUUCAAAAUCUUAUUCAAAAAAUCAAUGACUAUAAUGUUGAGAACCAAUAUGAUUUGAUAAAGUAGACAUACUCCAUACUAUAAUGUAUAAAUAAGAACAUUCUUGAUGUAGAGAUAAUAAUUACACCGAGAAACUAGUCACUAAAAGGUUAAGUCAACCCACUUAUGAUUUUUCUAAUAUUUGAGAGAUUAUGACAGGUUGUUAGACAUUAUAUUUGAUCAUCAAAUAUAAAUCAAUCAAUUAUUGAAUUGAUAAUAAAUUAAAUUGUUUAAUUUAUUUAAUCUUAUUUUGUUUAGCAUUAUGAUUAAUAUUUAGGAAAACUUAUUAGGGAACCUAAUGGGUCACACAUAUAAAAAUUAUUGGUUAGAAAUUGAAAUGGGAUAAUUAAUCAAAUGUGACUUGAUUGUAAAUAAAGUUUAGAAAUUAAGAACUAGAAUGCAAUUAAUAUAGAGGAUUACAAUUCUAAACCUAGAAAAAAAUAAGUAAGGACUUGAUUGAAUAAAUUUCUAAAAUUAGCCUAAAUAAUAUAUGGUAUUCCUUUUAUUUUCCAAGAAGUGAAGGGUGAGAAAAAUACAAUACAUAAACACCUAAAGCACAAAAGAAAAGAGCUAGUACUAUAAGGUAGAACAAUCCCUCUCUCUUAAAAGGAUUUAAGAGAUUUCUCACUGAAAGUUCAUAUGGAUUACUAUGAGAGGCUAGACACUUGAACAAUUUAUAGUUUGCAAUAACCAACCUUAAAACAAAUAUUCAAAGCCGAAAAGAACAUAUGAUCUUCAAGUAAUCUUUGCAUAAACUCUAAAUAACUCUAGAUUUAUUUAACAUGAUCCUUGUGACUCCUGAAAAAUUUUAAAUUUAUCAUUUCCACCGUGUAUAUGUGUUUCAAGAAACUUGACAAUGUUUUGAGUCCUCAAGUAAAAAAGUUUAAUCUUUAUAAAAUAUUUUUAAAUUUACAUCUCAGUAAUUCCAUUUCAAUCAUGAGACAUACAAAAAUAUAAUCAGUAAGUUUUUGAAUUGGUCUCAGAACAUGAAAGAUGAUUUCUUAAAAGAAAGAUUUUUUAUUGACUAAGUUUGCAAAGUUCAUGACACAAAUAAUGAUGAUGCAUGCAUGCAUUUUGAUGACUAAUGGAAAGAUGAAAACAUAUAGAAUGACUGAGUAUUAGUGAAAGUACAUCGUUAGUUGAUUUUCAACCCUUGAAAAAUAUUGGGCAAAGGUCAUUAUGAUUUUGGAAAAAGUAUAUUUAUCAUAAAAAAAAAAUGAGGUUUAUUUCUAAAGAAAACUUGAAUGACUGAGUUUUAGUGUACAACUUAAAAAGUGAGAUAGACAAUUAGAGUUCAGAUGAUAUAAAUUAUGGUGUCAACCUCUCUAUCUCUUGUUUCUUUAUUUUAUUUAUGUUUAUGAUGUGUAUGAUUUAGUGAUUGGUUAUAUGAAAUAAUCAUCAAAGUAAGUUAGGAUUUCAAAGUAAAAGGAAAAAAAAUUGUUUACCAACAAUCACCUAAUUCAACUAUUUUAAAGCAAAGCACUAUUCAGGAACAGUUAAUGCAUCCUACCGAACUGCAAAUUUUUUAAAUAUCAAAUAGUGUUGUUUGUUUUUUUUUGGCUUAGGAGUAAGAUCAAACUAUUAACAUAAUAUUAUUGAGAGAGAGAGAGAGAGAGAGAGAGAGAGAGAGAGAGAGAGAGAGAGAGAGAGAGAGAGAGAGAGAGAGAGAGAGAGAGAGAGAGAGAGAGAGAGAGAGAGAGAGAGAGAGAGAGAGAGAGAGAGAUUGAAACAUAAAAGCAAUAUUCUCUUAUCGUGGAUAGACUAGAUAGAUGGUCUGCGCUUCGCCACGGGCCGGACAAUUUUUUUUGCGACACAAAAAAAUUGCUCAAGGUUGUUAUUGUAUUUUAAAGAACAAAAAAAAAACCACGACCUGAUAUCAUUGAAACAGAACUAAAAAAAAUAAUUAUCGUCAAUCCUCGGGAAUCAAAAUGUAGAAUGAUGAAAUCAGGAAAAAAAAUUAAGGAAAAAAAGUACUAAAACUCAAAGCACCAACAAAACCAAGUGAGGUUGUCAAAACUCGUGAGUAGGAUCAUGCGGAUAGGAUAAUCAAAUAUAAGGAAAAAUAGAAAAAAAAAGUUUAAUUUUAAAAGAAUUAAAUUUUGAAGGAUAAAAUAAAAAAAAUAAAAAAAAGCGACUUAAAAAGAAACCUAGACCACCCGGAUAAACGAAGCUCAUUUUUUAAAACGAACAACUUCCAAAGAUAUAAUCAGGAAAGAAAAUGAUAUUAACCUGUGUAAACUUUUCAAACCCAUAACCCUAGGUACUGACUAAACUAGAAGCAUCGUAUCUGGAAAGCAACUAUUUUAAAACUUGGCUCGACCUGACGGUUUGACCCAUGAGUAGGCCGAGCUUCAAAAGAAAUUGGGGGAGAAUUGAUCAAGUGUGAGACUGUCAAAAACUUGAGAUGACCUAUGUUUCAGAUAGCCCGAGGAAAAUCCAGUCAAAAUAAGGUCAAAAUCUGUUGACUUUUUUCCUUUUUUUUUUAAAUGGUAUCAUUUUGAUUUUUUUUAAUAAAAACAAAAGAAUUUGGUUGGCAUAGGUUAACUCGAGUCAACCCACUCGACUUAUGAUCCGAUCAUUGUCCCUGAUUGACUUCUAGAUAGGGCUUUAUAAACAAUGAGAAAAACCUAGGAGACCAAAUCACAAUAAUUGAAAUGUCAAAUGAUGAAAAAAAAAACUAAAGGAUAAAGAAACAAUAAUUAAGAGAAUAAAGAUCUCAUUUGAAAAAAAAUUGAUAGGACAAACAAAAAUCUUGAAUUGAAGGGUAAAAUAAAAAAAAUCAAAUUAACAAAUGAAUUAAAAAAAUACUAAUUUUCAACGAACUCAAUGAUGAUAGAUGAAAUUUUAAAAAAAUAAUGAAAAAUGAUUGAAGCCAACCCAAUCCAAUCUUUAGAAUUUUGUAAUUCGUAUCAUGAGACCGAAGCACAACAUAAAAGUCUAACCUAAAAAAAAAAACUCAAUGUAAAAUUCAUAAACAACCAAAAUAAUUAGGGAUAAACUUGAAAAAAUAAAUUGAAAAAGAAAGUGAUUUAAAAAAUAUAGAUUUAAAAAGAAAAAAACCUAAUUUGAUAUAAAAAUAAAAUAAAACUAAAUUAUAGGGGAUGAAAUUGAAAAACAGUUUCAAUCUAAAAAAAAUAAGAAUAAUUCAAAAUAACAAUUCAAAAAUAAAAAUUAUAUUUGAUAAAAAAUAAAAUGUGAAAGUAUAAAAUUUAAAAAUAAAUCAAUUUAAUAAAUGAUUCCCAAUACACAGUUAAUAAAAUGAGGUUAAGUUGCUGGAGCUGACAAAGUGACUCACGGGUAGAGGAGAGUUUGUUGAAGGAGCUGUUUCGCUGACGGUGAAGAUGCAGAGGAAACUGUUGGUUUGUCUUGGCUUUGUCAAAGAGAGGCAAUGGUGGAUGGUUGGCCGAUGAGCUCGCGAUUUAUGAUGAUGGCUAUGAAGUUGUUGUUUCCACGAGAUACAGUUGCUGGAGCUGAAGAGGUCAUAGUGGCUAGACCAAGAAAAGUUGCUGGGGAAUCAGUGCUGGACUGUUGCUACAAUGAAAAAAAAAAACAAAGAACUCAUGGUUCAAAUGGAGAGGUCCAUGUUGAUGCUGAGGAGUGCACGGUUCGAGAUGCUUGAGAAGGAGGAAGCUGCUAGUAAAAAAAAAAAAAAAGCUCUGCUAUAGUUGAGAAAUGGUGUGGCUGAUAAAGAACAAUCUCUGGUGCUAUUGGAAGGAGGAGCUUCCACUGUUCACGGUUUAAUCAGCCGUCGGUGCCUAAAGGAUGAAGUUUGAGCUGUUAUUGAAAUAUCUUUCACUGCUACUUGAAUGGUUGAAGAUGAGAAGGAUGACGGUGCCACUGCUGGAGCUGCGGGUUUGGCUGAUUCUUCUGCUGUUAUUCACAGUGCCGUUUUGUGGGAUUUUAGGGACCCGUUUCAGUGUUGGUUGGAGGAUGGUUUAAUGGUGAGGAUGAAGAAUGGAAGGGUGAUUUGGGAGGAUCUGCCAUGUAUAUAUGGUGGCUGAAGGGGUGAAAGACAUCUGGGUUUGGUUCUUUUUCAAUGAAAAAUGAGGGGAGGCUGAGUCGGUGUUGAGCUCACGGUGGUUGACGGUAUUGUUGUCAGUGAGUGAUCUGUUUUGGCUGGGAAAAUUAGUGAAGAAAGGAUGGAGGCAAGGAGAGGGGGGAAGCCGUGUGGCUAGUGGUGUUGAUGGUUGGUCAUGGUGCUGGGUUUUUUUUUUUAAUCUCUAGUUCAUUUUUUUUUUAUUUUUUGGUUUAAGAGAGCUGGUCGCGAGGGAGAGUGUUUUGUGUUGUUUAAUUUUUUCAUGCUAUAACUAAUUAUCCUUUAAAAUUCUCUUCUUCUUUUUUUUUUUUUAUAGUUACUUAUAUAUAAACAAAAUAAAUUUGUUAUUUUUCCUUCUAAUUACUUGCUCUCCAAACAACUAAAAAAUCUUUGAUCUCCUUAUUCAUAUAUAAGAUUUUUUUAUGUUUGUGCAUAACCAUCGGUGGCGUCAACACUACUAGCACGCCUAAUCGAUGUCUAAUGCACUAGGCCAGGACGCUAAUGGUGGCUAGCAUUGCUACCUUCUAGUGCGAGUUGCCUCACGUUGGAGGCAACAACCCACGCCACAUAACACAAGGUUGUUGCCUCGCACUAGAGGUGGUGCAAUGCGAGGGCAACCCCUCGUGUUAUGCCAAACCUAGCGGCAACCUUUUCUAAUGCUAUUAAAGAGCCCAAUAGGCGAGGCAGCAGCCUCAUGCAACAAACCUAGUGGCAACAAACGUUACCGAUGUUUAGGUGCCGCUAGUGGUGUGCCCACUACUGGUACUUGCAAAGAGAAGAAAAAUUGGCAAAAUUAUGAUUCUGCCCCUGAGCUUAGUUUAGGGUUUCGAGGAGUGGAGUUACGAUUCUAACCCUGCAACUUAUGCCUAUUUACAUCUAGGUAUAAUUGGGGCAGAAUUAUGAUUAUGGCUCUCCAUGUAUAAAAUAUUGAUUUUAUAUUUUAGAAUUAAAAUGCUAAAUUAAAUUAGUUAUAAAAUUAUUUUUUUCUAAUUUGAUUAGGAUUGAAUUAACAUGUUUAAUUAAAAAAAUUAGUUUUGUAAUAUCCUAAUAGGAUUAAGAUUUAAUUAAAAUAUUAAAUUAUUUAGGAUAUUAAUUUUUUUUUAAUAUGAUUAAUUUUCUUAUUAAAUUUUGAAAAAUAGUUUUUCAAUAAAAAAGAUGUUUAUAGUUAAUAAAAUUUUGCACGUAAAGCCAAUAAAUAUAAUUGAAGCAUGCAUUAUAUUUAUUAAUCAUGUUAAUAUGUUCUGAUCCAUGAUGAAUGAUUAUGGACAUUAUAGUUGAAUGGUUGUAAUAUUAAAUACAACUUGUGUGUCCUGUCUUUUCUUUAUUAUUAUUUUUAGGUUGUAAAAUUCUUUUCUCAUCUAAUUUUCAUUGAAUAUAACUCGAGAUUUCUUAAUUAAUUAUGUAAAUAUUGUGUAAUUUAGAAAUAUAGAAAUUUAGAUUGGAAAAUGAUUUUGUAAUCCAAGAUGAAAAAAGAAUGUUAGUGAAGGAUACAACUAUGGUGCUCGCAAAGAAAUUAUGAAGAUUUGCAAUAGCUAUCUAGAUUUUAACCACCUAAUUCCCUUUAAUGGCUCGAGGAAUAUAAUUUAGAUAAGUCAAUAAUCAUCCAAUUAUAAUGACAUGUUAGGGUGUAUGUCAAUAGGUAAUUGUUAUAUAUGAUACAUCAAUAAUGACAUGGAAUGAGACUUAAUUACAAUAAUAAAUCUCUCAUUAAUAUAUUAAGUAUAUGCUGAAAAUAUGAUUUGUUGACUUCCGAUUUUAUAUGCAUAAAACCAGAGUUAUAUUCAUGAAUAAUUGAUUGAGUUACCCAAGGUUACCGUUAAUCAAAUAUAUUUAAUGUUAUAAAAUCAGGUCAUACUUAAUUAACUUAUAUGAUUUGGAUGAGUUAGUUAUUAUCAUAUAAGAUUAGAGGCAUUAGUUAGGCAAAACAUAUAUAAUAUCUUUAGACAAAAUGUUAUCACCUAGUUGAUUUAGGAGUCACAAAAAGAUGUCAUUAAUAAACUAUAUUAUCUAUCUAAUUUAAUUUAUUUUGAUCUGUUAAAUUACUUAAGGUCAUAUAAACUAAAUGAGAUCCUAACCCAUUAAGAGAUCUAAGGGAGAUUCCCUAAAUUAAUAGUGAGGAUUAUUAAUCUGCAAGAAAUAGUGAGAGAUCAAGUUAAGAUUAAAGACCUUACAUGAAUAUGGUUAUAAAUAUGUAUGCAUGAAAUCAAUACUUACUAUCUUUACAUGAAUAGGUUGAUAGAUUACCAUGAGUAAAAAUAAAUAUAUCUCUAUGAAGCAUAUUUGAUGCUAAUAAAUUGACUGAACCAAACUUCUUGAAUUGAUACCGAAAUAUAAGAAUUGUUCUCAAAUAAGAAAGAAUGUUAUAUGUUCUUAAAAAUUUGAUUCAUCUUGUCCUUGAUUAGAACGUUAAUAACAAAGUUAGGACUAAAUGUCAAUAUCAUAUUGAUGACAAUAUGUAGGCUAUAUGUCACUUUAACUUCAAACACAAUAUGAGAAUAUAAAUUUUCAUAUAAUAAUUAUGCAUCUCAAAAAGUUGUUUAAUACAGCUAAAUGUACUGAGAUGUAUGAGACCUCUAAGGCACUAGUGGAGGGAUAUGGUAUUAGAUAUAUGAGCGAUUGACUUUAGUUCAAGUGAGAAAUUGUUAGUGAACCUUAUAGUCAAUUGGUUGGUUACACGUAACACUGAUUUUAUUCAUGUAAAACAUGUUUAUUAUUAAUAAAGACUUUCUUUAUCUUCAAUAUUAAAUUAUAUUUGAUUAAUGAAUAUAUAGUAUAGAUAAAGUCCAUGGAACAAUAAUGCUUUGCAUAGGAAAUAAUAAAGUUUAUCUAAUUAUGAGAUUCAUAAUGCAUCAAAACAUUAUUUCUAAAUGUUCCUAGUCAAUAUUCUAUUAAGACUAGACAUUAAUGUUACUUCCUUUAUAAAAGAAAACAGUUGCUCUCAUAAACCGAGAUAUAAGGAAUACAUAGAACUAAUAUACAAGUGCUUGUUAGAUGAUAUGUACACUAAACUAACCUACAAGAGAAUUCCAUAUAGAUAGAUCAUCUAUGUUUAUGGAAAAGCUCACGUGAUAGUUGUAUAAGUGAUUCUUAGACUUGAGACCACUUAAUUAUCUUAUAUAUGAAGUGUUAUUCUUUGAUCCUGACCACACGUUGUCCUAAUCAAAGGUAACAAACAAGAAAAUAUUGAGUAUAACAUAAACUAUAUGAAGGUAUUUGAGUAAUUAAUAGAUGAUUCAUCACCCCUGAUGAAUUAUAAAAAAUGUUCUAUUUGUUCUCAAAUAGUACUAAUUGUGAAAUCUUUGGCCAAAGUAGAAUGAGUUUUAAAAAGAGUUUCAAAAUCUUAUUCAAAUAAUCAAUUACUAUAAUGUUGAAAACUAAAAUGAUUUAACAAAGCAGACAUAUUCUAUUUUUAUAAUGUUUACAUAGGAACAUUCUUGAUGAAAGGGUAAUAAUUACAUAGGAACAUUCUUGAUGAGGGGGUAAUAAUUACAUUGAGAAACUGAUCAUUAAAAGGUUAAGUCAGACCACUUAUCACUUUCUUAAUAUUUAGAGGAUAAUGACAAUUUGCUAAAUAUUAUACUUGAUUUUUAAAUAUAAUUCAAUCAAUUAAUGUAAUUAUAUUUUUAUAGUUGAAUGAUUGUAAUAUUAAAUAAUUCUUAAAACUGCUAAAAAAAUUUAAAUUUAUUAUUUCUUUAUGUGUUUUGAGAAACCUAAGAAUAUAGCCUGCUAUUCAGUAGUCCUAGACAUACAUUAGCUGAAAGAGUAACCCAUGAGAGUUACCAAGCUUGUUCAUUAACUACUUCCAUUAGAUAGCUGCUAGUAUAGCAAGCACAAGCUAAAAUUAAACUUCCAAGUACGUAUUGAUUGAAGUGUCAAGCACUUAUUGGUUGAAAUGUAAAAGGAGCAAGAAUAUACGAUUUUUUUGGGUAUAGAAUGUAGUGUUGGCAAUGUAACUGUGAGAUUUUCGUAGAUAACGGAAUGCAUUCUGAAAUUGAUAGACCACAGCAACACAAAACACCAAGGAUGCCAUCGGAAAAUCCUCUACCUCUUGGCUCUCAAAACCCGUACAAUAUGAACGAGCCUAACAUCAACAAGAAGAAGAUAAUGCAGGGUGAAAUUAGAGUAGGAGCAAUUAAGCAGCUCCAUGCGAAGUGUCCAUAUGUUUUGGGUUGAUAUUUGGGAAACACUAUAACCAAUAAAACUCUACCGAAAAUGGAAACAGACUCUGUAGUCUCUGGGGCUGAACAGAGUGAUUUAAUAACUUAAACGUUAUUCUUGAUAAAAACCCUGAACAAUGUCGCAAAAGCAGCCAAGUCCUGAAUCAUUAGUCUUAUCAUUCCGGGCACAAAAAAGAUUACAAAUACAGCAUAACACUUUGUUUAAUCAUUGACUACAUGUAUCUCCACCAUAAAAAAUGAAGCAGAUGCCACAGUUCAUUAUUAGAACAAUAUAACAAGUUAAACCAUUCAAAAUUGAUUCUAGAACACAUAUGAUGGUAACAAACUGAAACAGUAAAUAAAACUACUCCACACAUAUUGCUUCAAGCAACUUCUGACAAUCAUCACUCACUUCCACAUUCUCCAUCUUCAAUCUGCGACGCAUCAAUUGGCUUUUUCUUCCAGCAGCUGCAUAAGUUCUAAUCAAUGACUCAAAUACCUCCACCGCUACAUCAUCUACAGCCUUCUUCAAAAUCUCAAUAAGAUCUUCUGCACCAUCUACAUCCUUCUGCUGCUCAAAAUGUGCCAUCAAAGACCCUACAAUCACAGGUGAUGGCACCCACUUUUGACCAUUCCCUCUACCAGCAGAUACCGCAUUGGCUAUACAAUCAACACCCAAUUUGACAUCCCCAUUUUUCAAAUAAUAAUCACAAAAUAUUUCCCAGGUUUUAGAAUUAGGUUUGGCUCCUCUCCUGCGGGCCCUUUCCUUGAGUUCCUCUGCCUUGUCAACCAAACCUUCCUUGGCAUAUGCACUGAUGACAACAUUUGCAACCCUGAUAUCAUAUGUUGAGCACCCAGAUUCCCAUUCCCUGAAGCACUUCUCUGCACCAGGUACAUCUUUCAAGUUAACCAGCACCUGGAUCAUAUUUAGAUAGCUUAUAUUUGCAGUUUUAGGAAAAGCCAGCCUCAAAGAACGCCAUAUUCGAUAAACUUCAAUCAACUUUCCUGUUCGACCAUACAAAGUAAUCAGGAACUGGAAAGCAAAAAGAUCUUUGUUUGCAUUUAUCUUCUCCAAUUCCUUAAGUGCCUUUUCUGCCUUAUCAAAAUAUCCAGCAUCAACAUAAAUCGAGGCUAAGUUGCUAUAUGUUGUCCAAUUCGCAGCAACUCGGCCAUCCCUCUUCAUCUCUUCGAUCACUCUUUCAACACCAGAAAUAUCAUUUACAGCUGCCAGAGCCCUCAUCCAGACAUUGUAUGUGUAAGAAUCUGGCAUGACAUUGUCAGCCUUCAUUUCCUGUAUAAUUGCUGGGAUCCUUUCAGGCUGACCCACUUUUGUGUAGAGAGUCAUAAGGCUGUUGUAAGACAUGGAGCUCAAACCAAGAUUGAGUUCCUUCAUCUUUUCAAUGAGAGCUUCUGCUUCUUCAGUCAUCAAUUCUUUACAGUAACAGUUGAGAAGAGCUCCAUAUGUUCGAAGGUUCUUGGAUGUUUCAGGAAGAUCAAUGAAGUAAUUUUCUGCAGCAGGUAUGCCUCGAGUUUUGGCAACUAGAUCAAGAUGGAUAGCUUGAUCACUGACGGUUUUAUUCAUGCCCCUACUAGACAUAGUUUCUGAUAGCUGUAAACAAUGAAAGAAGUAAAUAUAAUGAUAUACAAUAUGCAGGGUAUGAUUAAGAAAUUUAAAGUAGCACAUAUAUGAUUAUGACCUAAUAUCCAUUAAGAGCAAAAAAUUAAGGUACAACUUUGUUUAAUUGGGGGAUACAGACAAUACCACUAGUUUGAAACAAAUGGUCAUAGAUUAACUGCAAGGCACAAAAAAAAAUGGACGCAGAUGUUCAUAAAAUUCAGCAUGUUUCACCUUCUAGAUUCAGACAAUCAUAUCCCAUAAUAUCACAAACGAAUAAUUAGAAUAACAAGUAUACAGGUAAAAACGAUUGGGGGUUUGAGGAAGGAUACCUUGACAGCAGGGUAAUAAAGGUUGCGACUGCGAAGCUUCUUGAUAGUGUCACCAACUUCCCAUUUGAAGACACGCUUGGAGCUCUUGAGGAACUGAUUUAACUGUUGUCUCACACUAACCUCUGAGCUGCCUUCUUUGAACAGCCUCACAUACAGUGCUUCUUCUAGGUACUUCUUUGAUCUUUUUGUCACGCUUUUUGUCCGCCCAUAUAACUGUGGCAUCGCCAUUCUUUUUGGUCUUUGACAAUAACCGAAUGGAAACAACGGAUAUCAAAUAAGAAUAUCAUCAUUGUUACUCAAAUGCCAAACAUACAGAAGUUGUUCACAUUCAGUUUCCAUAACACAAUGUGUCGAAGUCCCAAACAAUUGUUGAGAUUUGGCAAUAAAAGAAGAGUAAUUUCAUUUCAACAGCCAGCAAGGAAAUUAAUUCUCAAAAAUUCUACAGUAAAUGCAUAAUUAGCUGAAUUCCAAAGAAUGAUAUUCAGCAAAGCAUAGGUGAAAAGAAAUAAAUAAAUAAUUGUCAAAAUUGAAUGAUUACUCAAGAACUGUCCAAGCUGAUGUUUAAUACUUCCUUCUAGUUCUAACCACUCUGAAACUUGACAAAUAUUUAUCCCACUUAGCUCUAUGAUUCAAUCAAAUAUAGAACGAUUCAUAUAAGCCGACUCAACGACGAAGAAUAUGUUACAUAUUUACCGUUACCACUCACCUUGUAAGUAUGCCCAAGUUCAAGCCGAAGCAAGGUCGAUCCAAGCAGAGCUUGAUAAAUAGAAUAAUGGGCUGCCACUGCCAGGCUCUUACAGCAAGAGAACGACGGCCGAUGGCUAAGCAGGCUUGGGUUGGUGGAGUUCCGGCGUGACGCUUUAAUACACCGAGAAUUAGUUACAGUGGGUGUAGGUCUGUUUAGGGUUUAAGGAAAUGAAGGUAAGUGAAUUUUUUUUCUUUUCUUUUCAUUAAGGUUUUAGUCAUUUUAUUUAUGAAAACCUCAAUUUAGUCCCAAACCUAUUUAUAAACUUUAUCAAUUAGGCCCCGAAUAUUUAUAUACUUCUCAGUUUCAUCCUUCCAUUUCUUCUAAUAGUUUAAGUCUAAUAUACAUAUUUUAUCCACUAAAACACUGUCGAUUUUAAAAAACUUUGAUGGAAAAAAUAAUAAAAUUAACAUUAUUUUUGUUUAAUGUGCAUAUUGUGUAUUAUAAUGAUAAUAAAAUUUAGAUCAAAGGUAUUUGAUUGAGAGUAUUUUAAAACAUUCAAGGCCGAACGUAUAAAAUUUAUAUAGAUUUAAGACUCAAUUGAGAAUAAAUAUUUAGAUUAAAGACUAAAUUAGGUUUUUUUUUAAAACUAUUAGUAUUGUCAAAGCUAUCAUAUAUGUACAGUGUACCAAAGUUGUUAACUAUAUUCAUUUUAGGCCUCAUUUCUUUAUAGGAAAAUAGUUUCUGUUAUACACUGGGCUUACCUAUUAAAAUAUCAUAAAAAUUUAAGAUUUAAAAGCAUUGAGUCAGGCUGCAAUAGCGGACUCAAGAGCGUUGAGUUUAACUGCAAUGUCAAAUCCAAUAAUUGUAUUUAUAAUAUUAAUCAUAAUAUUUAAUUUAUCUGUCAAAAUUUUUAUAUUUUUUAAUUUUUCAAAAAACAAUUAUGAUGUUUCUUCGAUAGUAAUAAUAGUUUUUUAAAUUUAAUAAUAAUAAUAAUAAUAAUAAUAAUAAUAAUUAAUUUUAUAUUUCAAAUCAAAUCUAUGGUUGUUUUCAAUAUUGAUAAUAAUUUUUUUAAAAUUUAUUAAUUAUUUUAUUAAUAAUAUUAAUUAUAAUAAAAUAAUAAUAUUUAUAACACACAUAAUAAUUUUUUUGACAUUAAUACUUUAUUUAUAAUAAAAAUAAUAAUAUUUAUAAUACUAUUUUUAAAAUGAAUACUUUUAAUUAUAAGAAACAUAAUAAUAUUGAUAACACAAAUACUAGUAUUUAGAAACCAAAGACCCAAGAGCAUUGGGUCCUGAGGCAGGACCCAAGAGACUUAGGUCCAGACCCAGGACCCAAUCGAAAUGGAUCAUGCGCAGGACUUAAGGCCAAUUGGUUCUGUGUCUGGAGCACACAAGAGAAUUGUAAUAAAAAUAAUAAUAUUUUUACAUUGAUACUUUAAAUUAUAAUAAAAAUAAAAAUAUUUAUAACACAAAUAAUUAUAUUUUAUAUUUGAAUAUUUAGAAUCAUAAUAAAAAUAAUAAUAUUUAUAACACUAAUUAUAAUAUUUUUGAUAUUAAUACUCAGAAUUAUAAUAAAAAUAAUAAUAUUUAUAACACAAAUAAUUAUAUUUUUUAAUAAAAAUAAUAAUAUUUAUAUCACAAAUAAUAAUAUUUUUUAUAUGAAUACUUUGAAUUAUAAGAAAAAUAAUUAUAUUUAUAACACAAAUGAUUAUAUUUUUUAUAUGAAUAUUUUGAAUUAUAUUUUUUAAUCUUUAAAAAAUGAUGGUUUUUUCUUCAAUAGUAAUAAUAGUAUUUUUUAAAAAAUUUAUUAAUGAUAAUAAUAAUAAUAAUAAUAUUUUUUUUUUCAAAUUUAUUAAUUAUUUUAUUAAUAAUAUUAAUUAUAAUAAAAAUAAUAAUAUUUUUAAUUAUAAUAUUAUUAAUUAUAAUAAAAAUAAUAAUAUUCAUAAGACAAAUGAUAAUAUUUUUAAUAUUUAUACUAUUAAUUUUAAUAAAAAUAAUAAUAUUUAUAACAUAAAUAAUAUUAUUUUUAAUAUUAAUACUUUCAAUUAUAAUAAAAAUAAUAAUAUUUAUAAUACAAAGAAUACUAUUUUUAAAAUAAAUACUUUUAAUUAUAAUAAACAUAAUAAUAUUGAUAACAUAAAUAAUUAUAAACCCAAGACCCAAGAGCAUUGGGUACUAAAGCAAGAUGCAAGCCAAUUGGAUCCAGACCCAAGACCCAAGAGACUUGGCUCUAUACACAGGACCCUAGCAAAAUGGGUCUCGAUGCACGACCCAAAAGCAUUAGGUCCUAACACAGGACCCAAGGCCAAUUAGUUCUCUGUCUGAAGCACCCAAGAGAAUUAUAAUAAAAAUAAUAAUAUUUAUAACACUAAUCAUAAUAUUUUUUAUAUUAAUACUUUGAAUUAUAAUAAAAAUAAUAGUAUUUAGAACACAAAUAAUAAUAUUUUUUUAUGAAUACUUUGAAUUAUAUUUUUUUAAUGUUCAAAAAAUGAUGGUUUUUCUUCAACAGUAAUAAUAGUAUUUUUUUAAAAAAAAAAUUCUUAAUGAUAAUAAUAAUAAUAAUAAUUUUUUUUCAAAUUUAUUAAUUAUUUUAUUAAUAAUAUUAAUUAUAAUAAAAAUAAUAAUAUGUAUAAUACAAAUAAUAAUAUUUUGAGUUAUAAUAUUAUUAAUUAUAAUAAAAAGAUAAUAUUUAUGAGACAAAUGAUAAUAUUUUUAGUAUUAAUACUAUUAAUUAUAAUAAAAAUAAUAUUAUUUAUAACACAAAUAAUAAUAUUUUUUAUAUUAAUACUGUUAAUUAUUAAAAAAUAAUAAUAUUUAUAACACAAAUAAUAGUAUUUUUAAUAUUAAUACUUUUAAUUAUAAUAAAAAUAAUAAUAUUUGUAACCCGAAUAAUACUAUUUUUUAUAUUAAUACUUUUAAUUAUAGCAAAAAUAAUAUUAUUUAUAAGACAAAUAAUAAUAUUUUUGAUAUUAAUACUUUUAAUUAUAGUAAAAAAAUAAUAUUUAUAACACAAAUAAUACUAUUUUUAAUAUUAAUACUUUUUAUUAUAAUAAAUAUAAUAAUAUUUAUAACACAAAUAAUAUUAUUUGGAUAUUAAUACUUUUAAUUAUAAUAAAAAAAUAUUUAUAAUACAAAUAAUAAUAUUUUUAACAUUAAUAAUAAUAAAAAAUUUAAAAAUUUAAAAUAUAUAUAAUAAUAUCCUUGGAUAUGGCUGCCUAGCUAGACCCAGCUACUUUUUGAUGUGUUUUGAUCUUGGUCAGUCAGACCCAACACUCUUGUGUCCUAUUGGGCAGCAGGACCCAAUGGUAUUGGCUCCUUGUUUUGGGCUUGGCUUGACAGCCAGACCCAACAGCGUUGGGUCCCAUAGUCAAGCUAGACCAAAUAGGUUUUGACAGAGGAGACAAUACCCCCACCUACAAUUCUUGAGAAAAAACACAGCAGAGGAACGCCCCUCAAGACUCUAUGGUAUUUAUAACACAAAUAAUAACUAUUUUUAAUAUUAAUACUACAAAUUAUAGUAAAAAUAAUAAUAUUUAUAACAUGAAUAAUACUAUUUUUAUAUUUAUACUUUUAAUUAUAGUAAAAAAUAUAUAUUAAACAAAUAAUACUAGUUUUUAUAUUAAUACUUGUAAUUAUAAUAAAAAUAAUAUUUAUAAUACAAAUAAUAAUAUUUUUUAUUUAAAGUCCUAUUGAUUUUAAGUCUCAUGGCGUCUACCAAGGAAACAAUCAUAUGUGACAAUGAUUUGUAAUUUAAAAAAGAGUAAAAAGUUGCAGGUAUAGUAUUACAAAUAAUAAUAAGAAGCAAUGAAAGAAGGUGAGGUUAAAAAUCAAACCUUUGAGAGUGAUGAGGAUGUUGUUCGUUGUUUUUUCAGAGGUGGAAGUGAGUGAUCAAAUGUAGCUAUGCUCUGCAAACUUUCUUGAGCUUCAAUUGCGUUGCCAUGCUCAUCUUUAUGACUAUUUUAAUCAAGGAGUUAAAGAGGUUAAGAACCAUCUAAUUUAGCAUGUGUCAAGGACAAAAAUUUUUUUGUAAAAGAAGUGUGUGGGCAAAGGUAAACUUGCCUAAGUUGUUGUGCUGUAGUUUCAAAAUCAAGUGCACGCCAUGCUCCACAGUCCAGACUUGUUUUCUUGUUUGGUGAUAUGUUCUGGGAUGGUGUCUCCAAGGAAUUAGGAGCAAUCUUGAGUUGUAUGAUAAUAUUUUGUGGAGUACAUGAAUCCAUAGGAACCUGUUUUGUAGAGCUUAAUGGAGUAAAUGUCUUGGAUGUAAUAGAUGAUUUAACCUCUGUAGAUGGUGUUUCUAGAGGAUGUAUGCUGUUAUUUAUGGUGUCAUCAAAGAUAUUAGUUAUGAUAAUUUCACAUAUGUUGGUGGUGGAUCUGAAAGCAUCGAAACGAAGCUGGAAAACCAUGCUCUUAUUUAACUUUGUUGUCAUGGCAGGCGGAAUAACUGAAGGAUCAAUAAAUUUUUUUUAUCAUAGACAUAAUGGUGGGCUGAUAAUCCAAAAAAGUUCUCAGUUGUUUUUCCAAAUAUAAGGAAAUUAGCGACAUCUUCUCCAUCAGUAACAAUGCAUUCUAAGCAGAACCUUUGAUAUAAAAUUGAUGACAUGUUCAUUAAUAAGGAGUGUAUGAUAAUGUAUCCGAGGAACAUGAAUUGUUUGUGUUUUUUUAUUUAACAACUUAAUAUUGUCUUAGUUGAGAAAUUAGAUGAGUUACCAUGGAACUGGAAAAGAGUUGAUAGCAUCAUGAUCCAUGCAUGUAUAAUUGUUUUCGCCGCCACUAAGUUUUUUGUUGUAUUUUGGGUAGCUUGGAUACCACCAGCCAUUAGGAAAAUCAAAGUCAACAAUCAAAGUUUGACAUGUAAAUCUCAGGUGCUGGUAAGCCGAAGGAAAUAUAUGUUAAAAGGGUGUGGUUAAAUGAAAGUGAAAAACUAAUUAUAUGAAGAAGUUGAAGCAUGUUAUAAAAGUUAAUAAUAUAGGGGUGAAAAAAAUAACCUUGUGCUCAUAAGGAUUUAUGCGAAGAAUCUCAUGUAUUGUUAUCCUAUUUUCUUUGAUUUGUUCCUCCAUCGAUAAAACAACAUUUAAGGAAGGGGAGUUGUUGGAUUUCAACAUGGACUUAUGCAAAGCUUAAUGCAGAAUUGAUGCAAAAGGAUGGUGAAAAAAUAAUUAGUUAGAAAAAAAUUUGAUAAUGGCAAAGCAUAAGAGAGAUAGCUGAUGUUGGGAUAACUUACAAAUGUUUAUAUGUUAAGCAUUCUGAGUUGUUGGAUUUCAACAGGCACUUAUACAAAGCUUAAUGCAGAAUUGAUGCAAAAGGAUGGUGAAAAAAUAAUUAGUUAGAAAAAAAUUUGAUAAUGGCAAAGCAUAAAAGAGAUAGCUGAUGUUGGGAUAACUUACAAAUGUUUAUAUGUUAAGCAUUCUGACAUGUCUAGAUUGAAGUACCAAAGAGAGGCAGUUGUACCGUUAAGAUUUGGUUUUUCUUGUGAGGAAAAGAGUUUUUUUUUUAAUAAAAUGAAAGGGGAAUAGUUGGAUUAGACUGAGAACAAAAUUUUGAAAGAUUUUGUUUAAGAAAAAUACAAAACAAAUUUAAUCAUAAGUUUGACAAAAGUAAAGCAAUUGCAUUUAAUUUUUGAACUUACCAUAUGUUCUUAAGCAUGAAUUCUCUAUAUUUUCGAGCACCUGUCCACGAACCAUAACUUGUUCGAGUGGUUGCAAUGCUUUAAGUCUUCCAAGGACUUCUUAAAAAAUAGGAAUGAAUAUUUUUAAGUGAUCUUGUUAAAUUGAAUUGAAUAAUACAAAUGUUUUAUAAUAUGUUAAAUGAAUGAAAUAGAUGGCAAACCUGUAAGAACUCUGGAUCUUUUUGACUUGGUCAUAAUAUGUGUAUAGUCAAUAAAACUGAAGUAGUAUCUAGGAAUAUAAGGCUGAAUAGCUUCAAUGGCUGCAAUUUUUAUGUUAGAUUUGAGAUCGAUUACUGCCUCAUGGGCAGCAACUGUGUUUACUGCUCUGUUUUCAUAAGUAUAGAAUCCUUUGAUCUCAUAGUGAUUUCCUUCAAUAAUUGUUGUUGCAAAUGUUGGGAGAUUCCUUACUUUAGCUAAACCUUGAAUAGCUCCACCCUAUAUAAAAAGAAGUUUAAUGUUGGAAUGAAAAAAAAUAAUUGUCAAGUCAAAGAAAAUAUUUAGAAAUGAGUGGAGAUGUAUUAUCCAAACAUUUCAAUAUAUAGAAAAUAAGAUUCAUCAGUGGUUAUAUUUUCAUGAUGUAUUAUACCUGGUUAUCAACAAAACACAAUAAAAGCUGCUAGGCUGGCCAUUAAAUUGAGCAAUCAAAACACGAUAGGCUCUAGCUUGUAAUGAAGGGUAGAAGUUGUAUUUUUUAAUCUCUUUUAUAGGUAGAGUCAUUGUCCUACAAGUGAUUAAUAAAAAAAGAUAUCAGGAGCAAUGAGAAAAACAACAAAGUUAAUAUUAACGAAAAGAAUAUAUGAAGUGUAAAUUAUGGGGCAUGUAUUGCAAAUAUAUUAUUUAAAAUGAAUAGGGAAAAAUAACAAAAGGAAACAUGCUCAAAUAAAAAAGGACAAAUUAAAUAAUUUUAUCUUUCAAAAAAGCUUACCUUAGAGAAGCAAAAAAACAGGGAACAAAAGCUUGGCAAAUAAAUAACACUUGGUUCCAAGAGAUUAUGACAUUGAUAAAGGGCAAAGAACAUCCUUAUACACAAUGUUUUUCACAUAGAUUGAAUGAUUUCCUUCAGCAUCGCAUGUGAUAAUUUUAAGUCCUUGUUUUGAGGUAACACGUGAAAGAGCAAUGUACAAUUGUCCAUGAGUGAAAACUUGUUCCUUGAGAAAAACUCCAACAACCUUCAACGAUUGUCUUUGACUUUUAUUUAUUGUCAUAGCAUAACACAAUCUUAUAGGAAAUUGUCUUCGUUUAAUUGUGAAUGGACAUUUUGUAUCAUUUAUUGGAAAAACAAUCCUGGGAAUAAAAACAUGAUUACUAAUAAAAGAACCCGUUAUUAUUUGAGCUUCUAUGACCCUCUCGGCAAGUUGUGUAACAAUUAGUCUUGUUUCAUUACAUAAACCAGCUGACAAAUUAAGAUUGCAUAAAAGCAUUAUUGGUAUGCCAAUUCUCAAGGAAAUUGUGUGAGAUGACACUCCAUUGAACUCAAGUUAAUUGAUAAAUUCAACAUUGAUGUCACGAAUAGAGGGAUACACAGCUGAGAUAAUUGCUAAUAUUGGGUCGGAUCCAAUUUCAAGCAGAAGAUCUUGUGGUAUUUUAAUCAUGGAUACAUCAUAAUCAUCAGGGAACAAAACAUCCUGCUGAGUUCCAUCACCAAUUGCAAGAAUCCAGUUGGAAAAAAUAGCAAGUUCUUUCUUUUGAUCAUCUGAAAGUUCAUUGCAUGAUAGCCUCAUGUUCUCUGCAAGAUUGAGAACUUUAAAUUUAGAUCACAAAACAAAGAUGCAAAGAGAUGUAUAAAAAAUGUCUUCCUUUGUUCCUCCAGGAAUAACAGGCAAAAUCUAUCUGAAAUCUCCUCCCAACAAAAUUGAUUUCCCACCAAAUAGUUUAUCAUUAGGCAAUUCGUUAUCAUUUGUUAGGACAUCAUGAAGUGAGCAGUCUAAUGCCUCAAAACAACAUCGAUUAUUCAUUGGAGCCUCAUCCCACACAACGAGAGACGUCAUUUCUAGAAGUCGUGCAAGGUUUGUUUGUUUUUUUUUUAAUGUUGCACAAUGAAGUAUCAGAAACAGUUAGGGGGAUUUUAAAUCUUGAAUGAGCUGUGUGACCACCAGGUAGUAAAAGUGAUGCAAUACCCGAUGAUGCGACAAUAAGGACAAUCAAACCAUCUAAUCUCAACCGAUUAAUUAUUGUAUGCCACAAAAAUGUUUUCCCCGUCCCUCCAUGAAUAUGAACAAAAAUCAGUUCUUGUCUUUUUUUAAGGAAAGAUUUAAGAACACAAUCAUAAACAUUUAGUUGACAUUGAUUGAGUUGUGGAAAAACUGACGAAUGCUGACAUAUAAGAUCUGCAAUAUCAUAGUUAAGUUCUUUUCUCAAAAGUUUAUUCUUUAUUUCUGACAAUAAACACUCAUCAUGCAUUGGAAGCUUGUGUUUCUCAAGAGAUGAGGCAACAACAUUGAAUAGAAGCUCAAGCUCAUAUAAAACAUAGUUUUUAAGCUCAUCAUCGAAUAAUUUAAGAUUAGGCAUGGCAAAGCUGGACUUGAAAUGGGUGAUAAUAUCAUCAUACAUUGAGCGCUAGAAUUUAUUGAACAAAACUUCUGGAUCAGCAACAUCACAGAAAAGAAUAACAUUAAAAAAAAAGAUUCCUAAUCUGAGAAGAUGUUGUAUUAGUCAUGGCCUUACAAAAAACCUCUUCCCAUUAUUUAUCAUCUUCUAAAAGCCCUAAGUUCUUGCAAGCAAGUUGAAAUGUUUGAUGCACAACACCCGAAACAUUUUUUAGAUAAUCAAAGCUCAACGCUCCUCUUAUAUGGGAGUAAUCUCACAAAAUAAAGCUCUCUUGAAGCAGAGUGAACAUAUGUUAAUCAACCAAGACUAAAACCUUUUAAUCUUGGAAUCCACUCCUUUUGACCAGGAUCCCAAAUAUAUUUAUGUGGAAAUUCUGAGUAGUAAAGUUGACGUGCUUCAUGAUCAACUCUAUUACAUGGAACCAUUCUGUGAGCAUUGUUUUCUCAAUACCUAGUUUUUUAAGUAUUGAUGGAAGACUUUCAUUUCCUAAAUAAACAACAUUUUGAUGUAAUGGCAAAUGGAUCUGAAGUCGUUCAAUAGGAGGUGAUCUUGAAUGUAUUGGAAAUUGUAGAAGACGUCAGACCGCUUCAUAUGGGAAUUUAAAACAACAAUUCAUAUAUGCAUGGAUCUCAUCGGUACGGUCUUUUUCAACAACUCUACAUCUGUCGGAGCCUUUGCUUACAUACUUUAAAAGAUACUUGAUUAACAUUGAUUAACAACAAAUCUCAAUAUUUAUGUGGGCAUUGUAUCACAAUAAGAGUUCCCUAUUAUAUGAAACACCAUAUCUGUUAUUGAGCUGAAUGCUAUUUUUUAUAACAAAAUUGUCUUUAAGAUCACGACAUCUAUAAUAAACAAAGCCAUUAUCAUCAAAAACAGUUUGUAACUUGAAUUUUUUCGGGAAUCUUUUUGAGCAAACUCCCUCAUUCAUACAUUGAGAUUUUGGAUUUGUAAGACCACAUGGACCAUGUAUCAUGAAUCUCGAAACAAUUUCAUAGCAUAUUAGAUCUGUAAAUUUGUCAGGAAUUUUAGCUGAAACACUGGAAUCAACAUCUUCAGUUGUACGACAUUUAAAAUUCGAGUGCAACCAAGUCAACAUAUAAGUGUAUGGCAAACCCCUCUUUUGAAAUUCAAUUACACAAACAUCUAUAAAAUGAAAAAAAAAAACUAAGAUAAACAAUCAUAAUAGCAACAAAAAGGUUGCAAUCUCUAGAAGAAAUGAAAUAAAAGAUAAGGUACUUGCAAAAGUCCGACCAAAAGGUUUGCCUGAUUUUAUGAAGGCUAACAUAUCAAUAACCUUUGAUCUAAAAACACGUGUAAUGAUAUCAGGUUUGUCUUCAUGUUUGUAAAUUCGAUCUUUUCUAAGCUCCCUCUGUAUCUCAGGCCAAUUCACAUUACAUGUGAAUGUAAUAAAUAGGCUGGGAUUUCCAUAGGCCCUGCAUAUAGCCAUUGCAUAUUGGUAAUUAUUGAUCAUAUAACAUGGGCUACCAGUUAAAGAAGAUGGAACAAUGAUUUUCCCAGUUGAGGAGCCUUCAAUAUCUCCCUUAAGCACAACUUCAUGGAUACCUUUAUAAACUUCUGGACACAAAUCUUUUUUAUUAGCUCUAACAUAAUCAAGAUGAUCUUCUUCAACAUUAACAAAUGCAUCGACCAAGAAUUACUGGUACAAACAACCUCCUUUGAUGAUGGUAUUAUCGCACCUAGGCUUUUCAUUUAUAAGGUAAGUAUAAUAAGCUCGCAUCGAAACUCUUAACCUUUUCCUUGUUUUUCCAUGUCCAUAGUCAGCAAACAUAAUAUUACAAGAGUAGCCAUCUUCACCGUAAAGAAACAAACGGGGAUACUACAAUGCCAUGAAUUUUGGAUGCAAUUUUGAGAUCCUCUUUAAAGAGCCUGAAAAGCAUUCAAUAAUAAUAUCUUGUUCAGAGAAAAAAUCUCCAAUAUCCCCAACUAUUAAUCCACCAAUGUCAUUGGAUGUAGGAUCAUCAUAUUGGCGUGAAUCAUGGUCUCGUUUUCCAAGUAAAUGAAGUUUAAAAUUAAUAGAUUGAAUAUUCUGAGUUUUAUCUCUAGCUUUGUGAAACAACUUGGCAAUCUCAUUUGUUUCGUCAAGCAUCUUUAAAAGAUCUAUAACAAUAUUCUCAUCCAAAGAUGAUGAUCUGGAGUUUCCUGUAAAUGGUAAAAGCCGAUUUACAACUUCGUGAGUGGUGUCAAACACAUAGAGUUGUGCAAACUUUGGUGAUUCUUUAUCUACAGGUAAGAGGGAGCCCAUUAAAUGAUGACAAUGACCGCUUAUCUUGAAUAUAUAUAUAUGGGGCAGGUUGAUCAUUAACUAAAGUAUCAAUUUUUAUGCCCAUUGAUGUGAAAGCAAACAUAGAGUUAUAAGCUUGUAUGUUAUCUAGAAAUGUUUUUGAGGCAGAGCCAUUGCUGGGGUUAAAAAGAAAAUAAAAAAUUGGAGGAGUUGGUUGCAUAGCAGGAAGAGAAACUCGACCAUUAAGGCAACAAAGCGAGAAAGAUGGAUUUUUUUUGGAUGAACGUGCAAGACGAUCUUGAAGCCAAAAAGUGCAUUACAAUGACGACAUGUAAAAGUCUUAUCACCAAAGUCAACAUACUCGCAUGUUUCCCCUAGAAAUUACAAAGAAAAUGAAAAAUAAUAAUAAAAAAGGAACAUGUAUGAUGUAAGGUAUAAUAAAAAUGAUUGAGAGUUCAUGAAAGUUUAAGGUAAACUCACUUUUCCUUUUUUUCUAGUAUUCAGAUUGGCCAACUAAUGGAUUUAGAUAAGCAAUUGGUCUAUGUGUUGUGUUACUAUCAAAGCUAGUAUUGUCAUUGAAAUUUUCAUUGGUGGACAAUCCAUGAGCAAAAUGUGCCUGACUCGUUGAUGCCAUUGAGGUAGAGGUAAUAUCAUUCGAGAUUGAACAAUUUCCUUGUAAGGAAGUACAAUAUGAUGCAGCAACAUCAAUUGUAUAUAAAAGCGAGUGAUCACUGAUUAGAUGAUCAGAGAUGUAUGGUGUUGCCUGUGUUAAUGAAAAAUUAUCGUGACCCAAAUUUCCUUCACUAUAAAUUUGGGUUGUUAAGUUGUAUGGUGAAGAAGCACCAGGUUCAACAUCAUGGAAUGGUUGUGAUCUUUGUCAAUCGCUAGUCAUAAAGUUGUUGUUUCUAAAAGUUAAAAGAAAAAUUUUAAUGGUAAAAAACAGUCUAAGUAAAACUAAAUUCGCAAGGGCAAUGACUUUAAAUUUUUCAAUCAAGGCAAUUUUAAUAACAUGGUUAGAAUUGAGAACAUAAAUGGAAAAGGAAAAAAAUUAUGCAAAAGAUAAGAAAUUGAACAUAAAACUUAAUUAUGAAAUAAAAGAAACAUGAACACAUGAAAAAAUUCGAAUUGAUUUGGAAAACAAUUAAGCAUAGAAUGGAAAAGAAAGAUACAACAAGAAAGAAAGCAUGCAAAAAGCAGGCCCACUUUGAAAAUAAAAGUGCACCUAUAGCUUAAGUGAGACAGGAAGAAGGUGGUGUUUCAGUUCCCUGCAACGUGGAGAUAGUUCAACAACAAUCAGAACAACAGGCCUGCAAAAAAUAGGGAAAGUUAGAAAGUCAGCAAGAAAAUUUAAACUUGAGAGGUGGACAAUAGCAACACUAAAAAAACACAUGCGAUUAUGAAAAUCGCAAGCAAACAAUUAUGAAAAAUGUGUUCAUUCUGCCGCAAAACUGAGAGUUGUUGUAAUGGAAAGAAGCAAAUGCAACAAUAAAGAAAGUGGUAUUUGUUGUAACAAACACUAAUUAUAUUAUAUGCAAUCCAAUUGAAAGUGAUAAUUCAGUACCAAUUACAUGCAACUAAAAUUAAAAUCAUGACAAUUAACAGUAUAAUUUCAAGAAAGAGAAUUUUCUUUAUGCAAGUGUUGUUGAAAACAAAAGUAGCUAGUCAUCAGAUGUAAUAUAAUUGAAUCGAAAGGCUUUGACACGAGCAAUGCACAUUCAUGUAGAGAAAAUAGAACAAAAAAAUGGUUAAUCAUGAUGCUGUAAUGAAAUUUAAAGUGAUAAUUCAACUGCCAAUCAUAUGCAAUUUAAUUCAAAAUCUAACUAAAAGUAAAAUCAUAACGGUAAUGGUUUCUAAUUUUCCAAUGAAGGCAAUUUUAAUAGCAUAGCCAAAACUGAAAAUUUCAAUGGAAAAGAAAAAACACCUACUCCAUGAAAGAAUAAGAAUAAUAAAUUCAAUACAAAACCUAAUUAUCAAGUAGAUGAACAUGCACACACAAAGAAAUCCGAACUGAUUCAUAAAAAAUUAGGCAUAAAAUGAAAAAGAAAAAUAUAGUAACAAAGUUGUAGGCAUAAAGCAUACUAAGUUUAAAAGUAAAGGUGCACUUAUAGCUUCAGUAAGACAGGAAGAAGGUGGUGCUUGUCUGCAAUUUGAAGAUAGUUCAACAACAAAUGGAAUAAUAGGGCUGUAAAAAUGGUAAGAAAUAAAAAGUGAGCAAGCAAAUUUAAGCUCGAGGGGCGGACAACAAUAAAAACAGUCAUAAAAACAUGUGAUUACAAAAAUCACAAGCAAAUAAUUAUGAAAUAUGAGGUCAUUCUGCCGCAACAAUGAGUUACUGUAAUGGAAAGAAGCAAACACAACAAUAAAGAAAGUGACUGGAAUUUGUUGCAGAUGAUACCAAACCAAUAUUUUUUUUCAAUCAAAUUUCUAUAGGAAACCAAUUCAGCCACUAAUUAUAUGCAAUGCAAUUGAAAGUGAUAAUUCAGCAACCAAUUAUAUGCAACACAUCACAAUUCACGAAUUAUUCUUUACCUGAAGAAAAAAAAAAAAACCUUACCAACUAAAGGCUCACUGAAAUGCAAAAAACUAAUCCAUUACAUGCAUCCUAAAAAAAAAGAAAUGCACAACAUUACUUAUCUACAUAGCAAAUGUUGAAGUAAGCUCAAACUAAAAACACAUGUUAAAAGCUAACUAACAGCAAGGACACUUAGCUAAAGAGGUGAGAAAGGAAGAGGUAUAAAAAUAAGGAAAACAGUGUGCAAAAAAAGAUGAGUUCUAGCUAACCAGAAGAGGGAAUGAGAAGCCCUGCACAACAAUCCUCAACCGAUAACCAACAAAUGUUGAUAGAUUACUGCAACAAAAAAAAUAAAAACCAAGUUAGCAUUAUAACAGAUGAAUAAGUAAAGGCUAAAAGUAGCAGACAAAAUAGAAGAUAGUGUUUGUGCUGAAAAAUAGAAAAAAAAACAUAAGAAAAAACAAGUAAGAUCAAAGGUUCAAAAUGCAGAUAUACAAACUAGUUCCAAAGCAGCCCCAGAAUAACAAAAAAAAAACACACCAGAAAGGGUUCCUAUGUUUUCUAAAACGAAGGAAAAGCAAAAAAAAAAAAAACACAUGUAAACUCCCUUGCAGACCAAUAACCUUUAAUUGCAAUGAUCCUCAGAGAAGCGCAUUAGCCAUCAAUGUCAGAACCAAACAUCAAUCAAUUUAGAAAAAAGACACAAAAAAGUUUAUAUAAUUUUUCGUAAAGCAAUGACCUCUCAAUUGCAAGGGCUCUCAUUUAAACUCAAAGGAUAAAAUCAUGUCAGCAGACACCAAAAUAAAAAUGCAUGGGAACAUUACACACCAAAAGCAAUGAAAAAGGACAAAGUUAUGUCAGCAGAUGCCAAAAUACGAAUGCAUGGAAAAAUCACACACCAAAGACAAUGAAACCAUAAAGCAAGCAAAACGCAAUCAUAGUUAAUUCGUAACAGAACAACAACAGGAAAACUAAAGGAAAAUGAAUUGGAAAGCUAACCAGAACAUCAUUCACUAACUGAACGGUAACCCAUUAUAGAAACACCCAGCCUGUGACAGUCAUUGUGCAUUUAAUGCACUAUAAUGGCAUGUCCACUAACCCAUACACAGAAGAGCCACACCUCUAGAAAAGAAAGUUUAUAGGCAGCAGGUGACCCUUAAAGGAAAGAAGAGGCAAGACAUGAAUAACAAACACCAACAAAUUCUCCUCCCAGGCUUGAUACACAAAAGCCAUAUCUAUAAAAGGACGGCGUGCCUAGAAAACAAUAAUACAUGCGGAAAAAAAAUCCAUCAACGAAAACGAUGAGGAAGUGCGUGAUGAUAACAAUAAUAAUAAUAUUAAAAAAAAAAACAUUUACUAAUGAUGAUAACAACCAUAAUAAUAGUAAUAGUAAUUCUUAAUUUUACAUUACAAAUCAAAUUUAUUUUUUUAUUUUCAAAAUUUAUAAUAUUCUUUACAAAUUGAAUAAUAUUAAUUAUAAUCAAAAUUAUAAUAAAUAUAUCACAAUAAUAAUAUUCUUAAUAUUAAUGCUUUUAAUUAUAAUAAAGAUGAUAAUAUUUAGAAUACAAAUAAUAAUAUUUAUCAUAUUAAUAAUAUCAUUAAACUUGUCUAGAAGGAGAUGUCAGACCCAAGUUGUUAAUAAUAAUAAUAAUAAUAAUAAUAAUAAUUGAUUUUUAUUCUUCAAAUUAAAUUUAUGUUUUUUUUAUGGUAAUAAAAUUUAUUUCAAAUUUAAUAAUAUUAAUGAAAUUAAUAAUAUCUAUAAUAUUAAUAAUAAUAUUAAAUUUAUAUGGCCUAAAUUUUUAAUAGUUUUUAAUCCCUUCAAAUAAAAUUUAUUGUUUUUCCUUAAUAGUAAUAAUAUAUUUUUUCAAAUUUAAUAAUAAUAAUAAUAAUAAUAAUAAUAAUAAUAAUAAUAUUUUCUCCUUAUAUAGUGUGAAAAAAAAUUAGAGAAAAGAAAAGAAGUUUACAGUAUUGGGUCCUGCUAGGGCAGGACCCAACCAUGUUUGAUGGGUGUUGUCUGACACAGGAUCCAAGGCCACGGGGUCCUGUUGGCAACAGGACCUAACCUAACAGAGGACCCAAGAGGAUUGGGUCUACAGCCAGGCGCUUUGGUUCUAUAGCUCACUCACGCUAGUCUUCACCCACCGCCCGGGUAUGCAGCCAUUACGCGCGAGUCUGUAGACCUUGGGGCGCGGGCUUGCAGACCCGCUCGCCUAGAUUUGCAACCCGCUCUCGUUGGUCUGCACCAACGCCCGAGUAUACAACUCUUGCGCGCGGGUCUACAGACCUUGGGGCGCAGGCUUGCAGACCCUCUCGCUUGGGUCUACACCUUGGGGACUGCAGCUCCACUUGGCGCAUGGGCGGACAUGGCUUGCCAGCACCAGGUGUCUGCAGCCCGGGGGCUACAACUUCUCCCAAACUUUGGCUGAUCCAGGGGAGUGGGUUUGCAGCCUCACCAUGCUCCAUCAAACAGUGCAGUUCACAAUGAAAUCACUCACAGUCCACAAUAAUUAUCGCUACAGUGUAAUUCACAGUGAAAACACUUACAGUCCAUGGUGAUUCCCGCUACAGUAAAACAUUAAUCCCUUUUAGUUAUAAUUAAUUUAUACAAAAAGUUUAGGUACCAUUACAUGCAUCAUUUUAUUUUUAAGCUAGUAUUAUAAUAUAUUAUUUAUAUAAAUAAAUAAAAAUAUUUUAUUAAUAAAUCUAUCAUCUCCCCAGUAUUAACACUUAAUCAUUAAACCAAGUAAAUAUUUAUCAGAUAUUGCUAAAUUACUUUACCAAUAUCCAUGACAGUGGCGGAGCCAGAGUUUUUAUGAUGAGGGAGCAAAUUAAUAACAAAUACUAUAUGACUUUUUAAUAUAACUUUUCUUCGAAGUUGAUUGAGUUAUAUAACUUGAAACUUUAAAUGACUUUUCAUCCUUACGGUAUUUACGCUUGAAAUACUUGUCUAGUGAUAUGUUAAUUUAAUUGAUGAACCUGCUGGUUCUUUUUAUUAUUAUUAGUGUCUACAUAAUAAUUAACACAACUACACAAUAAUUCGUUGUUAAACAAUAGUCAGUUGAGUUAUACAAUAAUUCUAAAUCUUUCAUAUGAAAUUCAUAGCAAAAUACACAUCAAUUCAUCAUAACUCAUUUCAAUUCAUAUCUAUAUGCAUAUAAUAAAUAUGUUGAUUAAAUUAUAUUUAAUCAUUUCUAGACAUUUAAAUUAUUUCUAAACACAAACACAAAAGUUGUAUGAACUCACCAAGUUAAAUAUAUGAAACAAGUUUUAAUACUAUAUUCUAGUUUCAAAUAAGAGAAAAUACUGAGAGAGAGAAAGUGUAGCUUAUAGAAUUUAAACUCAUGCCUCUCCUGACUCCAAGCAUCUCAUUAACAAUUAAUUACAAACAAAUCUAUGAUAUAAAAUGACAAUCAAUAUAUGUACAUUGUAAAUUAAGAGACCUCAAUUAAUAAUUAAUUCAUGAUUAUAGUGAAUUAAAAGAUCUUGGUUAAAUAAUUUCAAUAAUAUACUCUAUCAAUACAAGAGAUGUCAAGAAUAGUGGUUUUGUAUGAACAUUAAUUUAUUCAUUGAUAAUAAAAAAAAGAAAUAUUUAAUUGAUUAAAUUAGUAAAUUCAAACAUUUAUUUUGAAUACAUUCAUGUCAAAACUCCUAAAUUAUCAUAAACCCUAAUGUUUUUAAUGAUUAAUUAUAAAAGAAUACAACUAAAAUUAGAUAAUGAAAUAAAUUAAAAAAAUAAAAGAAAUUUACCUCAUAAAGCAAAAAGAAGAGAAAUUUGCAUGAGAGUGAGAGAGGCAUGCAAUAACUGAUCAAAAUGAAAAGAAGUUCUAUGUUAAUUAGUGAAAGAAAAAAAAGAUUUGUUUUUUAGUAAAUGAGCUAUACAUAUAUAUUAUAUAUUAUAUUAAAAUAUAAUUCAACAAUAACUUUCCACUUUUUUUACUUUUCCGUUAACCAAACUCUCAUCAACCUAUUAAAUUAAUAUUCUAAUAUUAAAAAUAUAUUUUAAAAAAAUUAAGGAGACAAUUGACUCCUUUUGUACCUACAUGGCUCCGCCAUUACUUAUGGGUCAUAUUAAUUACGGUAUUCAUCAACCUAAUUCUCCAACUCUCAUUUGAUUAUAUCCAUGCAAGCAAGUUAGUUAUUUAGGGCAUCUAUUCUUGAAAAUGAUUUAUUUUCAUGAACUUUUAAGAAUGUCUUGAUUUUAAUGUCGUGAAAAUUUAUUAUAAUGUGCUUGAAAAAAAUGUUUACGUGUAGGUUGAUAGACCACCAACAUAUUUACUUUGCUUAUUGAAGAAAAAGACAAACAUUUAGCAUAUCUAAUCAACUAGAAUUUAAAUUAAAAUUCAUUAUAGUGAAAACCACUGAUCUAACCCUCGUGGGUUGGAUCUAAUUUAUUUUUUUAACUUAACAAAAUAUUGAGGUCUCAAGAAAUUAUUUAAUAUUGUUAUAUAUUAAACCUAACUUAACUUGUAAAUUUUGAAUUUUUGUGAACUAACUUCUUAUCUAGCUCUAAUUUAAAAUUAAUUUUAUGAGAGUUGUCCUCAUAUAAUCCAGUUGACUUGAUAGAUAAAAAAAAAACCUAGAUAACCAAUAAAAAAUAUGGUUUGACUUUAAAAAAAUUUAGACGAUAUUUUUUUAUAUUGAGACGACAAUAUAUUAUAUUGAUCUAGACUUCGUGACUUAACCUACAAACUCGCAACCCGGAUAAUGGAAUCUACUAGGUUUAACAACUUUAUUUUUUAAAACUAUCUUUUACUUAAUAAUAUUAUAACAACAAUAAACGCUCGCAUAAUUGAGUACCAACCAAAUAUUAGAACGAUAAAAAUAAUUGAUAAAUAAUGGUUUAGUGGAUCUGCUUGGGCUUUGCGAACGUUUAUUAUAAUAAAAUGAAACAAAUUAUGAAGAACGUUUAUUAUAAUAAAAGGAAACAAAUUAUGAAGCCAAAUUCUCAACCAUCUCAAUAUUAAAAGAUGAAAAAAAAUUGAAAAAAAUCAUAACAAAAAUUCAAAAAGAAAAGGAAAAAGAAAAAAGAAAGAAAGUAAAACAUUGUGGAUUAAUAUUGUCAUUAAUAGUGCAAUGUGUGUGGAUGAACAAUGGUUUCUUCACACCCUUUAAUUUUUGUUAUUUUAUAAAGUUUAAUAACAUGACUUUUUUAAAAAAAUACUAUUUUUUUUUAACUAUAUGAGAAAAAAAUAGACCAUAAAAAAUCAAUAAUAAUUAAAAAAAAUAUAAUCCACCAAACUUGUAAACUGGAGCAACCUGAGUUAUCUUGACAAUCUCGUAAAUCACGCUAACCUUGUAUAAAGACAAAAUAAAAAGAAGCAAAUUACAAAUCUAAAUUCUCAACAAUUUCUAGUUUAAAAAAUGAAAUCGACAAAAACAUAUUUUAAAAAAAACAUAACAAAAAUUUAAAAAAAAAAAGGAAAAAAAAAAAGCAAUACAUUGUGGAUUACUAUUGUAAUCCACGAUGCAAUGAGUGUUGGGUGAACAAUGGUUUCCUCAAAUUCUUUAAUUUUUGUUAUUUUAUAAAGUUUGGUAACAUGAUUUUUUUCAAAAAAUAUUUUUUUAACCAUAUGAGAAAAAAUAGACUUUAAAAAAUUCUAGUUCAAUUAAAUAAAACAAUCCACUGAACUCGUAAACCGAGACAACUUGGAUUAUCUUGACAAAUCCGUAAACUACGCUAACCUCAUAUAAAGAUAAAAUAAAAGAAAAUAAAUUACAAAACUAAAUUCUCAACUAUCUCAAUUUAAAAAAAUAAAAUUAACAAAAAUAAUUUUUAAAAAAUUCAAUUAAAAAUAAAUAAAUCAAAGGCGUUGUCAUAAAUGAUUUCAAUAAUUCAUAUGGCCUGACACACUCGGACAUCAUUUAUAAGCACAAAUAUUAGAAGAUCAACUCAGCAUAAGACACCGUUUCAGAUCUGAAUCGAAAAAGGUUUGUCAGCUUCACUAACUGCAUGGCUAAAAGCUACUACUAUAUUAACGACCAUAUAUACUUCGGCACAUCCUCUUUAAAGAUCUAGCACAUCACUUCCACACAACAGCUCCGACUACAACUCAAUCGUCCAGCGAGAGAGAGAAAGACACUGUGUCUCUCUGUUAAUUUCUGGUUUCAAUCAAAACGGCAAGAACAAACAGCAACCGCCUCUCUCUCUCGGUAUCAUCUCUCAACGUCCACACUAUUCCUACCAGCCAAAUCAGAGUAUUAGAUUUGAGGCCGGAUGCAUGGUAAUCAUCCCAGGAAAAUGUAAGAUGAGUAGGGCUGAUGCAAUCAGCAUUCUUUCCAAGUUCCCAUGACUUGCUGCAGGAAAUUUCCAUGCACACGAUGUGCAAACCCAAGUUUCAAGAAUUUAAUCAACAAAAUGCAAAACAGAUUUUGAGUCAAUUCCUUCAAAGUUCUGUUCCAUCACGGUUGUUCACCUAGAAAGAGGUUGCCGUAAAAGCUAAAUAGAUAACAUGUAGAACUUAGAGGAUGUUUAGUGCUACGGUACAGAAUUUAAAAAAUGUUUAGUGCUGUGGUUGAAUUGUAGUUUUGUAAAUUUGUUUUAAAAAAAUUGUUUCAAAUUAUUUUUUUUUAUGGUUUUGAUAUAUUGUUAAUAAAAAUAUUAUUAACGUGAAAAAAUUCUGAGAAACAACAUUAUUAAACACCCCCUUGGUAAUCAAGCACAACUUUGCUGAUCCAUUGAUUUCCUCUUCUUCAUACACUUUCUCACUAAUGACAAUUCAAACCUUGCUGAUCCAUUGAUUUCCUCUUCACUGUCUUCACUAUCCAGCACAAUUACUGAUUCGGCAACUGGUGAGUCUCCCCCACUGGACUCAAUCCCCUUGUCAAUUUUCCUAAUUUGAUGUUGGAUAGACUGCUGCUUCUGGAGAGUAUCUGGAAGGAGGUUCUGCGAGUGCAAAAGCAACCUGCUAUUAUCCUCAUUGCUCCCCUGCAAUUGAGUGAGAGGACCCAAAGAUAGUUUCUGGCUAAUCCCAGUCUUCUUUGCAGUUUGAGGAUUUGAAAAUGGAAGCUCGUGAAUUGGCACAAUAUUCUCUUCGUCAUCCUUUUCUUGUCCCUGUGAUGAGGUUUUAAAUCCCAAAGAAAGCUUCUUACUAACCGGCGGUGGCUUAUUACAUCUUGCAUCGAUGGUGGUAUUAUCAAUUCCAAUAAAAGAAUCCCUACAAGGCAGUUCAUUAUGUUUGAAGGAUGAGGCCACCAGCAAGGUCUCUGGAGUUGAAUUAGAAUGGGACUGAGAAGGCAAUAGUUCAGGGGUUACAAGGAUUUCCUCAUUUAUGCCAUCAUUUGUUUGGUAUGCAUCCAAAGCUCCAGACAGCAUCUUAUGGCUAACCUGACAAAGAUUGUCUGAGCUUGUGCUUUUGCUGUCAAACGUUGAUAUCUUAUCAUGCUGCUUAUGGAGUCGUUGCUCAUUACAGUUGCCAGCGUGCAGCACUAGCAAAUCCAAAGAAGUCAUAGGAGCAGUUUGUGGGUUACAGAAGGAUUGAUAUUGCUUUGGGUUUAUAUUCUGUGUGUUAUGUUCAGGGAAUCUAACAGAGGAUUCAAGAGACAACUUCCUCCCAAUGCCACUUGACUUCUCAUAUUUCACAUUGUACUCUUCAGGCAUAACAAUCGACUCUCCCCCCUCCCCUUUUGUUUCUGUGUGAUUUCUGAAGUCAAACAGGAGGUCAUGAUUUCGCUUGUUAUUCACAUCUCCAUCACUUCCCUUGUUACAAGUGGAGAUGGCAAACUCCAGAGACAGCUUUCCACCAAUCCCACUUGGUUUCUUAUGAUUAGAAACGAAAUCCUUAUUUUGAUUAGUCGACUCCUUGUCUGGUCCUUUAAUAUCCACCUAGAGCAAAAAAUUACAAAUUCAAAAAGAUCCAGAUUUUUCAAAAAUAAUUUGGGAAAACAGCCAAACAAACGCUACCAUUGGGCUUGAAUUUGUGUCACUUUGAAUGUAUUGAGUACUGCAGCUACCGAUAUUGGCUCCAGGCUUAGCAUAUUUCUCAGUCAUGGCUUGAGCUCUUUGGUCAAACACCAGCCUGUUAUAUUUGUAUUCUCUGCUCUGCAUAUUCAUCCCCACACAUCAGAAAAUUGAGACAAUUUUAUUCAAUAUUACUGUCUGAUCGAUCUGUGUACAUAUCCACUUACAGCUUCACACAUUAGGCCAUCAUCAGGAUUUGGCUCACACAGCAACAAUCCUAUGCUUGUUAGCACUGUUGAAAUGUUUAAUGAUGGUUGCCAUGCACCCUGCUUGUGUAGAAACACAAACCUUGUUAUAAAUAGCAGGUUUGAGAGAAACCCUACAAUUUCAUUAAGACAUCCAUUGCCUAUUGAUAACAAAAUAAGAAGAAAGUUGAAGAAACAAAUAAAUUGAAAAACCUCAAGAAAUUUCUUGUCAUCCAUGAUUUGUCUAACAGUACAAUAAUUGGACAGUUGUCACUGCCCAUGAAAUAUAAAGUUCAGUUUUCUUGACAAAUAUCCUCCAGAUCACUGUUCUUCAUAGUUCAUACCAAAGCUACAAUAAUGGCAAAAGGGACCGUGAACAACUACAUUAGAACCUUUACGCUUUAAGAGUUAAUUCAAACCAAUGGACCAACAACUGACUUUACAGGCCAACUUCUUGCCGAUUUCCAUGAGAAAUGGGAAGCCACGGGAGUACAUACUUUCAGCCCAAAAUACAGGCAAAAUUUUAUAAAAUAUCAGCACAAGUAGUUGUAACAAGCGGGAAGAACAACCGACCUUGUCAAAAUGGUAAAAUUACAGAAUCAAUAACUAGAAGCAAGCAACUUGAGAUAUUACUUUAGAUUAAUUCACAUUUUAUUUAAUAUAAAGUCCAUUCAAAGUAGAAUCAUUAGAUUUAAUUCUUGAAAAAAAAAAACCAUUAAUAAUAGUAAUAAGCAGUAGAAUUUGUCAAUCUAUCCUCAUUUUUAUAUAUACAAAAACAUAUCCCAGAAAACAACACAAAGCGAUCAUGCUCAGAACAUUAUAUAUUUCUAGGAAACCAAAAACAAACUAUCACUUUCGACAAAAGAAAAAACAGAAAAGAAAAGAAAAGAAAAGAAUUAGGGUGUGGGUGGGUGUGUGUCACCUUCGGGGGAAGAUUAAGAAUGUCAAGGCAAAUCCGACCUCCGUUAUCGAUAUUAGGGUGAUAGAUUGGCGUGGCAAAGGUCACACUUGGAGGCUGAAAUGGGUACCUAAAAGUUUUUAAAAAAGAAAAAUUAAAAACCCAUCAGAAUUCUUAAUUACAAGACAUAAAUGCAAAUAAUACCUAUCGGGUAUUUGAAUCUUAAUGCUGAAAAUCCCCUUAGCAUAUACACUCCCUUCGGGCCCUUCAAUCUCUGCCCUAACAAAAAAUUUGGUCAAUGGAUAACUCAAAUUUUUGAGAUUUUCGAUUGGUUAUAUAACGAGAAGUAACUUACGGGCGUCGAUAGUUGACAAAGAGGAGAAAUCGGAGGCGGUGGAGAGAAAAGGAAAGGAGGCGCCGGGUGGAGGGUCGGUCAGGAGGAGCUUGAGCUCCUUUUGCAUUCGAAGAUUGAGCCUCGCGGCUUGUGCCAUUUCGCGAUUAGCAAGUUCUCCUCUCUCUUUUUUUCCGGUUUUGUUUUGGUUUGGUUUCCGUGGGUUUUUGUUCAUAAAAGGCACCUUAUAUCAUCUACAACUUCUAAUUUUUGUUUUCUUUUUAUAUAAUUAAAAUAUAAUCAAACAGUCAAUAAAAUAAAAUUAACCAAUCAAUCACACGAAUCAAUACUAAUUUUUUUUUUUUUAUUGGAAAGCUCGACGAAAAUCACAUAACCGUAAUCUAUCUAAAAUCUUCCACUUUCACAAAUAAUGAGAUUAUAAAGUGUUAUUUUUAAACUCAAACUAAAGGUAACAAUAUAUAAAUCAUCAAGAAUCGUAGUAUUCCUGAAAUACAAUAAGAUUAAUUAGAAGGAGUUGAAAGAAAUACUCACAAAACUAACAACCUCAUUUUAUAAUGAAACAACUAACUUAGACACUUUAAUCUUCAGUUCAAUCAUAUAAAAUGAAGAGAUAUAUAUCUGGAACCUGUUGUCAAAGUUUCUGCUUGAUACAACUAUAAACAAGCUACCAAUAGAAGAUUUAGUUGCUUGUUCAAGCUGCUAAUGUUUUUGCUCCUUUUUUUUCUUUUUUUGUUUGUUACGACGACCCUAAAUAAAAUAGAGCUAGCCCUCUUAUAAAUGAUAAGCAUCUUUUACUUCUUUUAUAAGUGUGUGAUCCUCUUUAAAUGGCGUGGGACUCAUAAAACAACUCCCUUUCACACACAAUGUGAGGAAUUCACCAUAACAAUGAUCAUUUUAUAAGCUUUAAUUUGGUGAGCUUGUCUAAGUUCAUUUGCCUUCUACAAAACUCAAAUUUCUCUCUCGAUAAAAGCUUGGCUAUCCUAUCUGAUAUAUUAUCAUUAGUAUGGAUCAUCUCAACAACAAAGUACUUAUUCUCCAUAACAUCUUGAAUCGAUUGGUAUCUAAUCUCAAAUUGUUUUGAUCGAGAGUGAAAAGUAUGAUGCAUACUAAGAUAAAUUGCACUUUAUAUGUUGCAAUGCAACACAAAAUUCACUUGCAUUAGACCAAGUUCAUGUAAGAACUUCAUCCAUAACAACUUUUAUCCUCUUCAGUAAGAGCAAUGUAGUUAGCUUUUGUAGUGAAUAAUACAACACAUAUUUGUAACCUUAAUUUCCAUGAAACUGCCCUUGCAAAAGUCAUUAGAUACCUCGAUGUAGACUUUCUAGAAUUAACAUUAUCAACAAUAUAUGUGUUUAUGCAUCCACUAGCAUAGGUUUACUAUAACUAAAUAUAAACUAAAACUAGAAGUACAUUUGAGAUACAUAAGUAUCCAUUUCAUUGUUGACCAAUGUUCUUUAUCAACCAACUGACCACACCAAUAACAGGACUUAUAUAUGGCCUUGUGUAAACUAUGGCAUACAUCAAGCAAUCAAUUGUAGAUACAUAAUGAACCUUUUUUUAUCUCAUUUAUUUCUUCAUCACAUAAAGGAAAUUGUUUUAAAAUGAGCUUAAAGUGACUUGUAAAUAGAAAACAAACAGGUUUGGAUUUAGUCAAGUUGAAUCUCUCAAGUACCUUCUAAACAUAUCUCUUUUGAGAUAACCAAAGUUUCUUAUUUUUCUUGUCACGAGUAAUCUUCAUACUAAAAAUUUGUUUUACUGGUCCUAUGUAUAUCAUUGAAAAGGACUUGUUUAACUCUCCAUUCAAACUCUAAAUCUUUUUAGCAUUAUGGCCAAUAAGUGAAAAUAAUGAAGUUACCAUCAUGAAAUCUUUUUAUAAACACAUAAUGAUCAGAAAUGGCUAUGUCAUAACUUUGUUUUGGAAAAGAUUAAAUGUAUUAAAAGAAAAGGACCAAAAAAAGAGGGGUAAACCCCACAGGAUACAAGAAAAAAGGGAAAACAAAGGUAAAAUGAAUACAACAAAGGAAAAGGAAAUAAAAGACAAAGGGAGCUACAUUAAAAGGCUAGUUGACUGGAAACCAAAAGCCAACUCUUUAGAGUAAAUUACAGGGGGGAGAAGUGGCAUGAAGCUAGGGCUCUUGUAGGUCCUAGGAGUUUAGGAUAGAAGUUGGGAUGGUACACUUAUGAUCAUAGCUUAUCAGAUGAGUUCAGAUUAGUUGGAUGAUGUCCUCACAUACAAACUGAGAUGGUUGGAAAUGUUGGCAGAAGAUACAGUUAUUUUGUUCGUACCAUAUAAAAUACACCGAGGCAGACAGGAUAAGGCUCUACCAUAACCAUGCUCCAUCAUAAAAGAAUCAAACUUCUUGUACCACUAUUUUGGAGCUUGCUUCAACCCAUACAAACUCUUCUUCAGCUAACAAACUAGCUGCUCUUUACCUUUCAAUUCAAACUCUUUAAACUAAUUCAUGUAGAUUGAUUAGUACUUAAAAGUGCAUUUUUAUCAAGGUUUUAUAUUAUCAUUUUGCACUUGAAGUAUCAAUAAAUCCUUAACUAAAGCAUAUUUUAUAAUAACAAGUCUGAUACCAUAAAAUACCUUUAAUUUAUGGUAAAUGUUCAUCUUAAAUGCAAGCCUAUCACAUAAAUAAAAGGAUUGAUUGAUGAGUUUAAGUACAGAAAUUGAAAGGACAAAAAGAGGGUCAAACUUAGAAAAGAGAUGUUGGUUCAGUCCAAACUAGAACAUUAUUUGGUCAUUGGGUCAUAUAUGGAGCUGUAGAUCUUGGAUUUAGGUUUUCCUUAUAUGGAUGGAAAGCUAAGACAUAGGCCUAAAACUUUCAUGAGGAGUCCAAGAUUUAAAAAGGCCGUUUUCAAGUCCAAAUUGUAGCAACAACGGAGAAGUCUGAAUCUGUCCUACAGCCCAGACACUAUUUAGUGUUCAGCCCAUAUCUCGAGUUUUAGAAGUCCAAAUGACCUCAACGUUUUUUUCCUGGAAAGUUGAGACAAUUUCCUAGAACUUUUAUGAUUUCAUUCUGUUCAAAUUAUGACGUUAUCAAUGAUGUUUUUGGCAGACAAGAAGAUAAGGAUUGUCACUAAGUCAAGAUGUGGCCACCCACUCAACAAUUAGUCAACAAAUCAAUAGUUCUGAAUUUUGGCCUAUAAAAGGAGGCAUUUGCCAUGUAUUUAGGCAUCUUGGUUUUCAGAUCAAGAUCAUGCUCUUGCUCUCUCUUUAUAUUUUGUAAUGCUUAAGUUUUGCUUAUAUUAAUCUCUUGCUUAUGCUUUCAUUUUCUUUCCUUGUUUAUUUAUGUUUAUCUCUUUUAUUAUGUUUAGAUAAGUUUAUCAUGUCAAGGUGAAAAGGUUACACUAAUGGUGUAAGAAUAAGUAUAAUAUAAACUCAACAUGGACUUUAAUGUUGGAUACUAACAUGUUUUAUAUUUGUUAUCUUGUUCACUUUUAAUACUUUGCUUGUUAAAUGGUUAAUCUAGAUUUAUGUUAUAUAACCCUUGGUACAACAAAUACUUGGCACUUUCAUAGCCCAACCGUAUGGUAUAACCGACACCUAUGCUAUGAAAGGAACUUGAUUUGUUGUUAACAUAAGUUAUAAUCAUGAAUGCCUGACAACAUUUACAAGUAUUAGCAUUAUUCGAAUAAGAUAACUGAUGUAAUCAUGUUAACAAUUUAUAAUCCGAUUGGAACCUCCUUUGUGUGUGGUUUCCAGUUGAGUAAUAAAAAGAGUUUAUACUAUACUUGUUUGAAAUACCAUUAGUGGAUCCUCUAACCUUGACAGUUAUUUUAUUAUUAUUUAAUCCUUACAUCAAUAUCACAUCUCAAAGCUCUCUUUAACUUAUUAUUGUUGUUGUUGUUGUUAUUUAUAUAGUUAACCUCCCUGUGGUUCGAUCCCGGUCUUGCCGGGUUAUUUAUUACUUCGACACUCCUGCACUUGGGAGAAGACAUCAAUCUUUUGGUCGUGUUAUAGAUCUCUUUAUCUAAGUCACCAUGGAGAAAAGCAAUUUUCACAUCAAGUUGUUUAACUUUAAGAUUCAAACUAAUAGUUAAACCAAGCACAACUUGGAUUGAAGACAUCUUGACCAUAAGAGAAAAUAUUUCAUCAAAUNNNNNNNNNNNNNNNNNNNNNNNNNNNNNNNNNNNNNNNNNNNNNNNNNNNNNNNNNNNNNNNNNNNNNNNNNNNNNNNNNNNNNNNNNNNNNNNNNNNNAGAAGAAUAUAUGGUGAAGCUUAUGAGGUCUAGUGGACAUUUUUAUUGUGGCUCAUCUAGAGCUUUAUGAAUAACGUGUUUAGGAAUAAUAUCACCAUCAUCAUCAUUAGCUGGCUAAGGAUCAUUAAUUAAUAGCUUAAAAGGAAAACCAUCAUUAUCAUAAUUUUACAUAUCUCCCUUAUGAUUAAAAAACAUCAAAGGUAAAUGUGGAGUAAGUCUUGAAUCCAAACUAGCAGGAACAAAAUUAGUAUAUUCUAUAUUCUCCUUUUAUUCAAAGUCUUCAAUGGUUUGAUCUUCAAAGAAGACUACAUAUCUAUCUUUAACAACUAUCUUCUAUUUUAGAUUCCUUAACCUAUAACCAAACUUGUCAUCUUUAGAGUCCAAGAAAACACAUUACUUAGUCUUGCUAUCAAUAUUAGACAUUUCAUCUCUAGAAACAUGUACAAAUACCUUGUAGCCAAACACUCUUAAGUAUACAUAAAAACAUUAUGAUUAACUAAAAACAUAGGUUCAACUCUAAAAUAAAACAUAGUUUAAUGGUUCUAACACCUUAUUAUAAUGCUUGAGAAAACAUUUGGAAAUCCAAAAUCCAAAUACUAAAAUCAAACAUAUAAUCCUCUAGUCAUGAUAGGCAUGAGAAUGUCCUGAAAGAAAAACAAUAUAUGCAAAAAUAAUCAAUCACAAGAAAUGAAAUACAUAUAUUCACUAUUAAUUUAAUUGUUAAUUUCUAACAAAAACAUAUUAUCCAUUGGUACAUUACCAAGUCAUGAAAACUUCAAAAACCCCUAGUUGUUGGCCAAGGUCUAGUCAGUCUUUGAUGAUGUAUGUUUUAACAAAAGAAGGAUCUAAUGCCAACAUGUUAGCAUAAGAAAAUGAUUUUGGAUAUGAACAUAUUGUGUAUUGUCUUAGUAUUGUGCUUAUGUUAAAUUAUGUUGGUACAUAUAGUUUAUGUAAUGUAAUAUAUAAAAUAGAUUUAAUUAAAUACAUGUUAUCAAAACUUUUUUAAAGAGGAUGUGUUGGUAAAUAAAAAUUAUCAUUAUCCAGGUUUAAUAUGCAUUUAAUUAUAACAUAGCUAAAUUAGUGUGGGGAAUUUAUUGUAGAUCAAGACACAUUUUAUUGUGGAUUGUAAUAGUAAUUUCAUUUUAAUUUCUCAUCUUUUCGCGAGCGGAUAAAUGUUUCUUUAGCUUUUCUUUUCUUCUUAUUCAUUGCUUCUUCUUUGCCACUUUAGCACCUUGGGUUUGGCAUGAUAAUGUACUUGGGUCUGGCAACCACAUCAGAUCUCCAAGCGUCAUGAGUUUGGCAACCAUGUCAGACCCAAGCUACUUGAGUUUUGGAUGUAGCUCAUUAACACACAUAACAAGUAUUUCUUUUGUUAUAACAACAUAUUUACAUGUGAUUUUAUUUGCAUGCCUACCCAGUUGCUUUGUAGGAGGAGUUCUUGUUGGGGGGCUAUUGUCAAGGCUUUCCUUGUUUUUUUUUAAUGAUUUCAAGCGACUUGGGUCUAACAACCAUUCAAGACCUAAACGUCUUGAGUCUGACAACCACGUCAGGCCUAAACGUCUUAUGUGUGACAACCAUGCUAGGCCUAAGCUACUUAGGUUUGGCAUGGUUGUCAGGUUCAUGCGUUUGGGUCAGGCAUGGUUUCCAGAACCAAACGCGGGUCUGACACACCUUAAGUAUGACAUGGUUUGCUAGACUCAAGUGACUUGGGUCUAACAACCCUGUGCAAGUGUACUGUGGACCAAGAUAUAGUCCACUGUAGAUUUGCACAGUGGAUUUUCCAAGCUUUGAAGGCUUGGGAUGGGGCUAAUGUUGUCUUUUCAAAUAAAGUUAAAUUAUCAUUUUGCCCUUUGAUUGAAAAAAAUUGAAGCCCUGAUUGUGAGGGUAUUUCAGUAUUUUUCAUAGGCUCAUUGAUCAUUAAAUGUUUGAGCAGGGGUAUGUUAGUCUUUUCAUGUUUAUUUGCAUAGUAAAAAUACUAUUCUACCCCCAAAGUUAACAAAAAUAAGAUUUGUUGCCCAGAGUUUUUUUAACAUUUUACAAAUUGUUAAAUAGUUAAUAUACAUCUUUAGUCUUGGAAAAGAUAAAAAUAAGAUCCAAGCUACUCGGGUUCUGACUUUAGCUCAUUAACACACACAAUAAACAUUUCUUUUGUUAUAGCAACAUAUUUACUUGUGAUUUUACUUGCAUGUCUACUCAAUUGCUUUAUAGGAAGAGUUCUUAUUGAGAGGGUUGUUGCCAAGGUUUUUCCUGUAUUUUUUUUAAUAAUUUCAAGCGACUUGGGUUUGACAACCAUUUAAAACUUAAACGUCUUAGGUCUAGCAACCACGCUAUGGUUGCCAGAUCCAAGACGCCUGGGUUUGCGCUUGGAUCUGACAUGAUUACCAGACCCAUGUUAUUUAGGUCUAACAAAAAGUUGAGUGGAGAUUUAAAAAUUAAUUAACUUGAUUAAAUUUAAUAACACUUUUAAAAUAUUUUUCGUAUUCUUAAUUUUUUUUUAAAAAAAGUUAAUAUUAACCCAUUGUAGAACAUGGACCAAUAUACUAAUAUAUGUAUAUAUAACAGUUAAAUAAGAAGCAUUGGAUGAUUUCUUAGCUCGUUAUCUUUCCACUAGUAAGUACCAUGAAUUAGAAGGGAUAUGAAUGUUAUCGUGGUGUCCAUUCAUGGUUUGACGGAUAUAAGACCAAGAACAAACUGGUGCAGGGGUGGUGAAUGUUCAUGAUCUCCCUAACACGUCACCUUAUCUUUUAGACGCCUAAAUAAUCAUUGGAUAGUAAAUGAAAGUUUGUUUUUGUGUUUUAACAGUAUUUGAAAAAAAUUAAUAUUUUUUAUUUUUGAAUAUUCUUUUAAAUUUUUUAAAAAUAAUUUUUUAAAAAUAAAAAUUAUUAUUUUAAUAUAUUUUAAAAUAAGAAAUAAUUCACCUGAAUGAAAUUUAUUAUUUUGGUUGUGUUUUGAAAUUGUGGUAGCAUUUAAAAUGUAUUUUUUAAAAAAAUAUAUUAAAAUAUUUUUUUAAAAAAAUUAUAUUAAUAUAUUUAAAUGAUAUAAAAAUAUAUAUAAAAAAUUUAUUUUAAAUAAAUUGUUUUUCAAAAUUUAAAGAAGUGCGUUACCUAACCCACCCAGUUUAUGUGGAAGAUACACGUUUGAAGUUUGAACACCCAACUCUGUUCGGGCACGUACGGCAGAGUCCACAGGCCCCACCUAAUUCCGGUGAUGAUGGUCAUAACUCCUCUCGCCCUCCCUAACAAAAUCGGAUUCUCGUUACCUUUUCUCUAUAAACCAAUCACAAGAGGAGGAGGAGGAGGCAGUUGUUCUGCUUUUACUUGUCGCUCUGUAUCAUCACUUACCAGCUUCACUUGGGACGACGUCGUUCAAGCCUCUCAACCUGACUAUGCCCCAAAUGAUUCUUCAGAUCUCUCUGGCUUCUUCGAAAAGAUCAAAUACUGCAAUCGCGGCUCCUCCGUACAGAGCGAGCUCUCUUUUCCUUUGUGUUUUGGUCAAUUAACAAUAUUUUUUACUGUAUAAUUUUUAAUAUUUGCAGGAGAUAAAAUCUGAAUUUAUUCCAUUGGUGAUAGAGGAUCAAAUAGUUGGUUACAUACAUAACGGGUAAGGUAAUCUCUCUCUCCCUCCCUCUUUUUUGUUGUUUUUGCAUUUUAAGAAAAUGGGAAAUUCAAAUUGAUGAAUUAAUUUUGAUUUAUGACAGUUUUUUUGAUAAUUAUUUGAGGAGGUUUAAGGACGUGUUUGUUUUUGUGCCAAGUGAUUCUCGUUUUGGCACCAAUGUGACUUUAAAUAAAACACUAAGCACGCCAGAGGAAAGAACCAGAGUUGUUGGAAAUGUAAUCAAAUGCUUGGCAGAAGAAGAUAAGGAACUGAUUCCAGGAAUACGAAAUGAGGUAUAAAGAUCAUCAACCGUGUGGAGCUUUUUUUUUUUUUCUUGCUGUAUUGGCUGUUUACUCGUUGAUUUUCAAUCAGUUGUACCCUGUCACACCUUCGUUCGGAUCGCCCCCCUAUUUUUCCGUUGAACGUGCUGCUGCUCCUUAUUUUGGAAUUAAGGUUUGUGCUUCUUAUUUCUUUGCUUCAUUCUUUUUUCUUUUUGUUAGAAUUAAUUAAUUUUUUUUUCACUUUUCAACUCUAUGAGAAUAGGUAUAUGGAAUUCAUAUGAAUGGUUUUGUGAAAAGAGAUGGGGAGAAAUUCUUAUGGAUAGGAAAGAGAAGUCCAGUGAAACAAACUUUUCCUGGGAUGCUUGAUCAUCUUGUUGCUGGUGGACUGGUUUGUAACUAUUUAUUAUAUUCAUCAGUUGCUUUUGUAAUCCACAUUCUUACUUGUAUACCAUUCAAUGAAAUUGGUAUCUGGUUUGCAUUGUCAGAUUAAGACGAAGGGAAGAUUCCAUUAUUUAUUUAUUUAUUUUUAACAUUUGAAUGCUCUGAAUACUAUGACGACCAAGUGGUAGGUGAACUCUGAACUGAACUUGGAGUGUGAAAUGUCAAUGUUAAAUCCCGGAUGAUUACAAUAUUUGCAAUCCAUUUCCUUUAGUAACGGCAACUAGCAAAAAUAAGCAUGCCAUAGAAUUGUCACUUCAUUUCUGAGCCAACUCUUACAUUAUGGUAAUGACAGCCUCAUGGGAUGUCUUGUGUUGCAAAUCUUAUAAAGGAAUGUGAAGAGGAAGCAGGGAUUCCUCUAUCCCUUUCUAAUCAGUAAGUUUUCUUCUUCUGCUGAAUUAUGUUCAGCCUGCCUUGUAUUGUCUGGGAAGUUGAAUCUUGGUGCAGCAGGAACAGAUCCUUUGAUCAAGUUGUUUUGGUUGCAACCACUCUCGUUCUGAUGAUGGGUCUAUAUUGCUUCUUUACAGAGCCAUGUCAGUUGGUGCUGUUUCUUAUGUGGAUGUUGACGGGUAUAGAUACAAGAGGGAUGUUCUAUUUUGUUAUGAUUUAGAACUCCCUGGUGAUUUUAUUCCUAAGAAUCAAGGUAAAACUGUGAAAGCUCAGGUUUUCAGCUGUAAUUAUAUAUCAAUUCUUCAAGCCUUUUAAAUAUGCCUAGAAAUUUGAGGAUUGUGUUUUUGACAUUUCAUGAUAUCUUUACCAUCAUUGGCGUAUCAAACUGUGACAGAUGGGGAAGUGGAGAGUUUCAAGUUGAUCCCCGUGGAAAAUGUUGCAAAUGUAAUACGGAGGACCCAUUUUUUCAAGCCUAAUUGCUCUCUUGUUAUCAUGGAUUUUCUGUUUCGACACGGGUAAUUCUUCUCUAUUGUUUCCCUUGUUUAUUUUCACACUCAUUUAGCGGUCACUCAUUUAACUUUAAAAGAUAAACUAUUUUUUCUUUGCCACCUAUAUUAUUAUGACCCACCUCUUCAUGGUGAGAAGAUAAUCACAUUCAUUAGUCAUUUUCUGCCUGUAAUUAUACAAACAAUAGGGGCACCUACAAGUUUAUCUCUGUCUUCCAGCUCUCAUUAAGACCAGAACACCCAUGACUUGCCGCAAGAAUCACACAAAUUAAUGUCUUGGAGCUUCACUCUUUAUAUCGCCUUUCCAUCCCUUCACCUGAAACAUUAUUUCCUUCCCCGCAAUAAGAGCUUUAUGCUCAAAGUUUGGGCUUCUAUACAGUUUUGAUAUUUCCUGAAGAAGAUAAUGGCCUACUUAAGUCUAUAGAUGAGGUUCUGACUUCUGAAAGAUUAUAAGCAGUAUCAGAGCAAGGUAUAGGUUUGUUACUGCCUUGGUGAUGUAAGGUGUAGCAUAAAAUCUUCAUAAUUGUAUUGUUCUGGUGUAAAUUCUAGUUUCUACAUUGGAUUUCCUUCAAUUAUUCCACUUCUGGAAACUUGUAUUAGAUCCUGUGAGAACUUGCUUAACAUCAGUUUUUACUCAAGUAUCCUGGAUCAUUAGACCUUGUUACAGAAAGGUUGAGUAGGGUGAAUUGCAGUUUGCGUUCUUUCUAGAUCAUUGGAACACAAGGAGUGAUGAGGUAGAUCAUGGUGUAUUCCCCGUAACCUCCACCAUUUUCUAGAUCAUUGGAACACAAGGAGUGAUGAGGUAGAUCAUGGUGUAUUCCCCGUAACCUCCACCAUCACCGCUAUAUAAUACUAUCUUGAUGGGUUUUCAGCCAUAUCAUUCUUACAUGCAGAGAAAUCACUUGAGGCGCAACUCAAGACACUCUCUAAAUCUUUCUUUUCAUGAUUUAGUUUUGUGGNNNNNNNNNNNNNNNNNNNNNNNNNNNNNNNNNNNNNNNNNNNNNNNNNNNNNNNNNNNNNNNNNNNNNNNNNNNNNNNNNNNNNNNNNNNNNNNNNNNNUGCAGGUAUAUUGGUCCUGAAUGCUUGGGAUACUUGGAUCUUUUACAAGAUUUGAGAAGUGGAGAUACUUCCUAAAUAUGCUCUCGCUUUGUUGAAUUUCUAAACUUCAACAAAAAGAAGGGGAAAAAAUAUAGAAGCUGUCCUGUGUGGUUGAAUAUUCUCUCAUUUGCAACAAGAAGUUUGUUUGCCAGAGACUUCUUUUAUGGUGGUUGGAAGGUGCAGGCAGCAUGCUGUUCGGAGGUGAAUCACGUCAAUGGAUCUGAAGUGCCCAAGCAAAGGUUUAAAGGAAAAGGAGAAAAAAAAGAAAAAAAAGGGAAAGCAUAUACUAUCUGGACCUCCACUUUUUCCUGCCUGCUGUGUUGAAAAAGUCCUUCGCCUUGACUGUAAAUGCCAUUUUUAGCCAUUUCGAAAGAUUUCACUGCUAAAAAUAGAUGCUGAAUUUCAUUAAAGAUGCUGUAAUUGUUCUUAAUUGCAUUAAGACAGGCAAGAGCAUGAUGAAGUCCUUGGGAUCAAGGAUGAUAGUGCUGAGUACAUUUGGUUUGCACCUGUCCAAGAGGCCAAAUUUGAGUUUUGCUUCUCUCGUUUCAUCAUCAAAGAGGAAUCCUAAUUUAUUGUAGACGCGGCGAGCAUGGUGGGAACUUUUUGAAUUCUAUUUUUUAAUUUAAUUAUACGUAAUAAAAAAAAUAUUUUCAAUAAAUAUAAUAAUAAAAUUAUAUAGAAAACUUAUUUUUUUUAUAUUCUUAUUCGAUUCAUGUAUUUUUGUUUUCUUACAAUUAACAGUUUUUUUUUUUAUCAACAUUGAAUAAAAAAGCAACAACAAUAAAAAAAUUAUUCAGAAAAAUUAUAAAAAUUUGAACUUUGAGAAUAUAUAUAUAUAUAUAUAUAUAUGCAUUUAUUUUUAUUUUGAUGAAAAUAUUUUUUUAUUAAAAAAACAUUGGUUUUUAAGUAAUAACCUAUUAUGAUCAAGAAGGCGUGUUUUAAAUAUAAAAUUAUAAAUUGAUUAUUUUUACUUUUACACAUCUAUAUAUAAAAAAAACAUGAAAAUAAUAAAAUUAAAAAAGAUUAUGUAAAAAUCCUAUAAUAAAAAAAUAUUUCAUUCUCAUUUAAUAUCGGUACGAAUGAGCAAAAUUAUUUACGCAUGUAUAGAAAAGUGUGCCCUAUGAACUUACGAUCAAGGGUGACAAUUGAAAGCUAAGCAUCAAGAAGCAGCGUGCAUCACAACACAAGAGAAACUUUCACUCUUUUGAAAAUAUUUCAGAGAGAUUGUAAGGAAUGUUCUGGUUUGCGAUUGUGUAUGUUUAUGUAUUUAAAAACAAAAUGCUUUUAAAAGCUAUAAUUUCUUUAUUCAAAAUGCAAAUCAAUCAAAUGUUUAGAAUGUGUUGAGAAUACAUGUUAAGCAAGGUGUUUAUUGUAAAAUCAUGACAACUGCGAGUUAAAUAAAAUUCUAGGUUUUUUGAACAACGCUUCAUCUAUGGCAUUCAAAUUGGGUUCUUUCUAAUUAAGUGAAAUGGUGUCAUUUUAGAAAGACCAAAAUAGUCCCUGAAUUACGGCUUCCUUUCAAUUGUAGCCCAUGAUUUAUGAAAGUUAUAAUUAAAUCCCUAAUUGGGCCUUAUUUUUUUGAAAAUCCUUUCAAUUUGGCCCUCAAGCAUUCCUCAUUAGACCCUUAAGUUUUACAUGCAUUGCAAUAUGGUCCCUGACUCUUCAAAUUAUGUAAUUUCAAUCAAAAUUGGAUCCAAAUUUUAAAAUUCUCUUCAAUUGGAUCCCUAAUUAAAUCAAUUGCAACCUUCCACGUUUCCUCCACUUUCAUUUAGGUUAUUAGCUUUCUAAUUUGUGCAAUCAUGACCUAAGUUUCAAUUUUUCAUUUAGAUCCUCCACUUUCAUUUAAGUCUUUGAGUUUCUUUUAAUUGACUGAAUUAAGCUUCCAAACCUUGCCAUCUUUUUUUUUUGGUCAUUGGUCAUCUAAUAUUUUCAAUUAUGACUGAUUUCAACCCAUUUAUUCCAUUUUUUCCAAUUAAAAUUACAUACCCACAUGACUUCCUAACCAAAUACAAAUUAAAUUCUUGCCUGAUUUCAACCUGAAAUUGAAUUUUAUUUUUGAAAUAUAUUUUUCUUUGAAUAUUUUUUUUUAAAUGAUUUUGAAGACAAUUUUUUCUGAAAAUUCUUGAAAACUUCAAGGGGGUAAAAAUUGAGUUAUUAUAGUUGCCUCUACUUUACAAUUCUUAUGGAACAAAGUCUUAUAAAAAAAGGUUUUAUGUUGUAAGCUUGUAAAUAAAAGAUAGUAUUUGUGAAAAAUUUUGAAAAGGUACUAAAGCAAAAAAAUAAAAAAAGAGUUUUGCUGGACUCAAAAUCUGUUUGAGCCUUGCUAGGCUUUAAAAUUAUAACAAACCUUGCUAGGUUAAAUUGUUUUAGAGUCUUACUGCACUAGAUAUGAGAUUUUUAUAAUAAAAACAAAUUUUGCAAAACAUUACACAAUGCUAACAUUUUGGAUUAGAUGAAAUUCAUGCUUUUUUACCUAUAUGGAAAUAUAAGCCCUCCUCUUUUUCAAUCUAUCUUUCUUGUUUGUAGUAGGACUCGCUAGCUCUUUUGAUCGCUUAACCCGCCAACCCACUCAAGUUUGCUUGUGUAAAUCAUGUCUUAUUACAACCUGGACCUUAUGUAACAACCAUUUCCCUUUCAUGUUCACUAUAAGAAAUUUUGCGUAGUUGACCAUUUCUUGAAAAGUAACAAAGUUUCUCCUAGUUGGAUUGUGCUCUAAGUGUAGUAUUCAUUCAUCUUUUCCCACCUUUUGUUUUCCUUAAUGAAAUAGUUAUGCUUUUCCACUCUCAACUUCUGAAUAGGUUCAUCAACUUAUUCUUUUAAACAAAAUUGCUCCUAGUUGAUCUGGUUAUGUUCAUCCUUCUAGCACUCAUCAAUAUCAUCAUAAGGAAUUUCUUUUAUAACUCAGGGCUUGUGAUGGAAUUCUUCAUGUCAUCAUUUAAUUAUUGUCAUUGCCAAGGGUUUUUUUAAAUUAAAUUACCCCUAGCUGAUGUGACCACGUGUAUUGUUACCAUCACGGAUUACUCUAGUUAGUUUGACUGUAUAUCCUCCAACAGACCCAUGUGUAUUACCUUAAUUCAGAGUGUGAAAUAUUAAUAGUUUAUCUAGCUAUGCUUAUCUUCCUGUAAUCAUCAUAGGAUACACACAUAAUCGACUCCAAGUUGAUUUGAUUGCUUAAAUUUUCAAUAACCAAUUAUGAGACGUACAUGUAAUAUUAGGUUUUACAAAACCCUAGUUUCUCUCUUACAAUUGAGAUUGUUUAUAGGCCCAAAUAAGGCUCGUAUGUUGUUGUUCACACCAUCUUUUAUUUUCCUUGUUGUUUAUUGAUUCAUUUCCUAAUUAGAUUUGCAAAUUUUAUUUAAUUCAAGAUUUAUUAGCUAGGUCAGUUUCACUUCUUAUUUAAACAUUUAUUUAUACUAUUUAUGUAAGUCAUUUUGAUAGUUAUACUUUAUCGAAUAAGAAUUCUCUCGUUAGAGUUUAACUUUAAAUUUUGGUUUUUCAAAAUUGUAGUUUCUCUCUUUUAACUGAGAUCAAUUUCAUGUCCAAAUUAAGCUUGAAAGUUGUUGUUUCACAUUAUUCUUUGUUUUUCUUAUUUACAGAUUCAUUUGCUAAUAAGCAGCGAUAGAGAAAGCCAAGAUAGCCACUUCUAUGGGAAAAUCCAUUUUAAUGACUCAAGGAAGAAAAGGCAAGGUUGAACACUUUUAAAUUAAAGAUAAGAAGAAAAAAUAAUUAAAAUUUAAAAUUAACUAGAAAAAUAAUUAAAAUAGCAAAAAUAUCAUUUUCUAGGUCUGAUUUAAGGGUCUUUUAAACCUACAUUGUUUACAAUAGUUGAUCUCUAUAUAUAAUUGGACUUGUAGAAUCCAUCUAGAAAAAAAAAUUGAGUAUAAUUCAAAAGUCAAAUCUAUAAUUAUGAUUUAUGUAUUGAUACAUUUAGGCUUGUUUGUGAAUUUUAUUUUAUAUAUUUGGUUUAUAAAUUCAUAUGUAUCUUGUAUAUUUUUUUAAAAAAAAAUGGAUUGAGUUAUUAAAAAUAUCACAACUCAUUAUAUUAACAACAACACAAUUUUUAAAAGCUUUUGAAACUGUGUUAGUUUUUCAAUAAAUAAAUAAAUUAUAAUGUGAUAUUAAAAAUAACACUUUAAAAACAAUAAUAGUAAGGAUACUCAUUACCUCUAAUUAUUCACCUAUCUCAAAAAAAAAAAAUAUUAAAUAAAAAAUAAUUUAAAUGAUAAAAUUUUAAUCAUGAUUAACCUUGCAAAUGAUAACUUAUUGUGUUUUUUUUAAUUAUAUAUACUAUUAUUAUUGAUUUCUAGUUUGUUUGUUUGUUUUUCGGUUUAAAUUAUUUUUUUGAUAUUCAUGAAAAAAUAUUAAAUUGAUUUUUAUUUUUUAAAAUAUUUUUUUUAUUUUUAAUAUAUUAUAUUAAAAAUACAAAAAUAUUUUUGUAAAAACGUAUUGUUAGCAACUACAAGAAAGCAUCAGCCAAUAGGAAAAUAGCAAGACCCGCUAUUAAAGUAGAAUUUAUCAGUGUGAUAUAUUUAAGAGAAUCCCAACUCCCUACAAUAUGAAACUUUUGAUUUUCAAACUGGGACCUAAUUCUGAAGUUUGAGCAGAGAUGAUGAUAUCUCUGCAAAUUCUAUCCCCUUUGCCUUCCUCCCACUUCAUAAACCCUAAUCCCCUUUCACUCCAAUGCUCCAAAAACCCUAAUUUCUACCCAAAAUCUUUCUCCGAAACCCCUUAUCUUGUAAAAUCAACGCAUACCCAUUUCCUCUCUUUCCCCAAAAACUCCAACUUGAAACUUAAAACCUCACUAAGAUUAAAACUUUCGGUUCAAUUUCAGAGAUUAAUUUGUUAUGGGGUUAAGGAUUCUGAUGAAGAGACUAAAGCAGUAGUGGAUUCUGGUGGUGAUGGUGGGGGAGGUGGAGGUGGAGGUGGGGAUGAUGGUGAUGGUGAUGCUGAUGGGGAGAUGGAGAAAAAAGAUGGGAUUUUGCCAGAGUGGUUAAAUUUCACUACUGAUGAUGCGAAGACUCUGUUUGCUGCUGUUGCCGUUUCCCUUGCAUUUCGUUCUUUUGUAGCAGAGCCAAGAUUCAUUCCUUCUCUGUCCAUGUAUCCAACAUUUGAUGUUGGCGAUCGUGUUUUUUCAGAGAAGGUAACAUGGCUUCCUUUCCUUUACUUUCUUUCCUUUAAUGAUGUUAAUGAGGUUUUGUGGGAGUAAAUUUAAUGCUGAACUGAGGCACAUCUCAGUCACGGAGAUUGCAAGUUGAUGCAAAGGUUUAUUGUCUUGAUGUCUCAUAAGACGAAGUUUUUUUCUGAAUAAUGAGGGAUUUUGACCAUUGGGCGUUUAGCCUAGUGGUAAUUAGCAAGGACGAGGGAACAACUUUAGAUUCCAAUUUAUUGUGGAGUGCACUGAAAUUUUUUGGGAGGCUAUCAAAGUUUAUACAAGAUGUUGCAUGAAUGAGUAAAGUGUGUUAGUGUCAAUCCUGGAAGACUAUGUAGGAACUUAUUUUGCCUUUGUUUGUGCUACAAUCAGAAUGAGUUUUCUUCACGUUACAUUUAGUGAAUGGCACAACAAUUUUUCUCCGGAAAGUGAGAAGGAUGCUGGACAUAUGAUGCCUGAGGUUUGAAACGAAUGGUAUAGGAAGAACUGAACAUAGACUGAUCAAAUAGAUAGACCUUUUUUUUUUCUACUUUCUAGAUUUCCAGAUUUAAAAAGGUUUGCCAUACUGAGAAUUAGUUCAGACAUACCAUAAAACCCAAAGAACUGAACUGAAUUGCAUAACAUUUGCCAAUUAUCAAAUUUUAUGAAUGCCUAAUGGUUGUUCCUCUGAUUUUGGAAAGAAUGGUCCGUGCUUCCUGGCCCUAUGAGCCAUGUUCGGGAAUUUCAUGUUUUUGCUUGAAUCUCGAUGUGAAAAUGUUGAAAUGACUAAUUUUCUUAUGAAGUAUCAUGCAUAAGAUAUGUUACGUGAAAUUGUCAGGUUUCAUACUAUUUCAGAAAGCCAUGUGUAAAUGAUAUAGUGAUCUUCAAAAGUCCACCAGUCCUCCAGGAAGUUGGAUACACAGAUGAUGAUGUCUUCAUAAAACGAAUUGUUGCAAAGGAAGGUGAUACUGUGGAGGUCAGCUACCAAAGAAGGCACUUUUGCUAAGUAAUCUUAUCAUCAGUUCUGUGUUUUUAUUAUUCAUAAGACACUUCACUCUCAUUUUAGAAUUUUAUUUUUGAGAUUUUGAGAGGGGGAAGGGUGCAAAAUCAAAUUUUGUUUUAUUUAUGAUGACAAUGAUGGGGCUGAUGUGCACCAAAUAAUGAUGUUUUGCAGGAUUAUAGAACCUCAUGUCUCAAUACAUUUGGAUGCAAUGUGAUUAACGUGCCUUCUAGUUCAAAAAACAGUGAGAGCAUAGGGAAAUGAUGCUUGUUGAACAUGUCUAUUUUACAAAAUGCCUGUCUCUCUGAUUGAACAUGUCUAUCUUACAAAAUGCACGUUUCAAAUUUUCUCUUGGAAUAUUUUGAUUAUUGCUCAAACAUGGCCCAUGGUUUGAUUGCAGGUCCAUGAGGGGAAGCUUAUAGUAAAUGGAGUUAUGAGAAGUGAAAAGUUUAUUCUUGAACCUCCUUCAUAUGAGUUGACACCUAUUGUAAGUAUCAACGCUAUCAUUGACAUCUCAUUUCUUAAUUUUUGGAUGUUCUUUUAUCCCAACCAAGUUAUAGGAGGAGGUUUGUGGUUGGUAGUUGGCCAACAUGUAUACAGUUACAGUUUCACUAAGAACUCCUAACUGUCAUCAUAGUGAAAUUACAACUUAGAAGUUAAAUUCUGAACUUCUUGCCUUGCAGUGUGUUUGCAUGGAAAUGUACCAUUUUCCCCUUGUUAUAACCCAUCACUUAUUUCUUUGCUUUGUAACGCAGCAUGUACCUGAGAACUCUGUUUUUGUGAUGGGUGACAAUCGUAAUAACAGUUAUGACUCACACGUAUGGUAAUGGCUCCUGAACUUACAACCGCUAGAGUAUGCCUAGCUUUUUAUUUAUUUUUUUCCCUUUUCAAAUAACAUUGUUGAUGUCUGGAAUUAUGAAUCUUUUAGGGGUCCCCUUCCUGCAAAGAAUAUAAUUGGAAGAUCAAUCUUCCGCUAUUGGCCACCUUAUAGGAUUGGCCGCACAGUUCUUGAGACUGGCUGUGCUGUUGAUAAGCAAGAUAGCACUUCUUCAUCUAAAUAGUUUGAGUCUAUCGGAAGAGUUUAUUUAUUUUUGGAUAUUCACAAUCUUUUUAUUCUGUAUUUUUUUUUUUUUUUGCCUUUAAUAUUGUCACCAUUUUUUAACAAGAUCUGUAAGAGCAUUCUUCGCUUGAUAGAGGUAGUUCUUGCUGGGGAAAGUUUUUUUGCCCCUUUUUAAUGACCUUGAUGUAAUUGUAGGCCAUAUCUGUAUUGAUCUACAGAAUUGAAUUGUAUUUUAUGAAGCAAACUCUCUCACACACGCAUACAUAAACCGACACACCACACUUGCGUGCGCAUGCACACUCAAAAAAUGGCAAAUGAUUUGAUCUGAUUCCAGCAUGAGCAAGAAUGCAAAUAAGUUAAACUUACAGUUUAUUAGAACAUUCCCAUAUGGCUUUUAAAGUGGGUCCAAUGGUGUAUUUUUAAUUCAGGGAAAAACCUUCUGGGCUCUUUGAGAUUCCAGAACGCAAUGAGAAGUUGCAUGUUGAAUGCACUGUUUGAGUUGUUUCAAUUUCAAUUGCCAUGUAGGAUCAUGCCUCAAGCCUAGAGUAGUGUUCCUUCAUUCGGUAGUUAUCAUGGCGAGUCUCCCACUUUCUGUAAGUGAAGAGUACUGUUUCAGGAGUGCCUAAUGAUUCCUUGAACCUGCAAAUCUACACGUGAAGUGAUUUUCUUAAUUUGUAAUUGUCUCUCCUCUGUACCUCACAGUCUCGCACACAGGAUAUCAAGGCCUGACUGUAUAGCUCAAGUCAUCUUAGACAUAGCAUCACAAGAAAACAAAAACGUCAAACACCAGAGCAUUGACUUAUUCUAGGGCUGGAACCACCGCAUAUUGAUUCGGCAGUGGAUGGUAUUCUUCUUCCAUAUGGAAAGAUAAAUCAACCACCUUGCCAUUCAAUGAUACGUGCACGAAUCCUCCUUAAAUAUGAUGACUUUGCUGCUACGAGAAUCAAUUGCCAAAGAGCAAGCGACUCGCCUUCUAUGCCUCGGCUUCACCAAUUUUCCCACAACAUUCCCUAUUGACCUGACUUCAAAAACUAAAGUCAUUGGAACUCCCCCAUUGUCUUCUGAUGCUGCUAUGCCCGCCCCUGCGCCAUACAGCGGAACCUUUGUUCCUUUUAGAUUCACUGACACAGUCCGGUGGCUCUUUCUUGGUUGAAAGUAUCUUUUCAACUGCAAACAUAAACAUGAUGCAAGUGUUUACAGGCUUGCCCAGUUUUUAAAAGGGAAAAAAAUGUACUUAAUAUCACUCAGGGGCAUAUUCAAGAUUAUCAAUACCGUUUUGUUUUUUUCUAGAAUAAUCGGUAUAUCUCAUACCGAUUUAAAAUAAAAAACUAAACUGGAACAAAUUCUAUCUCAUCAGACUCUUAAAUCAUUCCAGAAAUCCCAUCAAAUUUUAGUCGGAAUAGAACAACUGGAAUGUUCUGGUCCCAUUCUAGUCGUUUCAUUCUAGUCAAAUAGUGUUUUUUUUUAAAAUAAUUCAAUGUUUUUUUUUUUAAAUUGCAUCCUCCAACACACUUCAUUUAUUGAAUAUUGAAUUUUAUAAUUUAUUAUGGUUUUUUUUUUUUGUUAUUUCAGUCUCAUGACCUACGUCACAGAUUUAGCAGGUUAAUCUAGUUAACUCGAGUUUUUUUUUUUAAUUUUUUUAAUUGAUUUUUUUAAUUUCAUUAUUCAACAUCUUCAACAUUUAGUUGAUUAUGAAUUCAACAUUUUUUUUAUUUAUUUCAGUUUGUUUUCUAUGAAAUUAUCCAAGAUUAUUGACUCGGAUUACAAGUUUCGCGAGUUAACCCAAGUAGACUUAGGUCAUUUUAUUGUCUUUUUUAGAUUGAUUUUUUUUCUCAAUCCCAUCAUUCAAAAAUAGAUUUAUUGGGAAUUGAGGUCUAUAAUUUGUUUUGAUUUACUUUACUUGUGAUUAUCAUGAUUUAAUGAUCCGGAUUGCGGAUUUAGAAGGUUAACUUAGGUUGAUUCAGAUCGAUUCAAUAUAUUGGUGUCUUAAUAUUAUAUUAAAAAAAGAUAUUAUCUUGAAUUGUUUUGAGUCAAAUUAUAUUUUUACUAGUUGUUAAAAAUAUUUUUGAACUUGUUAACUUAUCGGGUCAUAUUUCGACUUUUAUAUUUUUACUUGUAUUUAAAAUUUCAAAUUAAUUUAUUUUUGAAUUUAAAUUAAAAUUAUGUUUGCGGAGUUAAUAUUUUGAAUUAUAUAUAUAUAUAUAAAAUGCUCCAAAACAUUUCAUUUCAAUAAAAAAAAAAAAAAGAAGAACGCUAUCCGGCCAAUUAGAACGGAAUUGAUAACCAUGCUACAAAGUAGUUUCUACCUAUUCGUUGCAAAAAUCAUUGUUCUGUAAUCAACUCAACUUGCAGAGCCAAUGCUGAUGAUCAUAGCAAGAAAAACUUACCUCACCAGUUGCAACUGUCAGCUCUGAAUACAUAAGAUUGACAGGAAUGGAACUGACGUGAAUGCCGAAAAAGGUAGCCGAGUUGUACACAUUCAUCUUCACUGAACAACUCACAGUCAACAUCUUGGUUGGGACUCCUGUCAUGUCCGAACCUUCACCAAAGUAAAAAUUAUGUACAGUCAAGCUCUGCAAAUAAAGGAAAAAUGGUCAUCUUUAAGAUGAAAUAGGAAAAAAGAUAAUAAAGAAACAAAAGAAAUUAUAUAUUUACCAGGAGAAAUCUAACAUGUGCAUACCUUAACAGUAAUUUGGGGUUUGAAAGGCCUGCUGGCGCCCCAAAUGAUGAAGCAAAAGACACACAAAGCCGAAACAAAACCCGAAGCCCAAAUCAAAACCUGACAGAGCCACCUCCUUGAAACCCCAUUUCCAUAAGGAUCAUAAUCUCCUUCCUCUUCGAUAACAUCAUCACACUUUGACUGAGGCCACCCCUUACUCUUGCUUCUCCCUUUCCACCCAUAACCACCCCCGGAAACCCUGCUGGCGGACGAUGACAGAGAGUGGCGGCCGUAAGAGAGGUGGGAAGGGGACUCCAUGGAGCUGGCGUAGGCAGGAGUGGUUUGCAUUGAAGAGGACUUAUCGCCGUCGUGCGAGUCACGUGAUGGGCUCUGCACGUAGUACAAGACGGGGCGUUUUGGAGAUCGUGGCGACGAUGGUGACAUGCUUGUCAUGUCCGAUUCCGAUAUGGCGUGCAACAUUUUUCUUUUAGAAGUUAGUUUGAAUCAAUGAUUGAGGUUUGUAAGUGAAGAAGGAAGGAAGAGACGGCAGAGAGAUGAUUUUGGUUUAAUUUGUAUUCAUUAAGGAUUCCAACUGAAACAGAUAAAUAAUUUUUAAGAAGACAGUGGGCAGAGAGAGUUUGUUAUUCCACACUGUUUUUCCUUCCCUACUUGAGUGAUGAGGUCCGAAGAAAAGAAGCGUUACUGUUACAUGCCUAGCUUCGGAACCGAACCACACGACAAAGUGCUUCGGGGACCAGGUGUUGGCCGUUCCCUUUUUAUUUUUUCGCCGUUUGAAUGUUGACAUGGCAGAGGUUAUAGGCACGACACGAGGGAACAUUUACGACGUUCGUUUUCACAUUGAUUUGACCACUUUUGAUUUACAGGGAGAGAAAAAAACUGAAAAAAGAUUAAAUCAAGAAAAUUAAAAAAAAAAAACUAAUUGAUAAAACCGAAUCGAGAAGGAAAUUGAGCAAACUGACCGCUUCAAAGAAAACCAAAAAAAUCCGGUCAAGCUUAGUUUUAGCUUCAAAGAACCAGACCGCUUCAACCAAAAAUUAAAAAUACCGUUAAAUUGAUAGUGGUAUAAAUAGAAACUUAUAAGAAACCCUAAACUGAAAACACUCUCAAGCCCCCUAACAUGCUCUCUAUCUUCACUAUCAAAAAAUUAACGAAUACAGAAAUAUCAAUGGAUUUUUUCUAUUGAUAUUUUACGAUGAUAUUUGCCGAUUGAAUCUUUUUAUCGCUAACCUCAUUAAUAAAUACCAACAGAAAUAUAUCAUCAAUAUAUACCGAGAAAAUUGUAGUCGGAAUAGAAGAAAUAAAACAACCAAAUAAUAUGAUGGCGUGUAAGUUUUUACAAACGCAGUUACCAAUUGAAUUACAGCGGGAUUCAAAUAGGCAAAUCGUACAGUGACGUGAUAGUGAUACCGACAGAAUGGUUGAUGGAGUCACCGUCAGAAUAAUUUCAUCGGUAAUAUUUGAUAUAUGACCUGGCGCUAGCUCGACCUUCCUCUUCCCCUUUUCCAUUUCUACUUCUUCCUUGCAAAAUUUCUCUCAAUUUGAAUUAUCUUUGUUUUUUUUUAGCAAUGCAAGAGUUUUAAAGGCUAUACAUUUUCAUGUUUUCAGAUUGUUUUGAUGUACUGAUAUCAAAAAUAAUUUUUAAAAAAUAUUAUUUUGAUGCAUUUGUAAAUGAAAAACACUUUGAACCGCAACCGUUACUGCAAUCCCAAACAGGCAUUGCAAUUUGAAUUAUGUUUGUUUGUUAACUGAUAUUCUAUUUACCAAAUUGAAUCCUAUGUAGAUAAACCAUUAAUCUCAUCUUAUAUAACAUUACAUUAAUUAAGCAAUGCUUUAAAAUAAAGAACAUAAAAAAAAUAAAAACAACUUACCUUUUUAUGACUAGGCUUCUUGGAUCAAGUAAAAAGGAAUGUUGCUCUUUUUUUGUUGGCUCUCUCGAGAUCUAGUAAUUAAAACGAUUAUAUAUGCUGACUAGAGUGUUUGGUAUUGUAGUAGCUUUGUGGCUGUGGUUUGGAAAAAGUUGUUUUUAUAAAAAGCAUUUUUAUUUGAGGUUGAUUCGAAAUAUAUAUGUUUGGUUAAAACUGUGGUUGAAAUUGAAGUUGAACAAAAAAUAAUUUAAUGUAUUUGGUGAUAUAUAUUAAUAUUGAUGGUUUUUAAUUUAAAUAUUGUAGAUUUAACUACUGCUAUUAUAUCAUGAAAUAAAUAAUACUUUAUAUAAAAAAAAAUUAUUAUUCCAUUAAACUAUCUAUAAUUUCAUCACGUACGAAAUUCAUCCGACAAGGACUACAGUUUCCAUGGUUUUUUGAACGUACAACAAAAUCAGGUAAAAUAUCAUUAGGAACAAAAUUGGGAUUACGAUCAAAUUCUACAAAUGCUACGCCAUCAUGCGAUCUCCUUCUAAUUUAUGUAGUGUCAUUGAAUAAUAUUAAGCACUAGUUUUUUUUUAAUAAAACACAUUUAAAAAAAAUAGAUUUUUUACUGUUCACGUGAACAGUGCAAGUGAAUAAAAUCACUGCACUAUUACGUGUUAACAAAUGUGCAGAGUGAAUUAAUUCACUCUGCACUAUUCACUUAACAAAAAUGAACAGUGCCGGCAAAGUAGGUGCAUCUUGCAUCUCCCCGAACUGCGUUUCUAUGCUUUUUUAGUGGGUUCCAUGUUUUAAAAACACUAGUUACCACUUUAACCAAACAAACAUUUUUUAUGGUUUCUUUAAAACGUAACCGCUGCCGUGCAGACAAACACACUCUAUGUUGGAUGACGUUGCCAUCUUUACAUCAUAUCUUGAAGCGGUGUCAGAAAAUUGAUGUUGUGGUGAUGGGGUUAAUCAGUUUGGCUUCCUUUCUUAAAUAUAGAUAUUGGUUAGGAAGGAAUUUUGGUUCCAAGCUUUCAAUUUGUAUACUUGAGGAAGUGUUAUAAUCAUUGAUGACAGAAAAAGUAGUGUAAAAUGUUUCAAGUUGUAAUAAGUCUAGAAAAUAAACACGUGUUAAGUGUGGAAGGUUGUCUGAAUGGUAGUUAUUUAUUAUAUAAUAUACUAAAAAAAAUCUAUUUUCAUAAAUUCAAUUUUAGUAUAAAAAUCUAUUUUCUUUAUUUUUAAUUUCUUGGUUUGAGAGAUAAGAAAGAAAGUUGUCGGAUAGAGAAGGAAAAUCUCGGUUGACACCGAUUUCAGCCAUAAAAAACAUUGAUCUUGGUGUUGAUAGGUUCCAUUCAAUAAGGAUAGUCUCACCUAGAUGUUCUUUGGCCCUCCUCCCAUCACUUGAGAUGGUAUAUAUGAGCAUGAAAUUUUUUUGGUUUUGGUUUGAUUGUUCUUUUUGAAUUAUUUAAGGUCAUAUAUGAGUUUAUCAAGAUGUAUAAAUUAUUUUGAUCAAUGUUUUGGUCAAAAAUUGGUUAAAAUAGGUUUUUAGGUAAAAAAAACUCAUUACCCCUAAUUUCACAACCACCAUAGCAGCUAGAAUCUAAAGAGAGGCAAGUGACCUCUUUCAAACUAUCCAGGCAUAUGGGCCUAGGCUGAAAGGCUAGGUGCAUUUGGCCACCCGGGCUAAGUCGACGCGCCUAGGCCUUUCUUUUUUGGUCAAUUAGUUUUUUUUUUUACUAAUUUCAUUCUUCAAUAUUAAGUUUUUAUUGAAUUCUUUUUAUUUUAACAAAUUUUUAUUAUGUUGUUUUAAUGUAAUACAAUUGAAUUUUUACUUAUUUUAUGGAGAAGAUUUCAGAGUUCUUUUAUGAUAUUAGAAGGCAUUCCUUAUGUAUAGCCCUACUUAGAUUUUUUUUCCUUUAAUUUUAUUCAAUCAUUUUCUUAAGUGUGUCAUUUUUUUUUACUAUCAUUUUAUUAAAUAAAACACUAGUUCCAAGAAAUAAAGUUAAUAAACAUCAUUGGGUACAUGACCCUUAUUGCGAGAUUAAAUUUCUUGAUUUACAUUUAUCUUUUAAUUUUUAUAGUUUAUGAGUUUUUUUCUUCAUUUAUUGGCACAAAUAAUUCUCGAUUUAUUUAAUUAGAUGUGUGGAUCAAGUUUUCAAUUUAUGGUUAUGAAUUUUUAUGUCAAAAAACACAUUGAAAAGCCUGCAUAUUUUUUUUUAAAAUAAAAUUUAUCAUCUGUGAUGAAGUGCUGGUCAAAUAGCAGCUAGCACAAUGACUAAAAGGAGAUGAUGUUUCACUAUAACAAUUGCAUUGUGGAUAUUGCGGAUGGUGAUUUUGUAAUUAUUUCCAAAAAAAUUUCUUUAGUAUACUUUUCAAAUUAUGCACUUUAAGUCCUUCAACUUUUCACAAAUUUAAUUUUGGUCAAAAACUUUAUUUUCCUUACAUUUUAAUCCCUAAUUUGAGAGAGGAGAGAGAAAGUGGUCGGGUUCUGGUAAUAAAGAAAGAAAGUCUUGAUGAACACCGAUUUCGAUCACAAAAAAAUCAAUUUUGGUAUCAUGAGUUUCAUUCUAUGAGGGGAGUUUGGUCUAAGUAUUCUUUGCUUAUAAACUUUCUUAAGUUAGUAGACCUAAGCCGGAGAAUUUAUGAAUUUGUUUUUUUAGUUUGGUGGAUUUUAAGGUAAUUUGAGGCCAUAUAUAAUUUUAUUAAAAUAUUCGGGAUGUUUAUAGAUAUUUUGGGUUAAAAGUUAAAAUCAGAGUUUUUUUUUGGCAAAAAAAAAAAAGUCAGAAUUUUUGAAAACCUUCUGACCGUAUCGUGGUGUGCGUAUAUUUUCUAGAGAAAUGCUAAACGGUUUGCAACUAGCUGAACUGGUCAGAGAAUGCAAAUGAUUUAAUAUGUUCAAUUGUGAUAUGAGAAAAAAUAAAUAAAUCAUUAUUUUUAGAUACGUGUCUUCCACCCAUCUCCUGCUCACUUGUCUUUUUCAUUCUCAGAAUAAUGUCUUGAAACAAUGCAGAUCAGAACGUUGAACACAAUAACUUGUAUAGCUAAUCGAUGUUUUUGGAUCGAUAAACCUUGUGCGUUUGUGCUGAGAUUUUUUGCAGUGAAAUAAAUAUGGUCAGACUUGGUUUUUUCUCCCAAGUAAAUCAUGCACAGUUCCAAUCCAGCCCACAAGUCUAUGAAGUAUACAUUCAGCACAGUUUAGCCAAGACCAUUCUAAUACGCGGGGAAAAAACAAGAACCCUAAACCAACGAGCCUACCUGCCAUCAUAAACCAGACUAUUCCAAGCAAAUACUAAAUCUACAUUCUUAAUAACAAAUGUUACACAAGCCACCAGAAUCUGAUACAACCAUAAUUUUUUUGAUCUAACCUCGAAUCCAGUGCUAUCAGCACAAAUCUGAUUGAGUGGUCAUUCUGAUGACUCAAUAUGAAACCAAUGAGUACUAAAUAAUCUUCUACAACUAUUUUCUUCAAUCUCAGCUUCUUUCAGAUCUACUUCUAUCCACUGAAUUGCGUGAAUCAAGUGUUGACAGGAUCUGGGGCAUUGACAUCCCCCCAGACACCACAAUUUCUGCAAUCAAAGAAUAAAUUAGACGAAUUGGUAAGAGAUCUCCUUUUGCUUCCCUCAUUUUUGGGCAGGGAAAAUUAAAAAAUAUGUCAGAACCCAUCUUUCACCAAGGACCCAAUACCUUAAGAAUAAAUAAACUCUUGAACCUAAAAUGUAUGUUAGUAUGCAAUAACAAGCAAUAUUGCAUUUCUAGUAGCCUGAAUAAAAACAGCUUAAGAAAGAUGCCCUGUUACCCCCCACAGGGAUGCUCAAAAGAAAUAUUUGAUAAAAUGAAUGUAAGAAUAACUGAGUCCUUACCAAUUCCUUCUCGGACUGAAAGAUUGGGUCUGAUAACAUCCUUGGUAUUGACUAGGAAUAUAUCUCCAAUGUACAGAUGAUUCGUGGGAACAUACACACAGCAUAACUCCUCUUCUCCAGAGUAGUUCUGCAUUGAAUACUUAGAAAACAUAAGAAUUUGAAUGUAAAUGCAAUUGAUGCUAUGAUAAGCAUUUAUCAAGUUAUCAGUAUCCCAAUAUUAACUCUGUUUUUAAAUAAGGUAAACACCCUCAAUAUCCCAAACUGCAAUAAUCUCUAGAAUCUACUAAUCAAUUAGGAUUGUUGUACAUCAGCCCCCAAAAAUUGAGAAAUUCAAAAGUUCAGGAAUCUUUUAUUGAACCAGCAUGUCUUCUAACAUGGACAGCAAAGAAAAUAUAUCUUCGAGAAAUACCCAAAUAAUUUGGGUGCCAGCAACCACUCAUUAAUGAUGACAAAGGAAGAUGUCGCUGAGAGUUUGCAUACAUCAGAUAUUGUGUUUGAGGGUUUUUUUUUUUUUUUUUUUUGGGGGGGGGUGUGGAUUCCAAGAUAGCAUUAAUUGAGACCCCAAAGUUUGCACCAAAGACAUGCAUGCACAAAUCUUUCACAGCAAAGUUAGGGUCGUCUAUUACUCUCCAUGCAAGGAGUUUGCCUUCACCAUAUCUUAAUUCAUGAAUUGGAGUAUAGUGACCAAAAUUGUAUAUUUUUGCAUCCAAUAUCAGCAUCCAGGAAUCCUAGUUUAUAGGUCCAACCACAGACGAAAAAACAUGCAAUUCACACAAUGCUAUAAUGAAUAUUGUACAGCAGAAAACAACUUGCAGACCUGGAGGAUGACAGAUGAAGUAAUGAACCCAAAAGCAUAUUCACCGAUACGUGGAUGUCUUAUAAUGGCCACUUCCUUGAAAGCUUGAGUAUUUUGGUCUAGAACACAUAACAAGCAUGAUAUGUGAAUGGCAGCUGCUUAAACACAUCCAAUGAAAACAUGAGGAUUAAGCUGAGCGCAGACCUGGUGAUAUGGCAGCACUAAUUUGCUUGGAGGCAUUAUAAAUAUGACGAACAAAUGGCAUCCGUUUGAUAAACCACUCCCCAAGGCUCAGGACAGAAGCUCCCAACCAAGAUGACAUGAAUACCCCAACCAAGAAAAUGAAUGUUAUGGAGGUUAUAAAUCCAAGACCUAACAAAGACCCCAAAAAAAGCAAGCUAAAUGAUCAGUAAGAAUAUGAAUUGCUUGAUAAUAUGCAUUUAUCCUUGGACAGGAAAAGGCUUAUGAUGCUAAAUUUAAACAUGCUUACCAAAGAUAUCAAUUCCAAGAUGGGCAUAGAUUGGAGAGAAGAAUCCAUCCACAAAGUGAACAAACCACCAUGUUAUGUAGAAAGUGAUUGCAAUGGGAAACAGUAUGACACUGCAAAACAGCCAAGUGUGAGCAAAAUCUGUAAUAGAUUGAGCACAAUAUGCAAGACAAUAAAUAAAUUCAAUCAUCAAAUUCAUAUCUUCAUAUUUGGAUGAAUUAUUAAAAGCAUGCCAAAAGAAAGACACGAAACAGACAUGAAAUCUUAUAUGUUAUAUAGUAUUCUGAAUAAAUGAAUUUCUAAUCCAAAAGAAAGGCACGAGAUACAUGAAAUCUUAUAUGUUAUAGUAUUCUGAAUAAAUGAAGUUCUAGGUUCACCAAGUACAACUACAGUCCAUGGUAUCUGUUCUAGUGUUCAUCUGGCAGGAAAAGACUACAUCCAUUCACAUGAAAGGGGUCAUUGGUUUCCAUCACAACCGACAGGAGCAGCAGCGCAAGUAACACACACCCAAUCAAUUUACAUGGUAAAAAGAAAAUUCCUCAUGCACCAAGCAAAACAAGGACUACCUUGAAAAAUUUCUACUUUCACACAAUCUUUAAUGGUAAGUGAAAUCUCAAGUACUUGCCGCUGCCCAAAAAACAAGAUGAAUUGAUGUCAAAAUAAAAUUUUAAAAGCAAAUCAGUACAAAUUUUAGUUGCAUCAUAAUGUGUUUCAAAACUCCCCCAAUAAUCAGAAAAUAAUAUAACAGAGAGACAUCCUAGGCGAUCUCAUUGCUAUGACAAAUCUGCGAUAGUUGCAAAAUUCAUAGUGUAAUGCCACCAAAGAUCAGACAAGAAAUACACAUUCAAACAGAUAAAAAUCUUGCUAAGGGUGCAGUCAAGAGCAUGGCAUUAUCUUGUUCUUGUAAUUUUCACAAAACAAUGUCAAUACAUGUAAAAACUGCCAAAUUAUUCCCUAGUAUUUUUAUUUUUGUGUAUGUCUGUCUGUCUAACAUUGUGAAAAGAUGCAGCAUUUAUUCAUGAAAUCAAGGGAAUAAAGGAGAUGGAAGAGAGAGUAGUGCACCAUCCUGUCAUGAACUUUUUUGAAGCCCAGCUCCUAACAACUUUGUAAAACGUCUACACAAACAAAAGACAGAAAAUGUCAGAUUAAUUUUUAUUUUAUUUUAUUUUUGUAAGGAAAAAAGAAGAAGAAGAAGCAGCAGCAAUUUGCCAACAGUCAGCACAUGAAGUAAUCCUCAAAUAUGCGAAAUUUUUCACUGAUAACCUUAAUUUAGUAUUUCGCAAUGUCAUAAUUAAAUCCAUAAUUAUAAUUUUCUCAAUUAACUGUAACCCUUUGAAUUAACCAUUAAAGCUGUGUGUGUGUGUGUGUGUGUGUGUGUGUGAAAUACACACACACACACACACACACACAAUUGAUAACUUAUUUCCUCAAAAAUCAAAUUAAAAAAAUCAGCAAUCAAGUGAAUUAUUAUUAAGCUCAAACUAAACUUAUAUUUAGCAGACUUGGAGUUUCAAUUACAAGAAGAACAAUAAUAAUGAUAAUAACAAUUAACUCCACAAAACAAAACUAAACAGAUGAUUUUUUUUUAUAAAAAAAAAAAAGCCCUAAAAAGUCAAAAGGCGAGAGGGAGAGGAAUUUAAUUAAACCUCGCGUCCUGAGUGAUGCGAUGAUGAGGAAGAAGAAGAAGAGGGUUUGGAAGCGACUUCAACAUCGGGGGAGUCAGCGACCGGUAUGAGAAGCUCUCGAUCUCUACUCGCCAUCACGAUCGCCGAUUUCUCAUCUCCCAUCACUUGUAAUCGAAAACGACACCGGUUUCCUUAUCGAUGGAUGGAUAGAGUAGUAUGUAUCUAGAUUCUACACUACUCUAAUAAGGUUCGGAUUUAUUUUGGAAAAAGUUUCUUUUGAAUUCAAAAUCAAUCAAUCUAUCUAUCUAUCAAAGGCAGGGGAGUGAAGCGUUUGCUUUUUUUCUUUGUUUUGUUCUUAAAAAAAUAAAUAAUUAAUUUUUC